AAGUUGGACCAAAUGUUCAUGGGGAUAGUUGCAACAGGUGAUAAAGCAUGGGCACCUUCUUCUGGUACACUCCGUAGUGAUUUUUUUGAGGAUGUUAACAACGAAAUACCUGAAGAGAGUGAAGAAGAAAAUAUGAAAAAUGAUGUUCACAUUUCAAAUGAUGUUCAAAUUGAUGGAAACGGUCAAAAAAGAAAAAAAACCUUGAGAUGUUAAGUUCACAUUUUAAAACUGGAAGAAAGAAAUCCUUAAAGCAAAUUGGAGGGACUGCAAGAUUGUCCAGUCAAAUAGAAAAAUUAUGCAAUGCAGCUGACAAUAUGAGUCAAGCCAUAUCUAGUUUGACUGUUAUGGAUCCAUAUGGUAUUCCACAAGCAGUCAAAAUGCUUGACAGCAUGUCGGAAGAAGUUCCAGAAGCUAGUCCGCUAUACUUUUUCGCACUUAGAUUAUUGCUCAAUAAGGACAAGCGAAUUAUGUUUUUAUCAAUUAAUCCCAAGAUUAGAGCUUUGUGGCUUAAGACGGAAAUGGAGGAUAGUCGAAAGUUUUCUGAUCUUCUAGGGUUCAAAGAUAUCUAUUUAUGUGUAAUCUUCUAGUUAUAAUGGCUUAAGCGAAGUAUGUUUUUAUCAAUAGUUAUUUAUGCUUGGUUUUUGGAUAUUGAAUUUAUGUUUUACAUAUUUAUGUGUAAUCUAGUUUUAUUAAUAGUUGUUUGUGUUUGGUCUUUAGAUAUUGAAUUUAUGUUCUACUUAUUUUUUACUAAAUUAGUUUUAUCAAUAGUUGUUUAUAUGUGAUUUUGGAUAUAAAAUUUAUUCACAGGUGAUGAGUAUAGUUGAGGAUUAUAACGGUGAUGAAAGUGAUGAUGAAAGGGAAAAGAAAAAGAUUUUACAACGCAUGGAAUGUUUGAACCGAUUAUUUGUUGUUGCAUCUUCUUCCGUGCAAUUAUGUUAUGAGAAGUAUAUAUUGAGGCAACCAUGCAUGGAUUCAAAACAGUCAGGUGAGACAUGGGUCCGAGAGAUCCUUGACGGUCACGAAUCACGUUGUAUGAUUAAUUUUAGGAUGUCUAAAUUGGUAUUCACAAGUUUGCUGAGAGUUUUGGAGACAAGAUACAACUUGCAAACUUCAAGAAACAUAUCUUCUAGUGAAAUGUUGGGAAUUUUUUUAUACAUUUUGGGCACCGGUGCAAAAGUUUCCCAAUGUCGAGAAAGAUUUCAAAGGUCUAGAUCAACAAUAAGUCGACACUUUGCAGCUGUGCUUGAGAAAGUUUCAAGGAUGGCCACUGAUCUAAUUGCACCCGAAGAUCCUUUUUUUAGCUCAAUACCCGAACAAAUACGUAAUGAUUCUAGAUAUAUGCCGGAUUUUAAGGUUAAAAUUUAAUUUUAUAUUAUUAUAUUUUAAUAUAUUUGGUCGACUAAAAAUAUGCACGAGAGUAAUAUGAUUAUUUGUUCAGGAUUGAAUAGGUGCAAUUGAUGGUACUCACAUUGCGGCUAUUCUUCCACCAAAUGAACAAAUUCCCUAUAUUGGAAGAAAAGGUAUCCCGACUCAAAAUGUUAUGAUAGUAUGUGAUUUUAAUAUGUGUUUCACAUUUGUCAUGGCUGGAUGGGAAGGAUCGGCACAUGACACUAGAAUCUUUCUUGAUGCAAUUCGAGAUCCAAAAUAUAAAUUUCCGUACCCUCCAAAUGGUUAGAUAUUUUAUUUAUAUGUGAUUUUUUAAAUAAUAAAGUAUAAGUUCUUUAAUUGAUUAUUUUUAUUAAAAAAAUUCUUGAAUUAAUUGUUUGUUAUAUUAUGGCUUGUAGGAAAAUAUUAUCUUGUUGAUUCUGGAUAUCCUCAAAUGAAAGGUUAUCUUGGACCAUAUAGAGGUCAGCGAUAUAAUUUACCUGACUUCCAUAGAGGUAGACCGAUAUCUGGUAAAGAAGAGAUAUUCAAUCAUUGACAUUCAUCAUUACGUAGUGUGAUUGAACGAACUUUUGGUGUUUUGAAAAAAAUGGGUCAUUUUAAGGGAUAUGCCAAGUUAUAGUUUUGAAAAUCAAACGAUGAUCGUUGUUGCUACAAUGACGAUACACAAUUUUAUCUGAAAACAUGUCGGUCGAAAUGAUGCAGAUUUUAUGGAAUACGAAGAUAUUAACUCGGCAUAUGAGAAUAAUAUUGAUUCAGAAAAUGGGCAUGGUCUAGAAAGUGAUGAUGACGACGACGACGACGAUGAUAGUGAUGAUGACGGGAAAUCAAACAAUUUAAGUGGUUUUGAAAUGGAAUUAACAAGAGAUGCUAUAGCUUCUAGUUUAAUAAAUUCACUUUAAAUUGUAAAUGCUAUUGUAAAAUUUUUAGUAUUUAUAUUUUAUAUAUAAUUAUUAUCUCUUUUUAAAACUUCAAUCCAAAUAUAUGUAAUAUUUUAAUUUGUUAGGUUUAUGUUUUCUAUGCUAUGUUUACAUAUAAUAUGAGUUAUAUAUUCAAAUACAUUUUAAAAUAAAAUAAUACAAAUGUGUUAAAAGCAUUAAUUAAAAAUAAAAAAUAAUUUUUAUAAUAAUACAAUUGUGUCAAUAUCUAAUUACAAAUAUUUAAUUAUUAUAUUUAAUUAUAGUUUAUAUAUUCUAAUUAAAUUUAAUAAAUAAUUAAUAUUAAUUACUUAGAAAUAUUUAAAAUUAAUAUUAUAUAUUAAAAUAUUAACAAUAAGUUAUAAUAAAUUAUUUUUUUAUAUUUUUGCUAAAAUAUCAUAAUAUUAACUAAUUUGAACAUUAUUUAAAUACAUAUUUGUUACUUUAUAAUAUCAUGUAUAAAAUGAACAUUUUAUUCUUCAAAAGCACUUUUUGACAGCAAUGUCAAACACUCAAAAUUUUCAAAAGCACUUCUCAAAACCACUUUUCCACAGCACUUUUCAAAAAUAAGGAAGAAUUGGCCUUUAACCUUCAAUAAAUCUAAAAGCAGCUGGAAUUAUUAAAAUACUUUGUUUUUAUUGAAAUUCAACUUUAGUAGCUAAUUAAUACAUCUUAAAAAAAGGGUCAAAAUUUUAAAGAAGUCACAUCACAGUGAGUAAUGUAAUGUAAGAAAAUUUUGAGAGAGACUUGAAAUAUUAGAUCUGACCCCAUACCAUUUACUGUACCCUUUUGCUUUCUUAAUUGUGAGGACCCAAAAAUCCUUCGAAAUCUCCAUUUUGGCCAUACAUAAAUGGGACAAUUUUUGGAUGCCCUAUGAAUCAAGUAAAGCAAAGCUACGUAGUGAAGUAAUGUUAACUAAAGUUGGGUUUUAAAUUCUUCAGUGCAAAUGUUACUUUAGCAUAUACUCUGACCAUCCCAUUUAUUUGGCAUACCUUUCUUCUCUGCCCAUCUCUUCAUUUACAAACACAAGCUUCCUCCUCUCUCACUCUUACACAAGUUUAUCACAUCUUGUGUAAGUAAGAGUGCUGUUAAAACAGAACCCAACUUAAAUUUCUUCUUUCUUUUCUCAUUUAAUUUCACUAUAUUGUACCAAUGGGGAGAUCACCUUGCUGUGACAAAGUGGGGUUGAAGAAAGGACCAUGGACACCAGAAGAAGAUCAGAAACUCUUAGCUUACAUUGAAGAACAUGGUCAUGGAAGCUGGCGUGCCUUGCCGGUCAAAGCCGGUGACUAAACCCUAGCCUUACUUUUCUUGCUUACUUUAUUCUCAUUCCUCUCUCAUUCUCAAAUUUUCUUCUUUUACUUUCUGUUUAGGUCUUCAAAGAUGUGGGAAGAGCUGCAGGCUUAGAUGGACUAAUUAUCUCAGACCUGAUAUCAAGAGAGGAAAGUUUAGCAUGCAAGAAGAGCAAACUAUCAUUCAACUUCACGCCCUUUUAGGGAACAGGUCAAGAAAAUUUCAUCACAAUGUUGCUUGGUCAGAAAUGAUAGUUUUUUCUUUUCUUUUUUCCAUCAAGACCCUUGAAUAUAUAUUUCAGAGUUUUUGUCCGUAUCACUUUAAAACACUAGCUUGUUUUCUGAACUUGGGUGUUCUCAAUUUCUCAACCUAUUUUUCCAUAUUUGGUUUUCAAAACCUCAUUGGAUUCAGCUGUAUAUAUAUUUGUAUAUAAUGACCGGACACAGUUACUUAGACGUUGAACUGCUGCCAGUCUACCCUCUCACCUAUAAAACCCUUUUUUAUUUAUAGUAUGGUAUCUUUAAAAGAGUAAUGGGUUUUAUUUAACUCGCAAAUCAGUUUUUUGUUUUCAUUUUUCUUCCGUCAUUUUCUUGUCUAUCUGAUCAAUGGUUUUGUUUUCUUUAUCUUUUAGAUGAUUGAAACAUCGAAAGAAACUGUUUUGUGGGCAGUUGACGGUUUCUUUUAUCUAGGUUUUGGAUAAAGGUUGUGUUUUUUUGUGUCUUCAGGUGGUCGGCUAUAGCCACUCACUUGCCAAAGCGAACAGAUAAUGAGAUAAAAAACUACUGGAAUACUCAUCUUAAGAAAAGGUUAGCCAAAUUGGGGAUUGAUCCGAUCACUCACAAGCCAAAAUCUGAUGCUUUACUCUCCACUGAUGCUCAAUCCAAGAGUGCAGCAAACCUUAGCCAUAUGGCUCAGUGGGAAAGUGCUAGGCUUGAAGCUGAAGCGAGAUUGGUUCGAGAAUCAAAGCUACGUUCACAUUCACAUUCAUUUCAACACCGCCUCACUCGUCCACCAACAGCAGCUUUUGCUUCUUCAGCGGGUCGGCUUGUGAAUAAGACAGCUUGGAACAGUACUGCUGGGUGGAGUAAAUCCAGUGAAGUUAAUAAUGGUGUUGUAAACAAUGGAUUUGGUGACCUCGAAUCUCCCAAAUCAACACUUACUUCCUCAGAAAAUGGGGUUGGAUUGAGUUCAAUGGGUAUGCCAGAUUUUGUUGGCACUGCAUCAGCUUCAUCUGAGAUCAAACAAGAAGGUGAACAAGAAUGGAAAGGCUUUGGAAGUUCAACUAAUUUGGCCAUGGAGAAUGGGUUCAAUGAUAUUGGAAACGCAAUGGAGGAUGGCUUCAUUAACCUUCUUCUCAAUGAUUCCACCGACCCCAGUUUAUCAGAUAGUGGCAAAGAAUCUGAUGGAAACAGCGGUGAUGGUACUGCCAGUGAUGAUCACUAUGAAGAUAACAAGAAUUAUUGGAACAGCAUUCUUGAUUUGGUGAAUUCUUCCCCAUCGGGCUCACCAAUGUUCUAAACAAUUAAUUAAUGCCUUUUGGCCUAAAUCAAAAGAGCCAUUAAUUACAUUUUCCACUUGUUCUUAAAUAUUGGAAAUGCCGCAUCAGAUGAUUAUACGUUUGCCCCCAAAGUAUAACAGCGUUGAGAAACCUCACUCACUUCUUCAAAACAAUGGAAUGUACACUAGUAGCUUUUCACUUUUAGUAGUGUUAAAGUUGAUAGAGGGUUUAACAUGUUUGAGUUAAAUUCAAUGAUAUUUCAGUUCAACCUUUUUCUUUUUCAUAUUUUUUUAAUUUCCUUUUUCUUUUUAUAUAUAGAAAAGUCCAAAAUAAACAAAGAGAUGUAUUUAUGACUGACUUUAAUGCUGGUAGUUUCGGGUCACAUCAUUUUACAUUCAUCAAAUUGCAAUUCCAGGUUUACUUUAUUUAUUUUUCAUUUACAAUAUUGUUUUUUUAAUUUUACAUCUAAUUUGGUACGUCAAUUUGCUUGCUAUAUGACAAGCAGUUGUAAUAUUUUUCGUACAAACCAGAAAUGGGUAUUUUUUUCUGAUAUUUCCUAUUUAAAACCCGUAGUUGUUUUUUUAAUAAUAUCAACAGAUUUUAAGAGAAAUAUGUUGAAACUAAAUAAUGAAGAAUAUUUAGUAAUGGAUAAUGAUUAAAAGAACAUUGGUGCACGAUUGCACCACUCUAAAAAGGUGGCCAAGUAGAAAGAGUAUGAUAAUCCUAAGGAAAGCAAGUUAUGUAACAUACCAAUUUUUUCCUUUUUUUUGCCAAACACUUCAAAAAUGUUUGCAUUUUAAUGUAUUUUCUUUUUUAAUCAUUUUCAACGUUAUUAUAAAGGUUUUCUUUUAAAAUGUAUAUAUCUUCAUCUAAAUAAUCUUAGAUUUUCACUUUUUUAAUAUAUAUAAUCAUUUGUUGCUGCACAAACAUAUUUAUUUUCCACUUGUAUUAAAUUUUAAAUUUUCAAUUUUAACAUUCAAUGUUAAAUGAUGUAUUAAUUUUAUUUCCACAUUAAUAAGAACAAAUUUUUAUAUAGACCUAAAAUCUCAUUUCUCUUGUUUUCUUAAGCAAUGUGGGAUAUAAGAUAAUGUUUAUAUAUAGACUCAUGAAUAGGCUUGCAACUUGCUCCUAGACAAUGUACGAUUGCUUCCUUAAAUUGUGAUAUAUAGACAAUGUGUAUAUAUAUAGACUCAUGAAUAGGGUUUUUCCACCACUAUGCCUAAAUAAUUAUUUUAUUUAGACAAAAACCCAAAUUAUUUAAUUUAAAUAUUUUUUUCACCAAUUUUUGAGUAUCACAGUUCCAAAUCCUAAAGAAUUUGGAAGAGUAUGGCCCCUACUCUCUUUUUGUAGAGACAAAUCUUAAUUUUUGUUUUCGUCCAUACAUAUUAUUAUUUGUUAAAAUAGAUUGAAGUCUCCAUAUUCUUGAUAAGUUUAGAAUUUAGGCCUUUUAUUUUUAUUUCAAAUAAUUCAGUUUCUCUAUUUUUUGAAUUUAAAAAUACAAGUCUAAUUGUUAAUAUUGUUAAAAUGAUUUUGUUAAAUUUAUUAGUGUGACUAAAUAAAAAAAAAUCACAAAUAUUGUAACAUUUAUAUUGAUGAUUAAACUGACCAACCCAUCAAUUUUUGAUUUAAUCGUUCAACAAUAUUUAAAUAAAAAAUUCAAAUUAGCUCUAGAUUUUGUAACAAGUGUUGAACUCUGAUUUCCAACAUGUAGCUCUAAAUCAUAUCAGAUAAAAGACAAAACUGAAAGUUGUGCAAAAAAAAAAGAAAGAACAUUAUCCUUAAAUCAUAACUCCUUUCAGAGUAAAUUAUAAACCUUCAACCCAACUAUUUUAAAUAUACAUUUAGAAAAAAAAUUAAAAUUUAUUUUUGAGUAUGUGAAAUAUAGAUUUUAACUAGUAUGCAAUGUGGAAAUUAAUAAUUUUAAAUACUCAUUUUAAAAAUAAUAUAUAUUAACUUUAUUUUUUUAUUAUAUUAGAUAUAGACUUUAGAUUCGCUCUUUUCAUAUAAAUCAAUCACUUUAAAUACAAUAUUUAAACAUUAAAAAAAGACAUUGAGUUUAUUAUUAAUCAUAUAAAUACAAUCACUUUAUGAUUUUUAAGGAAUAUAUUUUAAGAAAAAAAUCAAUUCACAUACUAACAACUUAAAUUUCAUAAUCCAUGUCUUAAAAAAAUCACAAUUUAUAUUGAACAAUUAUCUUAAAUUUAAUUUUUAUAAGUAAAUAUAUUCAUGAGUCUAUAUAUACAUAUAUCUCAUAUUUCACAUUGCUUAAGAAAACAAGGGAAAUGAGACUUUGGGUCUAUGUAAAUACCUGUUUUGUAAGUUUUUCCACAUUAAUAGGUGGCACCAAAAAUAAAUAAAUAAAAUUGGUGUUGCCAGUUUUAGUGUUGAUGUGGCAAAAACAAGCGUUUUAUUGGUCAAGGGGAAAAGGACUUUUUGAGUCUCCACUGAAAACGGCACUAGUUAGGCGCGUUUUUAUAAAAUCGGCCCAUUUUUGUUAAUUUUAAUAAAAGUGGCAUAUUUUCAUUAUUUUGAAAAAAAAUGGGCCUUUUCUGGUAAUUCAACCGACUAAAUUACUAAACGUCGCUAUUUUUAAAAAAAAUCACUGGAUUAAGCUAUUUUUUCAAAAAUUAAGGGACUGGUCUCAUUUCCUUUGUUUUCUUAAACGUUUUUGUAAAAUUGACUUAGUCCCAUAAUUUUUCAAAAAUAUGGCCUAAACCGAUAAUUUUUUAAAAAAAGUGACAUUUUUUUAGUAGUUUAGUCGUUUAUAACACUAAAAUCUUUCAUUUAAGAAAAAAAAUUGAUAUAUAUAAUUCAUGGUAGUGUCGAAUUCUAAAAUAUUCACAUCUCAACAUAAUGCAACAAAUGAUUAAAUUUUUAUGUAUUAACUUGGUUAGUAUCAAUAUUGUUGUCAGUACAAAAAGAAGUUUAACGUACUUAUUCUCCUAUUUUAAAGUUGAAGAGAAAUUAUAAAAAAAUGCUACACCCAAUCUAACAUCCAUUUGUAUUGACAACCCGAAAAUAAUGAGCGUGGGAUACAUCUAUAAGACUAAUGUUUUCCGUACCAAAAUGUAUGAGGAGUUUUGCAAUUUUGUUAGAAAGCUACUUGAUUUUCUCAAAAUUCAUGCUCCAAAUUAUAUUCUUGUCAAAACUUUCCGGUUCCAAUAACAUGUCAACCGCUGAAAGGACAUUCAGCAACUAAUACAAAUCAACUAAACAUUAAUUAAUUAUUUAAUUACCCCAAAAAGAAAAAAGGAUUGCCAUCACCUUACCAAGUUCAUUCAAUAUUGUGACCAUCCAGCACCGAAAACAAACCCAGAUUGCACUCAAUAUUCGAGGCUAAAGCAAGUCCAUGUGCAUGUAUGCAAAAGCAAAUACAUCAUUAAUGAUCUCUUUCCAUACUCAAUAUUGUCCCUCCCUUAUUUCCCAUAAUCAUUUUAUCAUUUCUUGAUUACGUCACUAACUUAAUUAGCUUAGAGUUUAAAUUCUUGUCUAGUUAUCAAAUUGGGUAUCAAACGUGUAUCUAAGUGACAAAAUAAAAAUUAUGUCUCCGAGUUUAUGCAAUCAAUGUAAGGAUGACAUUUCUCUUAUCCUCGAUCUUUAUAAAUAUCUAUAUAUAAUCAUGUUCAUAUACAUGUCUUAGUAUACUUGACAUGGUAGUCUCACGUGCUUAGAAACAUGCAGAGUUAGAUUAUGAAAAGUUUUCGUUUUGGUCACUUCGUUAAAAAGAAAGUAAUAAUUUAGUCAAUGAACUAUUCAAAAAUAUUUAUUUAAGUCUCUGGGUUGUUAAAAUAGAUGUCAUCUGCACCAAUCAAAUAAUGGUGAAUUGUCGCUUAGAACUCACUGGUAGAACUUUAAAAAAAAAAAUAACAAUCCAAUGACUUCAAUAAAAACUUUUGAAUAGUUCAAUAACUUAAAUCAAAAUUUUUGAAUAGUUUAAUGACCAAAACAAAAAUUUAUAAUUUAUUGACUAAUGAUAUAGUUUACCUUUCCAUUUUAACUUUUUGAAUAAACAAAUAACUUUUUCAGGUUAAGAAACUGUUGAGAUCCUGUCAUUAGUUUCUAGUAUACUAAUCAUCACUAUCUAUAUGUGUAGGACUAGAGGUGAUCAUGGGUUGGGCGGCUCAGCCCGGCCCGAAAUAUGAGAGGAUUCGGGUAAAAAUAUAGGCCUGAAAUAUGGGAGGGUUUGGGCAAAAAACGAGACCUGUUUAGAAAACAGGCUGGGGCUCGGGCAAAACUUUUUUGGCCCAGGCCCAACCCAAAUAUAUAAUAAAUAUAUAUAUUUUUAUUUUUAAAAUACAUUUCCCAUUUCCCCAUUUCUCAUUACACAUUUAGUAUUUAUAUAAUAAAUAUAUAUAAUAAAUAUAUAUUUUUUAUUUUUUAUUUUAAAGUAUUUUUAAAAUAAUUUUUUUAUUUUUAAAAUAUAUUUCCAAAUAUAAUAAAUUAGUUGCAAAAAGGACGAUGAGGAUGCUGGUUCUUCGGUUGCUUUUUAGGAUACUUCCUUUAUAAUUGUUGAAAAUUUAAUUUAACUUACAAUUUAUAUUUUGUUAUAAAAUUAAAUAUGUUGAUUGGUUAAUGUAUGGAUAUUCUGGUUGGUUGAUUAUAUUUUGCAGGUAUUUUAUACAAUUUUGAUGUUUAUAAAAAAAAAAAGGCUAGGUGCCUGACCCAUGAUCACUUGUAUGUAGGACUCAGAAAAGAUAAUGAAGAAGAGCUUGACCAGAUAAGCCUCCGAAUUGGACUUUGAAAAGUGCAUUUUUGUUUUAUUUUCUUGUCAAAAUAAUCUUUUAGAAUCAACAUAAUCUCAUCUAUGUUUUCCAUUUUGUCUAAAAGAUAUAUGAAAAACUAAAGCUGCAGACAUAAGCAUGUCGAAUAUCAAUUCUCAAAUCUGGAUGAUAAAACAGAGAAUAGAAUAAACACAUGUUGUAUGUUUCAUCAAAUUGGGUGGCUUGAAUAAUGAAGAACAGAAGUGGUUUCAUGAUACAUCAUUUAUUAUAAUUUCAGAGCAUAAAAUUAUUUUGCGUAUCAAAAGCAGCUAAUGAGCUGGUUGCACCAGAAGAACUGAGCUUAUGCGAAGAAGAAAAAUCUUAGAUGGUCCCCCUUAGGCCACAAAUGAAUUAAUUUAAUUAUUUGCUUCAUCAAUGAAUCACACAUCCCCCACAAGUGUAGUCAUUAUUCUUGUUUCAUUUCAUGCCAAUGAUUUAAUCUCAUCAAAAUUCGAGAUUAUUACUUUCCAAUACAUAGUAAGGUAGGCGGUGCACCUAACCAAAAUUUUACAACAUUUUUUUUCUUUUACAACUUUAUUUUUUUUCUUACAAAAAUAUAUUUUAUUCCAUCAAUAAGCGAUACAAAUUCCAAGCAAUAAAUAUUUAAGAUGUUCUAUAAUUUACAAUUUUCAUAAUUAUAUUAAAACUUUCGAAUAUUAGUAAUUAUUUUAUAAUUUUUUAAGUUGAGUGAUUAAAACAUAGACUUAUUAAUAGUUUAAUGAUUUUGGAUGUAAUUUAUCUUUUUGAUAAUUAUAUUUAAUACUAAAAUGUUAUUUAGUAAAUACUUAAAAUAAUACUAUUUAGGAUUAAACCAUUAAUUAUUUUAAUAUUUUAAAUAUUAUAAUAAUUAUUAAAUAUUAUUUCUUUAUAUUUAGUUAUUAUUAUUUUUUACGAGAUCAAAUAACAUUGACCUAAAUAUGAAACUACUACUUUAUUAUCAAGAAAAUGAAAAUAUUAAUUAGUAAAAUAUUAAAAUAAAACUAUUUAUAAUUAAACUAUCAAUUUAUACUAAUAUUUAAUAAUAUUUAAGUUUAAAAUAUUAGAUUAAUAUUAAACUCUUAAAAUAUUAAACAUUAUAUUACAUAUUUAUAUCAUUAAAAAGUAAUAAAAAAAUAAAUACAAUAAUGGAACUUUUUAAAAAAUUAAAAUAUUGAUAAUAUUACAAUUUAUGAUUAAAAUGAUAUUAUUUCUAUAUCAAAUAAUUUGUAUUAAAAGAAUUUAAAGUAUCAAUUAUAUUACCAAACUUACUAUUAGUAUUGUAAUAUAAAUUAUUAAAAUAUUGAUAUGUAUGAUUCAUAAUAUUUAAAUUAUUAAUAUUAAAAUGGUGAGAUACAUUAUACUCUCAAUUGGAGGAUUCAGAUUCAAACAUGAGAAACAAUAUUGUUAGGGGUAAUUAUGAAUCCCAAAAGGAUUAAUUUCUAGAUAUUGGAAAACAGAUAUAGAUGAUACCUUAGUUUUUUUAAAAAACAUUUUAAAUAAAAAAUUGAUUAUUUUUUAUUUGUAUUCCUCAUGCUCAUUUUAUAGGUCAUGUUUGAGAUUCGUGGUUGCUUUUCCAAAUAAUGUUGCAUUCCAAUAUUUUUUAAAUUGGACUGGUGGCCAAACUGAUUAGGCCACGGAUUCACCGAUUUGACCAAACCGAUUAAAAUAUUUUUAAAAAUUUUAAAAAAUAAAAAAAAUCCUGGUUCAAUCAGUUCAACCAAUUUUCAACCAUUUAUUCGUACCGGUUCUCGAUCUAACUGGUUUAAAGCCACUUUCUGGACCAUUUCCUAGUUCGAUCAGCUAUUUCUGGCUCGAUUCAAAUAACAUUGUCAUAUUCAAGGUUUGAACCUGUCACAUCUGGUUUUCUUUAAAUCCAAAAUUUAGGAAAAAUUGAGGGCUAAAUUGAUAGAAAUUGUAAGUUGACAGUUUCUACAGAAAAAUAAGGAAAAUUUAGGGGCUGAUUUGGAUGUAGUUGAGUUCUAAUUCUGGUUCUGUUGGAUUAGAACCAACCAAUUCCUUAGUGGGAGACAAAAUUAUUAUCAAUAGAUGAUUUCUAUACAGUUGAAGAUCGUGCGUGAAGGGUUAUAAAUAGCUGAGAAGGGAAAGCCCGAAGGUGAAUUUCUUCUCAAAUUUGUUUUAUUUUCUUCUCUUCUUCAUCUUUUUCUUGGUUGUUCCAAAGAACAAAUAGUUACGAGAAACUCUGCAUGGAGCGAUGACCUUAAGGUUUGAGUCGAAAAAUAGAGAACCCAGUCAACUGAUAAGGUUCUAAGUCCUUUGAGAAUUGUAAGUUUAGGAAAUAAAGUUAAGAAUUUUUAGAACCUUUGAGGGGUUCUACAUGUUUUUGGAAAAAUGAGUUUAAGCUCUGUUGUUAAGUUUAAUUUAUGAUUUUGGUUAUAAUGCUUAGCUGUUAAGAGAAUAGAAGCUCUAGCAUUUGGAAAAACUAAGCUUGGAAGGCUAAAGGCAUCAGGUGAGUUUCUAUACUCCAUUUCUAGGAUGUUGUAUGACUGGUGUGAAUCUAUGUUAAGUCCAAAAUGAGUUUUAUGAUAAUGUAUGACCUCUGCUGUUUGAGAAUGCUUUGUAUGCAUAAGGUUGAGUAGGAAUAUAAGUAUCCAUCAGGGUGUCGGUAUGUAUGAAAUGGUUGAGACUAUAUGCCUGAAAAGUAGCGUACUCCAUGAUAAUACAAUCAUAAAUUUCAUGUAUUGCAUGUUUGUAAUGAUGGGGUACGAAGGUGAGAUUAUUGAUGGGUUAGAUGAAGUUAGGACUAGGAAAGGGUGUGUUGUAUACUGCCAUACGGUGCUACUAGGUGUAAACUGUGAUGUACGAAGCUCCGGGCCUUGUGAAAGGGACUUCGAUCAUCAAGGUAGUUAUGGCGAACUAGAGGUAUAGGCAGAUGAUUAGGGAAAUGGAAUUCCGUUAAGAUUUUGCCAUACGGUGUUACUAGGUGCAAACUAUGUUGUUCGAAGCUUCACGCGUUGCGGAGGGGACACUGCGGUGUUCGAGCAUCAAGGUUAAAUGUGAAACAUAAUGGUAUCGACUGGUCUUUCGGGGUGGCACCGUGACGACGGUUAUUAGGUUUCAUAUAGCAACACUGCGAUGACGGUCAGCAGGCCCUAUGAGACGAGACCACAACGACGGUAAGAUCCUUCGAAGUGACACCUCAAAGAGAUUUUAAUAACUGUUGGAAAAACCUUGGUUUGAAAACUAUUUUCUAGCACAGUGAAAAAUUAAAAUUUUGAAAAUCGACCCGAUUUGUGAUAUUUAUAACAAUAAACCUUAACUGAAUUUGUACCUGUGUUUUUGGAUAAGCGGAUCCUUGAUAUUUUCUAGCUUUCAACCAAAUGAUCUUCUCCACUAUUCUCGUACCAUGAACUGCUUCGAGUGCGGGCUCGAACCAAUUGAAUCAAAACAUAAAACUAGAAAAAGUUUUCCUUUUGAGGUGAAAACAGAAAUUCUUUCUUUAAUAGAAACUGGUAAAAUUGUUAUUAUGGAAAAAAAUAUAUUUAUAAGUUGAGAAUAAAUUCUCUCUAGUUUUUGGCAAAAUAACAAUCUCUCAAAAUUUCUAUUAAUAGCUCUACCAGUGCCAUCUAUUUAUAGAAAAAGAAGGUAGAACCCUUGUAGAGUUAUAGAGGUCUAUUUUAAAUAGAAAACCAACAUCCUACUUAGAUUAAGAGAGGGGUGAAUGACUCACCCUUGUAUUUCUACUAGGGUUGCCACCCCCUUCAUGUUAUAUGAGGGGUUUUGGGCCUCUCUCACAUUGGGUCCAAUUACAAGUACUUCCUAUGUCUUUUUGACCCAGUACUUUGUAAUAUGAUCUAACCCGAUUCAAUUUUUCUAUUUUUGAAAAUAAAUUUUAAUAUAUACAUAUUAAAUAAUUUUCUCACCCCAGUUUUACCCCAGUAAAAUUUUUAUAAUUUUACCCCUAGUAAAAUUUUGAUGAUUUUACCAUCGAUAAAAUUUAGAGAAAAUUCGUUCAAUAUGUCACAUCUCAACAAGUUCACUAUGCCUGAAUGAUUUAUUUUCAUUUUUGGGCUUCAAAACAAUCCAAAAACUUAAACUCAUUCUUUCAUCAUUUUUUAAGUAAUCCUAUAUAGGAUUGUAAGUUUCCAUUUUCAUGUUCAUUUCAAUUUCCAUUUUUGGAAACCUACAUUCAUUUUCAAAUGAUUUUAUUUUUUCAUUUCGGAGAAAACCACAAUUAUUAUUGAAUGUUUCUCAUUUCUCUUUUUCUAUUCAGUCCGUUCAUUUCUAUUCAAACACACAAGUCAUUUCUGGAUUCAACGAGUUAGCGGAGGAACCGAUUGGGCAUAUGUGGUUGAGGCUCAAAUGAUUUAUAAUCAAGUUUCAAAUUUUCACCUAUUAAUUAUAAAAUCAUUUAGUCACGAAGUCAUUCUAUUAUAGUAUCGUGACUAAGCUCUCCUUAAUGACAUACCAUUACGAAAGCAACUACUCAGUGCUCAUCCAACGACCUUGUCAUAAGUGUGUUACCCUCAUAGGAUAUCAUUGAUCUCUUUGGGAUAAUAUUCACUCUCCCAAUAUGAUUCUAUUUUAUCUCACGGUAACCAUUACAUCUUCCUUAAUGAAAAAGUCAAUCACUAUCAAAUAGUGAUCAAGUCAUCCAUCACAUAGACGGAUGACUCGUGGCCACGUUUAUUUUUUAUCAACCAUGUAAUGCCAAUGAGAGGAUAUCAUUUACUCAUGUUUUAGGCUAUGAAUUAUAUUGUUGUAAAUGAUUUUACAUACUAUAUAAGCCGUACACCCAAUGCACCAACUUUCGGUUCCUUAUCUAUUUGAACUCAGGCUUUUACUUACAUCAAAGUGUAUGAGUCACAUAUACAUAGUUCGCCAUCCACAUAAGAUUUAGGUAUUUCACACUAUGAACAUCACUAGUGAAUAAAUCAAUAAAAAGAUUCAAGAUCAGUCCAGUCGAUCACAUCUAUGUCUCUUUCUUCUGGAAGUCAUUCGCUCCGAUGCCCAAGAUAAGGUAUCUCCCCAAUUGGACUUGAUAAAUGACAUGUUAGUCUUUCAUUCGGUUUGCUCAUUUCUGAUUAGACUAAGGACAUGUUUAGGUUCAUUUGCUAAUACAAGCUAUCUUUCUGUACUACGAUCUGAGCACGUAAUACUGCUUACUAUUAAUUAAACAUUUAGACAACCAAUGAACAACAUUUUCUUUAUUUUCUUUGCGUUCAAAAACCAUGUAAGGACAAUAAUACAAAUUAUAUUAAUUUAAUUCAUGAAUAAUUUUAUUAAUCAAUCUAUUUGAAAAAUUCACAAGUGUAAUUAGACAAAAAUACUACACUGAGGACACUAGAUCCAACAGUAAGGCCAUAGCUCGACUAUGACAACCAAUAGAGUCCACUAGGACACUAAACAUAGGGUAAAAUAUGUAAUACCAUAGCUUGACUAUGGCAAUAUAGAGAGUCAGUUGGGACAUUAAAUGUGGGUUAGUUUGUCAGGGCAUUAGCAUGGGGUGGACCACUAAAACAAUAAAUAUGGAAAAUUAGGUAUAUGGAAAAAGGGUUAAAAGAAAAUGCAAGUGUUGGUAAGCGAUAGCUAGCAAAUGGAUUUUGAAGAAUCCAUUGGGAAAGACAAAAGUAGUAGAAAAUGGAACAGUCCGCCAAAACAAUAAUCAGGGAAGUCGGUAGGGCAUAUGGGUGGUAACCCAACAAGAAUCAAAUUUGGAAAUGACAUGCCAAUGGUGCCUAGUGUAUAGGCAAAAUAGAGAAGACUUAUCUGAGGAUUACUGAUAGGGAUCCACCAUUAAGAACCGCAAGAAGGUUCUCAGUGAAACUUUGUAAGUUAGAGGGUCGACCAUUGGCACUGAGAAGGUUAACCCAAGUGGCAGUUCUAACACCCCAAACCUGGCCCAGACGUUAUGGCCAACUCUGGAAGGUUACAUUAAUACGUUGACAUUUUACAUUCUAGAAAGUGUCUCGUUACGAAAUCAAAAAUAAAAAGUUUAUAAAAAUUCGCCACAAUUCCUUGUUAGGAAAGUUUGUCAUUCUUAAAACAUUUGUGUGAAUGUAUUAAUUCUUAAUUUAAAAAGCCCAAUUUUAUGAGAUCACAACACUUAAGUCACUUUCUUCGUAAAACUCAUAAUUCCAAAUAAACUUUGUAGCAGAAAUUUCGGAGCUGAUAUUUGAAAAUCGUGAUUUCGACCAGUGAAAACGUAUAAUUUUUCCAAUUAUGCAUAUUCUAAAACCUACGUUAUUAACUUUCGUAAAAACCAUUUUAAAUUUGCAGCAGAAAAUUUCUUAGCUUCCUAAAUUUUGAAAUCCAAGCAUUGUGUUUGAUUGACAUAAUUCAUGCAGAAAUCUUUAACUAAGUAACGAAAAUCUAUAGCCAAAACUGAAUCCGAAAAAUUAGUCCAAAAACCAAAAGUCCAAAGGAUUUAAUUAUUAAUAUUUCAAACCGUCUUAUUUGAGAAACCAAUCCGAGUUCCCAAAUGCUACCCAAUCCUAAUUCAGCCGAUUACCUGAAAUGAAGAAUGAAAGUGGUGAGCAAUAAAGCUCAAUGAGUAAAUAAACUCAAACAAAGAACACAAUGUAAUAACCCGUUUUUCAGUGGUGUCGGAAACAGUGGUUUAGGGACCACAAGUCUGACAAGUAAGUUUGUAUAAUUAGUAUUUAAAUUAUACGAGUCACUAAUAAUUUUUAUAAUGAAUUUUGAUUUGAGGAUUUUAACUAAUUGAAUUAAAAGUUAGUAUAAGUGGUUUGGUUCAAAAGGCAAGUGGUUAUUGAAAACGAGGUAUUAGGACCUUGUUUCCAUAAUUUAAAACCAUAAAUAUUUUUAUUAAAUAUUUACAAAUUCAUAUUAUAUGUGAAUUGAAGUUUGGCCCGAUAAUUUUGAUGAUUUAGUGCGUAAUUACGGUAAAAAGGAUUAAUUUGUAAAAGAGGUAAAAGUUAAUUGCUGUAGAUUUAAAAUAGUAAAGGGACCAAAAUGGUAAUUAAACCAUAGUCAAAAAGUCCAUGUGGUGCUGGAUAUGAUUAGUUCACUAACUUUUGGGCUAUUUUCUCUUUAAGUCCUAAUUAGUUUAGGGCUAAAUUGAAAUUAAGUUUGUUUAGUUGUAAUUUAAAAAUAAUUGAAGGACCAAUUAUGCAAUUAAACCUUCUUUAGAUGGUAAUUAUACCAUAUUUAUAUAUUACAGACAUUUAUGGACAUGAUUUAGUAAUUUUAUAAGUUUUAUUAAAAUGUUAAUUUUGUAAAAAGUUAAAAAGUAAGUUAAAAAAAAUAAAGAAAUAAAGAAUAAUAUCAUGAAUUUCCUUUCUUCUUCUUGGUGGAGAAUCAAAUACACUAUGGAAGAGAAGAACAAGCUUUGGCGAAGCUAGGGUUCUUUAAUUUGGUGAAUAAAUCUCGCCCGUUUUUAGUAAUUUUUAUGUUUUUGAGCUUAUAUUAGCUUAAUCUAGUUAACUCGGGGACUAUUUUGUAAUGCGGUUAAACAUUGUGGAUUAUGCCAUUGAUGAAUUUAAGUUGUUCUUGAAGUUUUAUGGUAAAUUAUUAAGCUUAGUUGUUAGAUAUGACUAUUUUGUAAAGUAAUUUUUAGUAAUUUUAAUGUUUAAGGACUAAAUUGUUAAAAUGAUAAAAUUACAAGAACUUGAUGUGAAAUAACAGCAAAUAUGGAUUGUAGUGAAGUGUUACACAAUUCGGCUGAAACUAAAUUUAGUUAAAAUUGGUUAAAUUGCAAGUUUGAACUUAAGGACUGAAUUGUAUAAAAGUGAAAUAUUGGGGGAAAUUUUGUAAAAAUGCCUAAAAUGACUUAAUUACAGAAAAUGAGUUAAUUUUACUGUUUGAAUUAGUUAAUUGAAUAAAAAUGUUAUUUUAGAUUAAGAACGAGUGGAAAACCGAGGAAAAGAGAAAAUUACCGAAUAGUCUUUGUACCUAUGUCAUUGCUGCAAUUUAGUUAGGUAAUUUCGUUCGGUUUAAUUUUAGUACAUUUAUAAAUGAAUUAUAUAAAAAUAAUUGCAUAAUGUUCAAUUAUAUUGAUGUGUGUAACUGAAAUGGAAAUAACAAAUUGAAAUAACGUAGAUCUCUCACUGAGAUACUCUAAGCCGUUACUGCAAAUCAAUCUUGUAAGGUCGUACGUUUAUUUAUACUUCUAAUGAUUUUUAUAUUAUUUGUUAAUAUAAUUUUCUUAAAUGUUAUAUUGUAUAAUGGUAUGAUAUUAAAAAAGAAAAAAAAAGGAAUAUUGAUUCUACUAAAAUUACUCAAACGAGUAAUGUCUACUGAUUCCAUUGAAAGUGCUCAAACGAGAAAUAUCUACUGAUUCUACUGAAAGUGUUCAAUGAGCAAUAUCGACUAAUCCUAUUGAAUGUGCUCAAAUGAGCAAUGUCUACUGAUUCUACUGAAGUGCUCAAACGAGCAAUAUCUACUGCUACUGAAAGUGCUUAACAAGCAGUAUCUACUGAUCCUACUGAAUCUGCUAGCAAUGUCUAUUGAUUCGAAUGCGUGCUCAAACAAGCGGUAUCUAUUGAUUCUAUUGCAUAGUUGCUUAAACGAGCAAUAUCCACUGAUUAUACUGAAUGCUUGCUCAAACGAGCAUUAUCCACUGAUUAUAUUGAAUAAGAUUUUAUGUACCGAUGAUUGGACACGAAUAUUGAAAUAAUGCUCUGAAUAUUAUUCAUUUGAUGGAAGUUCUGAUUGACUGGAACUCUAUUCAUUAGUCUUUAUUUGAAUUAUUAUUUAUGUUUGAUUUUACAAGUGUUACCGUUCAAUCGAUGAACUUACUAAACUUUACGUAACCUUACCUGUAUUUGGUUUAUUUUUGUAGAUUACGUUUUUUUGUGGACUUGGAAGAUCGGAUCGACACGAGAAAUCACACUAUCUAGGAAUCUUCGGUAGAUUUUGGUUUUGUAUGGCUUAUAUGGCAUGAAAUAGGACCCUUUUUUGAGAUGUGGUAUAGUUCUUGAUUUUGUGCAAGUUUACACCUGAGCUUGUGAUGUAUUUGAAUAACUAUGAAAAUAUGCAUGUUUCACCAAAGUUGAGUUGUUGGUCAAGCAUGAAAUACAAUGAAACUAUGUUGAGUUAUGGUAUGAAAUGAAAUGGAGGUAAGAUUUUGAUGUGUAAGUUGUGACUUGUAUAUACAACUAUGGAAGUGAAUUGUUAUGAAAUAUUGUGGUGUCAAUGAUGGUACAUUGGUUAGGCACUUAGAUUGAUUGUGUUUACAGGGGUUGACUGUAUUUGAAUGUGUUUAAUAACCUAUGGGAUUGUAUGUUUAAAUAUGUUUAAGUACUUAGGUAUAUGGGUGAAGAAAGGAAUAUGAUUUAGGUAAAUUUUGGGUAAACAUGGUCUAGGACAUGGGCUGUCACACGGCCGUGUGUCUCACAUUGGUAAUCCAUACAGGAGUGCGCCUUGAGGGUGUUUAGGUGCAGCUUUCACAUGAGCUGACACACGACCUCCGACACAUCCGUGUGACCCAACAUCGAAUGUUACACGUGCUAGCACACGACCAGCGACACGCUCAUGUGGCGUCAUUUUGAAAGGUACAUGAUCAGACACACAGAUAGUGACACGGCCGUGUGAACUCUAUUUUGAAAAUUUAAAAUUUUUUCCUGAAUAUUCUGAUUUGUUUCAAAUUUGUCCCCAUUUGUUCCUAAACUAAUUCUAAGGCCUCAUAAGCCCGAUUUAGGGUUUAUAAGUGUAUCUUUACUCCGAUUUGAAUUAUUUAAAAAUAAAUUUUGUUAAUUAUUCUAGUGAACUGGAUGUUAUUGUUACAGAAUGUUCUGAAAUGUAUAGUAAUAUUCCGUAACCCAAAUCCGGCAAUGAAAGCAGUUAUGGGUGUUACACACAGAUAGCACAAUAAACAUAUCAAAUUAUCACAGAGAAUUUCAUCAGAAUCGAAUGAGAAAAUGGAGCAUGCAUGGUUAUGUCAAUGCAACGUUUUCAGAGAAUGAAAUGCAGAUUUUUUAAAAAACUUCCUACCCAACUCUGUUACACAUUAAAUUAGAGUUCCCAAAAACUCAUCCAUCCAAAAAUACAUCAAUUAAGUCAUCUCGGGUUGCCCGGCAACGAUGGCUUAUCAAUAAGAAGUUAAACUGCGAUAUCAGAUAUAUAUUGUCAAGCCACUACAUUGCAAUCAAGUUACUAGAAUAGAUAUGUGCUUAAGCCACCAGAUAGUGCAGAUCAUUAAACUGCCUGAACUUUCUCCUUACCAUAUUAACCCAACCCCAUACAAUGUGACAUGACAUACAAAUACAUAAUCAAAAUAGCAAGCAUGUUCAACAUGCAUUAGUAUUUUUAGCAGACACCAGUAAGAUUGCAAUUUCAAGCCUUGCAGAACAAAUAUAUCAAAUUUCAUUUACAAAUCAUUUUAAUUAGAAAAGCCACUAUGUCACAUGCUACAAGAAUUGAACAAAAACAUAACUUACCAAUAGUCAUAUAUACUUAACUAACCAGAACAUACCAAUAAUGCUCACUAAUUUACAUAUCAGAACCAUAUUGUAUAAGGCAACAUACCUUCAGAUUUUAUGAAAUCAUAUCAGAACAAUAGUUUCCACCAUACAUAUCACUUACCAAACCUACAGAAUCACUGAUCUUGAAACGCGUUUCAAAACGUGGCCCUAACUAAAAUUUACAGAAAAUGGGCCCACACUCCUAUGUGGCCUAUACGACCCAACUAAUCCAGCCCAUGUGUCCCACAAGGUCUAACACACAGACGUGUGACUUCGACAGUGAAUUUUUGGCAUCACGUCGCUUAUUGUGUUUCAAGGUUAUCGUUACACACCAUACUGUUUUUUGAUGUCGACCCAACAAGAGUAAUUCUAACACCUAAAACAACACCCACGAACAAUCAAUCACACAACCAAACACCCUAAGUCAAUUGAUUAAUAAUGAACACACUCCAUAAUAUUAUCUCAAAUAAACACUAACCAGCCCUCCAAAAACAAACAUUUCGCACACUUACCUCUAAAUAAAAUAUUGUUGAUACUCAACCCAAAAGAGGAACACGCUCUUCUUGAUUCUCAGCUAAACAAAAUCAUACAACAAACUCAUUAUAAGCUCCAAGUUAAAUCAAACUGAAUACCAACAAUCUCAAGAAGUGAACAAAUACAUAAAGGUUAAAGAAAGAAAAGGACGAUUAAUAAGUUAAUUUCCUCUUACAACACACGUUAAAAUGAUGAAACCCGUAAAAAAUAUUGGCACAAAACCAAUAUGACAGCAGAAGAGUAGGGGAGUAUAGAAAUCGAUCAAAAGGAACAAACCAAAAUGUAAUAUGUUGAGGAAUUAAGAACAAGCAGAAUAAAAUCAAAUAGAGUGAAAAAUUGAACAAAAAGAAUAGUAAGAAACAUUACUACAACAACAAAGAAACAAAAAAUGGAAAAAAAAAAAGAAAAGAACAGGGAAAACAAUACUAACGUGAGAGAGAGGAAUAAUGAGACGACAAAAAGAUGGAGUAAAAUUAAGAGAUAAUUUCAAAAAUAAAAAUAUAUUUUAACAAUAACCACCCAUAUCCCCACUAAAUCCCUUAACUAACCAUUAUCAUAUUUCUUAGAAUUCAAAUUUAACCCAACUACAUCCACAUAGGCAGUGCAGGCAAGAAAUUGCAAAAAUAUUCCUAUUUGUAUGUGCAGGGAUUCAAGCACAGGACCAAAAGGUAAGUUGAAGCCUUACCACUUAACCAACAUGCUUAUUCUCGUCAUAAUUGAGCAGAAUCAAAAGAUAAGCUUAACAUUUAAGGUCAAGGGUUAGAACUUCACACACACAAGCAAAACACUUAUCCAUUGAACCAGAUUAAAUCCCUUUACAUAAUUCCACAACAUUUAACUAAAAAAACAAGGUGUAACAACUCUCUCGGUUCAUUAUCCCAAUUUCUACUAACUUGGUUUUUGGGAUGUGACAACUUCCCUCCUUAAAAGAAUUUCAUUCUCAAAAUUCAUAUUGUCACACCAUUUACUUAACCAUAAAAUCCGUAACUCCUUAACCCAAAUUGACCAUCACGCUACCGCUACACAACUCUAUUUCAAAACAGUCUAGACAAUUCUUCUAACAGACUUCCUAUUUGCUGACACGAAUUGUCUAAAAGAACUAUCCACAGAAAUACAACUAAUGAUUCCUUUACCCUUAAAUUCUCAGAAACACUACUAAUAGCAAACACUUGAGUACAACCAAUUCAGAAUCAAAGCAAGGUACAAUUAGAAUGGAUCAUAAAAAUACCUACAUUAAUGCCAGAUGUAUCUCGAUGCUCUUGAUGCUUAGCUGCGUAAACUGAUCUAUGGUUCCCUCUCUGAACCAAAGCUAGCACCUGACUAACGUCGUGCUCAACGGAUCCACAUCUAAAACACGCCCAUGUUUUCCUCCAACACUCUCCUGGAUGGCACCUAUCACAGGAAACACAAAUCUGAACCCACUCCACGCUCACCAUUGCAUCAACCCACUAAGGUUUGUCUAUUAUGGCCAGUUUCCAAGGUCGCGGAUUUGAGCCAAUGGAACCAGAACCCCUCUUAUUCCGUACUUUAUUCCUUUCCCUUUCCUCACUCUCCAAAGGAUUACUCUCUUCCACCUUCUUGAUUUCACUCGACCGAAAUCACUCAACCACUUAUCCUCAGCCCACAAUUUCAAAUUGGUCCCCAACGACCUUUCGUGAAUCUCCAAACAUAUAUUAGGACACAACAUCACCUCUAGCUUCAUGAUUACCACCCUCAGAAACAGGCAUAUGCAUAGCCUAGCUAUUUUCUGAAUUGGGCAUGCUGCCUCGAGAAGAGGACUCGGCAUAAGCCAGUUGACAAUGUCCACCACGUCCUCAUGCACCAUGACCAUGUGUACUCAUUUUACUUAUCUACAAUUUAGAAGUGUAAAGUUUAUCUUAUAAUAUUUUUAGAUCCUAAGUCUAAAUUUUAGCAGAAGUAACAAAUCUAAAGUAGAGAAUGUUCAAUUUCUACAGUCUCUAAAGUUUACCAAUUAACUAAAGUAACUAAAAUAUAAUUUAACUAAAGUACACGUACAUACUUUGAUUGGCAUUGGAGUCUCGGAUUCACAUUUCCAGAAUCUUAGUAAAUUUUUGUGCAAAUUUAUCCUAAUCAGAUUUCCAAAAAUUUUCUUAAAAAUAAAAAUUUCAAAAACAAAUUAUGCAUUAAAUUUUUAAACAAAAACUACAGCCUGAGUUUUGCAACCUGGUUCUGAUAUCACUAAAUGUAACAACCCAAACCUCGACCUAAACGUUAUGGCCAAAUCUGGAAUGUUACAUUAAUACAUUGAAAUUUUACUUUCUAGAAUGUGUCUCAUUACGAAAUCGAAAAUCAAAAUAUUAUAAAAACUCGUCACAAUUCCUUGUUAGGAAAAUUUGUCAUUUUUAAAAAGUUUAAGUGAAUUUAUUAAUUAGUAACUUAAAAAUCCCCAUUUUUUUUUAGAUCAUAACACUUAAGUCACUUGCUUUGUAAAACUCAUAAUUUUGAAUAAAACUUUGUAGAAAAAAUUUUGAAGUUCACAUUUGUAAACCGUGAUUUCGACAAGUGAAAACGUAUAAUUUUUCCAAUUGUGCAUAUUCUUAAACUUACGUUAUUAACUUUUGUAAAAGCUCAUUUAAAUUUGCAGUAGAAAAAUUCUUAGCUUGUUAAAAUUUUAAAUAUAAGCAUUGUGUUUAAUUCACAGAAUUAACGCAGAGGUAUUUAAUUAAGUAACGAAAACCCAUAGCCAAAAUAAAAUCUGAAAAAUUAGUCCAAAAACAAAAUUCCAAAGAAUUUAAUUAUUAAUAUUUCAAACCGUCUUAUAUGAGAAACCAAUCUGAGUUCCCAAACGUCGUCUAAUCCUAAUUCAAUUGAUUACCUGAAUGAAGAUUGAAAGGGGUGAGUUAUAAAACUCAGUGUAUAACUAAACUCAAACAGAGAACACAUAUAGCACAAUAAACAGAUCAAAGUAUCAUAGAGAAUUUCAUCAGACUCGAAUGGCAAAAUGGUGCAUGCAUGGUUAUGUCAAUGCAAUAUUUUUAGAAAACAAAAUGCUGAUUUUUCAAAAAACUUCCUAUCUAGCUCUGCUACACACCAAAUUAGAGUUCCUCAAAACUCAUCCAUCAAAAAACACACCAAUUAAGUUAUCCCAGGUUGCCCAACAACAAUGGCUUAUCAAUAUGUAGUUAAAUUGCCAGAUCAGAUAUAUGUGGUCAAGCUACUACGUUGCAGUCAAGCUGCUAGAAUGGAUAUGUGGUUAAGCCACUAGAUAGUACAGAUAAUUAAACUACCAGAACUUCCUCCUUACCAUAUUAACCCAACCCUAUGCAAUGUGACGUGGCAUGCAAAUAGAGAAUCAAAAUAGUAAGCAUGUUGAACAUGCAUUCGUAUUUUUAGCAUAAACCAGUAAGCAUGCAAUUUCAUGCUUUGCAGAACAGAUAUAUCAGAUUUCAUUUACAAGCCAUUUUAAUCAGAAAAGCCACUAUGUCGCAUGCUACAGAAAUUGAACAAAAACAUAACUUAUCAAUAGUCAUAUAUACUUAACUAACCAGAACAUACCAAUAAUGUUCACUAAUUUAUAUAUCACAACCACAUUUUAUAAGGAAACAUACCUUCAGAUUUUAUGCAAUCAUAUCAGAAAAAUAGUUUCCACCAUACAUAUCACUUAUCAAACCUACAGAAUCACUAACCUCGAAACGCAUUUCAAAACACGACCCUAACUAAAAUUUAUAAAAAAUAGGCCCAACACGCUCGUGUGACCCACAUGACCCAAUUGGCCCAACCCGUGUGGCCCACACGGCCUAGCAUACGCCCUUGUGGCCCACACGUCCCAAGUAAUCCAGUUCGUGUGUCCCACACGAUCUGACACAUGGUCGUGUGAUAACAACAGUGAAUUUUAGACAUCGUGUCGUUCAGUAUUUUUCGAGAUUAUCAUUACACACCUUAGAAUUUUUUUAUGUCAACCCAACAGCAACAGUUCCAGCACCUAAAACGAAACCCACGAACAAUCAAUCACACAACUAUACACCCUAACUCAAUCCGUCAAUAACUAACACACUCCAUAACACUAUCUCGAAUAAGCACUAACUAGCCCUCCAAAAACAAACAUUUCGCACACUUACCUCUAAAGAAAAGAUUGUCAAUACUCAACUUGUUAGAGGGAUGCAAAAGUUAAGUUUUUUAAUUAAAUGGGCUAAAUGAAUAAUUUAACCCAUGUGAGUUAAAUUAGUGGAUUUAAAUGAUGAUGUGCAUAUGUGGAUAGUUUAAUGAGGCUUAAUAUUGAUUAAUUAAGAUUUAAUUAAGAAAGUUGAUAUAUUUACAAAAAAACCAAUGUAUAUAUAUUAAAUUAAAGCUAAAAUUAAAAUGAGAUUUUUCUUUUUCUUUUCUAUUCAUCUUCUCCAUGACAACAAAGCCAAAACUAGGGUUUUCAUGCUUGAAAUUUUGAAGCUUAAAUUGGUAAGUGAAACUUAUCCCGUUUUUAGUGAUUUUUAUGUUGUUGAGCUUGUAUUAGCUUAAUCUAGCUAACUCGAGGACUAAUUUGUGAAACGGUUAAAUGUGUUUGAGCAUUCUUGAAAUUUUAUGGAAGGUUAUUGAUUAUAAUUGUUAGAUAAGACUAUUUUGUAAAGUAGUUUUUGAUGAUUCUAAGGUUUAAGGAUUAAAUUGUUAAAGUGAUAAAAUUAUAAGGACUUGUUAAAAUAAAAAUUUCAAAAAUGGGCUACAUUAAGGUCAUUGAAUAUUCGACUGACCUUGAAUUUAAUAAAAUGGGUUAAUUUGCAUGAUUUGAGGCUUAAGUACUAAAUUGAACGAAAGUGAAAAGUUUAGGGAAAUUUUGUAAAAUGUCAAUAAGGGCUUUAAUUUCACAAAAUGAUUUAACUUUUGUUUUUCACUUAGUUAAUUGAAUGGAAAUAUUAUUUUAGAUCAAGAACGUGUUGACAAUUGCAAAAGAAAAAAGGUUUCGGAGUAGUCCUCGUACUUGAGCUUUAACUGGAAAAUGGUCCUAUAAGUUCGUGUAGUUAUUUUUAUAUUGCAUUUAUUUUAAUUCAUCUAAGUUAUGAAUAUAUUCAAUGUCAUACUUGACUUUGGAAUGAUUAAAGAUGGCAUGAUAAAUGAGUAUGAAUAUCAUCUAAGUUAUAAAUAUCAUCAGGCCUUGAACCGAUGAUACAGACUAUAGCGAUGGCUAAGAUUCUGCAUUUGUUACAGAUUCUCUAUAGCUUGUGUGAGAAGCAUUGUGAGCCAGGUGAUUAAUUUUAGCAGGUACUAUGUACCGGUGAUAUAGACAGUAAUGAUGGCUUAAGAUCCUACAUCUGUUGCGGAUUCUCUACACCUUGUGUAAGCAGCAUUGUGAGUAGGUCAAAACUCUAAAAUUAAACUCAAAUGAGUGAUACCUUCUGAUUAUCUGAGAUUAGAUCUUAUUAAUGCAAUGAUUGAGAAUGUAAUGUGAAUUAACGCACUAUGUAAUACUCACAUAUUGUGAGUUGUGUUUGAUAGGAACUUUGUUUUUAAAUCUAUAAUUUGGUUUGUUGUGUUAAUGUGGUAAGAUUUAUUGUUAAUUUAGUGAACUUACUAAGCUUCAAAUAAGCUUAUCCGUGUCUUGUAUUUUAUUUUGUAGAUUACAUUUUGUGAUCGAGAGAUCAGAUUAAGUCGCAGAAUCACACUAUCCCGAAGACUCUUUUGGUAGAUUUUUUAAACAUUUGGCUUAUAUGGCAUGUAAUAGGGCUAAUGGUUAUUAUGAUAUAUUUCAUAGCUAUGUGGUGUUUGGUACUUGAUGAUAGAAUGGUAGGCUUUGUAGUAUGGUUGUUAAACUUUAGGUAUAUUUGAGUAUGAGACUAUGAAAUGGUAGAUGUCAUAUUAUGUAGGUAUGGUGUGUUUGAAAUGGGCUAGUUUGGUGUAUGUGAUGGCUUAUAGAUGAUUGUUUUGAUAAUUAGUAACAUGAGCAUUAAAAUGUGUUUGGUAUAUGAUACUUCGUACGGUGCUAGGUUAUUGAAAAUGACAUGUUUUGGUUGUUAAAAGAUGUGUUUAUAGACUUGUGAACAUGUAUUAUGAAUUGGUUUAGGUGCCUAUGUAUUUAGGUGAGGAAAUAACAUGAACUUGGUCAUUUUUUGGACACACACGGCCUGGGACAUGGGCAGCCCACACGGGCGUGUGAACCAAGUCAGUGAGUCACACGGGCUAGCACACGGGUUGACACAUCGGCGUGUGAACUAAGUCAAUGAGUUACACGGGUGAGCACACGGUUGGACACACGGGUAUGUGGUAUAACUACACGACCAUGUUAGAGCCACACAGUCUAGGCUCUGUCACACGGCCUGGGCUCUGUCUUACGGCCUAAGACAUGGCUGUGUAACCCCUAUAAAUGAAAUUUUUUAAUUUAUCCAGAAAUGCUCUAAUUUGUUCUGAUUUGGUCCUUGUUUGCUUGAAAAAUAUUUUUAAGGCCACGUUGGCUCGAUUUAAGGCCCAUAAAUACAUGAUUAUUCCAUUUUUAGUUUCUUAUGUAUUUAUUAAAUUAAAUUGAAAAAUUAAUUGCUAUUAGUUAUAAAAUGUUUCGUUUUGUACAGUAAUAAUUCGUAACUCUAUUUCAGUAACGGAAACGGGAUAGGAGUGUUACAAUAAAUAUAUUUUAACAAUAACCACCCAUAUCCCCACUAAAUCCACUAAUUAACCACUAUCAGAUUUCUCAAAAUUCAAAUUUAACCCAGCUACAUCCAUAUGGGCGACAUAGGCAAGAAAUUGCAAAAAUUUUCCCAUUUGCACAUGCAAGGAUUCAAACACAGGAUCAAAGGGUAAGCUAAAGUCUUACCACUGAACCAACAAGCUCAUUGUUAUCACAAUUGAGCAAAAUUAAAUAUAAGCUUAACAUUUAAGGUCAAGGGUUAGAACUAAAAUAGCAAAAAUCGAAGAAAGGGAUUCGAACCUACACCCUUUCACACACAAGCACAAAACUUAUCCACUGAACUAGAUUAGUUCCCUUUUACGCAAUUAUACAACAUUUAACUAAAAAAACCAAUGCAUAACCACUCUCUCAGUUCACUAAACCAAUUUCUACUAACUCAAUUUUUAGGAUGUGACAACAGUUAUGUCUGUCAAGACUAUUCCUUUUAAAGAGGAAACUAUUACGAGUAUAACCACCAUAGAGUCAGUUCCGUAGGGAAACAUUAUGUAAAAGAAACCAUAAACUCGAAUGGUCAUUUAGAUAAUAGUCCACUGGAUGCUGCAGACUAAACGGUCCAUCGCAGAUGGACAUGUUAUACUCGAAAAGUAAUGAAUCACAAACAGGGCGUAUUACGAGAAAGUAAUCCAAACUACCUUUCAACCCGAGUGAAGUAUGAAAUGAGAUUUAGCUCGUCACAGAGGCGUGGGCCCUCAUUAGUUAACUUGGCAAAUGUGAUGUCAGCAAGUCUUUCAGGACCAUGGUAAGGAAAGGAAGUCCGCCAAGGACUAGUCAGAUUUGGAUUGUUCUCCAAGGAGGACAUAACCAAAGAGUCCUUAGGAUGGAAGUUUAGGAGGAACCGUACUAGUAAACAAUCACCAAAACUUGUAAUUAAGGAGUAAACAUAAAAGUUAUUAGUAGAUGGAUAUUCUGAACAUGGGAUGGAUGAAAGUAGGAGUGUGUAGAAAGGAUAGAGUCUGCAAUUAUAGUGAGACAUAUGAGAAACUACCAAAACUAGUCGAAUGGUGAUUGGAUUGACCAGGGGAAGACUGUUGAACGAUCAUCUGGCAAUAUAUAAGUUCGGAAAAUGAAUAGAAGUCUACCAUUCCAGAUUCAAAGAAAUUGCCCAAAACGUCCAAUGAGUUAAACAUGCUUUGUUUUUUUCAUUUAUUACCCGUGCAAAAUGGGGUCUGUUUUUAAGUAGUGCAGUAAAGAAACUCACUAAGUUCUUUUGAACUUACAAAAUUUUGGCCUAUGUUUGCAAGAUUUGUUGGUUGAUUAAGGAUCUUGAGGAGGGACCAAGCUAGACCGUGUUAGAUCGAGAAUCAUCGUCAAUAUGGUGUCAUGCACAUAGAGAGGGGUACCUUCAAAGGCUUCGCCUUAGGGUCGAAUAUAUUGUAACUAAAUAGUUUCCUUAGAGUCUGGAAUUUUGAGAUAGUAAACUUUUAUUUUAAUAAGAAUACUUAUUAAUAACUUAUAAAGUCUGUCUUUAAAUAGUUAAGUUUAAAAUUUGUGGUUAGAACCGAUCCAGUUCAUUUGUGACACUUCAUACCCGAAUUCGACGAUCGGGUCGGAUUCGGUAAUAUAUCUUACCAUUACACUCAACACUUGUUAAUAAAAAAAUUUAUUUAUUAAUACAUUAUAAUUGACAGUAUUCAAAUUAAAUUUUUAUCUAAUAAAUCAUAGGGAACUUUUAAACUUUAUUUAUUUUCUAAAAGAUGAAAGUUAUUUUUUUAGUAAAACAUUACUUUCAUUAACCAAUAAAUUAUGUUUCAAAUUUUUUCUCCAAACAAACUUAAUAUAUGUUUUUUUUUUUCCGGAGUUACUUGUUCAUUCAAAUUGGACUGAAUUUGAGAUAGAGGUUAGCAAUGUUCCGACCUUAUCGUAUAUAUGUAUAUAUAUAUAUAUAUAUCAACUGCUAUAUAAAUAAUUAGAAUUUACACAAUAUUUACUUCGAAGUGAAAAAAGUAUUUUUUGUUAAAAUAUAAAUUCUUUUGUUAAAAAUAAUUAUAUUUUAAAAGAAAUAAUGUGUGUUACCAUUGCGCUUAAAAUUUGUUAGUUUAUAAUGAAUGUUUUGAUAUUUUUAUAAAAGAGUUGGUGUUAAAAGGUGGACAAUACAGCAGAGCGGGGUGAUUUUUUUAGGUAUCGUGACCCAACCCGAUUUUUAUACCUCUCACCCCUAGCACUUAAAUUUUUCUUUCCCUACCCCAAAGGAGCUUGCUAGAUCCUGUCCAACUCGCCCCAAAAUUUUAAUAAUAUUUUAUAAUAUAUUAUUUUUUACAAAGGUAACAACAUAUAUAUUAGAAAAUAUUAUAAAUUAAGAAAUUAUAACAAAAUAUAUAAAUUAAGAUUUAUAAAAUUAAAAGGGUUAUUUUUAUAAAUAUAUUAAGAUGGAGUAGAUUUUUCUUAAACACGAACCCAAAAAAAUUAAUGAAAAGAGACUGACUUGCUCUGCCCCAAAACUUGUUCUUUAAAAUAAAAACCCACCUUAUCAAUUUGUUACAAAUUAAAACGUUUCACCCAUAGCACCAAAAGACCUUAAUAAUAAUACGAAUUAAAAAAUAUUUUUAUUUAAAUUCUACUCAAAAAAUCCGUUUACAUAAAUUAAAACUAAUUAACUACAUAGUCGAAUCAAAAUCAAGUAUUAUAAUCAUCCAACUCAAGUCAAACUCACUAACUAAAUUAAUUUCUACUAUAAUUUUCACAGGGAUAGAUUCAAACAUGUGCCCCGAAGAGGGAAGAAGGAAAAAGAAAGACAAUAUGUGAAAAAAAAGAAGAGGAUAAAUCUUCACGCAAAGCUUACUCGCUUCUCUAAAUCCAAAAUUUACUUCAAAUAACAACAUUCCUUGUUGCUGAUGAUUGCAUAACUACUAAUUCAUAAUGUUAAAAACCACCUACUCAUGUUCCUAUUGUUUCAAAAAAGUACCUAUUUAUCCAAUGACAUAGAUAAAAUAAUAACAAGAGGAUAACUGAAUUUUAUUUUUAACCUGUAUUGAUUGUUUUUGGAAAGGGAAUGUGUGCGAGUUGUUUGUUUCAAGAAUAGGCUCGAUUCAUCCCGUUAUACUUUUUUUCAUCAUAACUAGGAAAUAAAAGAGUGCAUGAUCCCGUGAAUUACUUCUAAAUAUUUUUUUUUCAAAAAAAUCAUAUUUAAGAACCAUAACAUUUCAUGAUUCAUUGGUACAUCAACUUCGAUUCUCUAUUAACCAAUAAUUUGGGACCAUUAUCAUGGUGAAGGUCAAACCUUUUGAAGUUCAGAUGUGGCAGGAUACUCUUUCUACUACUGUGUUACUAAAUACAAAAUAAUUUCAAAACAAAAAUAUUUUUGAUAUAAAACACUCAUACCAAUAAAACGAUUUGAGCACCUUUUUCCAAUGCUCAAUUGAUAUCCUAUGUAUAAAGGGAGAAGAAUUAUUUGAAUUUGAAGGGAAAAAAAAAGAAACAAAUUUGUUGACAAAAUACAAUUAUACAUUAUACAAUUCUAAGUACAACUUUUUAGUUUUUGAUAUAUUUUCUAUUUUGGUCAAAAAAAUCCUCUUAAUAUUCUAGUAUUGGAUUAGUAAUCAAUUUUGAUAUUUUGGAAUAUGAGUAUAGACGAGAAGGAGAGGGUAAGCUCAUUACAUUAAAAAGGAUAUGGGAAUUAAUUCCCAAUAAAUAAGAAAUAAUUGAUCAUGAGAGCCAAAAGAAUCAAAAGGUUCAUAUUUGGUUUGGGAAGGGAUCAUGAAAUUUUUUAAAUUAAAAAAAAUGGAUGGAAAGAUAAUCUACUUUCAUUAAGUGAUUUAUUAGAUAAUAAGAAAGAGAAUCUUAAAUACUAUUUGAAAUUCAGAAGAACUAUACAGGGGGAGCUAUUGAAUGGUUGGAAAAGGCCCAAGCCCGUUUACGAAAAGUAGAAAUGGAAGCAAAUCAAUUUCGAGUGAAUGGAUACUCUAAGAUAGAACGAGAAAAAUUGAAUUUAAUUAAUUCAACUUAUACGAUUUUGGAACUAUUAGAAAAUCACAAAAAUAAAGCUAUUUAUUUUGAACAACAAAGAGUGAUUAAUCAAGUUUGACAAUGGGUUUUCCAACAAGCUUUACAAGGAGCUCUAGGAACUCUGAAUAGUUCUUUAAACAACGAGUUACAUUUACACAUCAUUAACGCUAAUAUUGGAUUGUUUGGGUUGAUGAAAAAAAAUUAGUUAGCCCUUUUUUUUACCUUUUACUUUAUUGAAUUAAUCAAAUUCAAUUUUUCUUGUUCUAUCUUAGAGUAUCCAUUCACUCGAAACUGAUCUGCCUCCAUUUCUACUUGCCAUAAGCGGGCCGAGGCCUUUUCCAGCCGUUCAAUAGCCCCCCGGUAGUUCUUUUGAAAUUCGAAUAGUAUUCAAGAUGUUCUCUUUUCGAUUAUUUAAUAAAUCACUUAAUGAAAGUAGAUUAUCUUUCCAUUCAUUUUUUUUAUUUCAAAAAUUUCAUGAUCCCUUCCAGAACCAAACAUGAACCUUUCGAUUCAUUUGGCUCUCACGCUCAAUUAUUUCUUAUUUAAGUAUUUUUUCCAAAAAAUAAUUAGGAAAUACUCAUGGUAACUAUUACAACUGACAAAGUUAGUAAAUUAUCCGUGAACAUAUUGAGCAAUAUAAUAGAGAAGUAAAGAUUGUAAAUAUAAUAGAGAAGUAUCAUACUUCAAGUGGGCGACGACAUUACUCGUAUUCAUGGUCUUGAUGAAGUAAUGGCAUGUGAAUUAGUAGAAUUUGAAGAGAGUAUUAUAGGCAUUGCCCUAAAUUUAGAAUUAAAUAAUGUUGGUGUUGUAUUAAUGGAUGACGGUUUGAUGAUAUUAAGAGGGAAGUUCUGUAAAAGCAACAGAAAAAGUUGCUCAGAUACUAGUGAGUGAGGCUUAUGUGGGUUGUGUUAUAAAUGCUCUAGCCCAUUGGCAUCGGGGUGAAAUUUUAACUUCUGAGUUGUGGUUAAUUGAAUCUCCUGUCCCAAGUAUUAUUUUGAAAAAUUCCGUUUAUAAACCUCUUUAAACAGUACUUAUUAAAUUAAAAUUAUUAAAAUAUAAAAGUAAAAACAUUAAAUUUGUAAUUAAAAAAAAUAUUAGAAAAUAUAAACAAAAGAGAAAACAAAAAUAAAAGUAUAAUUAUUAUUGAGAAAAAAAGUUGAAUUCCAAUAAAGACUUGGUCCAACAACAAAGUUAGGUGAGGAAAACUAUCAUACCAACUUAGUUGAUAUCCUUACCAUAUUAUGUUACCUAAUUUCAAAAUGAUUAUUUAUAUUAUGUUUCAUUGAACUUACAUAAAUUAUAAAUUAUAACUUAGCAAUAUCCGUCCUGCUCUGUUUAAAUUAUCUUAACCUUCCUGAAUCGGUAGAGUUUUCUUUCAUUUCAAUAUGCAUUAAUGUAAUUAAAAAAAUGUAAAAAUAAUUAUCUGUGAUUUGAUGGAUAGCACAUAUGGAACAUACCGGGACAUGUCAUCUCUCAUGAAAAUAACCUAAUAAAUAAUUGAAUUAACCAUUAUUUUCCCAUUAAAUGAAAGGAUGAUGCAUCCAGGCUGUGAUUGAAAGUCUUGGGUAAUAAUAUCUACUGAAAAUCGGGAAACAGCUUUAUUUUUUUUUUAAAAAAUUAAAUUUUAAAAUAAUUUUGAAUACUUUUAUUUUUCCCAACUAUUGAAUAUUUGAAUUUUAUCCCAUGUUAUUUUAAUUUAAAUGUCAAGCCUCAAAAUAUAGGAAAUUAAUUGAAAUAAAUAACUAAAGAAUUAAGUAAUCUUAAUGAUUAAGUAGUUAGUACAAUUUUAAAAGAUCCUAAGUUUAAGUCACUUCUUACCCAUUUCUUUUUCUUUAAUUUUCGACAAACUAUGAUAAAAAUUAUACUAAAAUAAAUAUUGUUUGGAGUAAAAAUUAAAUUAGAAUAAGCUAAGGCUUAAUGGUUAACACGUCACUCCAUCCCCAAAAUCUAUUUUAUUUUUUAAGGCAAUAGUAAAUUACCAUGCACCCCUAAAAGUUUGAAAACUCUAGGUAUUUAGCCAUUUUUCUAAUUACAAUUGAAUUAUAGCUUUUUUUUUUCCAAACCAAACUAUAUUUUUGCUUUCUUUUUCCUCUUCUUUUUUGCAAAAUAUUUUCUCUCCAUUCCUAAAAUUAUUUUUGCUUCCCGCUCACAAAAGGGCUCAAACACAAGACCUUAGGCAAGCUAACACCUUACCACUUAAACCAGCAGACUCAUUCUGAUACGAGUUUACCGAAGAUAAAAUAUAAGCGCAAUCACUAAGGAAUAUGUUAAGAUAAAAAAUAGCAUAAUUUCUAGCAGUGGGACUUAAACCCAAGACCUCAAACAAACACCCAUAUAACUUAACCACUAAAGUGGAUACUUAUUUAUUUAUCAGAAUUCACAAAAACAAAGUUAAAUAAAUUAGGGUGUUACAACUCUACCCCUCUAAAGUUAAAUAAAUUAGGGUGUUACAACUCUACCCCUCUAAAAGAAAUUUCAGCCUCGAAAUUUACCUGGUCCAAAUAGAUGAGGUUACUACUGACGAAUCAAGUCUUUAGGUUCCCAUGUGGCUUCCUCAGUACCAUGAUUCUACCACAUAACCUUAACGAACGAAAAAGUCUUCCUCCUCAAAACCAUUACAUCUUGAUCCAAAAUCUGAACUAGCUCCUCCUCAAAUGUCAAAUUUGGCCUAACCUUGAUCUCCUCAACAGAAAUAUCGUGAGAUGGGUUAGACCGAUACUAUCUCAAUAUAGAGAUGUGAAAUACAUCAUGGAUACGGUCUAACUUUGGAGGUAACUCCAACUGAUAAGCAAUCAGUCACACACGCUUCAAAAUCUGAUACGGCCUAAUGAACCUAGGGCUUAACAUGACCUUACGUCCAAACUGUAGAGCUUUAUUCCACGGAGACACUUUAAGGAAAAUAGAGUCACUUACAGAGUACUCGAUAUCCCUCCUUUUUAGAUCUGCAUAAGACUUUUGUCUAUCAGAAGCUUCCUUAAGACGAUCCUGAAUUAAUCUGACUUUGUCUUCAGUCUUGAAAACUAGUUCAGGACCCAAAACUCGUUGUUCACCCAAUUAAGUCCAAUACAACAGAGUACGACACUUACGACCAUACAAAGCCUUAUAAGGUGCCAUCUAGAUGCUAGACUGAAAACUGUUGUUAUAAGCGAACUCGACUAACUAUAGAAAAUCCUCCUAACUCCUUCGGAAAUCAAUCGCACAACUCCAAAGCAUAUCCUCCAGUAUUUUAAUCACCCUUUCAGAUUAACUAUCGGUCUGAGGAUGGAAUGCAGUACUAAAGCCCAAUCUCGAACCCAAAGUCUCAUGAAGUUUUUUUCCAAAACCGAGAAGUGAAACGAGGAUCUCUAUCAGAAAUUAUCAAAAUUGGAACCCCGUGAAGCUUUACAAUCUCAGAAAUGUAGAGCUUGGCCAACUUUUGCAGUAAAUAAUUUGUCCAAACUGGAAUGAAAUGGGUGGACUUGGUUAACUGAUCCACGAUGACCCAAACAAAAUCCUUCUUAGUAGGUGUUAAAGGCAACCCACUAACGAAGUCCAUAGUUACAUGUUCCCAUUUCCAUAAGGGAAUCUUAACGAGUUAAGAAAAUUCUCCUAACUCCCUCGGAAAUCAAUCGCACAACUCCAAAGCAUAUCCUCCAGUAUCUGAAUCACCCUUUUAGAUUGAUUAUCGGUCUGAGGAUGGAAUGAGUACUAAAGUCCAAUCUCGAACCCAAAGUCUCAUGAAGUUUUUUCCAAAAUCGAGAAGUGAAACGAGGAUCUCUAUCAGAAAUUAUCAAAACCGGAACCCCGUGAAGCCUUACAAUCUCAGAAAUAUAGAGCUUGUCCAACUUUUGCAGUGAAUAAUUUGUUCGAACUGGAAUGAAAUGGGUGGACUUGGUUAACUGAUCCACGAUGACCCAAACAAAAUCCUUCUUAGUAGGUGUUAAAGGCAACCCACUAACGAAGUCUAUAGUUACAUGUUCCCAUUUUCAUAAGGGAAUCUUAACGAGUUGGAGCAAACCCGAAGGCAACUCGCACUCAACCUUAACUUGCUGACACGUUAAAUAACGAGAAACAAAAUCUGUUACCUCUCAUUUCAAACCUGACCACCAGUAUGGUUGACGGAGAUCCUGAUACAUCUUAUUUCCACCAGGAUACAUAACAUAAGGGCUACUAUGUGCUUCUCUCAAAAUCGGCUAUCUCAAGUCAGAGUCGUUCAGUACACAAACCUGUCCUCAAAAAAAAUAGAACCCCAUCACUAUUUAGCCCAAAAUCAGACGUACUACCACUCUGUACCUGACAGAAAUGCGAAACUAGAGAAUCAUCCCUCAAUUGUUUAUCUUGAAUUUGAUCAAUCCAAGUCGACUUAACUUGCAACUCAUCCAAUAAACUCCCAUCCUCAAAUAGACUUAGGCGAGCAAACAUCUCCCUCAGAUCAGACAUUACUCUAUGACUAAGAGCAUCGACCACUACAUUAGCCUUACCAGGAUGAUAUUCUAUCGUGCAUCUUGGAGGGAAUAAGAUGUAUCGAUAUGUAAAGGAACUAUACUGGUGGCCUGGGCAGAAACGAUACGUGAUAGAAUUUGUAGCUAAGUGACUAAAUGUGUCAACAAGUGAAAGCUAAACACCAGUUUACUUCAACUAAUCAAAAUAUCUUAGUGGAAGUGGGAGCGAAUAAUGAUGGACUUUUUUAGUGGGUUACCCUUAACACCCAGUAAGAAAUAUUCAAAUUGGGUGAUAUUAAACCGAUUAAUUAAGUCAGCUCAUUUCUUACCUGCUCACUCAGGCUAUUCUUUACAAAAGUUGGUUAAGUUGUAUAUUUCAAAAAUUGUAAGACUUCAUGAAGUGCCAGUAUCAAUCAUAUCAUAUCGAGAUCCUCGUUUUACAUCUCAAUUUUGGAAAAAGCUUUACGAGGCACUAAGUACUCAUUUAGAUUUUUGUACUAUCUUCCAUCUGCAAACUGACGAACAAUCUGAACUAGUUAUUCAAGUAUUGGAAAAUAUGCUAAGAGGCUGCAUUAUUGGAUUCUGAGGUAGUUGGGAGGACUAUUUUCCUCUACCAUAAUUCGCCCAUAACAAUAGCUUUUAAUCAAGUAUAGAAAUGGCACCCUAUGAAGCCUUGUAUGAUCAAAAGUGUCGAACACUACUAUGUUGGACCAAACUAGAAGAAAGGAAAAUUUUGGGUCUAGAAAUGAUACAGAAAUCUGAGGGGAAAAUUAAAUUGAUUCAGGAUAGACUGAAAGCGGCUUUGGAUAGAUAGAAUUCAUAUGUGGACCUAAAAAGAAAAGACAUUGAAUAUAGUGUCAAAGAUCAAGUUUUUAUAAAAGUGUCCCCUUGGCGGGAGGUGUUAAGAUUCAGGAGAAAGGGCAAGUUAAACCCUAAGUUCAUUGGACCUUAUAGAAUUCCUAAAAGAGUCGAUCCAGUAGCGUAUCAAUUAGAAUGGCCUCUAGAACGAGAUUGUAUUCUUGAUGUAUUCCACAUCUCCAUGUUGAGAUGUUAUCAAUCUGACCAUUACCAUAUCGUUCUUAUAGAAGAGAUCGAGGGGAGACCGAAUUUAUCCUUUAAGAAAGAACCCGAAAAAAUCUUAAAUUGUGAGGUAAAAUUUUUUAGAAGGAAAUAAAUCCCUCUUGUAAAAGUUCUAUGGUGGAACCAUAGCAUGGAAGAGGCCAAUUAAUAACUGGAAGAAGCGUUUCAUCAACAGUAUCCGCAUUUGUUCAAACUAGGUAAAUUUCAGGGGCAAAAUUUCUUGAAGGAGGGGAAAGUUGCCAUGCCCCAAAAUAUAGGGUGUUAAUUGAAAUAAAUAACUAAGGAAUUAAGUAGGCUUGAUGGUUAAGUAGUUAGUGCACUCUUUAGAGAUCCUAAGUUUAAGCUACUCCUCUUCCAUUUCUUUUUCUUUAGUUUUUAGCAAACUAUGAUAAAAACCAUACUAAAAUAAAUAAUAUUUAGAGUAAAAACUAAACAAGAAAUAGGCUUAGGCCUAAUGGUUAACACGCCACACAUCUCCCUUACAUACCUGAGUUCUUGCCUCUCCAUCCCCAAAAUCCAUUUUAUUUUUGGCAGUAAGGGUAAAUUACCAUGAAGCCCCCUAAACGUUUCAAAACCCUAGGCAUGUUUAGCCCUUUUCCUAAUUGCAAUUGAAGUGUAGCUUCCUUUUCCAAACUAACUAAAUAUUUUCUUUCUUUUUCCCUAUUUCUUCUCAUUUUUCUUUUCCAUCUUCUUAUUUGCAAAAUAUUUUCUCUUCAUUGCGGAAAUUAUUUUUGCUUCCCAAAUCAAAGUCAAUUCCCAUUUGAAUUGCUUUUCUACUGGUCGUUGAUUUUACCAUUGGAAGCAUCUAUUUCUUUUCAUCCAAGAUCGGUAAGUAUGCCUUGUUUCAAUGAUCAAAUCUCGUAAUUCCCGUGUUAGUAAUGAAUAGCGUAAAUCUUUGUUCGGUUAGAUAAAUUUUUGCAUAUUCUUGCCUAAAUCUUGAGUAAAAUCUUGAGUAAAUCUUGUCAAUCUUGGAAAAACUCAUUAACUCGUGUAUAAAUGUCGUUUGAAUUACUUGUUUAGGUGGAUCAAAUCAGAUUUGAUCGCGAUGAACGUCAAUCGGGCUCCCGGCGAAAGGUGUGUUUUUUUACAAGCGAAUUAAGGCAAAUCAUGUCUAGGAAUAGGGCCACAAGGUCUCCCACACAUGUGUGUGGACUACACGAGUGGAACACAUGAUCCCUCACACGACCAUGUGCCUUGGAAACCCUAGUCUAGUUUGAAUCUCACACGGCCAUGAACCUUCCACACGACCGUGUCCCUCUUGUUAGUUAACUUUGCAAUUGCCAUACGACCAUAGUUUGUAACACGGCUUAACCAUACGGCCUAUAGCCUCUCACACGGCCAUGUGACCCUCUAUUUAGAAUUUUUCCUAGAAUUUUGUGAAUUGAUCAAAUUUAGUCCUCAAUAGUCCCCAAACCAUUUUUAGUGUUUUGUCUCAUUCAAUUGAGUCCUUGAUAUUAUUAAUAAUGUUGGAAUCCAUGAUCUGAUUGUCUAAAUUGUUACUAUAUAUGCAUGAUAUGUGAUUGGUUCAUGUUUACUGAUAAAUUGUUACUGUUACUUGUACCAUUGUGUUUCCAAUUGCAUGAUCAACAUGACUACUGUUACUAAUAAAUUGAAUACAUGUCAUACAUGGUCACUACUACUAUUAAUUUGAAUACAUGCUAAGCAUGUUUACUAUUUUUGUACUUUACUGUUACUAGCAUGUCACAUUGCAUUGCAUGGGGUGAGACAAUUGAAAAGAGGAAGUACUGGCAGUUUAUUUGCAAACAUUGGUGAUUUAUCCACAAAUUUACUAGCAGCUUUUAUUUGCAAACCCAUUGUGCAUUCACAACCUAUUGGCAACAUAUUAACCUACAAACACAGGUGGUUUAUCCAUAAAUUUACUAGCAGCUUUUAUCUGCAAACCCAUUGUGCAUUCAUAACCUAUUGGCAGCAUAUUAACCUGCAACACUAAUGGUUCAUCCACAAGUUGGAGUGUCCGGGUUAAAAGAGUUCUGGGAAACUCUUACUGUGGAGUGUAGCGGUGGGGUAAGACCUUUCUUUUCUGUUAAACUGAAAUUGCAUUCCAUUGACACUCAUAAGCAUGCAUGAAUGAACUGUCAAAAUCCUACUAUACUGUAUGAUUGUUACUGCACUGAAAAUUGUUAUAAUGUAUGCUUGGUAAUGUUCUGCACUGUUUUACUUUUGAUAGAACUCACACUGAGCUUUCCAGCUCACUACCCUUUAAUUACAUCUUUAUAGAUAACCCACCAGGUUAGGACGCGAGCACGACAUCCGGAGGGACACGGCUCAGAUUUUUUUUUCUUUUUUAUUAUUAUAUUAUUUUAGAGUUAUAGUUCGAUAUUUUAUUAUUUAGAGGAUGUAAUGUUUUAGUUUUGAAUUGUGGCAUGAGACUUAAGAUUUGGGGUUUUUAUUGCAUGCAUGACAUUUUAUUUGAUGUUAGGAUGUUGAAAUAUGCAUUAUAAUUAGCUAUGCACGAAAUAUGAUUUUUACUAGAACUAGUUUAAUUAUCACUUUUCCGCUACUAAAUUAUAACUAAAAUUUUAAGUAAUAAAUAAACUAGAAAUUAGCUAAGUUUUCAAAAAUAAUCACCAUUACAUAGGAAAGUUAAUCUAAACUGGUUUUUGGCUACUCAUGCUAAGUCUUUCAGAUUUUGAACUCUUAAGUUCGGUUCUCACUAUGCUCAAUGUCAUGGGUGGGUUUCCUCUCAAAUAUUAUAUAUUUAAGUCCUAUCAUGUCUAAGUAUUGUUCAGCUUUAUUUUGAUUUAAAUCUGUUACUAAUUUUUAAUCCAUUGUGUUUUGUGUAUCUUUAAAAAAAUUUAUGAAAAUUUCUUACAUAUAAUUCUACUAUAUCAAACUUUUUGUGUAAUAUUCCACAUUAAGGGUGUAUUUUAUGCAAAUUAAAAGUUAACCACUGACUCACAUAAAAAUAGAUGCUCGGGUGUCCUACCCACAAGUUUCUAAUGAGUCGCACUUUAUUAAAAAGAAAAUUGUAUUUGGGAGGUGUUAUUAUAAAGAUUUGAUUAAUUUUUUUUACUAUUAAAUGAAACAUUUUAAUCUUUAUAUUAUUAAGAAUAAUCAAAUAAUACUAAACAGAGAUAGAGUUAAUAUUUCUAAAAUUUUUAUGGUUACGUAAAUGAAAUCUUUUAUUUGAAAUUAAGGGUCUGUUUGAUUGCCAGUAAAAUAUUUUCGUAAAAUGAUUUCUGGAAAAUGUUUUACUUUUCUGUAAAAUGAUUUACUGGAAAAUAUUUUCUGGUGUUAGAUUGGAUCUGUGUAAAAUAUUUUCUGCUGCUUGGCAGAUUUUUUGAAAAUAUUUUUCGGAAAAGUUGUUUUUACAUAUAUUAAUAUAUAUUAAUAAUUUUUUAUAUUUUAAAUUAUUUUUACAUAUAUUGCAAUGAUUUAUUUAUAAUAAUACCCAAUUAUUAAGCUACAAUAUUAAUCGUUAUAAAUUGAAAAAAAUAAUAUCAAAUAAAUUAUUUGUAAUUGUGUUAAAAAAAUAAGUAUUGAAUAAUUAAAAAAAAGUUACUGGAAAAUCGAUAAACAGAAGCAGUUUUCUACCGGAAAUGAAGGAAGGAAUGAAGGAGGAGAUAGAGAGGAGAGCACGGAAAAUGUCUUACGGAAAUUGAAAGGGUAAGACAUUUUCCCUAAAAUAUAACCCAUUUUCCCUUGUUUUGGAGUUCAUUUUUCAAAUGGAAAAUGUUUUCCGCCAAUCAAACGCUGGAAAAGUUAGAAACGAUUUUUCGGAAAAUCAAUUCCGUCAAUCAAACAGACCCUAAAUUGCAAUUGAAAAUAUCAAGUCCGUUAUAAUUUAAGGACUAAAUUGAUUUAUAUAAUAAUAAUCGUACGUCGAAUUCUUAGUUACUUUAACCUUAAGAAAAGUAUAAUUUGUUUCAUAAUGCUCCUCCUUUAUGUUCCUUUCUUUUUCACAAAUUUUCUUUUAGAAACUUUAUUUUCACAAUUUUAUUUAUUUAUCUCUCUAAAUUGCUGCACAUGUACAUUUAUUUCAGUAUACAAUGUCCCUGACAUGGGUCUUAAUUAAAUCUUGAAUAACGAUCGAGCUGUACAAAUUGGAAAUUGGUGGCAUAUAACAUACGUAAAAUUGGAAUGUCAUACUGAUCAGGUAAAAUUAGAUCAAUUCGAUUGUUUAUUAAUUUUAAAAAAAAAGAUUCUUUUUAUUAAAUUUUUAAAAAAUACAAAUAAUUAUAAGAUUUAAACGUUUGACCUCAUUUGUUAAAAAUAUUAUUGGUUAAUAAAGCAAUUGUAUAUUUUAUUAGAAAUUUAUUACGAUAAAGAUUCACAUUUAAUAUUAAAAAAGUUGUCUAAAUAUGUCGAUUGAAUAUUGUUCAAUGGACAUGAGUAUUAUUGUCAAUACAGGAGGACGUUAAAACGCAUUAUCCUCAUAUUUAUGGGUUAAGAUGAGCUAUGGAUAGUUCUAGGUAUUGCAUCAAAAAAAUUAGAUACGAUCAAACCAUGUAAUAAGAUUAUUUAAAAAAUAUUGUCUAAAUUUAUUUAGAGUAAUAAUUAAAAAUUUUAUUUAAUAUUUAAAUGACAAUCUUAUCACAUUUUUCCCUUUUCAAUAUUAUAGUGAUAAAAUAUUAAUAUAAUUGCAAUAUUAAUCUUAAAUUACGUGGACUACACCCAACUGUACUUAUUAAAUGAGGAUUGUUUCUCUUUUUACUCUCCAGUUUACAUCUCAUCGAUAGAAGUAAUAAUGAAAAAUAUAAUAUUAAUAAAAUCCAAUGUAAUUAAUGCUAAAUAAAUAGCACUAAUAAUUUGUUGGACUUCCCAUUUAAAUUACUUUAUUUUAUGUUUGUAUAUACAUUCACCAAAAUAAAUAUUACAAAUUUUAUUUAGAGCAAAUUACACAAUUUUUUCUCUUGGUACUGAAAAAUAAAAAAUAUUUUAGGCACAGUCAUUGAAUAGUCAUUACAGUUAAAAACUGUUUUUAUUUUAAUUAACUGUUGUUAAUUCAAUGUUAUUGUAUACUUAUUUUAGUCAUCCAACUUUAAUAAUUUUUUAUUCUAGUCACUCAUUUCUUUUUUUUUAAAUUUACUCUUUUUUCAGAAAAAGAAAAAAAUGAGUUUUUAUAGGAAAUCGAGUUAUUCAGUUGUGGAGAUAAAACCUAAAUUUCCCUACAACUCAAUUACUUAUAAAAACUCAUGUUUUUCUUGCAAAAACCCAAGUAAUUCACUAGAAAAAAAAACCAAUUUCCUCUUGUUACGAAAAAAAAAGUAAUUUUAAAAGAGGGGGAAAAGAAAAUGAAAAAGAUAAAAUGUUUUUCUUGUAAAAAUCCAAAUUUUUACUAUAAAAAAUUAAGUAAUUCUAUGUAAAACCAAGUUUUUUUUUUCUCUUUUACGGAGAAAAGGUUUAAAAUUAAUUCUAGAAAAUAAAAAAUUAAAGGAAAUUAAAAAGAUAAAAUUAUUAUUCCUAUAAAGAUUCGUUUUUUCUUAUAAAACCCAUCCAAUUUCCUGUAAAACCCCAAUUUUUUUCUUUUAUCGGGAAAAAAACUAAAACUAAUUUAAAUAAGAAAAAAAUAAAGAAAAUUAAAAAGAUGAAUGAUAUUUUCAUGUAAAAACCUAUAAACCCAAAUUUUCCCAAGUAAAAUUAAUUCUAAAGAAAUUAAAAAGAUAAAAUAAGUGACCAAAAUGAAAAUUUACUAAAGUUAGGUGACCGAAAUAAAAAAUUACUAAAGUUGGGUGACUAAAAUGAAAGUACAAUAUUAUUUAAUUAAUGACAAUUGACCAAAAUUAAAACAAUUUUUAACUGUAGUGACUAAAAUGAAAAUGAUUUUCAAUAACCGUGCCAAAAACGAAAUUUUUUUAUUUUUUGAUUCCCAAAGUAAAGAAAAAUUGAAAGUUGGAUGAUCAAUUGUGUAGUUUACCCUUUUAUCUAUAAUCAUCAAUGCAACUUUUCCUUUUUAGUAAGAUAAAAGUUUCGAAUUUUUGAAUACCUAAGUUUAAAUAUCAUUAUGCGCAAUUGCAAUAUAUAUAUAUAUAUUAUGUGUAGGUUUUUUUAAUUUUUUUUUGAGUUGAGUUAAGUUGUUUCCAUAUAAAGUUUGUUUCUAUAUUGAAUAUGGUUGAAUAUGUAACUAUUUAUAAUUAUUUUUAAACAUUUAAAAUAUACUAUGACAAUUUUAUUAUUAAAUUUUAAAUUAUUUUUGUAAGAGCCCAUUUUUUGCCCGGGCCCAAUAAAACCUAAACAAAACCAAAUACAAAAAUUAAAACCCAAACCUAACUAAACCCAAACCCAACAGCCCAAAAUCGAACCAAAACCUAGCCCAACAGGCCCACAGAAUAAACAUUUCAGUAAACCCUAGGGCGCCGCUCCUGCCUCUGCCCAGCCUUAGCGCCGCACGCCUCCUCGCAUGCCCACCGCCGCUGAUCGCAAUCGCUGGCUCUCCACGCGUGUCAGACCACCUGCAAGAAAAAGACAAAAACCAACAAAUAGCAAAUAGACAAAAAAAAAGGAAGAAAUGAACAGUUCUGUAAAUCGGCUAUAAAAAGCCAUGAAAUAUCAAUGUAUUCUCUUCUCCGGCUUUUGACGAACAUUAAUAAAAAAGAAAAGAAAACAGAACACUGAUUUUCAGAGGUGAAAUUUUUAUUUUUAUUUUUUCUUUUUUUGUUUGAUUUUUUUAUUUUCACGUACUAAAUAAAUAUAACAAAAAAGAAAGGAAGGGCUUACCUGGUGGAUCCCGCGACCGUUGCCGGAGGUCCUUCUCUGUUGCCGAUGUUGGGCCGAGGAGGGCGUGGGAGAUCCUCUCCCUUCUGCCCUUUGGGGCUAAGAAGGCUAAGCCUUCGGGUCAUUGAACGAGGGCUAAAAAGCCCAUCUUUUUCGACGCUGGCCGUUGGCCACGGCGGCGGUGCAUCCGUUCGUCGGCGGUGACUAUGGCCGGAUCUCUGGUCGGUUAUGGAGGGGUUGAGAGGAUUGUGAGGGAGUGUUUUUCUUUUUUUCUUUUUAAAUUGAAUAGCAGAAUGGGUUUUAAAACAAAUUUGUUGCUUUUAUAAGGGACGCAAAACGACGCCGUAUAGGGCUACCUGCAUUGACCCGACCCGAUCGCUGGGGAUUCGCGUGUUUAGGCUUGAGGGGAUAUUUUUGCGCAAUAAGCCCCUCCUCCGCCUUUGCGAUGUAUUCAAUGCGGUUCUUUUAUUAUUUUCAAUUUUGGCCACGAAUUUUCGCGUCUGUUUCAAUUUGGUCCUUGAAUCAUAUGCAGUCCCUCGGUUAAAACGCUGCGUUUCAAGCAGGGGGAUAUUUCACAAUCGGUCCCUUAAGUUUUGAGCACAUUUCAUUUCGAUCACUGGCAAUCCCUUUUUAUUUAUUUACAGUUCGGACCCCCGGAUUUUGGUUUGAUGUUAAUUUCAUCCUUUAGUUCAUUUAAUUAAUUUAUUUUUUUUAAAGAAAAAGGGAAGUUCCUUUAUUAUUUAUUUUAAUUUAUAUAUAUAUUAUUUACCUAACAUUUUUCUUAUUAUUUGUAUUAUUUGAUUUAAGUCAUUAUAUAUACAUACAUGCGUUUUUAUAAUAUAUAUAUACACAUAUAUAUUUUUUAUAUAAUUUAUAUACAUAUACAUACUUAUGUACAUUUCUUAUUAUAUCUUAUAAUUUACAUAUAUAUGUAUAUAUUCUUUAUUUAUUAUAAAUAUAUAUUUCUUAUAUUUCAUAUUUUCUACAUACAUAUAUAUACUUAUAUAUUUACAUAUCUUAAUUCAUAUACCUAUACAUGUAUAUACAUACUUACAUAUAUUUUUAUAUUUAAUAAUCUCGUAUAUUUUUACAUUUUUAUAAUUUUUUUAAAUUUUAUUUAUUUAUUUACAUUUUCAUUAUUAUCUUGAAAGAAUGCUUUAAUUUUAUCUGCUGCUUGUAUACUUACACAUUUGUAUGCUUUUUAUUUAUUUUAUUGCUAUUGCUUGUAUUAUUUUUACACCAUCAUAUUUACUAUUGUUUUGUUAUGCAUAACCACAAUGUAAUUUAUUUUCGCAUUUUUAUUACAACGUCGUGUUUCAUUUUACUCAAUAUAUCAAAAUUUAUUUUAAAUGAAUAGUAUUUCGUAAUUUGAGAUUCUGAAAAAUCGUACCCUAACUUACGGGGUUUCGAUUUUCUCAAUAAAUCCAAAUACACAAAUCAUUUCAACCAAAGUUUUAAAUAAUCUCGGGAAUUAAGAAAAGAUCGUGUUCUAACUUACGGAAUAUGAUUAUUUUUCUAAAAUCGAGAUAAUAAAAAAUCUUCUAAAGUAAUAAAACUUUUGGCGUUUAUUCUCGUUUUAGAGAUUUCACUACACCAAAAUAGGUUUUUAGCGGCAUUUUUUUAUGCCUUAGCGCCGCUAAAAGUAUUUGCGGCGUUUUUGAAAGCGCCGCAAAAAACGCCGCUGUUGUAGACGCCGCAAACAUUUGCGGCGUUUUUAGGAAUAAACGCCGCUAUAGAUCAUGACCUUUAGCGGCGCUUUUCCCACAAACGCCGCUAUAGAUCAAGAGCUUUAACGGAGCUUUUUGCACAAACGCCGCUAUAGAUCAAGACCUUUAGCGGCGCUUCUCCCAAAAAUGUCGCUAUAGAUCAAGAGCUUUAGCUACGCUUUUUGCACAAACGCCGCUAUAGAUCAAGACCUUUAGCGGCGCUUUCCCCAAAAACGCCGCUAUAGCUCGAGGCCUUUAGCGACGCUUUUCCCACAAACGUCGCUAUAGCUCGAGACCUUUAGCGACGCUUCUCGUAAAAACGCCACUAAAAACAUAACAUUUAAAAUUUAUUUUAAUCAAAAAAUAUUUAUUUUUAUGACAAAUAUUAUAUUAUGUUUUAUUUUUAAAAUUUGAACUUUAAAUAUACUUUUAAGAAUAAAUAAAAAAUAUUAUUUAAAUUAAAUUUUCUAUGAAAAUUUUAACUUUAAAACUAAAUAUAAAAAUUAAUGAAUUUAGUUUUAGAAUUUAAAAUAAUAAAUUAAUAACACAAUUAAGAGACCAGUUAGCACAUUAGGAAGGGAGAGAAGUAUAUUGUGAGAGAAUAACUUGAGUGCCCACAUGACUCUCGCAAAGUAAAAUAUAUCAAGUGAUUACAAUUAGGAUUUUUAACCUAUUACUGUCCUUAAACCUUUAGAAAGUAUGAUUACAGAACAUACUUUAGCAUUUUCCGCAAUAGAUAAUUUUGCCAGUCUCUCUUUCUCAGCAAGCUGGAAUGCAGGUGGAUCUGAUCCUCUAUCGAUUGGAAAGCCUAGUAGGUACAUGGGUGCUCACCUCUUCAUAACAUUCAUUACAAAGUCCAUAGGCAAAAGGUUUUCUCUCCUUGUGCCUACAUAGCACUUCAUCUAAGCUGGUUUCUUUUGACCCAAUAUUUGGUUGUUUUCUAGUUAGUGAACUAGUUCGAAGCUCCCUCUCCUUUUCCGUAAACUCCUCCAUCUGGUAAUAAGUUUAAAACAAUAGAGGUAUUUUCAAGAAAUGAAAUCAAUAUUAAGAAAAUAAAUGCAACAGAGGAAAAGUUAACUACAUGCUGAACACAAAAAAUUCAACAUAACACUUGUUGUAAUGAUAAAAAAUUGGCAUCAAAUUUUUCAUAAAAUUAUUUAGAUACUCCUUAGAGUGGACAUAAUUAAUAAGAAUAAUAGCAGUAAAGAUUCACUAAUCAAAUUCUACCAUACAAAAAAAAUAAUAGCAAUGACACGUGAUACAAUUACAACAACAACAUAGCUUUUCUCCCAUAAGAUGUUGCAAUCCAUAUAGAACAGAUUAUGCCAGCAUGCUCUACUUAGUACCAAAUGUAGAUAGGAAGUCACAUUAAUAUCAAAAGUGAAAAAAGUCCCAAACUAUUGUAAACAUCAGUUAUGGUUCUUCAUUUCAUGGUUACUAAUUUUCAAUCUUAUUCCAUUAUCAGUUUCCUGGAACAAAGUAGUUCUGCAUUACCAUGCACAAGUAAAGAGAUACAAACCGUUAAGGCUCCAGCGUUAGUAUUCUCAAAUUCAAUCAACCGCUUUGACAAUGUUGCUUCACAAAUGUAAACAUGCUUUAUCUGAUAAACAGAGAGCUUAGUUAACCCAACAACUUGAGAGAGAGAGAGAGAGAGAGAGAGAGAGAGAGAGAGAGAGAGAGAGAGAGGGGAAAAAUAAGAAUCAACGCAAAUAUAAGUAAAGAAGAAAUUGGAACUUGGAAAAAUGAUGAAGAUCUCAUCUAAGAAUAUAGUACCAAAAGCUGUACACGAGGACAAAAGAUAAAUAUAAUAAAAUCAAUUAAACUAAAAGCAAAAAAAAAGCACACAAUGAAUUUAGUUUUAGAAUUUAAAAUAAUAAAUUAAUAACACAAAUAAUAAAUUAAUAACACGUACUUGCAAAAUUGUUUCUACAUUUAUGUAUUAAUAUUAACAAAACUAUAAGCAUAGAACAUAAUAAAUUAACAAAAUGCUUUUAGUCAAAUUAAUAUCGUAAUAAUUUCAAAGUGGAAAAAGAAAUAUAUAAUCUUUCAGUUAAUAUCUACUUGCUUACCUGCCGAAAAAUGGUCAUGUUAAGGUUCCAACUCUUGUCCCCAUUGUCCAAUGCUUAACAAGCAUUUUCUAUCACUUAGAAUUAAUAUUUUAAGUGUACCUAAAACAUUAAAUUCUAUCAGUUAGAAUUAAUAUUUGGUCAAUUUUUUUUCAAAUUCAAUAGUAUACUCUACUGGUUUAUUGUUUCAAUUUCUGUCAUUAAUUCCCACCAUUAUGCUCCUCACUAUUUUGUUCCAACCUCUUUUUCUACAAAAUAACAACCACAGCAACACCAAUUCUUUGGUUCAUUAGUUUAUGCCAUAUAUUUGCCACUUGGCAAUUUCAUGUAAGAGACAUAUUCUAUAGUAAACAUUAUCCUAGCACUGGCAAUCAUUGAAUUUAUACCAAAGGCCUAUCCAUCAUAACAUGUCAGAAUUUAUACCAUAGGCCCAUGCAUCAUAAUUGUCAUACCUAUUGAACUCUCAGUUGCUAUUUUCUUGGCAGGUGGUUGCUGCUGCAUCAAGGCGUUCGUGCUUGCUUUUCGUUUAUCUUGAUUGAUCAGAAAAAAGGAAAAUCGUAAAGGGGAGAAGAGACUUGUGGAUUAAGUGUAAAUAUGAUGGUUCGAAGAAAUCAUACUUGUCGUAACUUUGUUGUUGCUUUUGCAUACGGGACGAGUUGGGGGUGCUAGCAAACUGGGGAACAUUUUAAGCCGACCAUACAUGCACAGUCCAGCUGCACGCUAUUAGUGGAAAGUUUAGGCAGUGUUGUUAGAUCUACAGCAAAUAAAUGAAAUGAUGCUCGUAAACUGGUACCAAAUUUGAUGUUAAACUUACCAGCAGGGCCCUAUAAACACACCAGGCCUCGUGUCUUUUUAUUUCAGGUUCAAGAAGUUGCAAAUACGCUUCAAGAUUUGGUAGUAUAAGUAAACGAACCUACAUAUGGAGAAGAAGCGUUAGCCAAACAUAGGAAAGACAUACUUUACAGAUGCCAUAAUAAAGAUACCUAUAGAGAAACCACAUAUUUACACUUUUGGACUAUGGAUUUCCAAUUUCUUUCUUUCUUCGGAUCUUGCAGAAAAGAGUGACAAAACAGUUUUCUGAAAGAAAUGGGCUUAAAAAGAUAGCUACCAUUGCAAUAUCUUUGACCAAUUGAUCCCACAAACAAGUAUCUUAUUGUCUUGUCUAAUAUGCUCACAAAACCUCAAGUUAUUUGAUAAAUAAAAUAUUUUAUCUUUCUUGCUAAUAAAAUAAACUAAAAUAAAAUAAAAAACAAAAAUCAAAUUAGUUCAACUCCAAGUCCUUAGUCAAAUUUAAUUAAACCUCAAGUUCUUUAUCAAAAGAAAAGAACAUAUAUAUAAAAAAAACCAAGAAAACACAUACCUAGUUUGAUUGGUGCCAACUUUUCGGCAGCCUCCUGUAAAUGUAUAAGGCAAAGGUUGAAACUUGUAAGAAUUUAAAUCCCAAAAGUAACUGGUCAUACAACAAGUUUACAACCUCCUCAAGUAUUGCAAGAGCAGAACAAGCAGCCCCUUGUACCAGCUUGUUAGUAUCCGAUAUUCUUUGCAGGAAAGCCGUAAGAACUAUGUCAAAUUGCUCAUAACCUUUUUUAUUUUGUUUUUUAUAAAUUGGUUUUUUAUAAAAUAAAAAAAAAACAAGUACUCUCAAAAUAAAAAUUAUGUAUUUUAAUAAGAAAACAAAUGAUAAAAUGGUUGUAAUUAAUUAUUAAGUUAGAAUUAUCCAAAUUAAAUAAGUACCUAUAUAUCCAUAUCAUUAUAUAUCUAUUAACAAAUCUCAAGUAAACCUUAACCUUAAACCCUAAAUUAACCAUUCAAUACAUAUAAAGUCUAUCUAUUAUAUAUCUCUUAAAUAAUUUAAACUAUGCUCAUAAUUUCAAUAUAUUUGAUUUAUUAUUAUCUAUUUUACAAUUAUAUAAGAACAUAUUUAAAAUAUAAAUUAAAAAAAUAAUUAAUCUACUCAAAACCUUAACCCGGCCCCUGAAUCCUUAAACCUUAAAUCCCUAACUCUUAACCCCUAACGUCUAACCCCUAAACCCUUAACCACUAAACCUUAAAUCCCAACCCUUAAACCAUAAUCCCUAAUCCAUAAUCCCUAAAUCCAUACUCCCUAAACCUUAAAAUAUGAACUCUUAAACCGGCAUUAAAUAUUAAAUAAAUCAUAUACCCUAAACCAAAAACCCUAAACAAAUUUAUUAUUAUAUCUUUUACAAUUAUAUAAGAACAUAUUUAAAAUAUGAAUUUAAAAAAUUAAUCUAAACGCCCAAAAUCCUAACUCGACCUUUGAAUCCCUAAACCCUAAAUCCCUAACUCUCUUAACCCCUAACAUCUAACCCCUAAACCCUUAACCCUCUAACCCCUAAACCCUUAACCCUCUAACCCCUAAACCUUAAAUCUCAACCCUUAAACCAUAAUCCCUAAUCUAUAAUCCCUAAACCCAUACUCCCUAAACCUUAAAAUAGUAACUCCUAAACUGGCCUUAAAUCUUAAAUAAAUCAUAUACCCUAAACCAAAAACCCUAAAUUUUUAAUAUAUAAAUUAAAAAACAAUCAGUAAUCAUGUACCCAAAAAACUUUAAAAUUAUUUUAAAUAAUAGUAUUUUAAUUUUUUCAUGUGCUUUAUUUCAAAUUAUUUCUACCUGUCAUUAUUUUUUUAUGAAGAUUUAAAAUAUUCAAUUAGAAAUAAAUUGAAUUUUAUUUAAUUAAUAUAAAUAAACCAAUUAAGAUAAAAUGUUUUUAGCGGCGCUUUUCUAAAAACGCCGCUAAAGGCCCCAGCAUUAGCGGCGCUUCUUCAAAAACGCCGCUAAAGGCCCCAGCAUUAGCGGCGCUUUUUCAAAAACGCCGCUAAAGGCCCGAGCAUUAGCGGCGCUUCUUUAAAAACGCCGCUAAAGGCCCCAAAAACUCAGAAAACGGUGUCGUUUGGCUUAGGCUUUUUGCGGCGCUUUUCAAAAAAUGCCGCUAAUGUUUAUUUUUAGCGGCGUUUUCCCAAAAGCUCCGCUAAAGGUCAAGCAUUAGCGGCGUUUUUAUAAAAGCGCCGCUAAUGCUUAUUUUUAGUGGCAUUUUUUGUCCAAACGCCGCUAAAAAUGCCACUAAAAGCCUGUUUUGGUGUAGUGUUUGAGAUAUUGUAUCUUAACUUACGGGAUAUAAUUCUUUUUCUCGAUUAACGCAAAAUAUGCCCAUUUCUAAAUUUUUUAAAUUAAGCGAUUUUUUAACAAAGGAUCGUAUUUUCAAACUCUUCAAGGUUUUCAAUUUUCGACACUAAGACACUAAUUAAUCAACUAGGUACCAAUUUUGGGCGUAUCGAGGGUGCUAAUCCUUCCUCGUACGUAACCGACUCCCAAACCCAUUUUUCAGAAUUUCGUGGACCAAAAUUGUUGUUUUAAUAAGAUUAAAUUUUUUAAAAACAACCACUUUUCGAGGUGACCCGAUCACACCUCAUCAAAAAGGAUUGGUGGCGACUCCCGUAUUCGUUUUAUUUUCAAAAUCAAAGUCAACCCCGUUUUUAUAAAAAAAUGGUGUCAACAAUUUUUAAAUAAAAUUUUAACUUUUUAUAACUAUUUUUUUGAGGUAAACUAAUUUUAAACUUUUAAAACUAUACAAUUACAAUUUUAUUAUUAGAAAUUUGUUAACUAUGUUAGAAAUAAUUUUUUAAAAAUCAUUUACCAAUUAAACAACUUAAUGAACUUUUAAAUUAAUCAAAUUUUUGUAAAAAAAAAAAAAAAAACUUUAAAGAGGAGGAGAUGAUGAUAAGUCAAGUCGGGUAGUGGUUUAGAAAUCCAACACAAAUAACUCAUUUAUUCUAUUUUACAAGUAGUAUAAUAUCAGAAAAAUAUAUGAAUAUAUUAUAAUUAUUAAAAUUAAUAUUUAAAAUUUAAGAAAUAAAAAUCAGCUUAUCUGAAUCAAGCUAAUACUCCAACACAAGUAGGUAGAAGAAGAAGAAUUCAGUAGCCAUGCUGACCUGUUGUUAGAACUACCUUAACUAGAAUUAAUUUAUAAAGAAAAGGACUACCCCAAAGCAGUACCAUCUUCCUUUAAAACUUAAUUACAUUCAAUAACACCAUCUUUCACUCUAAAAGUUCAUGGAUUAUUUCCACUAAUUAUUAAUAUUAUUUGAAUUACUUUAAAUUGUAAUUAUAUUUCAACUUAUCUCUCUCACUUAAUUCUUUUUAAGAAUUUACCUGUAUUUAUUACGAAUUAUUUUUUAUUCUAUGUCUAAUUAUAUAUUACAUAUUAUGAUACUAACAACCAAAAAUCGAUUAGAAUUUAGGACCAAGUUUCAGCUUUAAUCAUUUCUCUAAUGCCAAAUGAGACAAAAUUUCACAGCUUUUAAUGAUAAUAUUAGUUAGAAAAUUAUAAAUCUUGAAAUAAUUAAUUUUUAUAUAUAUCUAACACGAAUUAAAAGAUAAGUAUGAUUUUAAGUCAUACUUGAUAAACCCCAUCACUUUCAUCUAAAAUUUAGAGAUUUGAAGUCUGUUUAUUUCUUCACAAUUUGUUCAAAGGUUUGCUCAACAAAUCAAUUUAUAUCACAGUUUUUUUUUAAACAGUUUCCUGUUAAACAAGCAUCUCUGGGGAGCACUUUUUGUUGAUUAAACCGCUGAAGAAGGAAGGAAAAAUUUAGAAAGCUUGGAUCUGUUUUUCUAUAGAAACCAUGUUAUUUAACCUUUAAGUUUUUUGGAGUAUUUGUAUUUGUUUGUAUACAAAUAUUCAAAUAUAAGUAUAAUGUAAUAUUAUUUAAAUAAAUUAAAAUUUUUUAAAACAAUUGCAUAUACUUAUCGAACUAAUCUUUCAGCAUUAACAUAUACAACCUAAAAGAACUAGGUUGCUUUCUUCAAAACCUAUCCAUUGUCAUUGAUAUAAUUCAGUCAAUGUGCUAGCCUUCACCAAGAAGCAUAGAGCAAAUAUAUAGUCUAUAAGUUAUAUUAGACGUCUCCCAAUUGUAAUCUUUAUCUAGCCACAUCAAAAAAGAAAGAAAAACAAAACCACUUUACAACCUAAGUUUACUGGCACCUUAAUUGAAAGCUUCAACUUAAUGGAAAAAGGGAAAAUGAAUGCAACAAAAAUAUAAUAUUCAAGUUUCAUAUUUACUCAAUUUCUGAUUCUCUUGGAUACAAUACAUAUUUAUAUGGAUAUAAGACUUAAGUCUCUGGGGCAAACUGAUAAUAUUAAAGAAAAAAUCUGCAAGAAGCAUUGGUUCACGUUUCUUGCUUAAAAAUCUAUCUACAAUACACUUUCUUCAUGUUUUUGUCAAAUAAAUUAGCUUAACUUUUCAAAUGUUCCACCCAUUUUGACGACUUCAUGUUUCUAUCUAAAUUAUUUUUGGAAUUACAUUUGUAUUAUUUAUUGAAAGAGCUUUCAAAGGGGAGGCUAUUGAAGCCUUAACUGAUCGGGGUCAAGAAGAUUUAAUUAAUAUGGGCUUGGUAUUGGUAUUGGUAUUGGAUCAGAAUAAAGGGUUAGAAACACAAAUAGUUGAGGGCAAUGAAAUGGGCUUAAAUGAGAAAGAAAUGCAGAUUUCAGUCAAUGAAGGGAGCCCAAAUUCAAAUCAAAAUUCAACAUUUUUAUCAGAAAUAGAGGGACCAAGGGAUCGGGUUGUAGCAUUUGAAAUUGAAGAGGAACUUUUCCAACUAAGACAAAACAAAAUAAAUAAGAAAGUGUUGAAUAAGAGAAUCAGAUCUAUGCAAGAGAUUUAGGAUAGAGUGCUCACAACAAAAGAAAAGCUGAAGAGGGAUAGGGGAACGAGAAAAUUGAAGGGAAAAGGGGAUUCCAGGAACGAAGAAAGCAUAACAAACUUGUCAUUAUCGGACUCAGACAUGAAUAAUAGAAGAAAAGUCAUUCUUAAAGAAGCGAAGAAGACGUGGGAGGUGGGGAAAAAAUUGGGGUUUAGUGUGCAAGGCGAUGAGGAGAUAGUAAUUGAAGAGAUAAUGAGGAUUGAAGGGCAACAAUAAGGAGCUAUCAAAGACAGAGGGAAGAGGAACUCGGGAUAUUGGUGUGUGGUUGGUUUACUGGAUUUUACUUUAUUUAAUUAGUUCGAUUGGAAACAUGAGAAUUGUCUCCUGCAAUAUCAAAGGGUUGGGGUCUAGCUAAAAUAGAAGCUGUUAAUAGAUUAGUAAGAAAGACUAUGGCAAAUGUCUGCUUCCUUCAAGAAACUAAGUUAGAAAUGGUGUCAGUGGAUUUAGUUAGAAGAUUUUGGGGCAAUGACUGUUUUGAAUUUAAAUUUGCAGCUGCAAUAGAAAGGUAAGGAGGAUUGAUAACAAUAUGGGAUAAGGGUAUGUUUACGACCAAUAUGGAGUUUAGUGGGAACAGGUUUAUUGUAAUUGAAGGAAAGUGGGUGUGUGAAGUGAUGGAGGCAGUAUUGAUUAAUGUAUAUGCUCCUAACAAUCUGUCAGAUCAAAAAAUUCUUUAGGAAGUUCUAUAUAGGUUGAGAAGUCAAUUUAGUAGUGCAUGGAUAGUAGGUGGGGAUUUUAACAUGGUGAGAAAUAGAAGUGGAUGAAUCAUCUGUUCGGGCAUAGAGAAGGGGUCAAAGGAGUUUGGUGACUUUAUUGAUAGAUGUAAACUGGUAGAUUUGUCGUUUUGGGGAAAAAGUUCACAUGGAUUGGUCCGGACAAUAAACGUAGUAGACUUGAUAGAUUUUUACUAGAGGAAGAAUGGUAAGUUCAAUUGAAAGACUUACAACAAGAAGGACUAAACAGAACGAUAAUGAAACAAUCGAAUGGGGACCAAGACCGUUCAAGUUCGUUAAUGGAUGGUUUAAAAAGCAAGAUUGUAGGAGACUAAUUGAGAAGGAAUGGUCGGGAAUGAGUAGUUUAAAAGGGCAAAUGGCAGGAAAAUUGCGAAAACUCAAGGGAGCUCUCAAGAAAUGGAAUGUGGAUGCUGGCAAUGUUUUGGAAAAAAGAAUUAUAAAUAACGAAGAUAGGAUAAAGGAGAUUGACGAAGCUAGCGAACAUAGAAUGUUGACCGAGUAGCAAUUAAAUUUAAAAAAUCUAUUUGGCGUAAAAAAUCAAGGAUGACAUAGUUAAAAGAAGGGGAUGCUAAUUGUGCUUCUUUUUUUUUUUUUCCAUAGAGCAGUUAAAAUCAAGGCUAAAAGAAAGAUGGUAUAUAGCUUGAAAAUUGGGGGUCAUUGGUACAAGGAACCUAAGGAGAUAAAAUAGGGACUGUACAUUUUUUUCAAAAAUUAUUUUAAUUGCCCAGCAAGAAAGUGGAAAAUGAAAUUGGAUUUGAAGUUUAGAAUACUUAAUGAAGAGAUGGCUUUGAGAUUAGAGGAACCAUUUUUGAUGGAUGGGAUUAAAGAGGCUGUUUGGAGUUGCGAUGAAUCGAAAGCACCUGGACUGGAUGGUUUUAAUCUGUGUUUUUUAGAAAAAGUUGGGAGAUUGUAAAGGAGGAUCUAUUUAGAUUGAUGUCUGAUUUUCUCAUAUCAGGAAAGCUUGAGAAGAGUAUCAAUUCAUCAUUUAUCACACUCAUUCCGGUGUCUUGAGAGAUAAUGAGGGAGUCAUAAGAGCUUUAUUUUUAGGUUCUAUAGCAGCAAAUGAUACUGAUCUGAUAGAGAUUAGCGCGGUGAUGUUAGCAUUGGAAGUAUUUUUAGCUACGAAAUGGAAGCUAAAUGAUUAUAUAUUUAUAGAACUUGGUUCAAUAGUGGUGUUUAAUUGGUGUGCAAAUAAGUCAAUAAGACCAUGAUCCCUUCAAGCAACUUUUACAGAAAUUGAAAGAGACAUUGAGAAGGUAGGAGAUGUUGUUUUUCCAAUGGCAGAAAAGAAUGGAAACGAAAUGACAUCUUCCUUGGUGAUUCCAAGUAUAAUUCGUUAGGAAAUGUUUAAAGCUUGGUGGUGAGCUAUUGCUUUGAUGUAAACAUAGGUAUAUUAGUGAUUAAAUGUGGUUUCUUUUGGAAUGCUAUAAUGUUAAACUUUUGAAGACUGUUCUAUUUGUUUUUUACAACAGAACAGAUCGAAUGAAGCAAAAAAAAAAAAAAAAGCUUUCAAUUUAUGGAUGUUUCAAUUAUACGUUGGGAUAGAACAAUUAAUAUAAAAAGGUAAAUUAAGAAGCAAAGUAAUGAGAGAAAUAACAUAAUAUUUGUUAAGCAGUUUGGAUCAACAAUUCUACUUUAUGGAAUCUCGAUUAGAGAAUGAUUAUGUUCAACAAUUAAACUAGUAGAAUGACGGAAAUGUGCAAGUGUACAUAAUCAUUAUCAAGUAAUAAAAUAACAAGUAAAUGUCGCAUUAUCGUACCCACAUGAACCAUACAAAGAAAUAUAUAUGAAAUGCAAUUAAAAACACUUUGGUGAAGGAAAAUCUUUUAUUUUGAAAAAGGGUUUAAUAAAACUGGAUUUUAACUAAGUAAAUUAAACUAAGAAGAUUAAAAGAUUAAAGUUCCAAAGCACAAUUUCUGAAAAAUAAGUUUCAUCCAUAUGACAUAAUUGUGUUAGAUUAAUUAUAUUUUUUAACUUAAUAUUACCAAAACAAUGUUCAUGUUGUUAUGAAUAAAUUCAUGGCAACUUGGUAAUUUGCUAACUAUAACACAUACUGACUUACUAAAUUAACUAAUCUCUUGAACAUAUUACUAUGCCAAUUCAAACAAUUAAUCAAUUUAAAUAAGAAAGUAAAAGAUUAAGUGAGGUAACAAUUUAUUCCUACACUGAAACCGUUUAAUCACAAAAACCUUGUAAGUUAUGAAAGGCUAAUGUACCGUUUAAUACCGUCGCUAAUUUAACCUUCAGCUACCUUAAAAGAUUAAACAUACACCGAUUAAGUAUUGUGUCAAUUAAUUACAAUUUCAACAUGAUUAAUAAUUAAUUCAUUAGUUACCGUACAAUUAUAAUGCAAGUAUAACAUAAUCAUGGUUUUACUUGAUUAAACAAUUUACCAAGACCUAUAACAACACAAACAUGAUUUUAAUAAUUUGAGUGGAUGAAAUGCAAUCAACCUAACACAAAUUAAAUAUAAGUCAUGUUAAUUAAAUUUAGAAUAAAAAAUAAAAAUAUUCAUAGACAUGUCCAUAACAACAACAAUAAAAUUUAAAGGAUAGGAAACUAGACUCAAAUUCGAUAUUUCUCCGAAGCCUGACUAGUUUGCUCCGCUCCUCCUUCUCCGCUUGUUCUAUUGAACUAAGACUUCUAUAAGCACUUGAAUGCUACUACCCAAGGUGGUUGAAGGGCUCUUUUCUAAGAGGGAAAUUGACAAGGGAAGUGGAAGGCAAAAAAAUGGGAAAUAAAGAGAGAAAGUGAGUGAAAGGGAGAGAGAUGUGUGGAAAUGAGAGGUGUGUUGAAUGAAUAGGUGAAUGGGGUAUUUAUAGGUGGGAUUGACUGCUAAAAAUAGAAAAAAUCAGCAUCCAUAUACCCCCCUUGGCCGGCCACACAUGUAGCAAAGUUUGAAUGUUUCAAACUUUGCUAAAUUUAGGUUGGGGCAAAUCUUUAAAAGCACAGAAAGUGGAAGGGUUUGAAUGCGAUUUCAAGGAGACUUCAAGGGCUGAUUUACAAGUCAAUAAAUCAAGUAAUUUGAGCUAAUUGGGUCAGCAUGUUGGAUGGUUUUGGGCAGCCCAUUUGCUCGAUUGGAUCAGUCUUUCGUUUUAGCAAAACUGGGCCUCCUUUCCAUAAUAUAAAUAAUAAUUAAUUAACCCAAAAUAAAUUGGAUUAAAAUUAAAAUGAAUUAUAUUAUGUAUUAAUAUUCAUCAUUUGGACCGUCUUAGACUGAGAAAUUAAUUCCCCUCGAUGCUUCAGAAAUCACUUCAUGGUUUUGAGCUUCUAGCAGUGGCUGCUAAGCCAAUUUUCACCUUUUGUGUAAAUCUGUCGAAAAUAAAUCAAAAUUUAUGAAAAUUAAUUAUCAAAAUUAAUUAAAAUUCAAUAUUUUAAUAAUUUAAGUACAAUUUAAUUAUUUUAUAAUUAUAUUAUAUUUUCGACAAGAAUUACUAUGAAACUGCAUGAAUUUGAGUUAAAAAGGGCAUUGAAAAAGUCUAUAUAUUUUUGUGUUUCCAACUAGAUCACUUAUUAGCUUAAACCCAAUCUACACUGGUGAAGCUAAAAUAUUUUUGAAGGAGGCCAAAAUUAUAUUGUAUAUUUUUACAAUAGUAAAAUUACAAUUUCAUCAUUUUAAUAGCCUAUAUUUUUAUAAAUUUUAAAAGAUUAAAUAAAAAAUUUUUAUUUUUUAGGGAGCCAAAGCAUAAUUUUAGCAUAUACUAAUCUAAAAAUUUGUAAUUAUAAAGAAACUAAAUGUGAAAAUUUCUAGUUUUUGGGGGUCGAGGCUCCUGGCAGCCCCUCUUGGCUCUGCCCCUACCAAUCUACCUUUACAAGAAUGAAUCAUUGCAAUCCUAAUAUUGAAUUUGAUUAUUACAAUCACUCUCCCAUAAAUAUUCUUACAUAAAAAUAAUAAAAUUCUCCAAAUAAUAUCUAAAAAUAGUGUCAAAUGAAACAACAACAAAAAAUACAGUAAAUUAUUCAACUAAACACUCCAAAAAUCAUUUUUUUCCUCUCAAGUUGUGACAUUGUCGCCAAUUUAUAAGCUUUUUUAAACAACCAUCUAGUCGACUUAUUUAUAAGCUUUGUCUUCAAUUCAAAUGCUAUUUUUAUCACAUUAAUAAUUUCAAAUAAAACUCUUUAUAAACCAACUUUUCAUCAACUAAUAGGAACAUCGACCAUUAUCAUUUACUAGCCAUAUACAUCUCCCCUCUUUCGGUAAAGAUGUCAAAUGAGCUCCCCUUUACAAAGAGUUCUUCACUAUUAGUCAGAUUUUUCAAUCGAGGCCUGCUAUUUUGUUACAUCCUGCUUCAUUCCAUUUCCUGUUAUAACAAAAUUUGAGAGAUAAGCAUCUUAUUCAUCACCUGACUCAUUAGCAUACUUCCCUUAGCAUGUACUUGCUUUAUAACAUUUCUAUAUGUUUAUAGUUUAUAUUUAUACUACUAAACCUAAUUACAUAUCAUUUCUAAAGUCUAAAAUUUAUAUAUACCAAAAUAAACUUCGUCAUGUAACUUGGAGUAGUGAUGUGAUCUAAAUUGGAGUAGUAAUCAUUGUACUUUUUUUAAUGUAUCUUUUACCUACGCGUUUAAAACAAACAUGUUAAACUCGUAAAACAUAAUUAAAUUAUUUAAAAUAAAAUAAAAGAAUGUUACUUAUACUAAUUAAACACAUUAUCUUACUUAAUUCACGCACUUCCACAUUUCAAAGCAUAAAUCAUUUAAUAUAUAUAAUGUCAAUGACAAUUUCUGUCGUUUGAUAUUGUUUUAUACAUGUUGACAUAUAACAUUGGCUUAUCGUGUCAUAACUUUUCACAUACAUGCAUGUCACAUAUAAUUUAGAUGCAUAUUAUGAACAUAAACAUGAACAUAAUGUUGGAAAAUCCGGUUUAGAAAACGAUUUUCUAUCACACCAGAAAUUUGAAAUUUUGAAAAUCGAGCCGGUUUGUAAUAUUUAUAGUAAUAAUUUUUCUUUCUAAAACUACAUGUGCUUUGUGCGAGACAGGAUUAUAUCGUUCCUAGUUUUCAACCAAAUGACCUUCUUCACUAUCUUUGUACCUCGAAUUACGUCGAGUGUGGACUCGAGCAAUACGAACCAAACAUAGAGCAAGAAAUGAUUUAAUUACUUGCAAUAGGAAAGUAAUUCUCUCAAAUAGAAAUCAAUAGAAAUUGCAAUUCCCAAAAAAUAUAAUUUAUUCUUAGAAAAUAAAUUCCCACUAUUUUCUGACAGAAGAAUAACAUAUGAAACUUAUGUCUAAAAACUGAUGUAAAUAGCUCUACUAGUGCCAUCUAUUUGUAUAAAGAGAUAGAAGAAUCCUAGUUGAAUAAAUAUAACACAAAUAAUAAUUAUUUAAUAGAAAAACAGUCUUCCAAUAUAACUAGAAGAGGGGUGUGGCACACUCUCUCAAUUCCCUUAGGAUUCCCGCCCCUCACACGUUUAUGUGAGGCAGAUUGGUCUCUCAUGUAUAAGGUUAAAUUAUAUGUGUUUCAUGGACUUUUGAUCCAACACUUUAUAAUUUAAUCCAAUCUUAUAUCUGUUUUCUGUUAUCCCAAAAUAAAUAUUAUAUAUUUAGUUGAUUUAAUUAAUCAAAUUAACUAAUUGAUUUCUCAAUUAAAUAUUUUUCUCAAACCAAUUCUAAUUCUAUUUAAGUCAUUACAGUUUUACCAUAAAAGAACAUUAGAAAAUAUAUUUAAUUUCGAUAUUCAAUGGAUUCAUAAUUAAUCUUUAAUUUAAUUCCACUUUUGAGCUGAAAUUAUUUAAUUAUAAUUCAAAAAUCUUAAAUUAAUUCUCAAGUUAUUUGCAUACGAAGUGAGAAAACGCAUGCAUUUGUGACUGCGAACCAUUUUUCUAACUUCAUCAUUUCCAUUCAUUUUUGUUCAUUUGGUUCUACAUACAAUUAAUUUCUGACUUCAACGAGCUAGCAGAGAAACCGAUUUGACAUAUAUAAUUAGGGCUCAAAUAAUUUAUAAUUAAAUUCCAGCUUUUGGCCUGUUAAUUAUAAGCUUAUUUAUUCACGAAGUGUUAAACCAAACUUUGUUUGAUAAUAUAUUUUGAUAUAACAAAUUAAAGUGUUUUUUGAAUAAAAGUUAAAGUUGAGCAUUAUUGGAAAAAUGAUAAAAUCUAUUUAAAAUGGUUUCAAUUAAGUUAAACAUUUUCAAUCAUGUUAAAAUUGUUUUUAAACAAGUCAAUAUUGCUCCAAGCCAAAAAGUAUUGAUUCUUUUUGGCCAAGUAUUGAUAGAUUUCAAGAUAUUGAUACCCUUUUUAAAAUCGAUACCAAAUUGACAUUAAGUUUUCAAUUUACACAAAAAGUAUUGAUACCUUUACAAUACCUUUUACCAUGCACUGAUAAUUGUCUUUGGUAUCGUUGUAAACUAAUUUCAUUGGUCACGGAAUCAGGCAUUAAUUGCUAAUAGUAUCAAUAAUCGUAGAAAAAGUAUCGAUACCUUUUGUUGUAGAUGAAUUUAAUGAUCUAGUAUUUUCAUCCCCAACGACUCUAUUAACUUUCACAACAACCCCAAUAGUUGGAAAUGGAUUAGAGGGUAUAAAUACCAUGUUCUAAAGGUCCUACAACAAGGGAGAGAGAUCAUCAAGCUUAAAGAUAAAUUAAAACAACCUUAGUGCUUAAUUCUUUCAUAUUCUUCUUGUAAACACUUGUGAGUUUUCAUUGUAUUCAUUCAGCUCAAGUGUUAUUCUUUUUGUUUGUAUUCAAUUGACAAGCACAUCAAUCUUGUAAGAAUUACUUCUUAGUUUGCUAUUUGUUAUUCUCUUUGAGAGGGUUGAGUCUUAAGGUUUGAGUAGAAACCUUAAGAGAAUUGCAAUCUUAAGAUUUUGGGUAGAAAUCUUAAGGGAGAUUGUAAGCUUAAACCUUGUCCUCAAAGGUUGUCAAAUUAGUGAAUUUGGGAAAAUUCUUAGUUGUGGAAAGCUAAGGUAGCGGAGUAGGAAAUUGGGAUUGAGCCACUAUAAAUUGUUGUGUUCAUUGUUGCACACUCUUUCGUUGCUUCCACAACUUUUCUUAAGGCUAAUUCACCACCUCUUGGUGAUUUCGAGUUGAUCUAUCGAGCUAACACAAAGUCAUUCAAUUAUAGUAUCGUGAUAGAGCUCUCCCUAAUUAAAUACCAUUACGAAAGCUACUUAAUCAUUACUCUCCCAAUGAUAUUGUCAUAAGUGUGUUACCCUAAUAGGAUAUCCUUUAUCUCUUCGGGAUAAAUAUGUUCUCCCAAAAGGAUCCUAUCUUAUCUCAUGGUAACUAUUACAUCUUCCUUCAUGAAAUGUCAAUUACUAUCAAAUAAUGAUUAAGGUAUUUAUCACAAAGACAAACAACCCUUGACCAUAUUUACUUUUCAUCUAUCAUGUAAUGCCAAUGAGAGGAUAUUAUUUUGUUGGGAAAUAUGACCAUAUUGUAGUAAACAUGUAAUUUUUUCUAUGUAUUUGAAUUAGGGGUGAGCAAAACUCGAUUCGACUCGAAAAAAUUGAAAAAAAUUCGAAUUUCGAGUUAAACGAAUUGAGUUAUUCGAGUUAUUCAAAUCAACUCGAUUUUUUUUUUCGCAUUUCGAGUUUGAAUCGAGUUGAGUUUUCGAAUUCGAAUAACUCGAAUAAUUCGAAUAAUUCGAAUAUCAAACUAUAAUAUUUUACAUUUUUACCCCAAACUCUCAAACCUUUUUACUUUUCCCUCAAAACUUUUACUCCUUCCCGCUUUCCCCCAAAACUUUUAAUNNNNNNNNNNNNNNNNNNNNNNNNNNNNNNNNNNNNNNNNNNNNNNNNNNNNNNNNNNNNNNNNNNNNNNNNNNNNNNNNNNNNNNNNNNNNNNNNNNNNACAAAAAAAUCACUAAACAUAAAUAGUAAUAAUUUUAUUUAUAUCUACUAUUUAUAUUAUUAAAUUAAAUUUCACAUUUUAUAUUAUUUAUAUUAUUGAAUUGUUUAGUCAUAUUGAAUAUUUAUAUUAAAAUUGAAUUAUUAAUUAUGCCAUAAAAUAUUCGCGUUAAAAUUUUAUAUUGGUAUCAAUUUCACAUUUUAUUUUUAAAAUAACUUUUAUUAAAAAAUUAUAUUUUUACAUUUAAUAUAUUUUUUAAUUCUAAAAUACAUAGUGACAAGAAUCUGAAGAUAAUUGAAACAACUAAGCAAGCAAAGAAGCUAACCAAUAUAUAAAAAAUUAAUAAAUAAAUUAUGAAGUGAUGAAAGUUAAUAAAAAUUUUGAUUAAGGUGGACAAAUUUUAUUACGAUGGGUGACAAUGGUUACAAGGACCCAAAAUUAUUUUUUAAAAUUUAACUCGAACAAAUAUAUUCGAUUCGAUUCGAUUCGAAUUCCAUCUCACUCGACUCGAUUCGAGAAAACUUCAAAUAAAGUUAGGAUGAUAAAAUGAGAUUCGAAAACUCGAUUAACUCGAAAAUUUUCGAUUCGAUUUGAUUCGAUUGAAUGCUCACCCCUAAUUUGAAUAAUGAAUAAAUAAAUUUAAUUUCACAUUUCAGUAUUAUGCUGUAACACCCCACACCCGACCUAGACAUUAUGGCUGAAUCUGGAGAAAUUACAUCAACUCGUUUGAAAAACUAAAAUCUUAGGAAUUGUGUGAUCUGAAAUCUUACUGUAGCUAACCUCAUACGAGUUUUAGAAAAUUCUUAAGUUUGAAAACACCUAUUUCACAGCAUCGUCUCUUAAAUAUUUACUUGUAAAACAGUGAAAAGUUUCAAAAAUUUCACUCCGACCUUAGUAAUCAUGUGGUUUGAAUUUUUUUUUGCAAAACUCUUACAUGGUUAUUUAGAAAACUCGUUCGUAGAACUUACUCAUUUUACAGAAAAGCAUUUAGUUUGAUACUUAAUUAUGCAGCAGAUAUUUUCAAAAUUUUUAAGUUUUGAAAACUAAAUUCCAAUUUGUCAAAUUUGUAUGAUUUUGUAGUUUUACGUUUAAGAACACCCAAAAACCAAUGAACAGAUAAAAAAAUCCAAAAACUUAGUCCAAAAGUCAAAAGUCCAGGAAUCUUAAUUAAAAUAAUUCGAACCAUCUUAUGUGGAAAACCAAUCCGAGCUCCCACACGCCGUUCGGUCCUAAAUUUACUGAUUACUUGAGAGAAUAACAAACAAAGAGUGAGUUUUAUGAGCUCAGUGUGUAACACAUCCCAGGAAACAAAUCAUAUAUACAUAAAUAAACAGAUACAUUUUUAGAUACAAAUUCAAACAUAUUCUCAUAUACAAAUUCAGAUGUAUUUUAAUAAUUAGAUACAGAUGCGUACUCAGAUUCAGAUACAAAUGCAGACACAAAUCCUACCUCCAUUCCCCACACACCAACUCUACACAACCAAUCACACCAAUUAGGACUAUAAGAGUCCAUCCAUCCAAUCACAUCGAGUCGUGGUGGUAUACCACUCAUAAAGGUGCAGCUGAGCUACCGGACAGAUAUUUGCAGUUUAACAGCUAGAAUUGCAGUAAUAUUGCUAGAAUACACUUCCUCCAUCACAAAUCAAACCCAUUCGAUGCACAUGCAUAAAUAAACUAGCACAUAUAUUCCAUACACAAAUGGCAUGCAUGCGUUUCAUACAUAAUCAUACUUUUGGAGUUAUCAGAACACAAAUCAUACAUAGAUUUUUCACAUACCUUACCUGUAUCACAUACAAAAAAAUCAAUAGUUGUCACAUUUCAAGUUUUAUUUAAGCCAAAUGGACCUCACGGAAGGUCUGACUACGAAUUUCAAAGUUAAACAGGCCUAAGUGAAAAUUUUUAGAAAAUGGGCCCACACGGCCAGAAUGGCUAGCCCGUGUAGCCCACACGACCUACCUAAUCUACCCGUUUGAUUGCACAUGCCCGUGUGCCCUACACGGCCUCACCCACGCCCAUGUGGCCCACAUGCCAGUAUAUCCCACACGACCUAAUCGACCCAGCUGAUGUGACACACACAAUCUGGCAUACGGUCUGCCACACGGCUGUGUGACAUUGACAGUGUGUUUUUCUACUUUCUUCCAUUCGCUAUUAUUACGAGUUUGAGUCACACACCUGAUUAGUUUUUUAUGCUGAUUCAACAUUCGCAAUUCUAGAACCUAAAAUAGUUGUUCAGAAUAGACUAAUUAGCACGAUUUUACCAAAUUCGACUCACUAAUACAACAUAAUCAUUGUCAAAUGAAUUUAAUUACUGAAAACCAACCCUUACCACAGUGGAUAAUUACUUACCCUUGCACCAACAACAGUUCCAAAUCGCAAUUAAAUCGCUGGAGAAUCGUCGCACACUUCACGUUCUUCUUCUACCGAAAACCAAAACAAUAAUUACUCACAUACCUUUCUUGAAACAUAAAAUAACAACAAUGACACCAUUAACAAAAGAAUACAAAACCACUUACCUAAAUAAGAAUACCCCAACUUCAUACUCAGAUUCGCACAACUACAAUUGUACCCAAAAGAAACGACUAUCUUGGAAAAAACAUCCUAAUGACAACAAUAAAACAGGAAAAACAAAUAGUAAAGAAUUAAAGUUAUCACUUGCGACUGAAGAAGUAACAAAGAAACAAAAUAGAGCGAAAAGAGAGCAUGAAAGAGAAAAAUGGAAGAGAAGAGACGAUAAGAAGAAUUUUUGGUAACUCCAAGAGAUUAACGUAAAAAGGAAUAAAACUCAAUGAUGGAGAAAGAGAGGGAAGAGAGUGGGACGUUUUUGAGAAGUUUUAGGAGAUAAUCUCUCCUUUUCUUUGUUUUUAAAAACUACCCACUAACUCUUAUAAUUAUCCAAAUUAGAUUCUUUUCUUCAGAUUUUAAAACAAAAAUAAACUCUACUUUGCAUAUACAAGAUUCAAACAUAAGACCUCUAAGUAAGCUAAUGCCUUAGCAUUGAACCAACAAGCUCGUUCUUGCUAACAAUUGAGUGAAAUAAAAUUUUAAGCCAGAAAUUCAAAGAUAGGGAUUUAGGAAAAAAUAGAAAAAAUGCAAGGCAACGGAUUCGAACUCAAAACUUUUCACUCACAAGCACAACACUUAACCACUAAACUAGAUCACUUCACUUGUAUUAAUUACCACAACCUUUACUCAAAAAAAUGACGUGACCACUCUUGGUUUCACUAACCCAAUUUCUUCUAACCCGGUUUUUGGGAUGUGACGUGUCUUUUGUAUUUUUGUCUUUCAUGUUUUGCAUACAUAGCAAAAUCGUGACAAACAAAUAUUAGUUCAUUGAUUGUCUAAUUUCAAACUGAUGAUAAGUGACACUAUAAGAACGCUUACUUCAGUAGAUAAUCUAAAUGAGUUCGUAAUCCCGUAAAAGAAUCAAAGUGAGCAUUUGAUUUAAUACUUAAAAGGAUUAUUAUGUCGUCUACAAUUUCAAUUGGGGAGAUGACUAGUCUUAGCUAUCGGAGCAGUUGACUCCACGGGUAGAGAUAUAGAAGUAUUCAUCAGAAGAAUGACACAUUAGGCUGAACCCAAUAUGAAAUAAUUCUGAAUCCAUUUGUGAAUUAAUUCACUUGUGAUGUUCAUGGUGUGUUUUACCUAAAUCCUGAGUUAGUCACUAACUAUGCGUAUGUAACUCAUGUGCUUUGAUAUAAGUGGAGGCUUAUACUCUAAAGAUGAUUGAGCCCAUAGCCGGUAUGUUGGGUACAUGACUUGUCUAUGGCAUGGCUAUACUAGCAACGAUGUAAUUCAUAGCUCAAUUAAAGAGUUAAUGAUAUCCUCUCAUCGGCAUUAUUCGAAUUGAUAAAUAUGAAACAUGGCCAUAAAUUACUUGACACAUCAUACUUGUAUAUUCUUUGCUCUUUUAUAAAACUCACAUAUUCCACAAACAUAUUCAUUUAUCAUACUUGUUCAUUUUGCAUGUUUAAUAGUCAUGUCUUACUCUUUCUUUUUCAACAUGAUUCUUAUAAUAAUUUAACUGUCACACAACUUAUAACUUUUCUCAUCUAGCAUACUUUCCUGUUAACAUCUUACUCAACUAUUUUAUGUUGAAUUUAAAUACUUAAACAUCUAAUUUAAGAUCAGAUAUCCACAUAUACACCUUUAUAUAACAUUCUUUAUCAUGUCAUAUAAUUGCAUUAAUAUCACUUAUCAGAUUUUCAUUUCACUAGUUUCAUCACUUAUCAAAUGACCUUUUUUUUAUUUCAUCUCAUAUAUACAAGUAAAAUUUUAAAAAUUCAGUCUUAAAAAAAAGACAAUCUGGCCAUACACCAACCACUAAAUCGUUUAUAUCUUCGUUUACUGAAGUCAAAAUUAAGAUUGUCUUUUUCUUUUUAAAACUACACUCAAUUACCUUUUUACCAUAAAAAAAAAAUCAGAUCUUAACUUUAUUCAUACCAGUUUCUUUUUAAAGUUGACUCGGGGAUGCUACUUGGAAGAUUGAAUCUACUUCACUAAAUUCUAAUUAACUUAGAAUCUAAUUCCGUUUAUAUUUUUUUUAUAAAGCUAGACUCAUAAGCUUUUCGAGCGUAUAAAGUUCAUAUUCUAAUUAUUUUUGUGCAAUUUUUAAUGAUUUAAGAAUAGAAAAAUUCGAAAUCAUUAUGACCUUCUCUCACUAAAAUUAAUAUAUCUCGUUAAAUACAAUCUCAUUGCUUACAUCAUUUCUUCUAUGCAAAACUAGGCUCGUUAAGCUUCAAUUUUAUGUUUGGUUCAAUAUUUAACUAAAUUUCUAAAAUUUUUUUAAUGAAUUUUCAAAUUUGAAUUACUACUGCUGUUUUUUUUCCAAAACAGCUUACAUAUGGUGUGCAUAUAAAAUUUGUUUAUACUUGUAAUCUCCAUGUCACUUUAACUUCUAAACUUAACUCAUCAUAGUAUAUUAGUAUUUAAACAUUUUACUAAUUUAUUUUACAUUAAACAUAAACAUUUGACAUCAAACAUAAGGAAAACCUACAUGGAAUCAAUAAAAUACUUACCUAUUUCUUCACUUGAAAUCAACAGCUUUUCCUUUUCUUGAAUAACUUUUCUUUCAGCUUUUUCUUCUUUCACCUCAUGCUUAUAUACAUAAAACAUGAUUUCACUCUCAAAUAACAUAAAAAUUUUAAGAAAAUCAUAAAAGCAUACCUUUCCCCUUUACUUUCUCAUCACUUUCUUCUUCAUCUAAUUUAUUUCCAUGAUAGAAAAUGAUUCCAUAACAUUCUAGAAUAUGAAAUUUAGCUAUAGUUCUAUGAAAAAUAAAACUCAAGAAAGUUCCAUGCAAAUUUUUGUUUUCUUUCUUUCUUUCUUUUUGUUUUUCUCUUCUCUUCUCUUAUUUCUUUUCUUUCUUUCCUUUCUUUUUCAGCUGCUUCCCUUGCUGUCAUUUCUUCAUGCUAAAAUUAUGAAGAAAUUCCUCCAUUUUUAUUUUUCUUUUAAUUUCAUCCUUUUAUUUUUAUCAACCAAUCGAAUUUCCACACAUUUCUCUCUUAAUUACCACGUAUUUUCUUUCUCCUCUACACCUAAUAUACUUUGGGAUUUUAACUUCAUCAUUAUGUCUUCAAAAUGAUAAAAUUAUAUUUAAAUCCUUCCUCCAUAAAAUGAGAAAAUUACACUUUAAUUUCUAUACUUUUUACCACCUUUCAAUUUAACCCAUAUCUCGAAUUUUCAUUCCCACAUAUCAAAGGCAUGUCCAUGCCACAUUCAUUAAAAAAUAUUUCUUCUUAAAAUGGUAAAUUUGCACUAUUAAUCUUCCAACUUUCAAAAAUUCUCAAUUUAAUCUUUAUCAAAUUUCAUUAUUCAUACUUCCUCUUCAAAUAUCUAAUUCAUCUCCAAUGUACCUUAUUCAUUUCCGAAAUAGUACCUUUUACUGUAUAAAAAAUUUUGGAGUGUCACAAAAAUUUUGUAACAUGCUACUGAAAGUGAGGUAGUUUGGUGUGACAUGAUGAGCAUAGGUAGCCAAUAAAACCCUCAAAGUCUGUUUCCAUAAGUGAACUCUAGUUCCUGGGUUACUUCAAUAAACUGCUAAGACCCAUGGCCAUAUUGGCCUUUGUACCAGUAAAGACGCGAAGCUAACCAUAUCUAAGCGAAUGUAUAAGCGAAUUUCAAAUCAAAAAGCCAAUUUCCGAAGAGCUCUUACCAAAUUUUCAUUAUUUUUAGUUGAAAAAACAAUUAAAGAAAAUGAAGCUGAAGAUUUAUUAUUAAAAUCCAUUUUAUAUAGAGAAUGAGAUGAAUUCCAGUUAGAAUUCAUAGAUAUAAAGGAGAUAAACAAUCUUCUUGAUAUCAUUCAAUAUUUUAUUCAUAAAGUAAAAAAUACUCCUAUCAUGAAUAAAGUAUAUAGAAUCUGUUUAUAUAACAAAUCUAGACAUAUUUUACCAGUAGAAAUAUCUAACAAAAUCAAUGGAAUUAUCUGUAACCAGCAGACUCAAUUCCAAAAAUCUUUUUCUGAAUAUUUUUUACAAACUUAUGUUUUUACAAAUUUUAUAAGUAAAGAAUAUCCAGCUAUAAAAUUUAGAUUGGAUCAUAAACCGUUUGAUAUAAUAAGUAUCGAAUGGGUUUUGUUAGAGAAAUAGUAGUACAAAAUCUUUCUUUUCAUCUUUUAAAAGAUUUUCCAGCAGUUGUCAAAUCUUUACUACAAACCAUCAUAAAAAAUGAUGACUUUUUCUAUUAUUUUUAUAUUCAAAUAAGUACUCUUAUUGGUAUUUCUGAAAAAGAAAGAUUUUUUCAGCCAUAUCAAAUAUGGGAAAUUCGCAGAAUGCUCGGAAGCCCCCGACUAUCAGCUGUAAAUGAAGAUAAAGAAUACUUGGCAAAAUCAAUUGACAAGUGUCAAGAAAAUUCAAGCUGUUAUCAAAUCCAAGCCGGUGUUGAUUUAAUGGCUAAAGCUAAAUAUCUUCUUCAAGAAAGAAAUUAUCAAUUCAGAACUGAUGGAAGAAGAAUAUUAGCAUAUCAUUCAUAUCUUAUUGAAGAAAAUGAUGAAGGCAUCAAUCUGCUAAAAAAGAUAGCAGACAUGAAUAUAGAAGAUUUUCCAUCUAACAUUCUGCAACAAAUCAGAAGUACAUGGGAAAAUUGUCAUCAAGAUAUAUCUACUAUUCAUCAUCUUGAGGGAUGAAUUAUGAUGGAAGCAAUCAUUAAUGAUAAAUCACAUCAAGAUAGAUUGAUGAUGCAAGCAAGAUGGAAGCGGCCAUUAAUGCUUGAUAAAGACAUCCAGAUGAAGACAAAAAGUCAUACAUCAGGAAAAGCUAUCAUCAAACCAAUGAUGAUGUAUGCAAUGAUGGAAGCUACCAUGACACAAGCAUGUGAUGGAAGCAGUCAUUAAUUGAAGCAUGCAACGUGGAAACAACCAAGUCCAUACAAGUAAAGAUACAAGAAGACAAAUGAGACGUGGAAGCAGCCACAUCCAUUUGAAGACUGAAUCCUUAUCAGAAACACUAUUCGGGAUUCAAAAUACAAUUGUAUAUAAUUUUUAGAAUUCCUCUAUAAAUAGGGAGGAAAGCUCAAUUGUAUAGUAUCUUGUAAAUUCCGCAUUAUCUUUCUUUUAGAAUACGAUCUUGUAAAUUACCAAAUACUUUACUUUUUACUUUUCUCUUUUGUAACCUUUUUCCUUUUGUUAAUAAUUCUUCUUGUCGUAUAAGCGAGACUCAAGGCUUGUCUCCUCGGUAAUAUAAUAUGAGCAUGCACGGGACACAUAUCUAAGAGGCCUUCCCAGCUGUUCUGGAGUGUAAGACAGAGGCCUCCCCAGUUAAGGUUUGUCCAGGUUCCUCUGCACCUUCAGCUAGACUUCUCUUUAAUCAAAAUAAUUAAAGUUUUGUAAUUUGUUGGUUAUGCGUUUCUUUUUAUGCCUUUUGUUUUAUUUUUCAGCAAUAAGAGAAUAAGAAUAUAUGUUACGUAGUUAAUUACUUGUAAUAAGUAAACCUCAAAAUUUUUAUAUGGGUAAUUUACAAGAAUAGUCAUCCAAUUAUUCACUUAUUUCUAUUUUGAUCAUCCAGCUAUUAUUUUUUUAUUUAGUCAUUAGAAUGGAUGUCUAAUGUGAGCUUUUUUCAUUGGCCUGAUAACUAUUUUAGCCCUUCAAUGUUUACACAUUCUAUUAAUUUGAUCCUAAAUCUAAAAAAAUUUAUCAAAUUUAGCCCUCAAUAUUUACCAAAUUUGUCAUUUUAUUUCUAAUUCUAAAAGUUCUAAAAUAUAAAAUAUAAAAUAUUUUUAUAUUUACUUUUUAAAAUCUUUAUAAUUUAUAUUUAAAUUUUUAUAAUUUUCUAUUUACUUUUUUUCAUCAGCCAUGCUCAUUUUUUUCAUCAACCAAACAUGUGAAAAACUCAAAAAUUAAACCUAUUUUUUUAUUCAAUGGCAUUUCAUUUAAUCCUCUUUUUCUUUUGCAACAUUGUUCGUCUCAAAUGCCUAAUUAAAACUAAAAAAGAAGCUUAAAAUUAACAAAUUUAUAAACCAAGAAAAAUGAUUGGGUUGAUGACACCAACUUUGACGGUCUUACUUUUUGCUACAAAGAUGGUACAAGGUUGAGAUUGUAGUGUUCUAGUGUUUUUAUCAUUUCUAACUCAAGCAUUAGAGAGAGAUUGCAGGUUGUUAGAGUUGUAUGACCCGAAUCCCGUUUGAUCCGGCCUAAAAAGUUCGAGGUGCAACUCACUCAUUAAAGAAAUAAAAUAAAGAAGCAAAAUUGGGGAUAUGUGGGGGCGAAGGACCAAGGGCCAAAAACUGUGCAUAGCCGCAAACCUCUUGUAUUGUUGUUUUUCAACAUUAGUGAAUUUCUCCUCCACUUCCUGUGAUUUUUCCCGAUAAGGGGUUUUCACGUAAAAUCUGCGUGUUCUUAUUUUUCUUUCUUAUUGUUUUGUGAUCAUUCCUACUACCAUUUAUCAACGUAUAGUAUAACAAAAGUCAAUGUCAUGACACUUGAUAUUUCUAACUUCGUCAAUUGAAUGCAAGAAUGAACAAAGUGGAAGAUACUGAUGAAAGUCUCAUUUUGGAUACAAAAAUCUUUAAAAUAUUUUUAUAUUUUCUUUUUAGAAAUUUUUUAAAUUUAUAUUUACUUUUUAAAAUUUUUAAAUAUUCUUUUGACUUUUUAUAAUUAGAACUAAAAUGAAAAAUCUUGAAAACACUGAGGGCUAAAUUUGUUGAAUUUUUUUUAGAUUUGGGGUUAAUUGAUAUAAUGUGUAAACUUUGGAGGGCUAGCUUUGUUAUAAGGCCAAUAAAACAAAGCCCACAUUAGACUUCCGUUAGGCCACUUAUGGAAGAGUGACUAAAGUAUUUAAUUUCAAAAGCUUGAGUGACUAAAACAAAAAAAAUUAAUAGUUAGUGACCAAAAUAAAAUAAACUGAAUAGUUGGGUGACUAUUCUUUUACUUUACCCAAUAUAUAUGCUACCACAUAUUAGGAUAAAGCAAAAUCCUCUUUUACACAUUCAGCCCUCCUCUCUCGUAUCAACAAUGAUCAUGAGAAGUUUACACUUGUUGAGAAACUAAUAUCAGAAAAGACUUGACAGACAAUUUGGUCGCAAACAAUGAAUGAACCAUCAUCAUUCAAAUGUAAGGUAAGGAGCCUCGACUGCAAAACUAGGCUUUAAGUUACCAAACAAAAUUGAAUAUAGAGUUAUCAUAUAUGCUGUAUGUAGGGUUUUUUUACAAAAUUAUUACAAAAAAAAAAAAAAUGUUAUCUUUUUUAUUAUCAUAUAAUUUUUAUUUACUAAAUAUACUAAAAAAACAAAAACCUGCAAAAAAAAAAACCUGUGGCGGCACCAAAGGUGCCAAAGUGAUUGGCGGCACCAAAGGUGCCAAAGAGAUUGGCGGCACAGAACUAAAAUGUAACUCUCUACAGUUUCAAGGACCUGACAUGUAAAUUUACCAUUUUGAAUUUUGAAAGUGAAUUGGUGCGCCUGUGGGUGUGUCAGUGCCAAAACUGAAACUUGGCUAAUUGCCUUCUAAGCCCUCCUUAUUUAUUAUUUUCUUUUUAUUCCCCUUCAACUCACUUUUUUAUUUAAUAAACAAGCCCUCAACCUAUUUUUGUAGUUAAAUAAGCUCUUAAUAUAUGAUUUUUACUCAUAAAAGCCUUUUAUUUUAUUAUUAAAGUAAAUAUAUUUUACCUAAAGUAAAACUAUUUAAAAAAGUAUAAACUAAUUCGCAUUUUAUGUAUUAUUUUGAUAAUUUGAUGAGAAUAAUUUAUUAAAUAAUAACUCUAUUUUACUUUAAUAAACUAUUCUCAUCAAAUUACCAAAAUUUAUAAUUAAGUGAUAAUUAAGAUACUUAGAAUUCUAAUUAAGUAAUAACUCUAUUUUACUUUAAUAAGUUUAUUAAAAAGCAAUAACUCUAUUUUACUUUAAUAAACUAUUGCUUUUAGGCUUAGUUUAGUAAUGUUUCAAAAAAUGUUUUUAGGAAAAAAAUGUUUUUAAGGAGAAGUAAAAAUUUUUAGCUUUUUAAAAAAAAAUACUUUUUUAGCUAAUUUUUUAUUUGGGAGAAGUAUUUUUUCUUUUAAAAAGUAACUUGUUUAGAAAUAUUUUUUAUCCUAAAAAUAUUUCUUAAAAAUAAUAUUAAACACGCUACACUAAACUGGAAUAUGAUAAAUUAAAAUAUUCAAACUCCUGAUAAGUAAAUUUUUCAUUUAGAUUGAUUGUUGAAAAAAAAAGCUUUAAGGUCUCGCCUGAGAGUGGCGACAUCAAACCUUAAAUAGGAAUAAUUGCUUCAUAAACCUUCAUUAUUUAUUAUUUAUUAUCCUCUUUCAACACCAAAAAUAGAGAAGUCUUAUACCAAUUAGUCCAACAAGUAUUUUUGUAAAAAAUCGAUUCCAACCGGAAAUAGAUUUUAUUUAUUUUUCGAAAAAUAAUUUUUUUUCAAGUAUGUCUGACAUAAUAGUUAAUGAUAUUCAUAAUAAUUUUCUUUUGUUCACAUUAUAUCUGGAAACUAUAAAUUCAACUAAUAAUUAUAAAUUAUACAUAAUAAGAUUUUUCUAAAGUUUUUAUAAUUAAAAUUUUAUACCGUAUACGUAAAUUAAAUUGAUAAUAAGGAUAAUUAUAAAAGCUUUAGAAAAAUAUUAUCAUGUAUAAAUUAUAAUUAUUAGUUAAAUUUAUAGUUUCUAAAUAUAAUGUGAGCGAAAGAAAACUACUAUGAGUACCGUUAACUGCUAAGUCAGACAUAAUUUAAAUAGAAAAUUAUUUUUCUAAAAAUAAAUAAAAUUUAUUUGUGGUUGGAAUCACCUUUUUUACAAAAAUACUUUUAGGUAAAAAAAAUUUUUGGACUAAUUGAUAUGAGACUUCUCUAUUUUCUAUAAAUUUUUACUUAUUAAAGUAAAAAUAAUACAUAAAAUUACUUUUUAAUAAACUUAUUAAAGUAAAAUAGAGUUAUUACUUUUUAAUAAACGAUUCUCAUCAAAUUACCAAAAUAAUACAUAAAAUGCGAAUUAGCUUAUACUUUUUUAAAUAGCUUUACUUUAGGUAAAAUAUAUUUACUUUAAUAAUAAAAUAAAUGGCUUUUAUGAGUAAAAAUCAUAGAUUAAGAGCUUAUUUAACUACAAAAAUAGGUUGAGGACUUGUUUAUUAAAUAAAAAAGUGAGUUGAAGGGGAAUAAAAAGAAAAUAAUAAAUAAGGAGGGCUUAGAAGGCAAUUAGUCAAGUUUCAGUUUUGGCGCUUACACACCCACAUGCACACCAAUUCACUUUCAAAAUUCAAAAUGAUAAAUUUGCAUGUCAGGUCCUUGAAACUGCAGAGAGUUACAUUUUAGUCCUGUGCCGCCAAUCUCUUUGGCACCUUUGGUGCCGCCACAAGUUUUUUUUUUUUGCAGAUUUUUGUUUUUUUAGUAUAUUUUGAUAAAUAAAAAAAAUUAUAAUAUUUUGGUAAAUAAUAAAAAAAGAUAACAUUUUGAUUAUUUUUAUUUUUUAUAAUAAUUUUGUAAAAAACCCGCUGUAUGUAUCUAGAAAUGCCAACAUAAGAAUGUAAUCAUUCAGAAAAAGGGUCCGUCAUGCAUUAUCUAACUUUUAUGAGACGGGACACCAUAAAUUAAUUGAAAACCUAGCAUAUCACAUUGUGGGUUCAAUAUAUAGGUCUAGGCAUUAUGCUUUCAGUCAGAUACUGACCAUCAUUCUUCAGAUCAGUAACUCAACUGUAAUUUUCCCACUCCAAGUUAAAAUAUUGAAGAAUGUUUGGCAAGCGAGAAAGAGAUAAUGAUGAAAGGGCCUUAUUGAAAUAGUGAAUAUAAUAAUAAAUAUGGCAACACGUUUUAAACACGAUUAAGUGAUAUGUUCAACACACACGACUAACAAGAAAAAAUAUGAGAUACAAAGCUAUAAACGGGUAGAAAAAUUAGGAUGGAAUUCACUCUGAGUUAUCUUGUUGGGUCAAUGAAAAAUAGUAGCAUAUCAAUGGACAAUGACAGUGCCUCAUAACCAAUUAACAUUGGGGCAUGGCAGCGCAAGAGAGACAUGAAACAGACAUGGAUGGAAGCUUUCAAGUACAUGGUACGCACAGAUACAUGUGCUCAUUCACUUCUCUUUUUCGUAGGCAUGUGGAAAGUAAAGGAUGACCCCAAACUUCAUAUCCAUAUCGUCCUAAGCUAACAAUUAAUGCAUGGAAGCCCCACAACUAUGUCACCAUCAACAGAACUUAGGCUAUGAUAUUAACAAUAUUUAUUUAUCUCUUCACUUACUUCAAAAAUUUUCUUUUUGAAUCACCAAGGAUAAUUGGAUUCGGGUUAUAAAGGAAGCAUACUUGGAAUUUAAAUAUUGAAUUUCAAAUAUGUGGCACCAGCUUUGAAGAUAUACGAAACUCCACCAGAAGGAGCCUGGAAAUUUUUACUAGAAGACUUAGGGUUACGGGGUACAAUGCUUAUUGAUCCUCUUUGUCGUUUGGUUGGAUUUUAGGUUGGUUUUGUAACCUCUUUUAUUACCAAAAACAAAAACUAAAACACAAAAAAGUUGAAGUACUCAACAUUAUUGAUUAGAAAUAGAAAAGGAAUACUUAUCCUAGAGUUACUUUCAAAAUUAGUUUAAUUCUCGAAGUAAUUAAAUUUAGAGAGAAUAAUCAAGUAGUCGAUAGUUUGGUAUUAAUGACAUCUUCAAGGCUUUCUCUGGGUAGGUAUAUCUACAUGCAACCGUGGGAUGAAAUUAGUUUUAUCCUUCUUCUUGUACCAAAAAAAAAAAAAAACAACAACAACAAUAAAUAAUAAUCUUAUAACUAUUUCUAUCUGCUUCUAUUGUAACAAAAGAUUCCAUUUUUAUGUGCAAAAGGCUCGUAUCAAUAAUUAUGAUUUUACGUAUGGACAAUCUCUCAAUAUCUUGUUCAUUCGCAACAAAAUAUUUUCUUUGUGCGGUGGCAAAAAAAAAAUGCUUUUUUGGGGAGAGAUACUAUUUCACCUUUACCAAUCAAGUCGCAGGUAUCUAACAUAUUCAUAUCUAAUGAUUUUUCACAAAGUGGUGACGAAAGGUAUAACUUGUACAAAUCUUUUCAGUUUGCAAUUCGAUCCGAUCCAUUAGUUUAUAGAGCUAUUUACUCGAUUGCAGACAUUUCUGGAACACCUCUAACAGAGGGACAAAUAGUCAAUUUUGAAAGAAUUUAUUGUCAACCUCUUUCAGAUAUGAAUCCAUCUGAUUCAAAAGAGAAGAACUUACAUCAAUAUCUCAAUUUCAAUUCAAACAUGGGUUUGAUUCACAUUCCAUAUUCUGAGAAAUAUUUAUCAUCCGAUUAAUAAACUAUAGGACGAGGGAUAAUAAAGUGCCUACAUAAUAAAGGACGCAAUCUAGUCCGUUUAGUACUUGAAAUUAAAUAAAUUAAGACAAUUGCCAAAAGAAAAUAAAUAAAUAAAUGUAGUUGAGAAAAAUAGAACCCUGAGUAAAAUAGUAAAUGCAUAAUUGGUUGAAUUUUAAAAAAUAAAAAAAUUGAAAUAUAUAUAUAAUAUUCAUAAAAAUUAUAAAAAAUUCUAAAAAAUUCAAAAAUAUAAAAUGUUUCAAAAAGUUUAAUAAAAAUUUCCAAAAUUUUGGAAUAUAUAUAAGUUUUUUAAAACCUUAUAGAAAAAUUCAGAAAAACAUAUAACCUCUUAGAACUACCUUAAGACUCUGUUACUGACUUCUUAGCUAAUUUUUUAAAUUAUAAAUUAACAUAUAACAAUUGCUUUUACGUUAAAUUGAUGACUAUUGAAAUAAACUUUCUUUGAAAUAAAUUUAAAAAAUUGGAUAAUUUUAGAUUAGAUUUUUUUUGUCAAGAAUAUCCCACAUGAAUUUGUUUAAGUGUUAAUUAAAAAUAUUGUACACGUCAACAUUUGUAAUGCAUGAAUAUAUUUUAUUAUAUUAUUAGUAUGGUUUUUUAUCUGCGUUUUUUGUUGGGUUAAUUAUUUUAGACUAAAUAAUUAUAAUUUAAAGGUUAUAAUAUGCUCCAAGUUUUUGUACUAUUUGUAUAUUUGGAAUUUAAUCUCUAAUUUUUUAUUUUUAAGAAUUUAAUCUAUAUUUUUUAAAAUUAAAAAUUCAAAUCCAAUUGUUAACGUCGUUAAAAUUAUUCUGUUAAAUUUAUUUGUGACAUUCUAUAAUUAAAAAAAGUACUCUCUCGAUAAUCAUGCCACAAAAAAAUGAAAUUAUAAUGGACUUGAAUUUAACAAAAAAAUUAACGAUGUUAACAAUUCUUUAGAUUUACGCCGGCAUUUUAAUUAGAAUAAAAUAUUUAGACUAACCAAUGACAUUAUAAUCGUUGAAGUAUUAAAUUAUAUAAAAAAUUUCAAAUAUAAAAAUCAAAUCUCAAAUUUUAAUAUAGUAAAGGGACCAAAAUUAAAAUUUAACUAUUUUUAUGUAAUUCAAAAGUAGAGAGACUAAAAUUAAAAAUUAACCAUUAACGUUAAGAAUAAAAAAAAAAAAAAAAAGGAAAAAGAAGGAGGCCAAGGGUCAAGGAAGUAAGGCCUUUUAUAUAAAAUUCAAAUCUCAAAUUUUAAGGACCACAAUUAAAAUUUAAUUAUUUUUAUAUAACUAAAAAGUAAAAGGGCUAAAAUUGAAAACUAACCAUUAUCGUUAAGAUUUAAAAAAAAAAAAAAAAGUGUCCAAGAAGAAAGGCUUUAGGGCAUUCCUUAGUAUAGAAAUAUUAUGAAUUAAAUUUUUAUAUAAUUUUUUUUAUAUAUAAUGAAUUAAAUAUACACCUUAUAUUAAAAAUAAAAACUAAUCUACUGCUACAAUCAUCACAACGUGAACAACCACGAAAACUCCAUAUUUACUACUCAUAUUUCAAAGCUAAGCAUAUUAACAUUAAAUCACAACCAUACCAACAACAUUGACAUGCUUAACCAAGUCUAAAUCAUAUAAAUUCCAAUCAUUAGACACAUUAAAUCAAUUUUGGUCUACCAAAUAAAAUAAUAUCAUGUAACAUGAACACUUGCAUUCAAUUCAUCAACAAAUCAUCAUUAUAAAAGUUGCCAAAAUAACUAACAAACUAAAAUAUAUAAAAAUUCAAUACGAGAAUACCAAAUAUUCACCGAAUGACCUAGGUACAUAUCUUAUGUGCUAAAAAUGUUUAAAAGUUACUACAAAAAUUCAUCGACUAACUAAAACUUGACUCGUCGGUCUUGCACAAAUGAUCAGACCAAACUCGAAUCUUCGAAAACUUGUAAUCAGAACAAACAUCUGCAUGCUGAGCUUUCUAUUAAGCUCAAUGGUGUUUGCUAAAAACCAAUUAUGCUAUAUAUGUCCAACAAGACAAAAAGCAUGUUACUAACAAGAAAUUCAGGUUAGAACAUAAUUGGAUAAAUGCACUAUAACAGUCAUACAACAAUAAUAGUUUCCAUAAUUCUCAAUCAAGUUACUUAAGCAUUCAGGCAAUUAAGCAUACAAAGCCUUCUAAGGAUCCAAUUUCUAUAACAACAUCCAUUUCAGUCAUCAUGAUCAUUAUUACGCUCAAUUUAGUAUAUAUCAUUUGCCCUUAUUAACCAAACAUGAAAAAUAAUGAACAGAUACAUGAACAAUCUCUGGACACACCAAAUGUUAUGCCUGAGCAUCAAAUGAACAAUGUUUCUCCAAUGCGUGUAUAACACCACUUGCUCAGACACACCAAGAAUGCACACAAGUUCCCAAGUAAAUGCGGACAAGCACACAAGUAGAUAUGUACAAGAGUGCCACAAUAUGUUCCCAAUCACAAAAUAUAUUAUAUGACAUGCCAACUAUACUUGAACAUAUCCCAAAUUGUUUAAUAGAGAAUUUUAACAUAAAUUUUUUAUUUAACAUCAGCAACCACAACAUUGCAAACAUGUCUUCACCAAAUUUCAACACCAUUAACAUAACAUUAAACAAGUUAAAAGACUAUUUUAAUUCAAGAACAAUAAAAAGGCAUCAAAAAGAAUAUACCAACAAUUUAUCAUGUUCAUGAAAACAUUAAGGAGACAAAUCAUCAAAUCAUCGUAUAUUCUUAGGUCAAUCAACUUAAUCCAAAACAUAUAGUAAAAUUGAGUUCUAAUUAACACAAACAAAAAUUGUUAAAGCUCCAUAUUUUUCUCCUCUCCUUUGGUCUUAGAUGACUCGAUCACCUCCUUUGCUACAACCACACAUCCAAAAUAGUAAAUGAGUUAGAAAGGUCAUAAUCUGACAUUAAAAACUCCUAAAUCUAAUGAUGAAAUGCAAUUCGAUAUUGCAAGACACUUUCUUGCUUCUUACAACCGUUUAAGAGAACUCUAAUAUAAACUUACUAAAAGCAAAAUCUAACAUUAGAACUAAGUUUAGGAACUCUAAAUCUCUCUAAAGUAACUCUAAUUCCUAGCAAAGCUCAAGGUUUCUAAUCUCUCCCUCUAGAGCUCAUCAAUGGCAUCUCUUAAGAACUUAAUCUAAAUUCAAAAUACAUAAGAAGUUUGUUGUUCUAAAGUGAUCUUAAACUCAUAAUCAUCUAAAAUUAGACCUCAAACCAUCAAGAAAUAAUCUGAAUUUGAAUCUCUCACUAGCUUCAAAAUCAUGUGAAUGGGAAAAAGAUUGAAAGAUCUUUUUAAAAUAAUUUUCUAAAGAUUAAAAUUAAGAAAUUGAAGUGAAAAAUCACGUUACCUUUAUCAAAAACCAAAAGAAUAAAUUAAGAAAUUCAAAAAAACUCAACUUCUCUUCUUCCCCUUCAAGAAAUAUGGCACCAUAGAAUAGAGAGGAAAUAUUGAAAUUGUCUUUAUAAAACUUGAUUUUAAGAAAAGAAAUUUGUAAAGAAAUCAACUUACCUAUUUGAAAUUUGUCACAUCCCAAAAUUGGGUCUAGAAGUUUCGAGGGUAAUUUUGGAAUAGUAGCUCAAAAUGAGUUCGGAAAGUAGAUACAUGGUAAGCCAAAAAUGUCUUCAUUUAUGACCUUUUUGAAAAAUUAAAUCAAUUUGUGAAAAUAGCGUGGAAAAAAACUUUAAUUUUAAAGCAUGCUUUUUUUUGAAAAAGGGGUUAAAGUUGAGAGUAACACAAAGGUAAAUAUAUGAAAGUUUUAAAAUUAGCCCAAUUUAUUCCCCUUUCACCCUAAUAUUGACGUGAACAAAAAAGAGAGAAUAGAAAACAUUCCCUUCCCCUACUUGCCGUCAAUUGCAUCCUCAAAACCCAGUUCUUUUAUUCUCAAAAAUCUAAUCUCUUGUUUUCUAUCAUCUUCCAAACAUUAAACCUCCCUAGAAUUACAAAAAAUAGCAUAAAAAACACCAUUAAUUUUGCUAUGGAUUAACUUGUGAGUUUUUUUGAAUUUUCAAUCAAAUGCUUGUUUUCCCCUCAAUCAAGGUAAUGUUUUAAUGUGACUAGAAGGUUUCUAAACUCUUCUUAAAGUUUCGUUAAAGAAAUCGAAGGUUUUGUUGAGUUUUCUUAAAAUUAGCCAUGUAUCUCAAAUUUUUAGAACCAUGAACCUGAGCUAUUUUGUGUGGUUUGAGGGUUACGAAUUAUUCUUAGAUGUAUAAUUAGAUUAUUGGAAUCUAUUUAGGCAAUGAGAAUGAGUAAAGAUUAAGAUAUUUGAGUUUUGAGUUUGUUAGUAAAAAAUUUCAGUUCCAAGAGGAACUAGCCUUAGACAUGUGUUUUUGUUUGUUUAAGGUGUGUUAUGAUUGCUAAUUGAUUGUGUAUAUUGUGUAGUUAUUAUGUGUGAAGCUUCGGAGUCGUUAGGACCUUUUUCGAGUAAGACGAAAGGCAAGGAAAAACUAGUUUAAACUUUCGGCAUCUAAGUGAAAUGUAACACCCCUAACCCCUCUCUGUCUUCAGAUUAGGGCCACGAGCAUUACUAACAAAUCAAAACAAAUAAUCAAUCAUAAUUAAACAUGUAAGCUAGCCAUUAACAUUAUAAUAUACAGGGGCAGGUCACAACAAUCUAAUACUUUCAUGCUAGAAUCUUAUAUAUUUGAAUAAUAAAUUAUGCUAUGCAUUUCUAAACUUGGUCUUCCACUGUCUACACUCUUAUCACUAUUUAUCAUUGCUAAACUUGGUCUUCCACUGCCUACACUCUUAUCACUACUCAUUCCUUCUUGAAUGCUAGAAGUUGGUUACAUACAAGACUAUUCCAAUUAUUAGCAUCAGAGUAUAGGUCAAUACUCCUGUAACACCCUAGAAUUAGGGGUUAGAAGUUUUGAGGUUUGUGUUUAGGGUCAGUGACUAGGUUGAGUAAUUAUGUUUGUUUUCACGUUUAAAUGUUAGAAUGAGCCUCCUGGUUCGGUGGUUGAAUGUGUGUUAGUUUACCUUUGGGUUCUAGGUUCAAACCCUCAUGGGUGUUUUGAAAAAUUAUUUUAUUUUAUUUUAUUUUAGAUUUGUUUUUAACUUUUAAAAUAUCUGUUUAUUUUUAAUUUUAUUGGAAAAAGGCAAAAAAUCUUUUCUCGUCUUCUCUUCUCCUUCUUACACACGUUCUUUUCCUCUCUUUUCACGUUUUUUUGUACUUUAAUUUUGAUUUUCUUGUUUUGCUCCAUUUUCGUGGUUUGUUUUUGUCUUGAUUAGAAUUAUGUUCUUUUGCUUCUACUCCAUUUCUUUUGAUUUGUUUAAAAAUUUCAUCGACAUGAGUUUCCGGGUAAGUAUUAGCAUUGUUUUGUUGAUUAUUCUCUGAAUUUUAGAUUAGUUGCUUAAGGUUUUAUGUGAUUAAUGAGGUUUUCAGAAUUGGUGGAUUUGAUGCGUCGAUCAUUUUUGGGCGUUUAAAUCACGAAUUCAGGUGUGUGUUUGGAAACUCUUUAAUUUCGAUGUCGAAUUUUUGAGUGGGUUCUGUAGAAAUCGAUAAUUUUUGUGGAAUUCAGAAAUUAGUUAAUUGAUGUACUGUGUUGUUAUUAAAUGGUAUAGAAUUCAUUAUAUUUUGAUGUUUUUUCGAGUUAUCAAGGGUUGGGGUUCAUUUUGACAGCAAUUGCAUGAUCUAUAGACUGUUUUGGUGUGGUUUUGUGACCACACAUGUGUGUACUGCACACGGGCAAUUCACAUAGCCGUGUAAAAUUGGGAAUUAGGGUUUUUGGAAAAUUUUGGUGCCACAUGGCCGUAUCCCCUAACCACAAUAGUGUGUGAGAUUUCCACAUGGUUGUGUCUGCUUUGUACCCUAUUUUGUCAAUUUUGGAUAGAGAUUUACGCGGGCUACUCACACAGCCAUGUAACUUUGUCACAUAGGUGUGUGUCUCCUCCAUACGGGCGUGUGCAGUUUGUACACGGGCGUGUAGAAUUUCACAUGGGCGUGUUGACCUCCAUAUGGCCGGGGCACAUGGCCGUGUAGCAUUGUUUCAUAAAUAUUUGCUGUAAGUAAUAAACCGACCCGUUUAAUGUGGUUGUAUUCAUGAUCUGUGUAACUCCCCAAAAUUUAUAAUUUCGUUAUUGUGAAAAUAUGACACAAAUAUCUAUCAACUUUAGUGGUUAUGUGUUCUGGGAGUGUUUGGGAGGUCCCAAGUUCAAGCCAUCGCUUGGGAAAAUUUUGGUAUUUUGAAUGAAUUGGGCCUUACUCUUGUUCAGUAGGCUUUUAUUUGAUUGUUGGGUAAAUUACAUCAGAAUGGGCCUAUUGCUCUGGUGGUUAAAUGGUGUGUUAUUAUGGUGGAGGUCAUGGGUUUGAAUCUUUGGGAUGACAAGGGUUGUAUUUUUUUGCUCUUAAUUUCAGCAAUAGUUGUGCUGAACUGGGUUUCUGAGUGGUGGAUGUGUAGUAGGAAGUGGGGGAGCAAUUUUAGGAGUGAAUUAGGGGAUUAUAGGGGAGUAUAUCCAAAAUCUGAUCAUUUUUUUCCUUUUUCGAAAAAAAGAGAGUCAUUUUUCUCUCUAUCUUUUGACGUUUUCUCUCUCCCAUCUCUACCGAAUUUUUUUCUUCUUUGCUUCUUACUCGAUUAUCUUUUUUUUCUUUCCUCUACUACCGAAAUUCCCUUGUUCCCCCCUAAACCAAUAAGUACAGUUUAUUAUUUAAAAUUUCCCCUGUUCUUCUAUUUGACAGUUUCAACCUUUUUGCACUAAACCAAUAAUUCUGAAAAUUUUAUAGUAAGAAGAUAUGUGAGUCUGGUUUUAGGAAAAAAUUUCGGAUAUUAAUUCGAAAUUCUGUAGCUUAAGAUACAAAUUAUUUAGUAACAGUGAAUCAAGUAGACAACUUUGAAAGAUCAUAUAAGUAAAUAGUGGAAACACAUAUGAAUAAUUAACUAGCACAGGUUACAUUAAAAUGGAUUGCGAAGCCAAGGCCAAUUUGGGUCAUAUGGGCCACACGGGCGAACAUUAUGGGCUUGUAGGCCCUUUUUACUGUUUGACUGAUAAGGUUGCACGGGUCACCCAAGUCGACUGUGAACCUACUAUACGGUCAGUAAGCUUACCUAGACCCCUAAUUGACUGAAAGGAUUGUAUGACUGAUAUGAUUAAACCUGAUGAUGUCCCACUGAUUUGAUACUGUAUACCCUGUUUACAUGCAUGAUAUUAUGUUAUAGCAUGUCAUAUCUGUAUAUUGUAUUGCAUUGGGUUGGAGGAUUGUAAUGUUUGGAGGAACUGUACUGAAAGGCCUCAAGCCUAAUGUACUGGCAGCUCAGCUGCAAACUACUGUCUAGUGCCGCAUUCGAUACUAUUUGGAGUGUAAUGAUGGGUGAGUUGAUUAUAUCCCCACAUGGAGCGUAGGGUUGGACGGAGAUAGUGUGUAGAGGCUGGAUGGGUAGGUUUUUUUCUGACUGCAUAUUUGUUACUGUUACUGAUACUGUGAUGGGCUAAAGCCCUACUGUAUGAUUAUUUCUGUACUGAGAUGGGCUAAGGCCCAAACUGGACUAAUACUGAUACUGAAAAGGGCUUAAGCCCAGACUGUGAUUCUCUGUUUACUGUCUGUACAUUUGUAUGGGGAUUACACACUGAGUUUACGUAAACUCACCCUUCUGUUUAAUCUGUACAGGUAAUCCCCAGAUAUAGGCGGAACGGUGCGGCGGAGGACUCAGCGGUGGCCACACGACUUCUUUUACAUUGUUUAUUACUUAGUUAUGAUUUUACUUUUAUUUGGGAGUAUUUUCUGUAAAUAUGGCCUUUACGAAUUUUAGUUUAAAAUUUGGAUUUUAUACAAUUUUAUGAAUUAAAUUUGCUAUUGUUAGGUAAAACUCGAGUCUUGAAAUGAAAUUAAUGUUUUAUCAAAAAUAACACGAAUAAGAAAACUGUUUAAAAGCUUUUGAAAUAAAAAUAAAAAUGAACAUUUUGAAAUUGAAUAACGAUUUGUAAAUGAAUAAUUUUUUAGAAGCGAACGACACGAUUUGAAAUUAACAUAAGAAAAUGAAAAAAAUGGUUAAAUAGAAAAGGGGAUUUAGCAUGUGACAUCGUCAGAUUCGGCCAUAACGUUUAGGCCGGGUUUGGGGUGUUACAUUUAGUGGUAUCAGAGCCAGGUUGUAAAUCGGCUGUAGAUUAUGGGUUUUAUAAAAAAAACCAGGUUGUAAAAUUCGGCUGUAGAUUAUGGGUUUUAUAAAAAAAUUUGGCUUUCGUAGAAAAAUUGGGCUUUUGUAAAACUGAAUAAGUGGUAAACGAGUCUCCGGCGUCGAUCCUGUAAGUAUUAUGAACUGUGAUUUGUUAUAAACUGAAACUGUUACAGAUAGUAUAUUCUGAAACUAAUAUAGGUAGUAAACUGUACUGAAAACACUCUAGAUAGUGUAUACUAAAAAUUAUAGAGAAACUAAAAACUGUAGUAAGACUGAGAUUUACGAAAACGAACUCUGAGUAACCGAUGCUGUUUUACAUAAAAUAUUUGUUAAUAAACAGUUGAACUGUAACUGAUUCGUAAAACUUAUAAUAUCAGAUAAAUCUGAUUAGAUAUGAGCACCGAGGUAUCCGCGGAUGGGGUACUAGAGGCCAAGGUAAAGGUCGUAGAGGGGCUCGAGCUGAGUCAUUAUCACUAGGCAGUCUGCUAAAAUUUGGAUACGAGUGAGACGCCAGUGUCGCCUGCUACUGAGACUGGGUCUCAAGAUUGCAUGGCUGGGGACGAUGCAUUAUCCCAAGCUAUACUAAGGAUUUUGGAAAGGGUCGCUAGGCUCAAUACUGGAUUGAGGGCCGAUGAUCGGUUACGGAACGACUCUGGUCCAAUAGAGUUGAGCUCUUUAGGGGUGUCACUAGGGUCACCCUUAUGUGGCCGAGUAUGAGGUUGACUUUUUGAGACUGAACCGCUAUGCGCGAGGUAUGGUGGCAUCUGAGUAUGAGCGAUGUGACCGCUUUCAGGAUGGCCUCAGAGAUAAUUUGAUAGUGCUGAUAGCCCCGCAGAGGGAGUGAGAUCUUUCUGCUCUAGUCGAGAAGGCGAAAAUUGCUGAAGAGGAUAUGGAGGUAGUCAUGAUCGAAAAACGUCGAAACUACUUAUCUAAUGUGAUCUCUACACUGGUGGUGGAGAAGUUGGUUCGUAAGGGAUGUGAGUCAUUCUUGGCCUAUGUAAGUGUUUCGGAUUCUAGGGGCUCUACAGUUAAGGAUAUCAGAACGGUAAAAGAUGUUCCAGACGUCUUUCCUGAUGAGCUAUCGGGUUUACCUCCGAAUCGUGAAGUGGAGUUUGGGAUAGGUCUCCUUCUUGGUACUGCUCUGAUGUCCAUCGUUCCCUAUAGAAUGGCACCGAAGGAGCUUGUGGAGCUUAAGGCUUAGAUUUAAUAGCUUUUAGAUCGUGGGUUCAUCUGCCCUACUGUGUCUCCGUAGUGAGCACCAGUUUUAUUUGUAAACAAAAAGGAUGGAUCCAUCCGUAUGUGCAUCGUCUACAGGAAGUUGAAUAAAUUGACCAUUAAGAAUAAGUACCCCUUACCGAGGAUAGAUGAUCUGUUUGGCUAGUUUUGAGGAGCUUCGAUUUUCUCUAUGAUUGACCAUUGAUCUGGAUAUCAUCAAUUAAGGGUUAAGGAGGCUGAUGUUCAUAAGACGGUGUUUAAGACUCGUUAUGGUCAUUACGAGUUCCUAGUGAUGCCAUUCAGACUAACUAAUGCAUUGGUAGCUUUCAUAGAUUUAAUGAAUCGAGUGUUCCAGCCUUAUCUGGAUCAGUCUGUGGUGGUAUUCAUCGAUGACAUAAUGGUUUACUCAAGGAUUGAAGAUGAGCAUGAUGAGCACCUUCGAGUCAUUCUUCAGACUUUGAUGGAAAAACAGCUCUAUGCUAAGUUUAAUAAGUGCGAGUUCUGGCUGUGUGAGGGGACAUUUCUUGGUCAUGUAGUUUUAACUGUGGGGAUUCAAGUUGAUCCUCGAAAGAUUGAGGCUGUGUUGAAGUGAAAGCAGCCUAGGAACGUGUCUAAGAUUCACAGUUUUCUGGGACUGGUGGGAUAUUAUCGAUGAUUUGUAGAGGGUUUUCAUUGAUUGCAGUACCCUUGACUAAGCUGCUACGUAAGGGUGUGUCUUUUAACAUGACUAAUUCACAACAAGAGAGCUUUAAGAAGCUUAAGACUGUACUGACUAAUGCCCCUGUUUUGAUACAGCCAGAGCUUGGAAAGGAGUUUACUGUUUAUAAUGAUGCAUCACAUGUCGGUUUGGGAUGUGUGUUGACGCAGGAUGGUAAAGUGGUAGCCUAUGCAUCUCGUUAGCUUAAGACCCAUGAGGCGAAUUAUCUGACACAUGACUUGGAGUUGGCCGCUGUGGUAUUCGCAUUGAAAAUCUGGAGGCAUUAUUUGUAUGGUGAGAAGUGUAUCAUCUAUACUGAUCAUAAGAGCCUCAAGUAUCUCCUCACUAAGAAGGAGCUUAAUCUUAGGCAGGGUAAAAUGAUUGAGCUGCUUAAAGACUAUGACUGCGCCAUUGAGUACCACCUUGGUAAGGCCAAUGUGGUGGUUGAUGCACUGAGCCGUAGGGCUAUGACUGAUUUUAGGGCGAUAUUUGCUCUCCUAAGUUUAUUUGAUGAAUGGUAGUUUAUUAGUCGAGCUUCAAGUUAAACCAUUAUGGAUUGAGCAGAUUAAGGGUUAGUAGUUAGAGGAUGAGUCGUUGGGUUUUCGAUUCCGGCAGAUGGAGGGUGGUAGUACUACGGAUUUUGGACUAAAUAGUGAUGGGGUACUCUGUUUCUAUGGGAGAAUCUAUGUUUUGAAUGAUACUAAUUUGAGACAGGCCAUACUGAGAAAGGAGCAUAGUUAUAUUGGUUGCUAGGGUUGGAACGUGAGGUUACUGAUUUUGUGGGUAGAUGUCUAACUUGCCAGCAGGUUAAGGAUGAGCAUCAAUUACCUUCGGGUUUGCUGCAACCGGUUACAAUUCCUCUUUAGAAAUGGGAGUGCGUAACUAUGGAUUUCGUUAAUGGGUUGCCUUUAACACUCACUAAAAGGAUUCAAUAUGGGUCAUCAUGGAUCGAUUGACCAAGUCCACCCACUUCAUAUCGAUUCGUAUUGAUUAUUCUCUGCAGAAGCUGGCGAAGCUUUAUAUUUCUGAGAUACUGAGACUGCAUGGAGUACCGGUUUCGAUCACCUCUGAUAGGGAUCCUCGUUUCACGUCUUGGUUUUGGAAGAAGUUACAUGGGGCUCUAGGUUCAAGGUUGGACUUCAGUACUGCAUUCAAUUCUUAGACCGAUGGUCGGUCUAAGAGGGUGAUUCAGAUACUGGAGGACAUGUUGAUGGGAUACCGCUCUGAUUCUACUCAUAUUGUUCCUGUUGAAGGGAUCGAGGUUAGGCCAGAUUUGACCUUUGAAGAAGAGUUGGUUUAGAUUCUGGAUCGCGACGUUAAGGUUCUGAGAAGGAAAUCCAUUCCACUGGUAAAAAUUCUGUGGCGUAAUCAUAGCAUCGAGGAGGCCACGUGGGAGCCUGAGGAUGCAAUGCAUCAGAUGUAUUCUCACCUAUUCUAAUCAGGUAAAAUUCGAGGAUUAAAUUUUCUUUUAGGGAGGUAGAAUUGUAACUCCCCAAAAUUUCUAAUUUCAUUAUUGUGAAAAUAUGACACAAAUAUCUGUCAACUUUAGUGCUUAUGUGUUCUGGGAGUGUUUGGGAGGUCCCAAGUUCAAGCCUUUGCUUGGGCAAAUUUUGAUAUUUUGAAUGAAUUGGGUCUUGCUCUUGUUCAGUAGGCUUUUAUUUGAUUGUUGGGUAAAUUACAUCAGAAUGGGCUGCUGGUCUGGUGGUUAAAUGGUGUGUUAUUAUGGUGGAGGUCAUGGGUUCGAAUAUUUGGGACGACCUAGGUUGUUUUUUUUUGCUCCUAAUUUCAGCAAGAGUUGUGCUGAACUGAGUUUCUGAGUCGUGGAUGUGUAGUGGGAAGUGGGGGAGCGAUUUUAGGAGUGAAUUAGGGGAUUAUAGGGGAGUAUAUCCAAAAUCUGAUCAUUUUUUCCAUUUUCGAAAAAAAAGAUAGUCGUUUUUCUCCCCAUCUUUCUGACGUUUUCUCUCCCCCAUCUCUACGAAUUUUUUUCUUCUUUGCUUCUUACUCGAUUAUCUUUUCUUUUCUUUCCUCUACUGUCGAAACUCCCUUGUUCCCCCUAAACCAUUCUUUCCUCUUGAUUCCGUAGCGUUAAGCAUUGUGCAAAUUCAGUAAGUUUUUGGGUAUCAUUUUAAGAGAUUAUUUUGUGUUCAAUAGUCUAAUUCUGGGGUGUUGGCAACAGCAUUUCGCGAGGAUUAAGGCUGUCAUCGUGAUUUUCGUAAAUGUACUGAUUUGAAGUUUUUGCGGUAAGUGUUCAUCGUUUUAUGAGUAAGUAUUUUGGUUUCGAGAUUUUGAUUAAUAGUGAGGUAAGAUUGAUUAUGGUGUUAUUUGUUCAAUUAUAGGCUCUGAAGUGCUCGAUGACUGUUUUAGCAUCAAACAGAACGAGGUGUGUACCCGAAACACAAAAAUAAAGGAUUCGGCGAAAAGCUAAAAUUGCUUGCUGUUUGGACAGUAGCAGUAGGGUAAGUUUGAAAAAUUAGCAUAAAUUGUGGAAAUCGAAUUAGAGGAUGAAAAGAAUAUGAUAUUAAAGAUAUUUGAGUCUAGCUUCUCAUAGAAGAAACUAAGUAAGCAAAAGAAUUUCAUAUUAUGUGAUAUUUGAAUUUUAGUGAGAGAUGGUCAGAAUGAUUUCAGAAUCCCCUAUCUUGAAUUUAGAAAAUCAUUAAAAAUUGUAUAAAAAUAAUUAUAUGUUAUAAUUUAUAUUUUUAAAAUCUUGAAUGAGUCUACUUUCAAGAGAAAUAAACGAGAACAUCAUCCACAUUCUGUACAGGAAGAUAAUUAAUUUUUAGUACAAAAAGGUUGAAACUGUCAGACAGCAGAACAUGGGAAAUUUUAAAGAAUAAACUGUACUUAUUGGCUAAACUAAUAAUUCUGAAAAUUUUAUGGUAAGAAGAUAUCUAAGUCUGGUUUUAGGGAAAAUUUUUGGAUCUUAAUUUGGAAUUUUGUAGCUUAAGAUACAAAUUAUUUAGUAACAGUGACUCAAGUAGACAGCUUUGAAGGAUCAUAUAAGUAAAUAGUGGAAACACAUAUGAAUAAUUAACUAGGACGGGUUAUAUUAAAAUGGAUCACGAGGCCAAGGCCUAUUUGGGUCAUGUAGGCCACAAAGGCGAACAUUAUAGGCUUGUAGGCCCUUUUUUACUGUUUGACUGAUAAGGUUGCACGGGUCGCCCAAGUCGACUGUGAAACUACUGUAGGGUCGGUAAGCUUACCUAGACCCCUAAUUUAUUGAAAUGACUUUAUGACUGAUAUGAUUAAGCCUGAUGAUGUCCCACUGAUUUGAUACUGUAUCCCCUGUUUACAUGCAUGAUAUUAUGUUAUAGCAUGUCAUAUCUGUAUAUUGCAUGGCAUAGGGUUGAGGGAUUGUAAUGUUUGGAGGAAGUGUACUGAAAGACCUCGAGCCUAAUUGACUGGCAUCUCAGCUGCAAACUACUGUCUAGUGCCGCAUUCGAUACUACUUGGAGUGUAGGGAUGGGUGGGUUGAUUAUAUCCCCACAUGGAGUGUAGGGUUAGACGGAGAUUGUGUAUAGAGGCUAGAUGGGUAGGAUUUUUGUGGUUGCAUAUCUGUUACUGUUACUGAUGCCGUGAUGGGCUAAAGCCCUAGUGCAUGACUGUUUUUGUACUGAGAUGGGCUAAGGCCCAAACUGGAUUGAUACUGAUACUGAAAAGGGCUUAAGCCUAGACUGUGAUUAUCUGUUUACUGUCUGUACAUUUGUAUAGGGAUUACACACUGAUUUUAUGUAAAGUCACCCCUUAUGUUUAAUCUAUACAGGUAAUCCCUAGAUAUAGGUGGAUCAGUGCGGCGGAGGACUCAAUGGUGGCCACACGACUUCUUUUACACUGUUUAUUACCUAUUUAUGAUUUUACUUUUAUUUGGGAGUAUUUUGUUGUAAUUGUGGCCUUUACGAAAUUUGGUUUAAAAUUUGGAUUUUAUACGAUUUUAUGAAUUAAAUCUACUAGUGUUAGGUAAAACUCGGGUUUCAAAUGAAAUUAAUGUUUUAUCAAAAAUACCAUGAAUAAGCAAACUGUUUAAAAGCUUCCGCAAUAAAAAUAAAAAUAAACGUUUUGAAAUUGAAUAACGAUUUAUAAAUGAAUAAUGUUUUGGAAACGAACGACACAAUUUGAAAUUAACAUUACAAAAUGAAAAAAAAAUGGUUAAAUAGAAAAGGGGAUUUAGCGACGACAUAUUUUUCUAAAAGCACUACAUGUGACAUCGUCAGAUUCGGCCAUAAUGUCUAGGCCGAGUUUGGAGUGUUACACUCUCGGUUAGGCCUCUAUAAGUGUGUGGGGACUCUGUCUCAGCUCAGAUUUUUUCGUUUGUUUUUAAUUAUGUCAUCAAUUUAUUAGUUUGUAUAAAUGUUAUGUGAUGUUACCUAGUAAAUAAAUACAGACAUAUCUGAUUCUGAAUCUGAUCGAUUGAAUAUAUGAACUUCUAUUUUCGAAUAACUGUUGUAUGAUUAUCUGUAAGUUGUAUGCAUUGUGCAUCUUCAUGAAAAUCUGGGAUUUGGUUAUGAAGAGAAGGAAGUCUAAUUCAGUAGUUUAACUCCGUUACCUAAUAGAGGUGAUAUCGCAAUAUAAACAUAUGAUAGCUUAGCUGCAUAUUAUUAUUAUUUCGAGUGGCUUAGUUCCACAUAUGUGGUGUGUAGGGUGGAUGGGCCUUUCAAGGUCUUAAGUGGUGUGCAGGGUUGGUUCGGCGAGAUUUUAUUUUGGAUGUAUUCAUUUCACAUUUAGGUAUAAUUUGUCCGUGUGAUAUUGGGAUUGGUUGAGAAAUCAUUUGAAAGUCCGACAUGACUUAAGUAACUUGUAUGUUUGAUUUAAUAUCACUAUGUUAAGUUUGAUACACGAGUCUAUUCGUAAGUCUAAUUAUUAUCACGAGUUGUACAUAGUGUGAUGAAUGUAAUACCCUGAAUGGAUUGUGGAAAUGUGUUUGUACUUCUGACCAUCGGUUUAAGAUUUUCGUUCUCUGAAUGUGUACUCUAUUUUGGGUUAUUUGCUUUGCAUCCUCGUUCUUUGUUAUCAUUUUUGGUUUCGGACUCACACUGAGCUCGUGUAGCUCACCCCCUUAGUUUUCUCCCUUUUAGGUACCCUCGUGUUCUAUAGUUGAACUUGGCAAUCAGAGGUCUUGGAGUAAUGCGUUUUGAAUCGAGCUAAUAAAGUUCUAUUCAAUUCUUAAAUUAUUAAGUUGUUUUGGAUUGUUAAUGUUUUAUAUGAGUUCUGGUAUAAAUUUUUAAUUUGGACUUUCUUAUAGUGUUAAUUGGACUGAAUUUUUUGAAAACUGUGGAUUUAUAUUUCUGAAUGUUUUUAACGCAACUUAAAUACUGAUUCGAUUCCUAAAUUGUUAAACAAUUUGGUUCGAAUAAGAAAACUAUGUUCGAAAUGACUUUUUAAUGAUUCCUUAUGUAAAUUGCUUUUUAAUCACUUCGGUAAUCAAUGUGACCUCCGAGGUCCGGUCGAAAAUUCUAGGCCAGGUUUUAGGGUGCUACAACUCUCACUAUUUAUUUUCUUCAUUUUCAGUGAUGUUAGUGGAAUGCACUUAAUUUAGGUUUGCUAAUCCAUUCCAAUUCAAAAUAAAAUUUACUCUUACAACCCCUAUUUCGAGUCUACAGGACCUUAAAAAUAAUUUAAAAAUAGACAGUGACUAAUUUGGAACAAUUCUGAAGGUUUAAGGUCAUUUCUAAAAAUUCCUAAAAAUAGGGGACAUACGGCCGUGUGGAAUACCCCAGGCCAUGUGACUCUCGAAGUUGGGACACACAACCCUAUCCCAGCCUGUGUGACUCACUGACUUGGGUCACACGCCCAUGUGUGUUACCUAUGUGUCAGACCAUGUGCACCUAAAAGUACCUUAAAACUCAAGUUUACCAUUUCCUACUUGCUUGGACACUAAGCAACUCAAUUACCAAUCAUAUAACCUAUUCAAAACAUGAUUAAACAUGCCCAAAAUAUACCAAAUUCAUCACUUAAUAUGUCUAACCAAUGUACCCUAAUUGGUACCACAUUUUAUAAGUUCAAAGCACAUCAACAAGGCAUUAAUCAUUCAAGACUUCCAUCCAUAUCAAAUUUACCUAUAUAGAACUAAUCUUUAGCUAUUUAAGCUAUCAAGCUUUAAACCAAAAACAUACCAAGCAUUAGGCUAACAUACUAUCAUAGUCUCAACCACAACCAUAUACACAUUUAACCAUCAUUCACUAGCAACUAAGAUAACAACACUUUAUAACAAUAUCGACAAAAGACUUCCUAGGUACAUGCCAUUACAAAAUAAGAUAUCACUACACUUGAGCUCGAGAUUUGUGAUUUGAUGCUUAGUCGGGGAUAAGUCGAACAGUACCUAGCUUGCGCACAGAAAACAAAACUGCACACUGAGUAAAACUCAGUGGUAUUUCUAUAAUCCGAAUGAUAUAAACUUGAUAUAAGUAAUUAAAAUGAAAUAUGCAACAAAUAAGCUAUGUCCAUGUGUUUCAAUUCAAUAAUAUAAUUUUUGCUCAUUCGUUAUUCACAUCUACAAAGAUUCUCACAUGUUCAAACAUAUAUUAAUGGCAUGUCAUAUAUCAUUUGCAUAUUACAUCUCAUGCAAUGGCAUGAUUCAUUCUUUGUUCACUACUUGAAUUCUUUUCAAGUUCCACAUCUCAUUUCAUCAUUUCAUAUCUCAUUUCUCAUAAUUCAAUUCAUAUUCACAACAGUAUACUAUUUCAUCUUUUCCAUUUCAAUAUUUUCUCAUCUCAUUUCCAUUUCUCAACCAUGCCAUUUCAAUAUCGAACACAUCAAUUUUAUCGUUUAUUUUCCCUAUUAACACGACUCAGACUCGGACAGGUAUAUGGAUCCAACCAACACACUAGUUUGGCACCUAGUGCCUUAUCGAAUAAAUCUGAAAUAAUAACUACGCCCAACGCUAUAUAAAUUGACACCCAGUGUCUCAUUGGUUAAACCGAAGCAAAUUGGCACCCAGUGCCUCAUCGACUCGAGGUCGAAGUAAUCCAUAAAAUCUUUCUAUCCUAUAGCAUGCCAUCUAUAUCCAACUCAGCCCAAACAGUUAAUAUGGUUUCAUUUCACUUUUCAAUACAAUCGAUGUCUCAAUUUCACAUAUAUUCACAUCAUCACAUAUAAUCAAUUCAAUAAUCAUUUAAUCAACCUAUUUCAGAAUAUACAAAAUCAAUCAAUUUCCAAUCCAUUUUGAAUUCAAUUCAAUAUCAAGUACCAAGAACUCACCUCAAAUGUUCAUCAUAUGCAAACAAUUAAAUAUGCAACAAUCUACUAUUUAAUUCAGAUUAUAGAAACACAAACCGUGAAUUUCGAGCUAUUCGACGUCGAUUUUAUCCUUCCCCUUUUUACUCGAGGAUUCCGGUACGAUGUUAGCUAUGGAAUAAAAAAAAUAAAUUACAUUAGUACGACACAUUUCAAUUUCACAUAAAAUUUCAAUUUUCACACUAUAUUUUGCUUAUUCAUCAAUUUAGUCCCUAAACCGAGACUAGGUUAUUACCUUCACAUUUAACUUUAUAUUUUCAUACUAAUUUCACUCUAAGCUAAAGUUAGCUUCCUUUUCUUCCAAUUCAACCCUUUAAUUUUUAAUUUUUCUCAAUUUAGUCCCUAUUGGUCUAAAUCAACAAUUUAUUCCACAAUUUAGCCCUUUUUUCACUUCUAACUUAAAAAUCUAUCUAUUUAAUCCCUAAUACUUAAACUAUUCAACAAUGUAAACAUCUAAAAUCUUGAACAAUAAUAAAAAUUACAACAUGGGCCGGGUAGCCCUAGGUAUCAAGAUUCCAAAAAUGUAAAAAUUAUAAGAAAAUGGACUAAAUUGACUAACCAAUUGAACUUGAAAAGUUCAAAAACCCUUAGGUUGUCGUCGGCCUCUUGUUUUCUCUCUCUUUUUCUUUCUUUUAUUACAUGUUUCCAUUAUUAUUAUUAUUAUUAUUAUUAUUAUUAUUAUUAUUAUUAUUAUUAUUAUUAUAUACAUAUAUUAACUAUCAUAACAUAUACAUAUAUAAAAUAAGUUAACAUAUAUAUAAUCAUCAUUAUUGCCGUCCACUUUAAUCAAACAAUGGCACAAUUGCUUCUUUAGUACCUUUAAUUUAUUUCAAUCUAUAAUUCAACUUUUAAGCCUUACGUGAUUUAGUCAUGUACCUUAAUAAAUUAUAAUUUCACGAAAUUUAAUAAUCCAAAAAUUUAAUUAGCUACGCAACUAACUUUAUAAAUAUUUAAUAAAAGAUAUUUACGAGUCCAUUUUAUGAAAAUGGAGUCCCAAAAAUACACUUUUCGACACCCUUGACUAUCAGGUUGUUACACGAAAGCACGAACAGUGAGUGUUUGGAAUCACGACUUGUAGACAAGAUUCAUAGUGUUAAAUGGGAGCUGAGGAGUAGCCUAAACCCCUACUCUAAGUUCUGAGUGUAAGUUAUCUUAUAUCCUCGUUUAAUUUAUAAAUUUUGUGGUUAUGUGAUGUGGAUUGUAUAAUAUGGUGUGAUAAUGUGACAUGUGAUAUAUAUGUUGCAAUAACUAUUGUAGAAUGUGUUAAUUGUGAGCGUGCCAAACAUGCCGAAUGCUAGAGAUGACGUUGUAUUAGUGAUGUAAAUGUGGUAUGAAAGUGUACAGAAAACGGUAAGUAUAUAUGUGUUUUAUUGUGGAUAUUUUGGCCUUGUGACCUUUUGAGACCAUUGGAUAUAGUUGGCAUGCCAUAUGAUUUGUGAGUACUCACCCUUGUGUUGUGCUUUUGGGGCAUUGAGGCUUGAGAUAGUUUUUGAGAGAUGAAGGAAUGUGAGCUCAGCUCCAUUCACCGAGAUAUGUUGGUAUGUUGGAGAGUGUUACCUAAAUGUUACGCUUUUGGGAUAUGUUUGACUCAUCGAGUCAUUGAUGUAUUAGAGAUCCGUGCAUCCAAUAUGUGGUGAUAGAGCCCACUUUUAUGUUUCAUAGCUUAAAAGUCAAUUUAUCGUUGAAUGUAAUAUUAUGAAAUAUGAUGUAUGCCUUAUUACUAUUAUUUAAUUGAAAAGUUAGAAGAGUUGGUAAUUGAUGCAUGAAUAUUUUAAUAUGUUACUUUAGUCAAACGUGUAUGUAAUUUAUGUUUUAGAUGUUUUCAUUUAGCACAUGUUAUCAUGUUUAUGUGGUGAUCUUUCCAAUCAUUUACUGAGCUUGUUUAAGCUCACCCACUCUUUCUAAACAUUAUAGAUAGUUAGCGUUGAGGUGUGAGCAGUGUGGAAUUCCAAGGAAGUGAUCCAAGUUAGGCUUUAUAUUUUGAGUAGGUGAAACUCUUAUUAGUCUUUGAACUGUGAGAAUAAGGCAAUGUGGUAGACAUUUUUGGUUGAUUAUUAUUAUGUCAUAAAUGGUUGAUAUGAUUUUAGAAUCUUAGGAAUUUUAAUGGAUGAUUGAUAUUAUGAUAUUGUGUUGAUUUGGCUUAAAAGUACUGAUGAUUAUUUGAACUGCAAUUAUGGAUAUUUUUUAUGUUGAAUGUUGAGGUUAUAGAAACAUGUUGAAGUGAUAUAUGUUUGGUUGUGUUAAAUGCCCUGUUUUGCUGUAAUUUUUGUUGGUUUGUACAGAGGUAUCAAUAUUCGGGGCAUAUGUAUCGAUACCUCCAUGUUAAAACAAAUGUGCAGGAAAUAGUAGGUCAUUUUGGUAUCCAUACUAAUUCUGGAGUAACGAUGCUCGGGGUGAAAAAUAUAUAUACUUUUGUAAUGUAUCGAUAAACUGUCUGGUUUUGAAUUUUGUAGAGAAACAAAAUGUUAAAAAGGUAUCAGUUUUUCAAACGGUAUCGAUACCCAUUAUGAGAAAUAUCGAUACCAGUGAGUAUGUAUCGUUACCUACGUGACUUUUUGGAAAUUUUCGUUAAGCGGUCUUUAAGCAUGUUUUUAACUUGAUUCAAGAUAAGUUAAUGUAUGUUUAGUAAAUUUUAAUGUCGGCUAGGGUAUUUUAGACUUAAAACACCCACAAAUGAUUAUAUGUGAUGAUAGUUGUAUAGAAAUGAGACGGUGUGUAAUGUGUGAUGUUGUGAUGUGUCAUGUGGCGUCCUGUUACUCAGGCUCGGUGACUGGGCCGAGUAUAAGGUGUUACAAAAUUGAUGAGUGAAAUCAAGAUUUGAAAAUAAAUUUGAGAUAUUUUGAGAGAAAAUAAAGAGAAAUUGGUGUAGAAGAUGAAAAUGGCUUCAUGAAAAUAACUGUUCCCUCCUAUGACUAUUCCUAAAUAGUAAAUUUUCUAAGAUAACCUUCGGCAAUUGAACACAUAAUAACCGCCCGUCUAUCUAAUUCUACUGUCUAAUUCUAAGACAUUGACCACGAUAAAUUUGACUCUCUUACAAUAAAGUCCAUAUAUCAAAACUCUAAUUUUUAAAUGCCAAAAAAAUAAUGCAAUUUAAUAAUGCUCUAAUUAAUGAACCUCAAAGUCAAGCCAACAAUCAUUCCUAAACUAAGUUUAACUUCUCAGAAUGGCUCAAUUAAAGAAUUCUCAACAUUUUUUAAUUUCCAAUUUUUGAAAAUUUUGGGGGCAUUACAUUCCCAUUUCUUUUCAAUUUAAUUCUUAACGCAAUAUAUACCCAAUUGCUUACUAAAAAUCAAAAAAAUAUAUAAAUUCUCUUCUAAAAGAAUUCAAUUCUAGUAUUAAAAUUUCUUACAUAAUUAAUUUUCGGUAAACCUUACGCUGUUUUAUCUGAAUUCUUUGCUCGUAAGGUUUUCCUUAAAAUUGAAAAAAUUUUAGAAAAAAUAUUGAAGAUGAUCUCAAUCUAGGUAUUACAAUCUAAUUUUAACCUACCUUCGACAAUUUUAGUGAAAAACUACAUAAGUUGCAUAUGAUCUUUCACUAUAUUCCCUGCCUUUAUGCAUAGAAGCCAUAACAAAUUUUGAUUCCAAAUACGUCAAGCUAAUAUAUAUUAGAUUUUAAGCAUAUCCCCAAAAUUUUAUGAUUUUCCUUAAGAAACCAAUAAAUCUACCAUGUUACUUUAAAAAAUCAUGGUAAUGCUUACAAGCACUUGGUACCAAGAAAUAUCAAUUAACUCAAUAUUUAUUGAGUACGGGAAUUAGGAGAACUAAAUAGUGAACAUUAUUUAUCAAGCAAAUAUUGUAAUUUUUGUAACACCCCAUACCCGAUCGGAUCACCGAACUUGAGCUAUCAAACGCCAUAUUAGCCACUUAAGUGACCCUCCAUUAACAUCCAACCUAACCUCUAUCACACCACAAUGUAAAACAUAAAAUAUGUCCUAAGUUAUUAAUGUACAACAGAAUAUCAUAUAAGUACUUUCAUCAAAGCUCCUAAACUAACUUCCAUUCAAUAUUUUUCGAAUACAACUAAGGGUUCAUAAACUUAUAAGGGUUUUCAUGUUAGUUCAUCUAACGUUCGUUUAUUAGUUUUCAUAAGGUUCGCAGAAUAACUUCAUUAAGUGUUUGCCUUGCACAAAGGUUCUAGGUUUACCUAAAUAGGGUUGGUCUUGCGAACAGGGUUCGCAAAUAGAUAAAUUCCUUUAAACAGGGUAAGGUGUGCGAACUACCCCUAUGCAUUCAAAUUCCGUGAACUCAGUUCACAGGGUUUUCUUAUUCUGUAUUAUCAAAAUUCUUUAGAGGUUUGCUUGGAAAUAGUUCACUAACUGUUAGGUUUGGCACCUUAUCAUUUCAUACUAACUUUGACGAACUCUUUCUAAGUUGACAAUUUGAUUCAUUACUUGAUGUUGUUUAUGGUGAACACUAUGUUUUGCAAUUAAAUUACUUAAAUAUGAAUUUGUGAUUUAGAUAAACAUCAAUUCAUACUUGGAAUAUAUUCAUGUACUUAAAACUCAUAUGUUUAUAAAGUGAUAUAGGUUCGUAAAUAGAAGCAUUAAGAGAACAUAAGGAGUCAUAAAGAAAAUAAUUAGGUCCUAAGACAAACAACAAAGUCAUCAGAGAGAUAUCUCUAAGCCCAUGCAUAAUUCCCACAUUGCCUUUAAUCCAAAUUCCAUUUGUAUCACCUCUUUAGCAUUUAUGCUUCCUGGAUCACCCGCCUCACCACUAUUCACCAUGCGAUCUAACUAUCUGUAGUGUUUAGAAAAAAAAUGUGAGCUCUUACGAACUCAGAGAAUAUACAAGAAAGAAUAGCCACAAGGCACGCACAAAGCAUAAAUUACACAUAACUUUAGCUAAGUCUCAGAACUUGUGAAUAGGGUUCACAAUACUUACGCGAAGUUUGGUUCGCUAACACUUACUAUUAGAUAGCUUAAAAAUAGUAAAGCGUGUUAUUUUAGAAAACAUAAACUUAUUUUUCUGUUGGAUAAGUGGAUCUCCUUAUAACGCCUCAGAAUGACUUAAUGAAUCUAACAUGUCUCAGCAUUAAGCUAAACACUCUCAAAUGCACCAACAUGCCCCAAUGAAUGGAUCUUACCUCUAUAUUCCCUUAUCUCUCCAUCAUGUCCCAGGGCCUCUCGCCCAAAUAACAAAACAUAAAGGUGACUACUCAAAAUCCUACGGCAUGACAUUAUAUCCAACAGUCUCAAAAAAACAUAUUUGUCAAAAGAUGUACUUAACAUAUAGAGCUUGCACAUUUUAAUGAGCUCGCAGGGUACUAUUCAUGUUGAGCUCGAAAUAAGAAGCUCGCAUGUCACUGUUUAUAAAAACACAUAUUCAUAACACAAACACAAAAUCAAGGUUUUAGAAACGGCUUACUCUCAAAACUUAGGUUAAAACCCUCAGCUCCUGGUUAACAUGACGGUUCACACAUGAACGUGGCGAUCCCUGAACACUCACCAUUUUGCUGAAAAAUUUAGGCAAGUUUUUUCUUUCCCUUAUCCUUGCUUAUAGAUGGUUCUAUCAGUUUCCCAAUUCCACAAACAUACAAAAGUCACUAAUAGAAAAAGCACAUAAAAACUCAUGCAUAAUUACAAACGAUCUUAGGUUCACACAUGCCAAUAUUUUGGCGAACCUAAUUUCCUUUCUUUGCGAAUAUUUCCUUAAUUAGUUCUAAACAUAACAGAGAAACAAUGUCUUACCUUAGAUCCUAAGAGCUAAGUGUUGGGUUCUUAAAACUUGAUAACAGAAUAUGAAAUUUCUAAUAGAGAUGGCUUAAUUUAUAGGCACUGAGUGUUGUAAUGUUCUUAGAAUACCUUAGUCACAGUAGAAGUAGGAAAAAUAUUACGUUCAUGAAUGGCGUUGUAAAAUAAGUUGGCUUCCUAAUUUUGGUAUAGUUACCCUUCAGCUACUCCUACUUUUGACUCUCAGACCAAAAUUGUAACACCCCAAACUCAGCUUAGACGUUUUGGCCAAAUCUGGCAAUGUCACAUGAUAAUGUUUUUCGAAAAAGUGAGUUGUCGUCAAAAAUCUCUUUCCUAUAUAACCUCUUUACAAUAUCUUAUGUUAAAUCUAGGACGUGUUGUUUAUUUUCAAAGUUAAAUUCUUUAUCACAAAGUUAUUCUCUUUUUUAAACGUUAUUAAUUUCAAAACAUCACUUACUGCGAAAGCUUUUUAUAAUUGUUGCAUAUUUGAGUGAUUUUAUUAAAAUGUUUGAUUGGUUUUAAAAACUCGAUUAUCCCUACUACUAGCAGUUGUAAGUCAAAACAAAAUAAAAACCCCAAUUUAAAAGUAAAAAUCCAAAGAGGCCAUUAUUACAGUAAAAUACCCCUAAAAUAAAAGCAAAAUUAUAAUUAGGUACUAAGUCGAAUAAAAUAGGUCGUGUGGCCAUCAUUGAGUCCUCCGUCGCACCGAACCGCCUAUGUCUGAGGAUUACCUAUACAGAUUAAAUAGAAGGGGUUAGUUUACGUAAACUCAGUGUGUAAUUCCCCAUGCAAACAAACAGACAAUAAUAGAUAAUCUCAGUUUGGGCCUAAGCCCAUUUCAGUAUCAAUAAGCAUUAGGGCCUUGGCCCAUCACAGUACAGUAACAGUGACAGUUAUACAAUUAUAAAAUCCUACCCAACCAGCAUCUACACAUCAUCUUCAUCCAACCCUACACUCAAUGUGGGGAUAUAAUCAACCCACCCAACCCUACACUCCAUGUAGUAACUAAUGCGACACUAGACAGUAGUUCCAGCUGAGCUGCCAGUAAGUUAGGCUAAAAGCCUUUUAGUACACUUCCUCCAAUCAAUAUCAAUCCCCAACCCAAUGCAAUGCAUCAUACAAUCAUGUCAUGGUAUCAUGCAUAAUCAGUUUAGUGUAUAUAGCAUGCUUAACAUACAGACAUACAUAUCUAUCUCAUAUAGACAUAUAACAGUCUUUUAAUCAUUUCAAUCAAUUAGGGAUCUAAAUAAACUUACUGACCCUAUAGUAGGUUCACAGUCAACUUGGGCGACCCUUGCAACCUUAUCAGUCAAACAGUGAAAAUGGGCCCACAGGCCCAUGUUGCAUGCCCAUGUAGGCCCACACGCUCGUGUGGCCCCCAUGGCCCAAAAUGGCCUUAGCCCAAUAAAUUUCAAACGCAUGUGUGGUUCACCUGUGUGGGCCAACGCGCCCAUGAGGCCCACACGGCCCAACUCAGCUCGGCCCAUGAAUCACACAUGGCCAGCCUCAUCGAUCUCACGCCCAUGUUCGGUUACACGGCCUACCACAUGAGCGUUCCCACGCUCAUGGGGCGUACAUAGUCCCAUUAUUUAGCUUUUCGCUGACUACCGUUUUUAGUGAUGUGAUUACACACCUGAUUCUGAUUCUUUGCAAAAGCACUCCUGAACACAUAAGACCUAUCAAUUGACCAGUGUAACACUGUAUUAUACACCUCAAUCAACAACCAAUUAACUACAAAUGAAAAUCGUACUUCUAACACCUUAACUAAACUCUUACCUUACGAACACCAGAAAUUUCUCUCUAAAAUUUGGCACCAGCACAACCCUUCGCUCCAGACUUUUGGCUGUCAUCACAAUUAAAAAAGAUUCCCCAAUUGCCAACUUAAAAACCAAAUAUUAAAACACCCUUGUUAGUCGUAAAAUAAUGAUUUAAUCAAGACCUCAAUAUCGAUGGUGGUUCAAUAAGUAUGAUCUACUUACCAACGACAACUCUGUCCUUAACUCUCCAACCUUAGCAGCAACACAAACCACUCACUGCUUUUCGCCUACCAUAAGUAACAACAAUCUCCUUAGUUACCAACCAAGAAUCAAUUAGCAAGAGGCGAAAACACUACUUACCAAACGCACAAAAGCACAACAGAGAAGACAAGUUGCGGAACGUAAGAGAGUUUAGAGAAAAACUUGAUUAAUGGAAAAGCCAAAACAGUAGAAGAAGUAAGUUUUUCAGCAAGCAGUUGGCAGCAAAGAAAAGGAUAAGAAAAGAAAAACCAGAAAAGCAAAUCAACAGCAAUGAAGCAGAAAAAGAAUGACAGAGAAAAUGGAUUCAAAAUGUCAAAAAAAGUAGAAAGGCCAAAAUUUGGGAAAAGUAUGAGAAGCCGAAAUUUGAAAAAAAAAGAUAACAAGAAAAUAAAAAUAAAAUCCCAUAAUCUCCUAAAAAUCGGCCACCACUUUUCUCAACAACAGAAUUCGAAAACCACUCAAACACUUCAGUGUUUCGGCUAAACCAAAACAUCUACACGGCACAAGCAGCAAAAUAAGUCCUCUGUUUGCACAAAAACUCGAACUCCAGACCUCCUGCCCAUUUUCACUCCACUUAGCCACCAAACCAGUAGGCUCAUUCUAAAAUAUUUCACCAACAUUUAUUUAUAAACCUACUGAUUAGAGAUAGGGGUUUAUUCAUUUAGAAACAAAAAUUUGCCCAAGCUAAGGCUUGAACGUAGGACCUCUCAAACACUCACCAGAACACUUAAACACUAAAGCAGAUAUAUAUAUUUGUGUCACAAACACACAAAAAUAAAUAUAAGAGAUUUUAGGGCACUAAAAAAAUAACUAUCAUAGUUCGCCAAGCGUACUGGUGAUCCUUGCUUCGUCAAGCCUAUUGGAAAACACCAACUCGCCAAACCAACUAUCAAAAACUAGCUCGCCAGUCCUACUGGCGUACACCUUUGUGCCAAUCUUACUGGCGUAUACCAUCUGGCCAGACCUGCUGCCAUAUAACAACUCACCAAGCCUUUUGGCAAACUUCAGCUCACCAGGCCUUUUGGCGUUCACAGUUUGCCAAAUCCACUAACGAACCCUGCUUCUCCAAAGCCAUUAACGAUCUCUGUUCACGAGGCUCAAACUUCUAGGCCCUGUUUUGGGAUGUUACAAUUUCUCAAAAUUAAUAACAGCGUUCUUUUUCUAGUCUAUUAAAGUUAUUACCAAAUUUUUUUGGGUUAACAAAUAAUAAAAGUAGUUGGUGUCAUAUCAAAUAAAUAAUCAAAAUAAAAUAAUCUCAUAUACUCAAGCAAAUAUUCUUUGUUGUCUAGCAACUUGUUUAACAACUUAAAAAUACAUUAACGUGAUGCAUGUUUUUUACAUUAAAACCUUGAAAAUAUUUGUAAUCGUCGCAAUUUUAAUUCUUUAUACACAUUGUAUCAUGUUACCGUGGGGCCAACCAUAACAACUAGUAAAAACAUGGAUUCCAUCCAAUUAAUAUGUAAAUCUAAAAUCACAACUCCACACAUUAUAACUAUUUCAUUUUGUCAUUAUUUUAACUUAAAUAAAUAUUUGUCAAAAGUUAUUUAAUCAAAAUGAUCUUGAGUGUAUAAUUAUUAACUCAACACCCAUCAUAAUAUAUUCUUUAUUUGCUUAAUUGUAGGAAAAUUUAAACUAGAAUCAUAAUUGAUUAAUCCUCUUAAAAGAAAUCCCACCUAGUGAAUCCAUAUUAUAAGACUUAGUGUAGUGUGUGGCCAAGGUAAAAUUGGCUCAAAAUAUUAUAAUGCUAUCACUUAGGGAUCAUUAAUGGAAGCCAUUGGUUUUAUAUAGGGACCCUCUCCCACUCAAUAUUUUAAAAAACAUGCAAGGUUUUUUGUUUCCAUGUAUGAUCCAAUGCAAGUAUAAUCGAUUGGCAUUAUCCUUAGCCUAAAUGAUAUUUUAUCAUAAAUGCAUGACCUACUUAAUCAAUUUCAUCAUACAUUCUGUAACGACUCGGUUUCCAGUGGUAUUAGAUAUUUCGAUUUCGGGACCUCAUUCCCGUAAAUAUUAAAUAAAUAUAUUUACAGAGUUAUUAUGAAGAUUAAUUAAAAUUUGGAUGAUCAAUUUAGCUGAAAUUGUAGUUGAUAGGGCCUAGAGACUAAAUUCUAAAGUUCAAUCACUAUAGAUUUUUAAUUAGGAAAUAGCUUGGUGACUUAAAUUGCAAUUAACUAUAAAUUGCAAUUAACCAAAGAUCCAAAAUAGCAAUUAAACCAUGCACAAACAUAAGAUAGUGGAUGAUAAUGAAGCAUGUGGAUUAAUUAAGUGGAAUAAAAUUUAAUUAAUAUAAACCUGAUUAAUUAACUUAAUCAAACUUUAAUCCAAGUAUAAAUAGGAAAUAUAAGUGGAAGGAGAGCUGAAAUAUCAUCUUCUCCAAUUGGCCAAGCAAAUAAAAAGAGAAGAGGAUGCCAUUUUCUUAUGGUUUCAAACUUUUGGCCUUUAAUUCAAGUAAUUUUGAAAUUUCAAUAGGAAUAGGAAUAGGAAAUAGGAGGUCCCUAAUGAGUAAUUUUGAAAUCGAAUUUUAGUCCAAAGCUUUAGAUUGAAAGUUAUGUUUGUCUCGGGUUUAAGGACUAAAUUGAAUACAUUGCAAAAUAUGCUUGAUAUUGUAAUUGAUUUUGAUUUGAACUAAUUUUUUUAGUAUUGUAUGUUUGUGGUCUUAUUUAGCUAACAUUGACACAAAACCAUCGAGAGGGAAAGGAAAAUCGAAAGUCAUUGUCGAAUAGAUUAGAAAUUCAGUUUGUAUUUUUAUGAUUUGGGAACUAUUUAUUUUCAUCAUGUUCAUGUCAUUUUGAAUUAUAUGGUGUUAAGGUGAGUUAUCAAUAGUUAUUUGAGCUGAAUUGAUAUGGUUAAGAUUGAAUAUCGAGAUAGGGACUGAAUUGAAUAAAAUGAAAAAUAGUAUGAUUAAUUGAUAUGUGCUAAUUGGUAUGAUAUUGAGUUGAAGCAUAUUGUGUAUGUAACACCCCUAACUCGUCUUCGUCACCGAAUUAGGGUUACGAAGCAUUACCAUCGUCGCUAGAUUAGGGUUACGAAGCAUUACCAUACAAAUCAGAACAUUUAACUUCAAAACGAAAACAAUUAUGCAACUUAACAUAAUCAUAGUAAAAGUACUCUUACAUGGCUUAAAUUUAGCCUUCGGGGCCCUAAAAAUAACUUGGGAACAAUCAGGGAUCAAUUUGAAACAAAAAAAAGAUUUGGAAAGAAACUUGAAAACAAGAAAAUAGGGGUCACAUGGCCGUGUGACAUAGCCCAGACCGUGUGAGCAUUCAAAGUAUGGACACACAACCGUGUCCCAACCCAUGUGUCCGUCCGUGUGAAAUUUGAAAUAAGGCCACACGGCCGUGUUUCUCAUGCCGUGUGCCAAACUGUGUUACAUACUAACUUGAAACACACUACUGUAUGAGGUGACCAUGUGUGGCACAGAACUGUAUGACAGCCGUGUGCUUCACAAACUACCCCUAAAACAAGUCAUUUCAUAUACUAAUUCUUGUACACCAAGCCAAUCCAAUCCCACAAGCAUUCACAUAACUAAAACACAUUAAAGCACACUUCAAACAUACCAAAUCAACCGUUCUAUAAAAUAUAACCAAUAUGCCAAUGAGGGCACCACAAUCCACAUGUCAACUUAAUUCAAUUCAAUAUCUUAAGAUCAUAUCUUAAACCUAUAGCAAUCAUGCCAAAUAACCAUUCCAAAAACAUGUCAUUCUACCAUAUGAUAUUUUCUAUCAAUAAAGCAUGAAUAAGGGCCCAACCACACAUAUUCACACCAUUAUUUACAUGCCAACAGCUAACAACAUUGUUCACAACAAGCUUGACACAACUCAAAACAAACCAAAUCACUAGAAUGACCUUAUGACCUUAUGACAUGUCAAAACACACCUAUAUCAUCUAAUCAACAUGUCUAUCCAAUGUACCCUCAUUGGUAACACAAAUUAACAUCCAAAUCAACUCAAACUGAAUGCCAUAAAUUCAUAUCUUAAACUUACAUCACACACCUAUCAUUUAACUACUUCAUUUACACUUCAAUGAACCAAAAGCUAUCUAAAUCACAAAGCCUUCACAAGUGACUAAAACCCAUACUUAUAUAUACAUUUAUAAGCCCACAUCAAGGCAUAUAGACAAAUAAACUUAAAUCACAUCACAUUGGAAAAUAACAUAAAAUAAACUCCUAUUACAUGUCAUUUAUAAUCGUUAACCAAAAGAACCAAAACUACCAAUAUGACGAAUGGAUAAUGUGAUGGUGCUCCGACAAGAUUCCAACUGUACGAUUUUUUCGAUGACCUACAAUACAGAGAAAACAACUAUGUAAGCAACUAGUGCUUAGUAAGCUCGUAUAAUGGAAACUUAAACUUACCAAACACAAAAACAUUAAACCAUUAAACAUUGCUGAUUAGAUCAUAUGGAUAUUUUUCUUUCCUAUCCACAACACUUCACAUAGUUAGUAGAUACAUUUAAGAACAUAUCAACCAAUGAAACAUGACACAUAUCAUGUAAAAGAUUUCAAUAUAUAAGUCACCCAUCAUAUAAUCCAUUUGUUAUCUUUUUCCUUCCAAUUAUACAUAUUACAUUUUCCAUUCCAUAUUCUCAAUAACGUAGCUUAUUUCAUAUACAUAAUUUUUCAUUUUAAACCUUAAUUACCCGUUGAACCAAAUGAAACACCAUCGAAUACUUAGAAAAUACUCAUAUAACCAUUUAAUUCUCUAAACACACCACAAACAUAACUAGAUAGCAUAUUUAUAGACAUAUGAAACAUAUAAUUACACCAAGGCAUUAAUGUUCAUUAUCAAACUAUACUAAUCAAAACAUUCAUAUCAUUUUCAUACUUAUGAUACAUAUCUCACCUGAAACAUGUUACCUGAAUAGUGAAUGGUUGAAGGAUGAUAUAUCGACUUUUCAUUGAGAUCCUUUUAGACUUUUUCAUUGAUAUCCUUUUCGACCUUUUCAUUUGUUAUCUUUUUGAAUGACAUCCUGUUCAACCUUUUCAUUUGUUAUCCUUUCGGAUAACAUCCUUUUCAACCUUUUCAUUGGUUCAAAAUACUAAAUAUAAUGCUAUAGUAUCUUUUAACCAUGGUCUUUUCCUUUUCGCAAUUUAAUAAAUCCAAUCCCCAAUUUAUAGACAUAUAUAUAAAUAUCAGUUUAAUUAAAGAAAUCAAAUGAAUUACUUUAAUUAAAUUAUGAACUUACUUCAACUAACAUGGUUGCAAAAAUAAAGCCAAUGACUAAUCCGAAAUCUUAACUUUUCCUCGAUCUAACUAUGAUUGUCUUGUUUCUAGAUCUAUAUAUAAUAAUUUUAUUCAGUGAAGCAAAUUUCAGCACAUAAAUAAUCAAAUUUUCACAAUUUAAACUUUCCAUAAAAAUUUACAAAAUUACCCCUAAUAUUUUACCAUUUUUAUAAUUUAGUCCAUAUACCUGAAACAUGCAAUUUAGCCAUUUUUAACCACCAUUCAUGCUAGCCAAAUUUACUAGGGUUACAUUACAACCAUAUUUUCAUUAUUUCAAAAUAUUUGCAUGAAAUUUUACAAUUUAAACAAUUUAGUCAUUGAAUAUUUAAAAUCACUAAAAAUCUCUUUAUAAAAUAGUCCUAUUUAGUUUUCAAACUUACAAAUCUAUCAUCAAACUUUAAAAACAUCACAAACUCUUCAAUGGAAAAUUUUAAAAUCAUUAAAAGUUUUGAAAUCGGAGAUAUGGGUUAACUAGACCUAGUUGCAACGAUCUUAAAAAUAUAAAAAUUACUAAAAAAAUGGACCUCAAAAUCUCACUCAUGCAUUGAUAGAAGCUUAGUCGAACUUUCCUUUCCCUAAAAUGGUGCUUCAUCAGUUUGAGAAGAAGACAUAAAGCAAAAAUAUGUUUUGCUUUGUUUUAUUUAUUUUUAACUUAAGUCUCCUUUAAUUUUAAUUUUUUUCUUAUAAAGAUAUAACAUAUAACUUAAUUAACUAAUCACUAACCGUUUAUGCAUUUAAUUAUGACAUAUUUUCUACUUAAACCCUCAUAACUUUAUGGAUUUAGCCAUUUGAAUCCUUUAACUAUUAGAUACUAACUUUUACAACUUUCACAAUUUAGUCCUUUUAAUUAUGUAACUAUUUAUACAUUAAAAUUUCUUAACCAAAUUUUAGUAUGAGCCUAGUAACACUCUGUAAAUAUUUAAUAAAAUAUUAUGGGUUUGGUUUAUAGAAACGAGGUCCCAAUACCUCAAUCUCUUAAACCACUUGAUUUUUGGGAUAUAUCACUUGAACCUAAUUAUUUAUUCAAAUAACAUAAAUUUUCAAAUCAAAAUUUAUUAUCUUACUAUAUUUGACUCGUAAAUAUUAAAUAAUAAUAUUUACGGGCUCACUUAUCAGACUUAUGGCCCCGAAACCACUAUUUUUAACACUAUUAAAAAACGGGUUAUACAGUGUUAUAUGAUAAAUUGGCUAUCUAAUGAUAAAUUGAUAAUGAAAGAAUGUUAAUUGAACUAUAUUUAAUGAAUUGGAAAUUGAUUACCCUAUUAGUGUUUCGGAUCGAGUCGGAUAUAGUUUGCAAGCCAUAAGUUAGAUUAUUGAUUAAAAACCAUCAUUAUCGGGCAAUCCGGGGUAGUUGUAUGUAUUGAGUCAUCAUUUUCGGGCGACCUUGGGUGGUAGAUUAAUCCAAUUGAGAAAAUCAUCUUUGUCGGGCAAUUGGGGCGGCAGUAUAUACAUGUAUAACCUUAUCAUUAUCGAGCAACCCAGGGUGACGGAUUCGCAUAUUCGUUCUAAGUUCAUGUCUGGUUAAUAGGGUUAUAAACGUAUGAAUUGCCUAAAUAGUAAGUGAAGUGGUAAAGAAAAUGGAAAUGUGAUAUGUAAUAUAAUGCAAAAGAAUCAAAACGAGCUUUGGAGGCCAAAUGCAAAUUAGAAAGCCAAUAGGCUCGGAAAUAGUUAAAAAUCACGCAUGAAUUUGAAUAUGUAUAUGCAAAUGUUGAUGCUAUGUUAUCAUUUGGUGUGUUAUUAAGAAAAGAAAUGGUACUUUAAUUGUUGAAUAGCAUAAAUGGUAUGUUUUGGUACUUAUGUGAUGAUUUGAAGUAUGACAUGGACGUAAGUAAGUUAUGUGAUAAUGCUAGCUAUGACAUGAAUAGGUGUAAAUUGGUUUAAUAGAUAUCUAUUUGGGAGUGAAAGAAUUUGACAUGAAUGGCAUAAGAUUAGGUUUAAAUGGAAUGUGUACAUAUGUGUAAACUUGCAUUAUUUGGCAUGAAUCAUGGAUAUACAACUGAGUGUAUUUGCUCAGUGUACGGUUUGUUUUCUUCAUGCGUAGGUAAAGUAUAUUUUUGAUAGUUUGAGCAGCUAAUCAAGCAUCCAGCAAGCGAAUCCCCUACUCAGCAAUGUUUUUAUAUCCCCGUUUUAUUUAAGUUUGACAUGUACCAAGGUUGAGACAAUUUUGGUAUAAUACUAAGUUCAUAUACACUUUGAACUAGAACUUUGAUUUAUGAAAUUUGCCAAUUAAAUACAAUAUGUAUAUGAAUUCAAUAGAUGGUUUGAAUUGUUUUAAAUGUUGCAAUUUUCAAUGGCUUUGGUGAAUGGGUAUGCAUUUUUUAGAUUUGAAUGAAUUACACUAUAUAGUUAACUUACAGGUGAUAUGGCAUUGGCACAUUGUUGAAUAAAGAAUUGUAGUUCAUGAAUUGAUGCUUGAGAAUUGAAAAUUUUGGCUAAAUUUAUUAGAUAAAUGUGUGACAUGUUCAUUUGAAAUUGUAGGUUGAUAUACAUUAACAUUUUGUAGAAAAAAUUUGUCACGUCGCAAUGUCGAGCAUAUAUCGUCCCGAUGAGAUCAAACCACCAUGUCACGACGUGACGUUGAGCAUGGGUCAUUAAGACAAGACCUAGUCAGUAUGUUGCAUCACAAUGAGGAACUACCUGACGUCGUGACAUUAUAGUUUAUUCCUAAUUCGAGUCUUAUAUAAAAGUUAUAUACAUGUUGCGUCAUAAUGAGGAACUCCCUGAUAGCCUAUGUCCCAGGCCGUGUGCUCCAUUUUUAACCCCUAAUACAACCCAAAUCAAGCAUCAUUUCUUGCACACUAAGACACACCGUAACUGGCUUAUUUUACAUGGUUAAAAUCACAUUAAAAACACCAAGAACAUGCCAAAUAUUCAUCCAUCCUAUGUCUAACCAAUAUGCCAUCAAAAGACACCACAAUUCACACACCAAUUCAAUUCAUUCAAAGGCACAUUCCAUAUCUUAAACAUACAUCACAGACAAUCACACAUCAUUGAACUACUUCACUCACAUACCCACAAGUCGUAAGCAAGAUAUUUACAAGUAAUUCAAAAGUGACCAAAAGACAUGAUUUACCUAUACAUUUACAAAUAAAAAACAAAACAUAUACACAAGAAACGUAACCAUAUCACAUUGGCCAAAUAGCAUAAUUAAAAAUCCUAUUACAUGCCAUUUAUAACCAUUACACAAAAUAACCAAAAACUACCAAUAUAAUGGAUGGAUAGUGUAAUGACACUCCGACGAGAAUUCCAACCGAACGGGUUUUCUAAUGAUCUACAAAACAAACAAAGUAAUUAUGUAAGCAACUAGUGCUUAGUAAGAUCGAAUAAAGAAAACUUAAAACUUACUGAACAUAAAGCGAUUAAUUCAAACAAAUAUUGUUCAAAAGAUCACAAUGAUACUUUUCUUUCCUAUCCACAACACUUCACAUGGUUAGUAGAUAUAAUUAAAAACAUAUCAAUCCAUGAACAUGGAACAUAUCAUGAAAUGAAUUUCAAUAUAUAAACCACCCAACACACAUUCAAUUAAUCCCCUUUUCAAUUCAUUUACACAUAUCAUAUUUUCCAUUUCCUAAGCUCAAUGGUAUUUCUCAUUUCAAUACAUACCUUUUUGUUUUAACCCUUAAUUGCCAGUUGAACCAAAUAGAAUAACAUCGGAUACUCGACAAAUGCUCACACAAAGUGCCUUUACAUGUAACUGUAACCAUAUCAAUAAUGCUCACACAAGCUAUGAAAUGGGCCUACUCACACGAGCUGUGGGUCGGGAUGUUAGCUACACGAUGCUACUCACACGAGGUGUGGAGAAUUUGCAACACCUGCCGGACUUCAGCCAUCGUUAGGACAUCCAGGACCAGCACCUGAAACUGUAUAAUCCCUAAUGAUAUGUCAUUUGUAUCCUAAGUAUUCAUAAGGUUCAAACGGGACCAUUAAACAAUCCGAUUUAAUUAACAUCACAAUUUGAUUCAAAACAUUGUACAAUCAUCAAAUUAAAUUAUACAUAGCAUAACAUUUACUAACAUACCAUCAAAAUGUCAAUUAAAAAGUUUAAUACUUAUGCGAACUUACGUCGACAAAAACAAUUGUAAAAACGAAGUCGACGACUAAUCCGACACUUUAGCUUUUCCUCAGUUUAGAUCCGUUUGAUUCAUUUCUUGAUCUAAAUAAUAAUUUCAUUCAAUUAAAUAAUUCAAAUAGCUUAAAAUAAUUAAUUCAAGCCUAUAACCCAUUUUACUAUAAAUUUACAAAAUUACCCCUAACGUUUUACUUUUUGUAUAAUUUAUUUCCUAAACCCGAAACUUGAAAUUUAACCACUUUUAAUUAAAAUUCAUGCUAGCCAAUUUUCCCCUAGCCUUAUAUCAACCCAAUAUCUAACUAUUAAAUUCAUGAAUCUAUAAUUAAAGCUAAAAACACAUUAGAAUUAUUCAUAGCAAUUCCCUAACUCUUAACAAUUUCACAAUUUAACCUCCAGGCUAGCUAACUUAAGCUGAUACGAACUCAAACACAUCAAAUCACUAAAAAUGAACCUUAAAACACACACAUGCAAAGGGAGAGAGCUUGUCGAACCUCCUUGGCCUCAACAAUGAUGUUUUUAUCGGUUAGGAGAAGAUGAACAUAAAAAUAUAAAGUGAUAUAUUUGUCUAUUUUAUUUUAAUUAUAACAUAUAAUUUAACUAAAAACAAUCAAUAAUCGUGUAUUCCUUUUGAAUAUGGCAUAAUUUCUACUUAAACCCUUAUACCUUGACCAAUUUAGCCAUUUAACACCUUAAACUAUUAGAGCUAAUUUUUGCAGCUUUUACGAUUUAGUCUUUUUUACUUAAUCAACUAUUUAAACGUUAAAAUUUCUUAAACAAAUUUUAACAUGACCUUAAAUAAUACUCAUAAAUAUUAACAUACUAACUCGCUCAUCAAAAUCAUGGUCUUGAAACCACUGUUUUCGCCACCAUUGAAAAUGGGUUGUUACAAAUGUGAAUUAGAAUCUAAAUUGUUUGUAGUUGCUCCAGUAACAAAUGUAACACCUUAUAGUUUGGCCCAACGAUCGGGCCGGAUAUGGGGUGUUAAAAAUUUAAUCAUACCAAUAUAAAAAACAUCUAUCUAACAAUUGAAAAAUAAAAUGACUCUAACUUGCCAAAGGUUCUCAUGGUUCUAUCCUAAGAAAAAGAAACAAAAUGCAAGUAUAUUACAAAGAUUACCCCAAAGCAUUCUUUAAGUCUUCAACUUCUUUGGAUAGUUGGCAUGGCAUCAUUUAACCAUAAGAACCCGUAUUAAGUUUAGCAGAACUUGUUUCUAUCAUAAACCAAAUGUUCAUGAAAAAUUAAUGGGACAAGAUUACCCUAUAAAGUCAACUUUUGGGUUUCUAGAAACCUUAAAAAUUGAAACCCUAACAUAUGAUUUCGUCAAAUUUUUUUAUUCUUGAGUUCAAAUCCAAAAAAAGUCUACCUUAGGAUUCUUUUUAUUAAAUUCGAAACACAACAAAGUCACAAAGUCAAAUACAUUUCAAAUUUGGGUCAAAUGAGGAAACCCUAUUUUUUUUACUUUUGAGACUGAAAAGAUGUCGACUUUUGAUAUCCCAUAUACUCUGAUCUUGUUUCUAAAUUCUAAAUUUUCCAUAAUUUCUAAAAAUUCAGUCACAUGAAAAAUUUAAACCUUUGCAUUAAUUGAAAAUAAGAAACUAGAUCAAAUACAUACUUGACUUUGAUGUUCCUUAAGGAAGGGUGUCGACUUUUUAUUUUCUUGGUAUGAGUCUUUGUUUUUAUUUUUGUUACAAGAUUCUAGUCCAUUUCCAACUCAUAAUAUUUUCUAAUUGCAAUAAUUUAAAAAAAUUGUAGAUAUGAUAGUCUAUAGUCUAAUUACAUACCCAAAAACUAAUGUAAUACAAUCAAUCUACUUUUAGUAACGUAACACUCUUUACCCCGUCCGAUCACCAGACCCGAGCUUCAAGGUAUUACUAUAGUAAUUGGAAUUGAAAACUUUAAAAUAAACUAUGUAACAUUCACUCAUAUCAAAAUUAUAAUCAUAUUAUGACAUUCAAUUAAAAAUAGAGACUAAAUCGAGCUUACGAAAGCUUAUAGGUGACCCGGGCAUGAAUUAGGACCAAAUUGAAAAGUUUUGAAAAUUUGGACUUCACAUUACGACGUGCCCUCCUCCACGUUGUGAAUAUGUUGGAUAGUGAGUCACGUCGUGACGUCAAACCACUUGACGUAGAGAUGUCAUCAAAUGUUGUUCGACGUUGCGAUGAGAGGAAUUUCACGUCAAAACGAGAACCCUAUUUUUUGGUAAAAUUAGGCUAUUUGGUACCUAUAUCGUGCCAAGGUAUACCUUUAGCUCAAAUGGUGCAUAUUUGCACAACCAAACCUACACAAAACCAACUUAAACACAUACCAAAACAUCCAUUUAACCAACCACAAGAUUAACCAAGCCAUUUCACAUGAAUUUGACCUUUUCUAAUGUAUAACAACUAAUGUUUUCAUCCACUAUUCAAUCUUAGUUCAUUAUUCACAUCUAACACUUAUAUUCAACCAAAAUCACCCUCAAAAUACGCCAUUAUAUAGCUUAACACGUAACUUACCACAAUACCAUUAAUGCACAUAUAAGCUCAUGAUAUAAAACAAUAAAUAUUCAAGCAUUAUCCAAAUAUCAAAACUACUAUAUCCAUGUAGUCAUGUAUACCUAAUAAGGUCUAAAUACAUUCACCAUACAUUCAAGCAUACCAAUGUCUACUUUAACAAACAAUGCUUCUUUCAUAGCUUAAGACAUUUCCAACAAUUACAGAUAUGGAUAUAACACAAAAACACGUAAAGUCCAAACCACAUCUUUGAUUCAAAACACAAUAUCUCAAGGUACACAUAUGUGCAUAAAAUUUCCUAUACAAAUGCCACAUAACCAAGUCCGGAACAAAAAAAAAAGACUAUCAGAUUAGAAGUUGUAUAGUGUGAGCUUUGGGGCGAUCUGAUAGUCGAGUUCCACAAAAUGCCAACUACAAAAACAAAAAACAAAAUAGAGUAAGCAUAAAUAUAUGCUUAGCAAGUUCAUAAAUUAAAACAUUAACUCACCUCGAUAUACAAUUAACAAAACAAAUUAACUAAUUAUGUAACAUUCAUGUUUGCACAGUUCAAUACUAAGUAGAUUAGUACCAUUCAGUUUGAAUUAUUAAACAUACAUACCAUUUAUAUAGAUUCAAUCAAUUAUAACCAUUUCUAUUCAUAAAGCAUAUAUCAUCAUUCACAUAUGCUUAUUUUUAUACUAUUACGCCCGAAGAACUAAACAACAUAUUUGGAUACACGGGUAACCACCAAAACACACCUAAAUGCUCAUUCGAACGAUACCUCCAAUACACACUUGAGCACCAAAGUGCUAAGCCUAUAGGCUUCACAUCCCUCCAAAACAGUCCUAGAUCUCUGUAAAGAUGAUCAGUAACAGUGGUCUCUGUAGAGACAAACUCGGUAAUCCACAACAUAUACUGGAUUCUGGUAUAAUCAGUGUAAUCUCAUCUGUCAAUAUCAUCUCUUUUACAAAUCCCAUACAACACAUAAAUAACCCUAUUGACAUACCAAUUGUAUCCUAUCAUUUAAUACGUUCAUCCGAGCACCUUUAACACAUAUUUUCAUUUCUAUUCAAUUCAGUACAUUCUCACCUUUUUGUACUACUUUGAAAAUAAUUCAAUAUCCAUUCACAAUUUCAUAAUUAAACCACAUAAUAUAAUUAUAUACACAACUACCAUAUGAACUUAUUUGGCACAAACGAUAACAGACAAGGUGUUGGGGACUACUUCGCAAUUUUCCCGUUUCCUCGAUUAAGUUCUAGUUGACUCGAAUCUUGAGCUAAAAGGUAACUCAUUUCAAUUUAUCAAUUUUAAUUACCUUAUAACAGUUUAUUUUAUCCAUAUGACAGUUUAAUUUCAUUUUACAAAAAUUCUUUAAAUUUUUUCAUUUUACUUAAUUUAGUCUCUAAAACCGUAACUACCAUAACUUUCACAUUUGAGCCCCAUUUUACAAUCUGAUUUCAAUCACAUCCUUCUACAACCCUCUAAUAUAUAAAAUUAUAGAAUUUUCAUAGAAAUUUUUAAUUAUUUUCAUUUUAGUCCCUAUACUCAAAACUAACAAUUUCACUUUACAAAUUAGUCCCUAAUCACAUCUAAGAUUACAAUCAAGGCAUUUAACAACAAAAGCUUAAAAAAUCAUCAAUGGUAAUAUUUUUAAAAUUUUAACAUUUUUAUGAUUUAAUACUUGUGUUAGCUAGAUUAGGCUACAACGAUCUUAAAAACAUAAAAUUUAUGAAAAACGAGCUUAGGUUAAUUUACCAUGCAAGGAUGAAAGCUUGGAUGAAAUUUUUGGCUUCAAAGCAUGGAGGAAAUGGUGAAGAAGAGAGGAAAAGUAUGAUGAAAAAUGGACAUUACCUUCUUGUUUUAUGAUUUAAUUCUUUUAACAUUAUUUUUAACAUAUAAAUUAUCAAUCAACGUGCACCGACCGUCCAACAAUCUUCAAAAUGGUUAAUUUUCCUUUUAGAACCUUAAAUAAUUAUUAUUUAGCCCUUUUUGCCGUUAAAAAUCUAUAAUGAUUAACUUUUAAAGUUUUACAAUUUAGUCUUUAUACCUUAAUUAACCAUCCAAUCAACAAAAUUACCAGACCAAAAUUUAAUAUAAUCUUAUAAUAGACUCGUAAAUAUUAAUAAAUAAUAUUUACUGAAUCGAUCAUCGAAAAACGAGAUUCUAAAACCACCAUUUUCGGUACCAUUGAAAACGGGCUAUUACAAGUAACCAUAACCUUGGCAGAAAUAUAUGAUGAUGAUGAUGAUGAUGAUGAUGAUGAUGAUGAUGAUGAUGAUGAUGAUAAACAAUCACUAUAUUAACAUCCAUGAACAUGUAUGUUAAUAACAUGCAAAAGAGCAUAGAUUGUCACUCUCUAUCAAUUGAAUCUAUACACAAAGAGAAGAGAGAUUUAGAUAAUCUCAUCUAUGCUAAUAAUUAAAUCGAGAAGGCUCUGAUGUCAAUUGCUAAAAAAACAUGGAAGGUUUGUGCGGUGAAAUUUUUUAAAAUUUCAAAUACAUCCAAUAUCAACUUGAAUAAUUAAGAACAAUAAAUCAUCGAUAAUCUAGUACCUGGAUGUUUUAAUCCACUUUGACAAGUUGGAGAAGUUGAUUUGCGAUUAAACUAAAACUGCUUAUAUAGGAUUGCAUUCCUUUAUAGAAACAGUCAUAUCUCGAGCUACAGACAUCGAACUCUAAUGAUAAAAAAUAUUUGUUAUUAAACUCAAACUUCUUGUAGAGAACUGUGCUAUUUCAUGAAAAUAACCAUAUCUUGGGCUACAUGCCAUAAAAGCAAGUGAUUCAAAAACCAUUUUGAAGAAAACUUAAAGCUCUAUGAUUUAGGCACUAAAAUCACCCCCAGAAGUUGGUUAGAGCAUAUCAAAAAGUCCAACCAAAGUUUACUUUACAAAAUCCUAUGAGAUUGGCUUUAGAUUCUCACAUAACUUCAAUCCUCACUUUCAACCAAUCGGAUCUUCUCCACUAUUCUCUGACUCACAAAUCGCACGAUGCUUGGGUAUUGUUCCAAACACAAAUACAAGUACUCACUCAGAACUCCAUAAAGAAAAAUGAUUCUAAACAAACUCCCCCCUUUCUCUCUCUAGCCAAAUAAGUGAAUUGACUACUAAGGUUUUUUAGGUCUCAUCAAUUCAUCAAUUCUCAUAAGUCUUUUCUCUUUAUCGAAUAUGAGAUAUUUAUAGAAAGCUAAUUAGAAGUCUAAUGAUUUGAAAUUACCAAUAAAACAAAGAGCCCUAGGCUUAAACAACCAUAUGGGUGGCAAAUCCAGUCCAACAAGAACUCCCUAUGCCGCCCAGCUUACUUGGUUGCUCGACAAGCCUCCUUCCACACAUGUGUCAACCACCUUUGACCCUAACUGUGUCACUUUAAGGCAUAUCUAUGUGUUUUAUACUCGUAAUUAAUUUUAGUUAAGACAAAAAUUAAUUACCUAGUUAAAUAAUUUACACAAGUCUUAUUUUAAUCUUGUUAAAGUUAUGAUGACUUUACCAUUUUAAGAUGUCUUCUUAAUUUUAUUUAAUUAAUUUUAUUCCAUUCCAAAUAAUUAGAUAACAUGAUCACUUAAUUUAGCUCUUUCAAAUUCAUCAUUUAAUCCAAUUAAAUAUAUAUUUUUAUAUAUAUACAUAUAUCUCUAAAAUGAAUAAAUUAACCCAGAUCAAUCUAAUCAUUAAACUGAGAAAACACAUAUUACCCCCAAUAAGUAAAUCCAAUGUAUCAUUUCUCCUUAUUCAAUUGUUUAAAGUUCCAUACAAGUGUUUAUGCUAAACUCAAUUUGUUAAAGAGUUGUGUUGAGCUAGUGGAGGGGUAGAUUAGACAUAUAUAAUUAGGGAUUAAAUAAUUUGUAAUUGAGUUUCGACUCUUCUUCUAUUAAUUACAUAUUUAUUUAGUCAUGGAGUCAUUCCAUUUAUAUAGUACCAUGGCUGAACUCCCUUUUUUCAGUUUGAAUCCUGAGUUUUAGUCCAAAGACCUCAUCAUAUGUGUGUUACGCUCAUAGGGUAUCCACGAUUGCAUUUGGUUAAAUCCGUUCACCAAAUUCUUUUCAUUUUAUCUCAUGAUGAACAUUGUAUCUUCCACAAUGAAAGUUUACUCAAAUUAGUAGUGAUAAAAUCAUUUGUCCUAGACAAAUGACCUCUAGUUAAGUUUAAUUUCAUAAUACAUACAAUGCAAAUGAGCCAUUUACUCUUUUUCGAGCUAUAAUUCCACUAUUAUGGGUAAAGUCAUAUCAUACAUAAAUCACGUACCCAACAUACCAACUAUCAACCCACAAUCAUUAGAAAUGAGGUUUUCAAUACAUAAAAAACACAUGAGUUAUACACACAUGGUUUGUCACUUAGGAUUUAGUCACACCAUAAACGUUACAAGUGAAUAAAUCUGUAAAUGGAUAUAAGAUAAAUUCAACUUGGGUCUAGUCCAAUGUAUUGUUAGUCUAAACAAAAUCACAUAUAUGCCUCUACUUCUAUGAGUCACUCACUCCAAUAGCCAAGACAAACUAUCUCCCCAACUGGAUUUAUACCAAUGUUUGCUCAAUUUGAUUCUGUGGACUAUGAACAAUUUAGAUUAUCUACUAAUAAAAGUUGUAUUAUUGCAUUAUAGAUAGUGCAUAUAAUGCAACUCAGUAUUAGUUAAGCCUAAGAAAAUCAAGUGGUCAAUAUUUGCUUAUUCAUUUUUCUUUUCAUGUAAAAAUCAUUAAAGACAAUUUAACAUGGAAAUAAUAAAUAACAUAUACUUAUUUCCAUAAAUAAUAAAUUUAACUGUCUUAAUAAUUUAUCAAAUAUGAUGAAAUUACUAAAUCAAAAAAUCAAAAUCCAAACAAAUGGUUGAUAUAAAAAAUUUAUAUUAAUUAUCUCAUGUUGCAAUGCAAGUUAUUUAACAUCACAAAUAUAUAUCUAUUGCUAGAAUUGUAUAAAUCCUUUUGAAAAGAUAGGACAUCAUUAACACAAUUACUCGAAGUAUAGACUUUCGGACAUAUUCUAAGUUGGAUAUUAAUACUAUCAAGUAUGUCUUUCUAUAUUUGAAAUCAAAUUGAAACUAGCUCAUAUACCAAUGUAAUAACAUGCUGACGAAAAUCUUAUAUACCAUCUCAUUGUGAAAUUAAAGAAAAUAAGUCAACUUACAUGGUGGUUGAAAUUGUUGAGUAUUUUUUUCUAGCUCCUUCAUAUGGUAAAGUUGUAUAUUUAUAUGAUAUGAUUAUUGUUUAUUAAUGUGAUAUUAUAGGUAAGCUUUAUGUAUGUCAACACCUACCCUACUCUAGACUUAACAUGUGUUUAUACGAUAUGGGUUUACCUAAAUAGUGACAUGCAAACCCAUGUCGCACGACCUCAUGUGUAACAACAUUUAGCGUCAUGUGAGCUCGAUACGUGAGCCCAAUAUGCAAGCUUAAUACACGAGCCCAAUGUAAGAGCUCAAUAUGUGAACCAUGUAGAAUCCGACCCGAACCCAUUCGGGUUGUGAGUCGACAAUAGUAAAUAUCAUAACAGACAUUCAGUCAAUAUACUUGUAAAAAUAAAAUUAUUGACUAAAAAUCUUUUUGUUUUCCGCAGCGCUAAGGCCGAACUUAAAAGAGAGUUGAGAAUAUUAGAAUUUAUUGUGAUUAUUUUUCACUUUUUCUCUCCCUUUAUAUCUAUUGAUUUUCUUACUUAAACCAAAGACGCCCUUAAUCUCCAUCGUCAAAUUGAGUUCCAUGACUACGACUUAUUAACCAUCACUCAACGUAUUGUCAAUCAAGUAGAUCCUCAAUCUUCUUUUAUUUUUGUAUUAGUGGAACAACUGAUCAUGUCUAGACCGACAGAACACUACAAAAUAUCUAUAAAAGAUCUAUCGGGAAAUUUUGUCAUCAGAAAUAUUACCAAAACAUUUAUGAUGAAUUAGUACAAGCAUACAAAUUUAGCCGAGUUGGAAGUACUUUCCAACGAUAUUUUCCAUGUUCAUGAAUGAUUUCGUAAUUGAGAUGUAAUUUAAUCGAUAAUCUCCUUUAUAUAAAAAAAACCCCAAUCGAUUUAAGGAAAAAAACAUCGACAUUUCUUUUUGUUUUUUUCCUUUUAUAGUUAAAUGCCGUGGUAAAAUUGAUUGCUUGCAAAAUGACAAGAUUAACUUGGAAUUUUACAUAGAAUAGUACAUAUGGUGAAAUGAUUUGGUAAAAGAAGAUCCUUAUGCUUGCUGUUUGAGCCAGAUUUGAAUUUCCUCUUCCCCAAGUCAAAUAUUAACCAUUGUUGGUCCUAAAGAGAUCUUCAAAGUAAUUAAGUAUUUUCGCAGUUAAAUGAAGCCAAUUCUGUUUGUCUUCCUGAGAGAGCAUGCAUCAAAUAUUGUAGAUUCCAAACAGUGAGCCAAAUUCAUUUAAACCCCACAUAAGGAGAGCCCAUGGCUUGUUGGUCCCCGAAUGGACCAACCCUCCCAACAAAACCACGCGGUAUUUGUGCCUCGCAAACCGCCCUAGCCCCAUCAAAACUGCAUUUCUUUCCACAAAAUCAACACUCCCAAAACCACCGUUGCUGUUGCUUCGUCAUAUUUAUGAUAACAUUAGGCAAAGUUAAAUAGAGUAAGUCCAGCAAAAUGAAAAUUUACAUCGCAAUAACAUUACAUCCAUAACUGCUAUAAAAGCUAGGACCAAAGUUGCAUUCCUGCUGCAUUCUAUUUAUUAGUUCAAAACACCCCCUUUCUUUCCACAAAACUUCCUUUCAAGGAUGAAUUACUAGUCCAAAUCUUCUUUUUCCUUCCUCCUCCUCCUCCUCCUCCUCCUCUUCUUCUAGUUACUGUUUUUGACUUUAAAACUUCAUAAUAGAAAGAAACGAAAAACAGGUUAGGCAGCACUUUAGAGUUUUUCAUUAGUGUUAACACUUUUAGUUCAAUAUCUCUAUAUUUGUUUAAGGAGUAUGUUUUUUGGUGUGCAGAACAAUGGGGCACUUGGGAUUUCUUGCAGCUGCAUUACUCUCACUCCUCAACUUUGUUCAUGGCUCCCUUGGACCCUGGACCAAUGCUCAUGCCACUUUUUAUGGAGGUGGUGAUGCUUCUGGAACAAUGGGUACUUUCCACAAUCCAAAUAUCAUAUAUAUUUUUCUUAUUGAUGUAUAUUUGUCAUGUCUGACAUGUUAUUAUAUUCAAUUACAACUUCAGGUGGAGCUUGUGGCUAUGGAAACCUAAAUAGCCAAGGUUAUGGUAUUAACACAGCAGCCUUGAGCACCGCAUUGUUUGACAAUGGCUUGAGCUGUGGUGCAUGCUAUGAGCUGAAGUGUGUGAAUGAUCCACAAUGGUGCCUGCCUGGUUCCAUUGUGGUCACUGCCACCAACUUCUGCCCUCCAGGAGGCUGGUGUGACCCUCCCAAUCACCACUUUGAUCUCUCUCAGCCUAUUUUUCAACACAUUGCGCAAUACAGAGCUGGUAUUGUUCCUGUAAUGUACAGAAGGUAAACAAACAAUGAAAACAGCAACAUAGUUUUUCAAAAUUCAUUUUCCACCGACACACUAACUAAUAAUUAUUUUUUAUCAGGGUAAAGUGCAGGAGAAGUGGGGGUAUCAGGUUCACAAUCAAUGGACAUUCCUACUUCAAUUUAGUACUGAUCACCAAUGUUGGAGGUGCUGGGGAUGUACAUUCAGUAUCCAUUAAAGGGUCAAAGACCAGAUGGCAAGCAAUGUCAAGGAACUGGGGCCAGAACUGGCAAAGCAAUUCUUACCUUAAUGGCCAAAGCCUCUCUUUCAUCGUCACGACCAGUAACGGACACAGUGUUGUUUCUUUCGACGUUGCUCCAUCCGGUUGGUCCUUUGGACAGACUUACACUGGAGGCCAGUUUGGGGCUACCAAAAUAUAACAGCCCCUUGCUAUAUACUAUAUGAUAUUAUAGUAAAAAUAUGUCUGAAGAAAAACUUAAGUGAGUUUUUUUUUUAAAGUUUAUAAUAUAGUGUACGGUGAAUAUCACCGACGAAGAGAAUGAUAUUGUAUAAAAGGCAGUAACUUGGCGUUGGGAUCAUUACCAAACAUGGGUCAAGAUUGAUUUUUGAAUGGCCCAUAGCCGUGCAGUUGAAGCCUGGAAGUAUUACUGGUACAUCAAAUCAUGAAAUAGAAGGUUUUUUUUUGGUUUUUCCAAGUCAAAAUUUCACUUUCGUUUGCUUAUGGCAUUCCAUUUAAAAUCAAGUUCUUUUUGCCCAUGAAUGCCUUUCUUGUCAUCAUAUUUUUGGGGUUUGAAAGGUACCUUAAAAAAAGAUAAAACGGUAGAUUUUUUAAAAAUUAUUAUCUAUGCCACUCAGAUUUUUUAUUUUUAUUUUUAAAUAUUGUACACAUGUCUGGAUCUCAUACUUCUUUUGCUUUGUUCCACGUUGUUGCAGUUGUUUAACUCGUGUAUGAAAGAUGGAGAAGAGUGAAAAUGAAAAGAUUGAUAAUUAAAUGGUUAAGAUUUAUAAUAUUUUGUAUAUUAAUCAUUAAAUUGAGAAAUAUUUUGAUCCAGCGGAAAGAAAAAUAGAAAAUUGAAGGGUUAGAAAUGUCAAAAGAUAAAAAUAUAUAUAAUUUUUUUCCUAGUUGUGCUUUGUAGAAAAGAAGAAAAAAUUAAGGGUAUAUUUGAUUGUAUAGAAAAACGAAGGAACGAGAAGAGGGAGUGGCAAAGUGGAAAAAAAUAAAUUUAAAAUGUACUUAGUAGGAAAGAAAAGUGAGAAAGAAAGAAAAUAAGAGAGAUGAAUAUUUUUUCAUACUUUCAAAUUGUAAUGAUAAGAGGAGAGAAAAUGAAAUAGGAGUGUAUGUUAGUUGAAAAUUAUGGAUUUUCAAAUAUUUUAUUUUAUUUCUUUUCAUUUUUCAAUUAUACCAAAUAAUGGAUGGAAAAAAAUUACAUUUUCUUUUUAUUGUUCAAUCCUUGGGUUUUUUUCAUAAAUAAUAUACAAUAAAUAAAUAAAUACCAGAAUAUGAUAAUGAGAUUAAUAUUUACGUAAAUAGGCACAUGCAACAAAUGAUAUACAAUUUACACCAAAAAUAUGAGUUUUUUUUAACAAUAUACAAAAAAUAAAAAAAAUAAUUUUUUAUUGGUGUUGCCGAUGUGUCAGCGGCACCCAAAUAUUUUUUAAAAAAAAUAAGCUAAAACGGUAAAACAAUUGGUGUAAUAUAUUUUUUUCAGGUAUUGGAACCCGGGCACAUGACCGAUGGGUCACAUCCGCGGUAGUCGUCAGGCCGGUGCUGUCGAUCUGUUGACAACCGUCAGAUCAACGGCCCCAGCCUGACGACUGCCGCGAAUGUGACCCGUCGAUCACGGGCCUGGGUUUCAAUACCCGAAAAAAUUUAUUAUAUCACAAUUUUUAGUUUAAAAAUAGUUUUAUUAUUAUAUUAUUAUUAUUUUAUAAAUGGGGGUGGGUUUGGACCCCCAACCCCCCACACAUGCAUUGUAGUGAUUAAAAAAAUUAUGAAACUCCUCCCCUCCCCCAUCAGUUAAGUUUAAGUUUCUUUUUUGACAUUUUAAUUUUUUUUAUAUUACAUUUUUUUUUUUGCUAUGGUUUAAUUAUUAUAUUUUUUAUUGUUAUUUUAUUAAGUUUUUUAUUCUAUUUUUGCAAUUUUAAAAAAUGGAGAAUCAAUUUUUUACAGCAAUUCAUUUCAAUGGUGUUAUUUUAGAAACAACCGUUGUUGUAUUUUUGAAACUCGUCAAAAAAUUGGGAUGAGAUUUGAUAGGAAUGUGUCCAUCGGUGAUAUGAAAGAGAAGGUUAGUGAAAAAUUUCCUGAUGUUGUGGAAGGAGGAUGACAAAACUAUUCUACAAAUUUACAGUUUCAUCAAAUCCUAUCAAAUUUACUGAGAUGAAACUUCUAGACAAUGACGAUGUCGAGACAACGGUUGCAUUGUAUUGCCCGCCAAGGAGGUUAAACACUGAAUCGAUUCAGUUAUUUGUUGAGUUAGAAGAUGCGAAGCCCGUUGAUAAUGUAACACAGAUAAGUCAACAAUAUGGAGUUAAAGACCCACGUACAGAGGUUCUCAGGUCGUUUGUGCACGAUUUUGACAUCGAUUUCAACGUUGGAUAUUCAAAACAGUACAGUGGUAGAUUACAGAUGCAUCCGGUCGUUAUUGAUACCAAUGCGCUUGGUGGAGAUGGAUCUGAUAAUAAUGAUUUUUCUAAUCACAAAGGUGAAGAUUUUAGUGACCCCGAUUUAGAUGAUGUCCUAGAUGAUAUCGACAACGAAGGACCGGAUGGUGGAAAUAAUCACGCCCCUUCGGUCGAAAACCCAAAUCGUGGCAUCGUCAUACACAAUGAUCCCGGGCCCAUAUGUCGAUUGUCAAUCCUGAUGUAGCGCAUGCUUCGGAGUUCUCUGAGUACCUAGACAUCAUACUUGCUCACUUGAUGUUAGAAGAUCCUGAAUCGAAAGAGUUGUUCGUGGGUUAAAGAUUCGCAAGCAAAGACGAGUGUGUCGAUGCCAUCAAACGCUAUAGUUUGAAGGUUUCUGUCGACUACAGGAUGGUUAACUCUAAACUGACGAUAUAUGUUAGUGAGUGUUGGAAGUUGACAAAAAGGAGAAUGUGGCGGGUACGAGCUGCAUUUAUCUAGAGGUCCUAAUAAUGAGAGAUAUAGAAAUAUGUUGGGUCUCAUACAUGCACUCCUACUCGUAUGACGUAGGACAAACGGAAGCUUGACUCAAAAACUAUCUGCAACUGCAUAUUGGAAAUGGUUAAAGACGACCUCACCAUUACUAUAUCGGUGCUAAUUACCGGAAUGCAAGAACGGUUCCACUGCAGAGUUUCAUAUCGAAAGGCAUGGUUGGCUAAACAGAUGGCCAUGGAUUAUUUGUAUGGAGAUUGGGAUGCUUCGUACAACGAACUCUAAGGGUGGAUUACCAUAAUGUGAGAGUACGGAAGCCAACUACAUCCGGGUAAAAGAACUUUUCAUCGUAUGAUUUGGACAUUUGGUCCCUACAUUCAAGCAUUUCCCCGCUGUAAGCCGCUUAUACAGGUAGAUAGGACUUGGUUGUACAAGAAAUAUACGCAGAUCCUCCUUAUUGCAGUUGCACAAGAUGGGAACUGGAACAUUCUACCAAUAACAUUUUCCAUCAUCAAAAGAGAGAACUCAGAGUCAUGGCAAUUUUUCAUGGAGAACUUUUGGAGAUAUGUUGUCACUCAAUAUAAUUUUUGCAUCAUUUUCGAUAGAUCAAAAGGGCUAGUUGCCGCAAUUAGGCGUUCGGGUGUUCCGUGGAAAUUCGUUUACUACAUCAGGCAAAUUGCAAUGAACUUCUAGAAGCAAUUCAAAAAAAUGGAUUGGCGAAGACUAGCUGUGAAGAUGGGUAAUUAUCUGUCUCAUUCUUUUCCCAUAUGUUUAUAGUUUAUCAAAUGACACGUAACAUGUUGUAAUGGUUCAAUGUAUGAAGUGGAGCCGCAUUAGUUCAGACAGAGAUGGGCUAACCUAAAAGCUGAUAUACAUGGUCAAACGACUACUACAUUACAACAAUGGCUUUCGAGUACGGAGCCUUGACAAUAGGUUCAAAUUUUCGAUAACGGUUUGAGAUAUGAUCAUAUGACCACCAAUCUGGCGAAGGCUGUUAACGUAGUAUUGAGGUGUACACGAUAUCUCUCAAUUGCAUCUGUAUUCUCAGCUACUUUCUAUCAGAUUACCACACUGAUGCUGAGAAUGGGUCUCAUUCAAGUAAAUCAAAUUAAUGUAGGGUUCAUGUACAUCAAGAAUGUUAGGAAGGCAAUGGCAGCCAAAAGCCGAAAAGCGAGGACCAUGAACGUUCAAUUAUAUUCUCGACAUUAUGAAAUGUUUCGGGUGAUAGAGACCGUCAGUUUUCGACCAGGUAUCUCGCCUAAGUCAUAUGGAGUUGAUCUCCUAAACAGGUGAUGUUACUAUGGGAAAUUCUAGACACUUCAUUACUCGUGUGCGCAUGUCGUUGCAGCAUGCGUUGAUGCCUCUAUCAAUGUCAAAUAAUAUAUCGAAGAGGUAUACACAGUAGAACACACGUUACAUAUUUGGGGAAACUAGUUCCCAACAAUGCGGGAUGUGUUAACGUGGGAAGUUCUCUCACUGACUUUUGAGUUGGUCUUAGACCGCAAUCUUCAUAGGAAGCCUAGAGGUCACCCGCAUAUCACUCAGAUAAGAACUGACAUGAACAUAAAGGAAAGGGUCAACACUAAAUAUUGUGGCGUAUGUAGAUCAGCAAGUCAUAAUUGAAGCAAAUUCUCGCAUCGAGGCUACCACCCGAGAGAGUCGUCUUGGCCGAAUAGAAUGUGAUUAUGUAUUGAAUUUUCAUUAUUGUAUUAACUUAAAUUAUUUACAUAUAUUUGCAUUAUAUUUCUAUUUUUUAUUGAAUUUUCAUUCUUGUUUCAAUUUCAAUUAUUUAGAUGAACUUGUAAAAUAUUUGAAUGAACUUUAGCUACUUGAUGACCAUGUAUAUUUGCAUAAACUUGUUUCAAACAUUUCAUUAAUAUGAGACAAACUUUAGCUUGGAAUAAAAUAUGUCAAAUUUUAAAUAAAAGGAACAUUACAAUAAACUGAAUUAUUUGAAUUAAAAGCAUCCAAAUCUAUGGUUCGACGGGGUUUUUCGUAGGGUGUAUCGCUGCGGUGGUCUUCUUUCACAUUGCAGGUGCUCCCAAUGGCUAAUGUCUAUCUAACUAGAAACUACAAUGUCAUCACCCAUUGGUAGACCUGCUCAUGGUCGGGCCACCCGGCCCCACUCGAAGGUUCGCCCGAAAUGUGGGAGGGUUUGAGCAAAAAUAUAGGCCCGAAAAAUGGGCUUGAAAAAAAUGCCCGUUUAAAAAUAGGCUGGACCUCGAGUAAGGCAUUUUUGGCCUGAGCUUGGCCCAACCCAACCCGAAUUCACUAAAGGACAAAAAAUUUACUCUUUUUUUAUUUUUUAAUAUUAUUUUCUUAUUUAUUUCUCCCUAUUUUGCGAUUAUUUUACUAUUAUGUUGCUACUAUUUUGUUGUUAUUGUUUGGAUAUUGUAUAAAACUUAUUUUAUUGUUAAUUUUGUUAUUAUUUUAAAGACGUUUGUUAAUUUUGUUAUUAUUUUAGAGACAUUUGCUUGUUAAGUUGCAUCUAUCUUAGUGUUAUUUAAGUAUACGUAUUUUUUAAAAUUUAUUUUCAAUUUGUUGGGAAAAUUUAUUUUGAUGUUGUUAGUAUUUUUGAUGUAUUAUAUAUAUUUUAAAAUUAUAUAAAAAAUAAUAUAAAAUUUAGUAUGGGCGGGCCGGGUCGGCCCUGAGUUUUAGCAUUUUUAUUCAGGUCGGGCUUAGGCAAAAUUUUAGGCCUAUUUUUUGGGUUAGGUCGGGCCUGGGCCUAGCAAACAAGCCUAAAUUUUUGGUUAAGCCCAGUCCAAACCCGGCCCGACCCAUGCACACCUCUACCCAUAGGCGAUCCCCAAGGUGUACUAAGUAAACUCAAAAAAUCGUUUGUUUGCUCGUAAGGGGUGUAGUACUGGGGUGGGGACGGAUUAAACAUGUCAAACAUUGUUGGUGAGAUCAGCUGCUGAUAAGAACUGCAACCGCCCAUCUCCGUGUCUAUUACGUAACCCGAGUACUCUGGGCAAAACUGCAACCUCUCAUUUUCAGGUGAUAGGAACUACCAACUGAAUGUGUUUAUGAUAACGAAUGUGUCAGCUCGGACUAGGGCCAACCCCUAUCUCUGAGUGAUAGGAAUUGUCGGUUGAGUGUGUGCAUGACAACGAAUGUGUUGGAUCAGGUUGGGGCUAGGGUUCAGCCUCGGGCUCAGGCUUGAAUGGUAGUGGGGAUUGCUGACGAGGAUGGGGUUUUAAAGGACCUCAUCAUUCCAUAUGUGGAGAGGCUAACAUCAAUCGACCACCGUAUAAGUAGGGCAACCAUUCUUUAAGUACCACUUAUGGUAGUCUCUCGAGGGAAUGAAAUCAAGAUAACAUGACACUAAAUAAGGCUUUCUCUCCAAUUGGGUGUUCCACAACACAAUAUAUGGUUAAUGCUUUAAUGCCUAAUUCGGUGCAUGUUUCUCCUUCUUGUCAAUUUCAUGGACAUCUUUUCUCAAUUGUAUAGGAACAUCCAGAAUAUGUUGACUACACCUGAAUUGACGAAGCACCCAAUCCUCGACAUACCACUCAACCAUUUGAAAAUUUAUAAUUGGUGCAUUAACACACCACACAGUUACAUGUGCUCUAGCCGACGGAGGAAUGACAGAAGUAAUGUUCGGCACGAUAUAUGGUAUCCACACGAACUGCACAAUUAAAUACAUGAUUAGAAUACUAAUUAAAGUAUAAUUUAAUAAAUAAACUAAUUACAUGACAUUAAUAUAAUUUGAUUUUUUGAAAAUAAAUUACCCCAUCCCCGACAUAUCCGUCGAUCAUCUUUCGGUAUAUAAUAAGUGUUUUUGAUUUCCCGAUGUUCGGACAACUAUACCAUCUAAAAAUAUAAACCAAACUCAUUAGAAAAUAUUUUCAUGAAAAAAAUCUUAACCCAAGUUUAAAUUUUAUUUACCUAUUCACAAGUGGGAACAUAUGUACUUGGUGACCCAAUGAUGCCAAAAAUGGUAUCUUGUAUAGCUCCAAAGAUUGUAACAGUAUCGGAAAGCCACCUAUAUUGACAGUUUUGUGCUUUGUCGCCAGACAAAGCUCACAAUAUAGCGUAGCUAGUACUACUGAACCCCAACUAUAUGAGCGGGCUCCUUGCAAAUCACUAAGUAAGGGCAGGUACAUCAAGUGGACUCUAUUAUUAUUGGAAUCCGACAUAAGUACCCCUAAUAAGUUGUAGUAUAUAGGCCCGAGCAACCUGUAUCUUCUCCAUCUUGGUCGUAUAAUCCAAUAAAUUUUCCUUCAGCUACGAAAAGUAUGAACUCGUAAAUUUAUCGAUACCGUCACCGAGAGAGCAUCCAAGCAAGUCAUAGUAGAGGGUCGCAGGAUCUGCUAUGCUGCUUAUACCGAUUACUGCAUCACCGUCCACGGGGAGCCCUAAUUGCAUUGCGACAUCCUCCAAUGUGAUGGUGCAUUCCCCACAUGGUAAAUGAAAGGUGUGCGUCUCUAGGCGCUACAACUCAACUAGUGCCUAUAUUAAGUCGGCCCUCAGCUCAAACACACGGAUUAAUGUCACUGAUCCAAAUCCCGCGGCAUCUAAGUAGGGUAUAAUUCGUGUGUCUGGCCGAUAGCUCAGACCAUGGCCACGCGACCGCAACACGUGUACGGACCCUAAUCAUAUUACAAAAUUGGUUAAGAAUGUGAAAUUAAAUUUAAAAAAUCACGUACAACUAUGCUAAACAAUACGUACAACAUUAGAACAUUCUCUUACCGGUAAAUGGACCGUCCUAACUGUGUGAUCUUCUGUAGUAAUUAAAGAACUCAUAUCGAUAUCUGCAAAAACAAUUAAAAUUUUCUUAUUCGACUUAACAAAUAAACAAUAUAAAAAUAACGCUUUAUACUAAUACUUAAACUAUUAAUUUUAUCUAAAUUUACCUUAAAAAAUAAUAUCAACCAAUAAAAAUGUGAAAUAUAAUAUAACUACAUAUCUAAAAAAAUAUUAAACUUUUAACACAAAAUUUAAACUAUUACAAAUAAUUAUAAUAACAAAAUAAGUAAAUUUCUGAUUUUUUUUUGGGAGAUCUUCAGCUGUGGAGAGGGAGGGAAGGAGGAAUCAUCCAAAUGUUUGUAAUAUAAAAAAAUUAAAGAUAUAAAUUAAUUAAUACAAACAUGUACUAAUAUAACUAAUUAUACUAAAAAAAUUGACCAUAUUUUUUAUUUGAUUUUCGGAGAUAAUAAAUUAAAUACUAACUUCUUAAUAAAAUAUAAUCCACUUUAAAAAUAUUAAUUAAAUAAAAAAACAAAGAAAGGGAAACUGAAAUUUACCUUUUGUGGUGGUGGUGGGGGAUAGGGGAUCUUCAACUUAAAAAUUUUCGUAUAGCGGUUAGGACCAAACCAACCUACUUUUAUAAUAAAAUAAUAAUAAUUUCAUUAUAUAUUUUUAAGCUGAAACGGUAAAAAAUAAUGGGUAUAAUAAAUUUUUUAGCUAUUGGAACCCGUGCCCGUGACUCGUCGGUCACGGGUCUGGGUUCCAAUACUUAAAAAAAUUAUUAUACUAUUUUUUUACUAUUUCAACUUUAAAAAUAUAUAAAAUAUCUGAGUGUUGCCUGACACAUCCGCGACACCAAUAAAAAAUUAUUUUUUUCGUAUACUGUUAAAAAAACUCGUAUUUUUUGUGUUAAAUACGCGUGUCGUCAAUUGGUUAGGCUACACACAAAAAAAUAUUUUUAAAAAAAAUAUUAAAGUGGUGCCGCCGAUUGGUUAGGCGGCACUGGUAUAUCACUGUUGUAUUUGCCUAUUCUUGUAAAUAUUAAUCUCCUUAUCCUGUUCUGGUAUUUAUUUUAUAUUAUUUAUGAAGAAACCCUCCAUCCUUCCUACCAAUCAUGCCUAUAGAAAAAAGAAAGAAAUUAUAUUUUUCAUCUUUUUAAUUUUUGUACUGUGACACCCUGCAUCCGAACUAGACGACAGAUCUGAAUGUAAGAUGUCACAUCCAUUGUCAAAUCAACUUAGACUAUCAUCAUUCAUACCAUUGAUACCAAAUUAGUGUGUGUGAUAUAAUUAUAAAAAUUUCAUGUUGUACAAGUAAAAUGUGUGUGUUCUAAGUCCAAUGGGCCCACAUAUAUUAUCCCGAGACCACAAGGAGUCAAGAUAUGAAUCCUAACUCAAAGUUUCAAAAUAAAGUGUUGUGAGAUGUGUCUCGAGACAAUGAAGCCAUGUAUCAAGACAUGCUUCUCCUAUUUCAGACUUUUGGUUUUGAAGUACGAUGUCUCGAGACAAUAGGACUCAUGUAUUAAGGCAAUGACCCUUAUGUCUCAAGACAGGUCUUGAGACUUGUCUCUUCUGUUUCAGACCCUUAACUUCGAUGUUGUCUGUCUCAAGGCAUGGCAAUCUAUGUCUCGAGACAUCUUCAUUAUGUCUCGAGACCAUUUCCCAAAAAUGCACAAAAUGGUCAAAUUUAUUCUUAAUUUCUCAAGACCUACUCUUGAUGUCUUGAGACACUAAUAUUAAUAUGUCAAAUUUAAAUACCCAAUGUCAUGCAAAUGGACUCCGAAAUAUAUCCUAAUAAGACCAAUAUGGUACCAAAUCAAUAUACACCAAUUCAACAUAUAACGACACAUUUUAACCAACCAAUCUCAUAGCAUCCAACACAUUACACCAAAACAUAUAUAUCCAACUCAUCAACAACAUCAAAACAGAGAUAUUCAUGUGAAUCAAGUGACAAAGUUCACCAAGUGAACUAAACCAUCCUAAACCAACUAUGUAACACCCCCUAACCCCGAACCAUCGCCAGAACAGGGUUAUGAGGCAUUACCGAACGUAUCAGACAGUUUACAAAAAUUCUUAAAUAACUAACAAACAUAUUGAAUAAAAUCAUAAAUUCAUAAGUUUGUUUACCAAUUGACUUCAUCUCUCUCUCUUUUUUUUGUUUUUAUUAUUAUUAUAAAUUUUAUAAAAAUUUCGGCAGCAUUUCUGCUUAUUUUUACAUAGAACCCCCUGCAAUUAAAACCAUAUCUUUUCCAAAUAUAACCAAAUCAACCAAUUCAUUCCACAUUCACAUUUUCUAUUCUAAUUACUUCUAAUCAACUCAAUCAACAUAAUAUCAAUUUAAAUUUAACAAGGUACUAAAUAAAUCAAAAUAGGUAAACUUCUUUCAUUAUAAAUCUUAAAUUUAUAAUACUAAUAUUUUUAACCAUUUAUAUUAAAACAUAAUAAUCUUUAUACACAUCCUAUGUACAUGCCACAUUUACCAAAGGAAAAAUACAUCACCAAAGUUUUGCUGAAGUCGGGAUUAAUCUGGAUGCUGAACCGGGACCUUUGACUUCUAUCGACCUGCGCACGGAAACAACCGUACGCUGAGUAUUUCAUACUCAGUGGUAUUACCAUAAUUCAAAUUAUAACAAUAAUAAACAUGUAAUGCAUAAUUCGUAUAUACAAUUUAAAUUCAAUAUUUCAACAAUAGCAAUUCAUCAACCAAUAUCGUAUAUCCACAAUUUGAGUUUGAACAAAUCAUGAACCUUAGGUUCAUUUCUCAAUCUCAUUUCACAUUUCAAUUCACAAUUCAACUUUUUCAUAUCAUUUCAAUAGCUCGUUUGACCAACUCGUUCGGUUUAUCAUUUCAUCAUUUACCCUAUUAACAAAACUCGGACUUUGGCGGAUACACGGAUCCAACCAAACACACCAGAAUGGCACCCAGUGCCUCAUCGGAUAGUUCGAAGCAAUAGUUGACACCCAGUGUCUCAUCGGCAAAGCCGAAGAAAGUUGGUACCCAGUACCUCAUCGAAUCUAUCCGAAGAAAUAUAGUGACACCCAGUGUCUCAUCGACUCGAGGUCGAAGUAUCCCUGAACUUUUCCAAUCCUAUGGCAUGCCAACUANNNNNNNNNNNNNNNNNNNNNNNNNNNNNNNNNNNNNNNNNNNNNNNNNNNNNNNNNNNNNNNNNNNNNNNNNNNNNNNNNNNNNNNNNNNNNNNNNNNNNNNNNNNNNNNNNNNNNNNNNNNNNNNNNNNNNNNNNNNNNNNNNNNNNNNNNNNNNNNNNNNNNNNNNNNNNNNNNNNUUGAUUCAAAUUCAUUUUCGACAACUCAAUACAUUUCCGUACAAUGUAAGUCCAUUCACAAUAAUAAUAAUAAUAAUAAUAAUAAUAAUAAUAAUAAUAAUAAUAAUAAUAAUAAUAAUAAUAAUAAUAAUAAUAAUAUUAAUACUAAUAUUAAUACUUACCUCACAUUUCAUUUACUAGACACAUAUAAAUUAAAAUUUAGCAUUUAAUAAUAAAUAACUUGAAUUAUAGUAAUACAAACCCGAAUUUACUCGAUUAUUCCUCAAUAACCUUCUCCUUUCCUUUGUGUGCCGAUGCUUCGAGUUCCUUGUUAGCUACGAAAAUAAUAAUAAUUUACACCAUUAAUUACAACAUAAAUUAAUAAUAAUAAAAUUUCUAUCCAAUUUAUACUUUGAUUCCAAUUUAAUCCUAACUAAAUUUAUCUACUUUUCUAAUUUAAUUCACACUCUAUUUCUAUUCAAAUUUCUUCUAAACUAAAUUUUAUCUACAAAUUUUUCAGCAUUUUUCACUAAUUUCGAAUUUUCCCCAAUUUAAUCCCUAAAAUUCAAAACUUGUAGCUUACUUCACAAUUUAAUCCUUGUAUCAACUCUAACUAGAAAUUCUAUCAAAUAAACCCUCAAUUCCAUCAUUUAUUCAAAAUAAACCCUACUCAAAAAUCUAUUAACUUUCAAAUUUUCAACUUAAAUCCAAGAGUAUUUCACUCUAGGAUUCCAAAAACAUCAAAUUUAUGAGAAAAGGACUUGAUUUUACUUACCUAUUAAACUUCAAGCUUCAAAUCCCUAGUUUUCCCUUUUAUUUUUCUUUCUCCUUUCCUUCCCCUGUUUUCGUCUCUUUCUCUGUUUCUUUUCUAGCUAUUCUGUUUCUUUUCUUCUUUGUUGCUUUCUUUUACUUUAUUCCUUUUAGUCAUUAGUUAAUAAUAAUAAUAAUAUAUUUUAAUAUUAUUUACUUAAAUGAUAAGUAAAUAUGUAAUAAUUACUAAUAUAUGUAUUUCAAUUUUUUUCCACAUGUCUUCAUAUACACCAUACAUUUGUCAACUUUUUUUUAUUAUAAUAAUAAUUUAAUAAUACUAAUUUAAUAAUAAUAAUUUAAUAACAUUUUUUUAACACAUAAAAAUAUCAGAUUUUUAUACUUAUGCCGCCUCAAAUUUGGCAAUUGGCAUAAUUGCCUAUUUAGUCCUUAUUAUUUUCUUUUAAUUUAUAAUUAGACUUUCACUUCUAUUGCAAUUUAAUCCCUUUUUGCUAAUUAUUCCUAAUUAAGCUAAAUUCACCUAUCUAAAACCUAAUUAAAUACACAUCUAGUCUAGUAAAUAUUUCUAAUAAUUAUUUUCAGACUCAGCUUAUUAAGAUGGAGGCCCGAUAUUAUACUUUUCCGAUGCCCGUGAAUUUUGGGUCAUUACAAACUAACCAAAACAUAGAUGAAACUCAUAAAGUUCUGAUAAAUGCUAAAAGUAACAUGUUUUAACUUCAUUAUUAAUGUGUUUUUGGUGAUUACUUGAUGUUAAUUGUGAUUUUUAUGCUUCUAAUCCUUUAAAUUAAUGUUUUAAUGCUUAAUAGAACACUUGGGAGCAAAAAGAGUAAAAGAUGAGUGAAAACUGGAGUAUUGGAGCAAGCUGCAAGAGCCAUACGGGCUGAACCAUUCCACACGGCUAGACUAUAUGGGCGUGUGGUAGGUCGUGUCAAUUUCACAGGUUUUCACACAGAAUUUCACAAAAUCGUGAUUUAUAGGUUUUUUGGGUAUUCUAAGACGCAUAUAUGACAAAAAUAAGAAGAUAGGAGUGAGCCACCAAAGAAUACUCAAGAAAACAACUCAAAAAACAUCAUUAAAGCCGAUUCUGAAGUAGAUUUUUGUCAAGAUUGAAGAUUCCCAUUUGAUUUCUUAAGAAGUUAUCAAGAGUUUCUUUGUUUCUUUUGGUUAUAUUGUAUCUGGGAUGUUUUUAUUUUCAAGCAUGAACUAAUUUUCUAAAUACCUUGGGGAGAUGAACCCUAUGAUGGAUUAUGUCGUUUGAUUUUUAAUUUACGCAAUAAAUACUUAGUUUCUUGUUCUCAAUUAUGUGUGCUUAAUUCUUGGUUUAAUAUUUCUAGAUUAUUGAUCCAUGUUUGAUGUGCUUAAAUCAGUAGUUGAAUAAACCCUAUUUAAUAGUAGAUAUUGUGUAAUUGAGUGGAGUUGCAUGCAAUUCUAGAAAUAGGAUGACAUAAAUCUAUCAGAUUAUGUUCAAAUCUAAUAGGGGGAUCCAUAACACGAGUUAAUAUGAUAAUAGGGGUUUUAAUUAGAAAGAAAUCUCAAUUAAUCAACCAAGAAUCAAUUGCUCUUAUGCUCGAAAUAAAUAUUAGCAUAAUUUAGCGGUUUCUAUGGAUCAAUGUGCUAAGUAAAGAAAUUGCUUAAUUUAGAUUGAUAGUGACAAAUGAAAUCUACGCAGAUUUUUUCUUGGGUAUUGUUUUCGCUUCUUGGUUGUUAAUCGAUUAUUUUCCUGAUUUGUUCUUUGUCAUGUUCGUUAGUUAAUAUAAUUAAUUAAUUUUAGUUUUUAAUCAAUUACUUGAAUUAUUCAGUUAAAUAAUAAAGAGACGAAAAUUACUAGUACUUUUAGUCUUCGUAGGAACGAUAUCUUUGCUUACCGUAGCUAUAUUAUUAAUUGAUAGGUGUACUUGUCUUAUUCAAAAUUUUAGUUUGUUUCGUGACGCAUCUAGUUCCCUAUUAACCUAGGUGCAUGGUGUUUAUAGUCUAGGUUCGAAAAAAAGAUUACAAACAUUAGUUUGAAUUGAGAUACAAAUCUUCGAAUGCUACCAAAAUUUCACAAUCUAAUCAGAUAUCUAAUUAUUAUCUGCGCACAAAAACAAAUAUAUUCGUACACUGAGUAUUGGAAACUCAAUGAUGUUAACAUAAUAUGAUUUUAAAACAUAAAAUAUUAAGUAAAUAAGUAUACUAUUAAAUCUUGUUCGAACAAGAAUGGUAUUCAAAUAAAGCCCUCCCAACAAUGUCGCGUGGAUGAUUAUUAGUUGCUCCUAACAAUGUUUUCCAUCAUCUUAACUCAUUUCUCCUUAUUUUCGAUUAAUGAUUUACAACCUUCAACAUUUGACUUGUACUCCUAGAGCUUUACCACCUUCAACGUUUUGUCCAUCACUUCACCACGACUUUUGAUAGUCACUAGGUGUGAGCAAAACUCGAUUUGACUAAAAAAAUCGAAAAAAAUUUAAAUUUCAAGUUAAACGAAUUGAGUUAUUCAAGUUAAUAAAGUCAAGUAGAUUUUUUUUCGAAUUUUGAGUUCGAAUCAAGUUGAAUUUUCGAAUUCGAAUAACUCGAAUAAUUCGAAUAAACCGAACACAAAACUAUGCUAUUUUAUAUUUUUACCCCAAACCCCAAAACCAUUUUACUUUCCCCCAAAACUUUUACUCCCCUCCCAUCUCACCCCCAUCUACCCCAAACUCAUUUUCCUCCCAAAUGUUUUUUUAAUAUCCCCCUGCCCAAAUUUACCCCCUCAAACCCUCAAAACUUUCUAUUUUCCCCCUAAACUUUUACUUCUCACCCUUUACCCCCAAAUCAAAAAUCAAAAUCAUCCAAAAAAAUCAUUAAACCUAAAUAGUAAUACUUUUAUUUAUAUCUACUAUUUAUAUUAUUAAAUUAAUUUUCACAUUUUGUACUAUUUAUAUUAUUGAAUUAUUUAAUCAUAUUGAAUCUUUAUAUAUUUCUGUUAAAAUUGAAUUAUUCAUGAUGCCAUAAAGUAUUCGUGUUAAAAUUUUAUGUUGGUAUCAAUUUCACAUUUUAUCCUUAAGAUAACUUCUACUAAAAUUUGUUAUAGGAGGAAGGGUUGAGUAAAAUUCGAUUCAAUUUAAAAAUUUGAUAAAUUUUUCAAGUUUGAAUUAUUUGAGUUAAUCAAGUUAUUUGGAUUAACUCAAAUAAAAAAUUAAGUUUUUUAGUUUAAUUCGAAUAUGAUUUACACAAUUUGAGUUAUUAGAAAAUCCGAAUAAGAAAAAGCAAAAUUAUGUCGUUUUGAUAAAUGUCUAUUUUUUUAAAAUUAAAAGUUAAAAUUAUUAAGUUAAAAGGUAAAACUAUGUUGUUUUGAUAAACGUUUACUCAUUAAAUUAAAAGGCAAAACCAUUAUAUUGUUUACGUAGUUAAAUAAUUUUGUACUUUAUUUACUAAUUAAAUAAUGGUUCAUGUAAACGUAACAUUGAGUAUAAAUAAUAGGAUUCGUUAGCUCGACUCAAUUUGACUUGAACUUUUAUGACUCGAUUCAAUCCUAUUCGAAAAAAAUUCAAACUGAAUUUGAUUGCUGAAAUAGGAUUCGUCAACUCGAUUAACUUAAAAAAAUUUAACUUGAUUUGACUUGAUCGAAUACGCAAGGGGAAGAUUUUCUUUAAAGCUAAUCCGAAGAUGUAAAGGUGUAAAGAGGCUCUUCUUGUUUAGAAGCAGAUAAAAAAUUUCCCCCUCAAAAAGAUACAUGGAUGAUAGGGAAAGAUUAGAAAAGCUAUGGGUUGUAUGAAAAUAGUAUGUGCUCCGAAACACUCGAUUAUUGCAUCUUAUUCAUAUACAGAUGUCGUUGUCAUGCAAAAGAACAAAUUCCCAGCAGAAAAAUAUCCGUAGACUUGACAGUUACAGCAUAACUAACAUGGCUACUGUUGCAAAUUUAAAAAAAUUUAUUUUCUGUGCAAAAGUCAGAUUCUGUCAAGAAUGCACUUUACUUUCUCUAUUGACUUGGACACGUGUCCACUGCUUCUUGCCCUUUUGUGUCGAAAACUCUUAUUUAUCAUUAGUCCUAAGGAAAAUUUUAUCCACGACAGAUUUUGGGUUACUCAUCAUGAAGAUUUUAUUUUAUUUUUACCUUUCUUCAUCGAAAUGAACUCACAAAGAAGUUAAACCCAUAACUUCCGAUGAUCAAAUCUAUAACUCACAAAACACAGAAAAAGGGUACUUGAAGGAUCUAGGGCUUUGUGCAAUUCAACAUCAGUAUUAUAGGCUAAGAAAAAAUGGAGGGGGGAUUACAGAAUAUGGUUUGUUCCUUCUCAAAGGACACAAAAUCAAGAUCCCCUUCUUUCUUGGCGGCAACGGCGGUGGAGCAGUGCCGACGAUUCUUUCGGCGAUGCCAUUCGUAUUUGUCAACAGGCCUCCCAAGCAAGUUAUCUUGUUGUGGAGGUGUUCAAAUCUUGCUUUAUCGCCGGUGUAUGGCGUUGGGCUUCAAGGUUCUCAAGCGAUUAAAAGGCGAUUAGUGUAACGUUAUUAACCCUUUCAAAUCCAGUUAGGUUUCAUAUUAUGAAAAUGGGUAACUAGUUCAAAUACUUUUCUUUUCUAAUAUGUAAAAAGUAGUUUAUAUUUUUUUUUAAAAUCUUCAACGUCAAAAUUAAAGCAAAACUCUCCUCAAUGACAUAAAAUAAUUGGUAGAAAAUUAGAAAAAGAUUAUGAAGAACAUGUUCUUUUAAUUAUUUUAUGAAACUUAUUUCUUUAUCGAUUAAAAGAUGGGUUUACUUUUAAUUAAUAAGAAAUGUUGUAAUAGAGAUGAUUAAUAAACAAUUUUUCUCAAAUAAAAAAAUUAUUAAAAUGACUCAAAUAUUGGACUAUUUAGAAAAAUAAUCUAAAAUCUACUCUAAAAUUGGAUGUCACUUCCCAAUGGGCCACUACUCAAUAAAAUGUCUUCAAUAAUUGUCUCAUAAUUGAUUCACUUAAAAAAAUAACUAUUUUCGUGCCACCGCCUAUAUAAGUAGGAAUGAGCAAAAUUCAAUUCGAUUUCAAAAAACUUGAUAAAAAAAUUAAUUUUGAGUUAAAUAGUUCGAAUUAUUUGAGUUGAUCAAGUUAUUCGGAUCAACUCGAAUAAAAAAUUAAGUUUUUCUGUUUAACUUGAAUAUGAAUGACACAAUUCGAGUUAUCCGAAUAAUAAAAGGCAAAACUACGUCAUUUUGAUAAAUGUUUACUUUUUUAAAAGUUAAAAGGCAAAAUACAUUAUUUUGAUAAAUGUUGACCCAUUAAGUUAAAAGACAAAACAAUUGUAUUGUUUAUGUAGUUAAAUAAUCUUGUAUUUUGUCUACUAGUUAAAUAAUCGAUCCAUGUAAACGCAACAUUGUGUAUAAAUAAUAGGAUUCGUUAACUCGACUCAACUUCACUUGAAAUUUUUUGACUAGAUUCGAUUCGAUUCGAAAAAAUUCAAAUUGAGUUUGGUUGCUAAAAUAGGAUUCGUUAACUCGACUAACUGGAAAUUUUUUUACUUGACUCGAUCGAAUACUCACCCCUACAUAUAAGUUUUCUCAAAUACUUUCCAAUGCGGCACCCAUAUAAGAUAAAAAGAUAUUGAGAUUAUUAAAAAAAAAAAGAUAAUUAAAAAAUUAUUUUUAUUAAAUAAACUUUUUUACUGUAUUUUCACGGGUAUUCUCGAAGUAAAAAGAUAAAAAAAAUUAUUAUUUUUAUUAAAAUCUAUAAUGAGAUUAUUCAAAAAAAAAAUUUGAAGUAUAAUUAAAUUAAUUUGGCGCCUCCAUCAAUCUCAUUAUAGAUUUUAAUAAAAAAAUUAAUUUGUUCAAAAAAAUUUAUAAUGACAUUGUUAAAAAAAAAAGAGAUUAUAUUAAAGGUAUGAUUAAUUUAUUUUAUUGAUGUUUUUUUGGUAUCUUAUAUUAGAUUUUCGUAUUUAAGGGAAACGUUAUUUUUUGUUUUUGUGUUUUAUUAAGUUUAAGUUUGUAUUAAAGGUAUAAUUAAUUUGUUUGAUUAAUGUUUUUGAAGUAUCUUAUAUCGGUUUUUCGUAUUUAAGGUAUGAGCAUAUUUUUUUAUAAGUCAUUUGGGUUUAUUUAAUGUUUGGUUAUUUGAGUUUAUUAAUAUAAUUGAUAUGUUAUAUUAAAUUAUUUAUUAUUUUAAAUUAAUGUUUAACAAUAUUUUAAUUAAUAAAUGUGACAAAAAUCAGGGUGAGUUCACGUACCAAAUUAAGCGAUCACACGGUACGAAUGAUAAAUGAGACGGUAAAAAAAUUAAUUAUGUCCGAUCGAGAAGUUGAAAUGCUAAAUUCACGGAAUUAUUUUUUAGUUGAUCAAUUUUUUUUAAUUGACAGGAUGAGUAUCAUUCUUUGAGGGCACUAGCCAUGGGCCUGGCUACUGUCCGGGAGACUUUAUAAUGCCAUACUUGGAAAUGGCAGGAUUUGGUCAACGGGUUUAAUCGAGAUGUUUGAGUUGUGGUUUGAUGUAAUAUCCAUAUUGGUUGAGCAAUGGCGGCCGGAGACCCACACAUUCCAUUUACUGUAUGGGGAGUACACUAUCACACUUGAGGACGUCGCACUACAACUCGGGCUACCAAUGGAUGGUUAUGCGAUCACUAGUUUCAAUAAAGUGGUCGAACUUGUGGCCUUGUGCGACAGUUUGCUUGGUCAACUGUCAGAUGAUGGGAAGAAUAAAUUUACUAGUUCUGAAUUUUGGUUGGUUAAAACAAGAUUUCAAAAACAUAUUGAGCAGUGCCACGGAGUUGGAGCUUAUGUGCGCUGCUUGAGCAUUUAUUAUGCAGCUGAUAGGGUGUAUUGAUGCCGGAUGCGAAGAAUAAUAAAGUCCAUACUUGUCCCAUUGUCAGAUUUACGCGUCGCUUGAGAGUACAUUUGGGGGUCGGCAGUAUUGGCAACACUGUAUCGUGAGCUAUGUCGGGCUACAAAGCAUGAUACGCAAGAAAUAAAUGGCUGUCUAAUACUGCUGCAAUCAUGAGCGUCGUAUAGGAUGUCAUUUUUGGCAUCAGUGGGUCACCAACCACCAAUGUGGCUGCUUGUAAAUAGGUAAGAAAAUAUCAAUAAUAACCCAACCAACAAUUAAAUUUUUUUACACACAUUUAUUUGUUAACAAUUUUCUUUUGUUGGCAAAUGGUCUACAUACCCUGCUAUAGGGAGGUCCGUACAACUUGGGGUAUAUCGUCAAAUAAUUGAGGUGUAUUCCGGGGAGGAGGUGGAAUUUUUAUAAAAAUGUCAAUAAAAACUGUAUUUGGUCACGGUAGUAUAGCUAUGUUAAAUACUUUGCAGUUCGUGUGGAUGACAUAUUCUGUGUCGGACGUUGCCGUUGUUAUUCCGCAGUGGGGUCAUGCACACUCAACCGUGUGGUGCAUCAACGCUUCGGUGUUGAAUUUCUCGAUUGUUGAGUGGUAUAACGGCGACCGAUUCCUUCAAAUACAAUUUGAUUGCAAACAACAGUAUAAAUAGGUCCGCACAAUCUUGAAUAUUAAAAAUAUUGUUUUUAAAAUGUCUAUACUCGAUUUUAGCUUAAAGUUUUUGUUCUCAAUUACUCUGAAAAAAUUCAUAAAAUUUCGAUAAAGUGUCUAAAUUCACCAAAAAAAAAUAUUGAUGUCGGUAGGGUUAACAUAUAAAAGAAAAACUGAAAUUGGAGCCUAAAUAGAAUCUAAAUUAUAAGAUUCGUUUAUAAAUAGAACAAAAUAGAGGAACAGACAGCUCAAGCGUUCAAAAACCAGGGAUAGGUCCAAAACCACUUGACGCCCGUUCCCUAUAAGUGGAAUUAUAAUGCAGAAUAAUAAAAUAUCCCAACAUUUUUCAUUUUGUCGACUCUGCGCUGUUUCCUUCAACCUCGUCUAUUCACUGAGUAUAAUAACAUUAAUGUAUUAUUGUUUUAUAAUGUUGGUCAACUUCAUCAUACCUCCCAAGAUUGAUUCCUAUGAUUUUGACAUAUUUUUGAAGAAUUAAUAUCCUUUUUUUUAAAAUAAAUACUAAUAAUUAAGCUUUUAGUGAACAGCGUACAUAAUUGAGUCAUCAUAAUAAAAUAAUUAAUUAGACCUUCUCGUCAAUGAAAAUUAUUGUUGAUUAGUUUGAUUGUUGAUAAAUGUUGACGUGGUAGAUGGAAAUUGACUUGUAGUAUGCUAUGUGGAUAAGUAUGUUGAUGUAGCAUGUCAUGAGAGGUAUAUUUAAAAAAAUAAAAAUUUUAAAAAAUUAUUAAAACAUGUAUGCAUAGAAUGAACUUAGACAAAUGAUUAUUCAAAUUCAUUCUGGAUAUGGUUCAAAAUACUAUAAAAAUUAUUAAAAAAUGAUCAGAGAACUAAAACCUAUUGAAAUAAUUAUUAAAAAUUAUUAGUUCAAAUAUUUAAAGGUAGCAUAUAAAAAGUAUUACUUUGAAACCAAAAAGCUGUUAACUUUUUAAAUGGAGUUAUUAUUUUUAAUUUGUAACAGUCUAUUUUUCAGUGGUAUCCGAAACAGUGGCUCGAGGCCACCAAAUCCGGAGAGGAAGCUCGUAAAAUUUAUUAUUUAAUAUUUACGAGUCAAAUGUAGUUUUAAAAAGAUUUUUGAAUUGGUAAUUAUGUUUCAUAAUGAAUUAUUAGGUUCGAGUGGUAAAACCCUAGGUCAAGUGGUUUUAGAAAAUGAGGUAUCGAGACCUCGUUUCUAUAAACCAAGCCGUAAAUAUUUUUAUAAAUAUUUACGGUGUCAUUAAGGUGGUAUUAAAUUUUUGUUGAAAAAUUUUAACGUUUCGGCAGUUAUUUAAUUAAAAAGAACUAAAUUGAAAAAGGUGCAAAACUUGCUAAUUAUAAUAAUUAAAUGAUUAAAUAGCUUAAUUAAUAAAUAAGGAAGGACUUAAGAAAUAAAUAAACCCAAAUUAAAUGGUGAGGCGGCAUAACAAGAAAAAAAUAAUAAAAUAAAGCCAUUGGCAAAAUGGUAAAUAAGUUGAAGUUAAAAUAAAACAAAUUGAUUUUAAAGUUUUCUAUGCAGUUCUUCUUGAACAUUCGGCCAAAACCAGCAUUAGAGAGAAAGUUUUAAGCUGGUUAUUCAUAUCUUGGUUUCAUGUGAGUCCAAUUCUUACCUGUUUCUUCUAUUUUUAUAGUUUUUAGAUUGUUACAAUUAGGACUAAUUAAAUUUUACUUUAGUUUUUGAAUUUAUUAAAAAAUUAUUAAAUUUCAUGCACAUACAUCAAGACAUCUAAGCAUAUUUUACUUCUUAAGCUGAAUAUCAAAUAUGUCAAUUCAUACUUCUAUUCAUGUGCAUAAAACCAAACAAUCCAUAUCGCUCGGCUUAUUGUCCAUUAGAAAAUGCAACAUAAUCAAUUUCACCAAUAGUCAAGUUUAGCAUAUAAACAUCUUAGCCACUAAUGCAUUUAACCUUAUCAACUAUGCACCACUUUUUUUUUUUUUAAACUCAACUAAUAAGUCAUACAUGCCUAACUUCCCAUUUAAGUACAAAACAUGUGUAUGCUUUGCCAUUCAUCUUAUCUUCUAUUUGGCUAGCAAACUAACCAUACAAUUUACACCCAAUUCGCAUGCUAAUUAUUAAGCCUAAAAUACAUAUAAAACCAAUACAUACUUUAUUCACUUGACUAACAUUAACCAUUUUCCAAGUACUUUAGCCAUUCAAAAAAAACCAAUUCCAUACAGUAUAAAUCAUAUCAAAAUUUCAUAUACACACCCUAAUCAAUUUAUAAUCUAUAUAUCCGGUCAUGCAAAUUAACUUCUAUAUAAUAUUUAAAUCACAUUCAAUCUUUGCCAUCCUAUAUUAAGCCUAAAUAGUCAAAUCAUAAUAAUGGCAUAAACAUUUCAUAAACUUAAAAGAACACAUACCAAUGCAAAUAUUUCAUACUUACAAUAAUAAGUCAAUUACCAUAAUCGAUCAUACCACUAUGUAUACAUAUAACACAUUUUGUAAUUCAAGCAUUAAAACCAUUAGUCCUUUACAUAUCGAAUUAUCAAAUAACUUAUCAAAGACACACACACACAUAUAUAUAUAUAUAUGUGUGUGUGUUUACAUUUCAUCUACCGAUUAUAUAAUAAUAUAUCAAUUUCCANNNNNNNNNNNNNNNNNNNNNNNNNNNNNNNNNNNNNNNNNNNNNNNNNNNNNNNNNNNNNNNNNNNNNNNNNNNNNNNNNNNNNNNNNNNNNNNNNNNNNNNNNNNNNNNNNNNNNNNNNNNNNNNNNNNNNNNNNNNNNNNNNNNNNNNNNNNNNNNNNNNNNNNNNNNNNNNNNNNNNNNNNNNNNNNNNNNNNNNNNNNNNNNNNNNNNNNNNNNNNNNNNNNNNNNNNNNNNNNNNNNNNNNNNNNNNNNNNNNNNNNNNNNNNNNNNNNNNNNNNNNNNNNNNNNNNNNNNNNNNNNNNNNNNNNNNNNNNNNNNNNNNNNNNNNNNNNNNNNNNNNNNNNNNNNNNNNNNNNNNNNNNNNNNNNNNNNNNNNNNNNNNNNNNNNNNNNNNNNNNNNNNNNNNNNNNNNNNNNNNNNNNNNNNNNNNNNNNNNNNNNNNNNNNNNNNNNNNNNNNNNNNNNNNNNNNNNNNNNNNNNNNNNNNNNNNNNNNNNNNNNNNNNNNNNNNNNNNNNNNNNNNNNNNNNNNNNNNNNNNNNNNNNNNNNNNNNNNNNNNNNNNNNNNNNNNNNNNNNNNNNNNNNNNNNNNNNNNNNNNNNNNNNNNNNNNNNNNNNNNNNNNNNNNNNNNNNNNNNNNNNNNNNNNNNNNNNNNNNNNNNNNNNNNNNNNNNNNNNNNNNNNNNNNNNNNNNNNNNNNNNNNNNNNNNNNNNCAGAAUAGGGUACGAGGUAUUACCAGAACAUAUACACUUUUAACCAUAUUAAACCGACUUGUAAAAUUUCAUCUAAACUAAAACUUUCAAAUUGUUAUUCUUGAUUCGCUAAUUAGGGUUUACAUAGCCCAAUAUACUCACAAUCUUUCAUUUCCUCGUCGUAUGAAUUUAAAAAUUUCCAUUUACUUAUUGAAUUUAUCACGAGUACCUGAAUUGAUCCGUAUCAUUACAUAUUCUCAUGUCGUCACAUUUUCCUAUUUAACUAUUGUAAUAUAUCAAUUACUCAAUAUCUUAUAAACUAAGUGUCACAUAUACAUUAUCCAUUCAUCUCCCAUACAACUAUCAAUAUUAGCCACAAAGAUAGAACAAAUUUUCUCUAUUCGAUGUUAAAUCAAAACAUGUUACUUCAUUACCAACUACCCUUACUCAGUAUACACCUUAAAUUAGCCCAAGUGUUUAACCAAUCACACAUGACAUAAAUAUAUUUUAUCUAUUAUUGUAGAAUAUAGAUGUGCUACCCAAAUCAUAAUUCACCUCACAUAAUAACUGAGUUAACUUUUAUCAUUUGUCAAAUAAAUUACAAAACAAAUUAUAUAACAAAAUAUAGAUACAUUUUAAACCUCACCAAAAAAACAAAUUCUCAUGGCAUUAAAUAAUUAUCACGCAUCAAAGACAAAUGUAUUUGAUAUUUCUAUCACACAAACUAGAUUAAUCAGUGCAACCUCAAUGAUGUAAUCAUCCUUUUAACUUACUUAACCAAGCCAAAUUAUACCAUCAUCUCACACAUAGAAUGACCCACCUAUCAUACUUCUCAAUUAUGUCACUUAAUAGACCAAAUAUACCUAAUCUUUAUCAUCAUGAUCAAUCCACAACCAAAAUACAUCCAUAUAUCUAAAUUACCACACACACAUAUAUAUAUACCAUACACACAUACUAUAAAACUUUAUUUUCCCCAUGAGCUUAAAUCAUGACCAAUAAUGCACAAAUAUAAGUAUCAUUUCUAUUUCAUCGUUUAUCAAUUAUAAUCGAACAUAUGACCAAUUAUAGACAAAUCAUUUAUAUAUUCUCUAAUUUUCCUCCUCCUUCUCUCCAUUCCACAUCCUUAAUGUGUAUAAUACAUUUAAGCAACAUUUUCCAUACUAUCACUAUUUUCCUGUAUGUAAAUUCAAGCUGUCUAUCAGAGUCAGAGUCACUAAUUUAUUUAUAUCUCGAUCUACAGAGCUAAAAAUUAAGAUCCGUUAAUUUUCCCUGAAACUAGACUCAUAUAUCUUUUUACCAUAAAAUUUUUAGAAUUUUUGGUUAAGCCAAUAAGUACAGUUUAUUCUUUAAAGUUUCCCCUGUUGCACUGCUCGACAGUUCUGACCUCUCUUCACUAAAAAUUGAUUAUCUCAUUGUACAUAAUUCAGAUGGUAUUCUCGUUUAUUUAUAAUGAAAAUAUACUCAUUUAGGAUUCUAAAAAUAUAAGGUUUAACCCCUAAUUAAUUUUUUACAAUUUUUAAUGAUUUUCCAAAGUCAGAACAGGGGAUUCCAAAAUUAUUCUGACUCUAUCUCACAAAAUUUACUAUAUCUCAUGAUCUAGAAUUCCAUUACUUACACCGUUUCUUCUAUGAGAAACUAGACUCGAUAAGAUUUAAUUUCAUAUUUUACUCAUAUUCUAAUUCGAUUCCCACGAUUUUUGGUGAUUUUUAAAAGUUGGCACACUGCUGCUGCCCAAAAUUGUUUUAGUGCAACAUUUUGAUUACCAUUUUGACCCUAAACUUUUAACACAUGAGAAUUUCAUCCUUAGGCUCGGAAAAUGAAAUUCUUGCAAUUUAAUCCUUGAUCCAAGCCUAAUAGUUCUCAUACAUAUCAAUAACAGCCCAUGGAUCCCAUGAAAUUUCAGAAUUUCUCCACAAUUUCAAUACUUUUCAAUUUAAUCCCUAAAACAUGUUUUCAUCCAAAAUUCUUUAAUAAAACACCUUUAAACAUCCAUUAACAUCUCAAUUUCAUCAUAAAAUAACAAAAAUCAUAUGAAAUUAUCAUUGGUAUCUUCCAAAACUUUCAACAAAAUGAGAAACUAGUAGAAUACUAAGUUGGAUCUAAUUGUAAAAGUCUAAAAAUAUAAAAAUUUCAAGGAAAAAGCAAGAAUUAAACUUACUUGAAGCCAAAAUAUGGAAUACCAGCUCCAAACCNNNNNNNNNNNNNNNNNNNNNNNNNNNNNNNNNNNNNNNNNNNNNNNNNNNNNNNNNNNNNNNNNNNNNNNNNNNNNNNNNNNNNNNNNNNNNNNNNNNNAUAAAAUUUGGCCACAUAAACUUUAUUGUAAUUCCAAUUUUGUCCUUAAAUACAUAAAAAUCUUUGAUUUUUUUAACGGUAUGCCGCCUCUGCCACUUAAGUUGGUCCAUUUGCUCCUUUAGUCCUUUCUUAUUUAAUUGUUAAUCUAUUUAAUCACUUUAGCAAGUUUUACAUCUUUUCAAUUUAGUCCUUUUUAAUUAAUUGACUGCCGAAAUGUUAAAAUUUUUUGACGAAACUUUAAGACUACCAUAUUGACACUCCUUAAAUAUUUAUAAAAAUAUUUAAGGCUCGAUUUAUAACAUCGAGGUCUCGAUACCUCUUUUCCUCAAUUUCUUAACUUAAUAAAUUUAAAAAAAACACAAAUUACUAAUUUAAAAAUCUCUUAACAAUCAUAUUUGACCCGUAAUUAUUGAAUAAUAAAAUUUACGAGCUUAUUUUCUGAAUUUGGUGGUCUCGUACCACUGUUUUCAACAUUUCUAAAAAUCGGGCUAUUACAAAAAUAUCCUACAUUAAGCAUCCAUCAAAAGCAUAUCCAUUUUGUACUAUCAGAACAUAACCUUCCUCAUAUAAGAUGAUAUGGUAUUAAAAUUCAAAUGACAAUUUGCUUGGCUACCAUGUGAAAACUUGUUCCAAGACAUUUAAGUGAUUAUAACGAGUGAAGUUCUCAUAGUUGAUCAUAUUUGAUGAACUUGUUUACAAAAAAGGACCCAUUGUUAUCCUUCAAGCUUCUUGCAUACUUCAACCUAUAGAAUUGGUUGCAUGUAUCUAAUAUAUUGUAACACCCCUCACUCGUCUCCGUCAGCGGAUUAAGGUUAUGAAAUACUACUGCACAUAACAGAAUCAUGCUAUAUCAAUUCGAAUUUCUCUAAACAACCAGUAAUUAUCAAUCUUAUAGUCAAAAACAUGUUAUUCAUACAAUAUCAAGGUUAAAUCGAGCUUACUAAAGCUCUAAAAAUAAUUCAAAACUAAUUAGGGACUAAUUUGAAUAAUUUUAGAAAAGUGUGGCAAAAAUGAAAAAUAAGGGUCACAUGGCCAUAUGGUUAGGCGGUGUGGUAGGCUGAGGCCAUUUGGAGUUGAACCACACAGCUGUGUCCCCAAACCGUGUAACAGACUGAUGCCAUAUAAUCCAAGGUCACACGGCUGUGUCUUUAGGCUGUGUAACUAACUGUGGCUGUGUAGGUCUAAUUGUCACCUAAAUCAUAUAGACCACACGACCAUGUCAUCUACCCGUGUAAGACACACGGCCGUGUGUCAGACCGUGUGUACAUAUAAAUACCUUUUCAAAUAAGUUACAUAUCCUUAAAUUUAUUUACCCUACAAGCAAGCAUUGAACCAUUCUUCAACCUAUUCAAACCCAUAAAAAAAUAUAUCAAAACACAACUUAAAUCAUCCUUCCUAAGGGCCUAACCAAUGUGCCAUUAUGACCCCAUCAUAACCGAAUUCAAAAUUUAAAACUUAAUAAAAAAUACAAGCAAAUAUCAUCUUUGUGCAUCUUACCAAGAAUGCUUCAUAAUAUUUAUCUUUUAACCAAAUUAAACAUGCAUCCACUACCACCAGAGUUGAUCACAUAUAAACUUGCAUUUCAAUCAUACAAUUACUUUUGUAUAUAAUAAAAACUUACCAUAUCCAUGAAGCAACUUAAUAUCAUAAUUGCAUAUACCACAAUAAUCAACUAACACAUAUACCAAGGAUUUCACCCAAGUUUAACCAUUUCCCAACCAUUUCAUAAUCUAAGAUCAAGCAUACCAUAUUAAGUAAUUGCAUUUACGACUAUUUGUAUUCUACUAAGAUAAUCAAAUUAUCUGUAUAAUUUGUUGAUGGAUGCAUAUAUUUGAAAACCUUAAUGCUUGUUUACUUUGUAAUAUACUAAACUUAGGUGUUUGAUAUUGAAAGUGGUAAGUUUUUUAUAUAUCAUGUCAAAAUUAUGUGUAAAAAUGAAAAUGCCUAGUUACGUACUCCAACACCAAUCUUUGUACCGUACUUGCUCAAGGGAUGUAUUUUACUUUUUGUUUUUAUUUUGCUUUACUUGAGGACAAGCAAUAAAUUAAGUGUAGGGGAGUUUGAUCUGUCGUAAUUCGGUGUAGCAAAUUAAACUAGUUUUCAUACUUCAAGAGCUUAAAUAUGAGCAAUUUUAGUAUGUAUUAUUUAUGUUUUCUUAGUUUAGUUAAAUUCAAUAAAAAGGGCAUUUUGAGUCUUUUAUUGACCUUAGGAUUCAACAGAGGCCUAAAGGCAAGCUAACGUACUUAGUAAGUGUGUAGGAGACCAUUCAAAGGCGUAGGAACUCAAACCUAGUUAUUGUGUUGCAACACGGGAGGUUCGAUGUCGCAACAUAGGGAGCAAAAUGUUAGGAUUGAUAUACCGCCUUAAGUGUCGUGACAUAGCCAAGGGAAGUCAUGACACGCCCCUGAAGCUACCCUUGAUGUCAUACCCCGAAAUUAGGGUUAGAAGAAUCAAGAUUUGCAAGUUAAGUCAAAGGUCAUGGUUAGAUUUUUAAGUUUAACCUUGCUUUUUAGAGUUAGAAUGAGCCUGUUGGUUUAGUGGUAAGGAGUUAGCUUACCAGUUGGUCUUGUGUUUGAACCCUUGCAUGUUCAAUCAGGGAUUAUUCUUUUUGUUAUUUUUCUGUUGUGUAGUUAAGUGGUUAAGUUUAGUUGAAACUGAAUUUAAAUGUGUCUGAUAUGGGGUUAGUGAGGUUGAGAGGAAAAUUCUAAUUUUAGAAAAAAAUCCCCAAGUUUUCUCACAUUUAUUUUCUUCUCUCUCUCUCAUCAAUUUUUCUGUUUCACUUCUCCAAUUUCAAUUUUGGAUUCUUUUGCUUCAAUAUCCUCUUAUUCCAUUACUUUCUUUGUUCGUUUAUUAUUUCUUUUUUUUAUUCACUGCUACUAUACUCCAAAAUUCUAUUAUUUUGUAGCAUCACAUUGGUGUCAACAUAAUUGUUAAUUGUCGCUCCUCAAAGGUUUCAUCUGUCCUCUUGAUUUAUGUUUGUUCAAGUGUUGAAUCGGGUGAGUGUAAGUGUCAUUUUGUUGAGUUUUACAUUGGUUCUUUGAUUCUUUUAUAUUUGGUUUUGUCCGAAGUUCUUAUAGGUUUAGUAUGUUGUGAAAUUGAGCUUUCAUAUCGAUAGAAUAGAGGUGUAUCAGCCAAUCUUUGGUGCUUGGAAGCGCAUUUUCAGGUGUGUUUCUUCAACACUCAUAAUUAGGGGUGGUUUUAUGGUUAAUUUUUGUGAUUUGUAGCAGGAUUUGGUGUGGUUUUUGGACCACACGGGCGUGUGUCGCACACGAAUGGUCUACACAGCUAUCUACCACUCUAAAAGUUAGGGUAACUUUAUUGUCACACGGCAUUGGAUUUCUCUCCUGCUUCUUGUUGUUAAAUUUUGUCACAAGAGCAAGGAGAGUUACAUGGUUUGCCCACACGACUGUGUAUCUCAGCCACACGGCCGUGUCCCUCAGCCAUACGACUGUGUACCCCGGUCACACUGUCGUGUGGUGCUGUUUUUGUAGUUUUUCCCCUUUUUAUCAUAUUGAUUCGUUUUAGUUCCUGAGUGAUCCAUUGCAUGUUUAAGCCUCUAUAGAAGUGGUUGGGACACGAUUAAUGAUUGUUGAAUGUCUAUGAAUGAGGCAUUAUUGUUUGGAUUUAUGUAUUAACAUGUAUACAGGCAUUAAGAUUCUUCUAUUCGUACAAGCUGCUAAUUUGAUUUUAUUGUGAUAAAUUUUAAUUUAUGGGAUUGUUUGGAUGUGAUAAUUAGAAAUUGUGUAUAAUGUUGAAUCCGCUAUUUUGGUAAUUGAUUAUGAGUGUAUAGGAAAUAUUGGAAACUGAACAAGAGUAUGAUUGAUUCAAUAUAUUUGACUGUAUUGAGAAUUUUGCAUAUACAUUAUGGUUGGGUUUUGAUUUUGAAGAGAAGUUUGAUUUGGACUGCAUCAAUAUAACUUGGCGGUAAAACCACAAUAAUGUUAGUAGCUUGACUGCAUAAUAUUCAAGUGGCAUGUGACCAACUUAAGGUGUGUAUCGGUUGGAUGGGUCCACCAUAACCCAAAUUUGGUGUGUAAAGGAUGGAAGGGUCUAGAGUACCUUAUUUGGUGUGCAGGUUGGACAAAGUUGGUGUGUUUUGAUGGUUGGGCGGGUUUUAUUUGCAUUUUCACGCGUUUAGGUAUUAUCUACAUAUAUGAAUGUGUAAUACUUGUGAAUGGAAUUGCUUAUUCAAUAUGUUUAACUAUUAUGAAUUAUAUGGGAUUUCUGUAUGUUUGAAUGUUUGUUUGAGAAUUCGACUCUAUCUUUUUUACAUUUGUUUUAGACUCACAUCGAGCUUCGUAGCUUACCCCCUUAUUUUUCUCUUUUUAGGUAAUUUGCAUGGUUAGGUCACGGGCUCAGCAAAUCGGAGGUCUUCGAGUUCUUGUCUCGGUUUGGUUUUAAUAAAACUUUCUUAAGGCAUAAUGAUUGGUUUUCAGUCGAAUUUGUAAAUAAGUUUAUGAACUAUGGUAUGGGUUUUUGGUUUUGAACUAAAUUUGUGGUUUCAUGCAUGAGUUUUAGCUAAUCGAACUGCUACUUACUUUAAUAGUCACUCAACUUUUAAGUAAUAAUUUGGAGAUUUCUUAUUUAAAUAAGAUGUCAGAUUUUUCGCUGCAAUCCUAGUUUGAAACUUUAGUUUGCAAAACUCCUAAUCGAUUUGGUUGCAAAGUUGAUAAACAAAUGUUAAUUUGGUUUAAGUUAAUUUAAGCAAUGAUUAAAUUAAUGUUUGGCUAACGUAAGUUAAGUUUAUUACUGAAUUUUGUUAAACAUGAGAAAAAGUGGUUUCAAAAAAAGUUUUUUGUAAAGUUUGAACAAUUUUCAUGUUCUAAGCCAUCUCGGUGGCCAAUGUGACCUCCGAGAUCCGGUUAAAACUUUUGGGCCAGGUUUUGGGUAUUAUAACUGAAGCAUGCAUACUACCUUUGAUGUCGAGACAUCAAUCAUGUACGAGAAGCACUUAUGAGCCAGAGCCGUUUUUGUCUACACAAUGGAAAUUAAACACGAGAACAUUAGCUGACCUAGGGUUAAGGACAACGACAAUUCUAACUCUUUAAAUAGGCUCUUAAAACACUUCUUUAAGGACAACUUUUACAUUCUAAUUUUUUUCUUUGUAAAUUUAGUCUUUAGUUUUUCCUUUCUUUUAGGCUUUAGGUUUAUUUCAAUUAUUUUCUAUUUCGUGUUCGCCGGAGAACGUGAGUUGUAACCGUGAUCAAACUAUUGUGGAUUCUGUGCUUCAAUCAAUACAAUUUAAGAUUCUUUUAAACCUUUCUCUUAAUUCAUUAUUCAUGCUUAUCUUUAUUAUCAAGAUUAUUGUGCUCAUGAGUUCCACAAGGAACUAAUCCUUUUAUAGGGGGAUUAGUGAGUGGGGUGUAAUUAAUUAAUUGCUAUGUAGGGUUUUCUUAGCGGGUUAGCUGUUUGGGAGAAGUUGAACUUAAACCCUAGGCUUGACAACCCUAGAAAGUCAUUUAGGUGGGAAUUAACCCAAAAUUGGUAUGGCCUAACCGUGAACACCUUAGCCCCGAACCGGUCUGGACUAUGAGAUCGAGAGAUAAGUAGUUUUGCUGACUUGUUAGAUUAGUGGAAGAUUGAUAUGUCUAAAUUAUAUAAUUGUUCUAGCACCUUUUUACUUAUAAUCUAUGCAAAUUUCGAGUAUAAGGGUAGCUAAUCGAGUCAUUUUAGUUCAUAUUAAGAUAUUGGGCAUAAUUUUAGUGAAGUGUGUAAUUUUUUGAAAUUAAGUAUUAAUUUUACAUAAUUUUACUAUUUUAUGUUACAUAUUAAUUUUUGUUCAAUUUACUACUAUUGGACCACUGGAUUAAAUAAAUGUGGGAGCCAAGACACACAUGGACAUGAGCUAAUAUACACCCCAUGUGGACAGUACCACAACAAUUUUAACCCAAAAAAAUUAAUCAAGCCCAGUUGAAAGUUUGUUGCUGAGAAGGGCUUGUUUGCUAUCUAGUUGGGUUGUCAAAAUAGUCCAACAAGAGGGAUAAGAGCCCAAAUCGGGUAAGGCAUGAAAAUCAACCCAAAUGAGCUUUGGAAUAGUUGAAUUGAAUUUUUCUACAUGUGUAAAAAAAUUAGAAUUCUGAACCUUUAAAAGUAGUCCAACUCUUUACAUGAUUCAUGCAUAAAAUCAAGUAUGAAUCAAGCAAUCACUCAACCCUCUCUCCACAAUUUAUGGCCGGUCAAGCAAGGGAGAAAUCUAAGGGAUCUCCAUGCUAUUUUUAGAAAACUCCCAAGCCACUCCUCUAGUAUAAAUACCACCUCCAAUCUCCUAUUUCAUUCAUCUCACAAUCUACAUUUUUCUCAACCUUCUUUCCUCUCUUCCACACAUAAGCGAUCCAUUUCCCCGCUUCCCUUUAGUUAGCAUUUCCCUUGAGAAAAACUCUCUUCGCUGGCCAUCUUAAGGAACAACUUACAAAGGAUAAAUCACGAGAAUUAGAGGAAGCCACCAUGAUCGGUCUUCCGAGAACUGCCGAACUCAUUAAGAGUUCCUUCUUCCUUGUUCUUUAUUUUUGUUCUUAGAUAUUCAAAUAUAUUUGCAGUUUUUCCUUUAGCGAUGAUGACUUAAUUUUUUUUAGCUAGAAUAAUUGCAAUAAUUUGAUAAAAUUCAUUUGAUUCAUGUUAUGAUGUUCUGUGCCUCAGCCCUUCAUGCUUUCAAUUAAAAUCAUUUAUGUAUAUCAUGCAUUAAAAUAUGUUUGGAUGCAUUAGAAUUAGUUGAUCAAUCCUGACCGGAUGGCAAUUAAUGGACACAAUAAUUGGAAGAUGCUUGCUUAAUUUAGAUCUCAAUCCAAUUAAAUUAAAGGUUUGUAAUAACUCCGGAGAGCUCUAUUACAUUGCAUAACUUUAGGUUUGUGUGAUUAAAUUAUUUCAAAUAUGAUCCGUCCCUAUUACUUCACAAAAAUUCUAAGGAAUAUUUAGUUAAAUAUGGAUAUAGAACUAUACAUUUUUUUAGUAAGUAUAAUAUUUUGAAAGAAAUUAUAUUAGAUUCCAAGUUAAUGAGUGAUCAAGUUGCCAUGGAAUUUUUUCUGGAACAUUGUUAAACAUGUUGAGAAUGAAUUGAGUCAAGUGUUGUAAUUAUUCUAGCUUAUUCAUGUUAUUAACUACUUGUGAAAUUUCUGCUAAACCAUCACCUUGCAUUUGAUUUCAAUCAUUACAUUUAAGUUAAUUUGCAUCUAGUUAAUUAAUUUAAUUUUAACAUUUAUCACCCUAAAUUAUUGUGUUUUGUUUACCAAAUUGUAAAUUCAUAAUUUUGCAAUUAUUUGAUUAACAAAUACAAUCCCUAUGGAGACGAUAACUCUUUUACUUACUUAUUACUUGAUAACAACUGUGUGCACUUGCACAUUCCAUCGUGAACCAAAGAUUAAGAGAUCCUAAUAGGGUAGCAACUAGUUUAUUGAGUAGAAAUCCAAAAUAGGAAUUAGCUAUGAUCAUCAAAGCGAGCUAAUCACCCAUACUUAGAUUUGAUUAUGUUAUAAUUUAUAUUUUCGAAGUUCACUUUCCUUUUAUUAUUUUUACUUCAUUAUUUAUAAAAAAACCCAAAAUAUUUCUCUUUAUGUUUUAUCGUACUAUAAUUUAUUUAAACUACUAAUUAAUUCUAUUUACGUUUAGGUUGACAGUAAUUUAGUACUCGACUCCCGUGGGUACGAUUCUCGGAGUACUUAUCUGCUUCGUUGUAACUAUAUUAUAACCUAACCCAUAUACUUGUGGACACUGCCUCAAUUCCAUAUCUUUUAGUUGCAGUAUUCACAUUCUAGACGUUGAUACGUCUGGAGGCAGCCACUAAGUAAACUUAAAGAGGAGACAAUGAUGCAAAAGGAUGCUCAAGUUGAGAAAAAGCCAAUAUAGGAGUUGACAGCUGAAUGUAAUAAUGAGUGAAAUAUUGAAUUUUCCCUCUUGACAACAUCAAUUUCAUCACAAUUUGAGGAUCAUCAACAUCAAGAAAUAAGUGAAGAGGUAAGUUUCUCAAACCUACUUCAAUCAUUCUAUGAAAUGUUAACCUUUAUGAACCUAAAAGAGGAACCGCCAAAGCCUUCGAACCCUAUAAAGGAAAAAGGAAAGAACGUGAGAAUUGCAAAGAGGAGGACCCAUUCAACAUAGAUACAUUUUACAAAAUAAUAAUCCUUAAUCAAACACCUCAAAAAUUCAAAAGUUUAGGGAGUUUUACUAUAUUAACCAAGUUAGGGACUAUACAUGUCGAUAGAGUCUCAAGCGACUUAAAAGUUGUUUUUAAUCUAAUAAACCUACCAAAUAAGAAACUAGAGUUAAGGGAACUAGAAAGCACCAACUUCUUAAUAGAAUUAUACGAUAAAGUCGACACUCAAUUAAGACAAAUGUCAAAAGAUGAAAUAAUCGAACAACGUAGGUAUAAGAUGUGGACCGAAAAUAUAACUCUAGAUUUCAAGGUAAAUGUAGAAGUAUCCUUUCUGCUUGGAAAUUUUUUUGUAGACCCUAUAAAAAUUAUCAAUGAAUUCAAGAAAAGAGACAUCAAACGUGGAAGUGAAAUAUACCAUAAGAGUGCUUCAUAGAAUCAGGACUAUAAAAGGUAUUUAGGACCACUAGAUUAUGAAAGGUAUUCUUAAGGAUAAAUGUAGGACGGAAGAGUAGAUUCAAUGAGCAUGAUAAACAAUGAAAAGUAGAAUGGCACGAUGGAUGCUGGACUAAUACCAACAGAAACAAAACCAACGAAGCAUCCAUAUGUACAUUGAUAGAGCUGACGAAUGAAUCCAGCAUCAAAACUUAACAUUUUCGAACUAAAUUAAAAUUAUAUAUAUUAUUGUAUUUUUAACUAACAAGUAGUUUAGAAUCUAAUUUUUAUUUGAAUUACUUCUUAUUAUAAACUGAAAUGUUUUGAAAAUUGAGAAUUGGGGCUAAAACUGAGUUGAUGUCGCAACACGAUACCUCCAUGUUGCAACACUGGUGACAGAAUCAAGAAAUCGAGCAAAUUUGCUUGAUGUCACAACACAGCAACUCUGUGUCGGGACACAAAAGCUAGUAUACCCCAGACUAAAAAAUUUCAAGGUGUGUCGCGACAUUGAACCCCAUUGUCAUGACAUUAGCAUACUAUUAGAGGUGUCGUGACAUGGAACCCCUAUGUCGCGACAUCGCUACAAUUUUCUACAAGGUCGACCCAACCCAUUGCAUAACCCACCAUUUUUAAACAUAUUUUAACCUCGUAUAUAACUUUAAAUCACCCAAAACUUAACCCUAAAACUAUACUUAACACCUAUUUAAACUCUUUUAAACUCAUCCUCUCUUCAAAACACAUAAACCUCAACAUCUCUCUACUUUGAAAUCCCUAAUUUUGCAAAUACCUUCUCUUCUCUUGGUGUUUUACUUAGUGUCGAAAUUUCAGCAACACAUCGACGGAGCAACAUUGAUUCAAGUUUAUGAGGAAUCUAACACGAAGAAAUCAAGGUUAAGGGUUCCUAACUUAUUUUACUAUUCCAUUGAAUAUUGCCUGAUUUUUGUUCGUUAUUCUAGUUUUAAUAUCGAAUAUGCCUCAUAGGAAAGCUAGAACAACUAAUAUAUAUAGGAAACUUUGAUGGUUUCGAAUCCCCAAAAAUUUCAAAAUCCAAUCCCCAAAAAAUAUUUUCUUGAAUUAUAAGGAAAGACUUUUACCCAAGAACGGCGAUUUAAAUCAUCAAUGGUUCUAUGUAAUUAGAUUUGGACAUUAGUCUGAUAUCACCGAUAUGAGCGCUUUUGUGUCACUCCUAAAGAAAAUGCGGUUAUCCCGAUAUUUCAAGAGUUUUAUGCCUCUUUUAGGGAUCAAUAAACGAGGAGACCAUACAGUGCAAUAUGGAAAACUAUAAAGGUAAGAGGUAACGAAGUACGGGUUACUCCUCAAGAAAUAUGUGAAUUUUACAACGCCCCAUACUACGCAAAUGACUUCCUUGGUAAUACUAAUUUAGAAAAAUUUAGGAACAUAGAAAUGAAUGACGUUGUAAAAUAUUUAACUCAAGGCAGAGGCAUAUCAAACCAUAGACCGAAUACCGAAUUACCAACUAAUUUCUAUCAAGCAAUUAUGUUCCCAGUAGCUAAGAUGUGGAUGCAAUUUAUUUGUACUAGAAUUUCACCUGCAUUGAAUGUCUCUAACGUAAACAGUUUUCGAGCUAUCUUGUUGUACAAUAUCUUGCAGAGAAAAUAGAUAUGUGUCAGGAGAUGAAUACAUAAAAACAUGAAGUGAUCCAUUAGUGGCCAAAAGGUCGGGGUUUUCUUUACCCAUCUUUUGACAAAUUUAUGGAAAAAGGUUAGAGUUCCAAUAGAAGAGAACGAGAAAUUCAUGAAGCUAACAAAGAGUUUAAUUGGAGACUCCAUAUACACUCAAUAUGAUAAGCUUCAGCAAAAACAAAUCAUAGAUUGCAACCAAAGAAGAACGCAUAAGAUGAAUGUCCCCGUAUCAAUAAAAAAGAAAUCGAAAACAAAUACUCUGAAAGAAAUAGCGAGUAGACCCUCGAAGAUAGAUUAGAUGAUCCAAUGGAUGUAAGAAUCAAAACCAGACAUCUAGGAGUUUGUGUGGCAAAAUACUAGAUUCGAGGAGCAAGGAAAUGAAUGAGAGGAGAAGGAUGAGGCUGUUGAGCGAGACUUCCAAGGGGAGGAUGAUGGUUACGAGGCUGCAUUUUAGCCACAGUAUUCCAUGCAGAAGGGGCCUAACCAGAUAUGCACAUAAGUUUGGUGGUGGUUCUAAUAAAGGAGACGUCUCAGGGAAGGGAAAGGCACCCAUAGAGAGGGAGCAACCCCCCCAUUUUGAUGAUUCUACUGACGAUUGAACUAAACUUUAAUUUAAUUUUUGAGUAUUGUAAUUAAUUUUGGAUAAUUUUAAUUUUUAUCGUUUUAGGAGUAGGAUUAAUAGUAGGUUUAUAUUUGUUUUAUUUUCUGUUUCAAGUUUUCUGUGUAGGAACCCCAGAUGAAAAAAGAACAAUUUUGAUCUUAUAACGAACAAUGAAUGAAGCAUCCACCAUUUGAUAAUAGAAGUAUCACGAUCAAUCGGGUAACUUAUUUCCUUAUAUUUUCAGGGAUGCACAUUAGGGACAAUGUGCCAUCUAAAGUGUUAGGGUGACAAAGGAAAUUUGUUUUAAUGCUUUCCUUUUAAUUUUUAUUGUUAAAUGUGUGCUUGAUCUUGUAGAAAUACAAGUGAUUGAUUAGGAGCAUGCAUAAAGGUUGAUUGUGUUUAUUGUAAAUUUGGCAUGAUAGUGAUUUUAAAUUUUCAACUAGUAGACUACUAAGUUCAAUUUAUUACACUAUAAAUAUGAAUUGAGUAAUUGAAUAUACCAAAUUAUAUAGAAAAUACAGGGAAACGAGCAUGCUAGUAUGUAUGAUAAAUAGUUGAAUUUAUGAUUGCUUGAGUGAUUAAAUUUGUGAAUAUUGAGAUGCCCAGGGAUGACCUAAGAAAUUGUUUGGUAUACACCCAGAGCCAAAAAGCUAACCUUAUUUAUCAACCCUUGGUACCUAUUUUUGAGCCAGAAAACUCGUUUUGAUGAACCUUCAUGCAAAACUCAAGCCAAAAAAUUAAUUUGUACUUACCAUUUUUCUUUCGUCCUGAAUUGUACGAAUAUAAACAUCUGGUCAUAUGUAUUGAGGGUUAAAUAGAUACAUCAUGGCAGAUUCUGUAAAAAUAAGAGUGAAAUAGGAAGAAGCAGUGUGAUAUAGUACUUAUAGUUACUUAACAUGUGCAAGACAAAAGAAAAAUUCAGAAAGAAAGUCAAAACGAGUAGAAAAAGUACGUGAAAAUCAAAAGCAUUGUGAGUGAAAUGUGUGAAAACAAAAAAUGUGACAAAGUCACGAAAUUACAAGAAGUCAAUCAUUAGUGCACAAAAACUCAUAAGCUAGGCAUAGUUGAUGUAUUAUGUUGUGGCUUCGUACGAGGAGAAAUAAUGAAGGUGAGAGAAGGAGAAAUAAAGCGGUGAGCGGGUAAGGGCUAUUAAGGGGGAGAAUAGGGAACAAUACGAUGUGCCAAACUAUUUUCGUGCUUGAAACUAUUUUUAUGCUUCCUGUUCUUGAUUUCCAUACUUGUCUUAAGCCUCAAAACAUUACAAGCCGAAAAGCCCUAUGUGACCUAGGUAACCUUAUUCAUGAAUUGAAAUUAUUUUGAGCAAUUACAAUAACGACUGUUUGUAUUCUGGUAGGAUAACCAAAUUAUCUGUAUGAUUUAUGGAUGGAUUCAUAUACUUGAAAACCUUAAUGUCUAUAUACUUUGUAAUAUACUGAACUUAGGUUUUUUAUAUUGAAAGUGGUAAGUCAUUUUAUAUAUCAUGUCAAGAUAAUGUGUGUAAAUAUGAAAAUGCCUAAUUAUGUACUCCGAAACUAAUCUUUGUACUAUACUUACUCAAUGGAUGUUUUUUAUUUUUUAUUUUUGUUUUUAUUUUGCCUUGGUUGAGGACAAGCAAUGACUUAAGUGCGGGGGAGUUUGAUCUCCCAUAAUUCUGUGUGGUAGAUUAAACUAGUUAGGUUUUAGUUAAGUUUUCUAUAUUUGCUUUGAAUUCAAUAAAAAGUGAGUUUUGAGUCUUUUUUAUGACCUUAGGGGCGAAAUGAGGUCCACGGGUGAGCUAACAUACUUAGUAAGUGUCCAGGAUACCAUUCAAAAGCAUAGGAACUCAAAGUUGGUCGAUGUGUUGCAACACGGGAGUUCAAUGUCGCAACAUAGGGAACAAAAUACAAGAAUUUCAAGUUUUCCUUUGGUGUUGUGACAUGGCCAUAGGAUGUUAGGACACACCCUUAAAGCCAAACCUGAACCAGACAUAUUGCUUUCAGUGUCACAACACAAUCAAUAGGGUGUUGCGACACCGUCCCUAUACAGGAACAAUUACAAGUAAGGGGUGUUUUGGUCCGCGCAAUGGAAAUUAACAUGAAAACGUCAACUAACCUAGGGUUAAGGAUGACGACCAACCCUAACUCUAUAAAUAGGCUCUUUAGACACAUGUUUAACGAUAAUUUUUCCUAUUCUUAGUUUUUACUUGUAAUUUAGUUUUUAGUUUUCUUUUUUUUUUUUAGGCUUUAGAUUUCUUUUCAGUUCUUUUCAUUCGUCUUCUUCGAAGAACUUGAUUUGUAAAUGCAAUCAAACACUUGCGGAUUUUGGCACUUCAUCAAUCAAAUACAAUCAGGAUUCCCUUAAACUUUAUUCUUGAUUUAUUCUUUAUCUAUAUCUUCUUUAUCAAGUUUAUCAUGUUUAUUGAUUCCAUGAGGAACUAAUCCUCUUAUGGGGGAUUAGUGAGUGAAGGGAUGAUUAGCUAAUUACCAUGUAAGGUUUUUUUAGUGGAUCAACUAUUUGGGAGAGGAAGAACUUAAACCAUAGGCUUGAUGACCCUAGGAAAUCAUUUAGGUAGGAAUUAACCCAAAAUUGGUAUGGCAUAUUCGUGAACACUUUAGCCCCGAACCGAUCUGGACUGUGAGGUCAAAAGAUAAGUAGUUCUUGUUGACUCAAUAGUUUAGUGGAAGAUCGAGAGAUCUUGCUAGGGUAAUGACUAUUUGAUUGAAUAAAAACCCAAAAUAGAAAUUAGUUAUGACCACCAAAGUGAGCUAAUCACCCAUAUUUAAAUUUGAUUGAGUUUUAGAUUUUAGUUAUUCGAAGUUCACAUUAUUUCUACAAUUUUUAUUCUUUUAUUUAUAAAAACCCAAAAAUCUCUUAUUUAUAUUUACUCGUAAUAUAAUUUAUUUAAUUUACUAAUUAAUUUUAUUUGUGUUUAGGUUAAGUUUAAUCUAGUACUCACCUCCUUUGGGUACGAUCCUUGGAGUACUCACAUUUUUGCUGUAAAAUCUAUAUUACAACUUGACCCAUAUAUUUGCGGACACCGCCUCAAUUUCAUAUGUUUAGUUGCAGUAUUCACCCCUACACGUUAGUACAUCUGAAGGCGGUCAAGUUGUGAAUUGGGGUUCGCCAGUCAAUUUCAUAGGAUACUUUUCAUGCACGUAACCUUCUUCUAAACCGACUUGGGAACCUAAGUCUAGUAGGGUAUCCUAAGAUCACUAUGACACUUAGUACCUAUAAAUACAACCCUUACCCCAUGAAAAAUUCUCUCAUCGAUAUUCUGUUAUGAAGUCUCUAUUCUGGACCAAGUUCGUAGCAACCAAGGUAAGCCUCUGCCCUAUUAGGGUUGAUUUUCUAGAAGGCUAGGUUUGCUUGCAUGUGUGAAUUUCGUAACUUUUGUCUAUUUAAGUAUUUUGUGUGUUUAUGUAUGUUGCGAACUAGUCGGACCAGCUACCAACAAGAAUAAAGGCCACAGUAAAACUCAUUAAAAUUCUCAACUUUAUCGGUGAGUGAUUUAAAAUUGCCAUAAGUGUACCAACUAUCAUGCUUUUUAGUAUGAAUGCUCAGGGUUUGCAAGUUGUGUGUAAACUGUUAUGUUUUUCAAGAACCUUGUCUUUAAAGUAAGUUCUAAGAGUAAGGUUUUCCUAUAAAACUCUAUUUUUCAAGUUCUGAUAUAGUUUCCAAGAUAUGUUUCCAAGUUAUAUUUUAAAGAUAUGUUUUACGCGUGCUCAUAUGCGAGCCUAUGUAUUAAAACAUAUUUUAAAAGUACAGUUUUAUAAGCUAUGUUUUUGUGAGCUCUUUAUGCGAGUUCUAUGUGAUAAGUUUCUGUGCAAGCUCCUUUGCGAGCUUAUAUGUUGGAUAUAUUGGUAUACCAAAGGAUUGUGAGUACUCACCUAUAAGUUCUGUGAUUUGGGCAUUGAUGCCCUAAGACAUAUGGAGAAAUAAGGGAAUGUUGAGCUAUGGUCCAUUCAAUGAAACAUGUUGGCAUACAGGAGAGUGUUUAGUUUAUGCUAGACUUAUGAGACAUCUUAAGGAAUCGUUAAGUUAUUCUAAUGCGUUAUAAGAAGAUCUGCAUAUCCAACAUGUAACACCCCUAACCCGUAUCCGUCGCCGGAACAGGGUUACGAAGAAUUACCGAAAUAUACAGAUCAAGUAAACAUAUAUUUCAUUUUAUACAAUAUUCACAUCAGAAAUCAAACAUAAAGUCUCUUAUAUGAAUCUUCAAGGUCCAAAACAUACAUUAGCAAUGAGUCGGGACUAAACCGGGUACUUAGAGAAUUUUUUGCAAAAUCUCAAAAUUUUUCCUAGGUGCUGGGGUCACAUGCCCGUGUGGUUCACACAACCAAGGGACACACUCGUGUCUCAGGCCGUGUAUCUCUCUGACUUGGGUCACAUAGCCAAGCCACACACCUGUGUUCUAGGCCGUGUGAAAAUACAUGAUCAUUCUGUUUUGAAAUUUUAAAGAUGCAGGGGACACACGGCCAGAUCACACGCCCAUGUGGUAUGCCGUGUGUCACACACGGCUGAGACACACGCCCGUGUGGACGAAAAUAGGCUAUUUUCCAAGCCAUAUUUCUCACCCCAUUUUUUCAUCCUCCCACACCAACACUUUAACAUAUUCACAAUCUAUUAUAGGUCAUUUAACCCAACUCAAAAUCAAGUCCUAUACAUGAUAUAAUACCUCAUAUAAUCAAGUAUGCACACUUACUUAAAUUACCAAGUUUACAUAUAUGCAUAUCUUAUCAAAUAUGCUAACUUAACUCAAUCAUCAAUAUGCCAAUAUAGUUUCUAUCAAUCAACCAAUUUCAAACACAUACCAAACAUAUCCAUCACAAGCCUUUCCAAUGGCUAGUUACAAUUAAAGCAUUUAUAUGCCGAUAUUGGCAAAUUAACCUAUACAUGCCAUUAUAACCAUAAUUGAUUUACCAUAUAUAUACCGAAAUGAGAUGAUGGAUAGUGUGAGUGGUCUCCGCCAAGAUUCUAAUCCAACGAGCCUCAGAAUUACUAUAGAACAAGGGAAAAUAAAACAAAGUAAGCAUGAAAUGCUUAGUAAGUUCGUAUAACAUGGUAAGUAACUUACCACUCAUUUAAAUUCAAUAUAAACAUACAAGGCACAUUCAAUCAACUUGAUCAUGAGCCCUAACACAUAUCCUCUUCACCCUUGUUAGUCAUAUAUUUCAUAUAAAUAUCAAGAAACAUGUAUGGGAUCAACAAUAAUUACAUUUCCAUGUACAUAUAUUUUCCACAUCAUGUAUUCAUAUAACAUAUACAAAUCAUAUCCUUGUAUUUCAAGUACAUUCUUAUAAUAAUUCGUCUCGAGUUCAGAUUAUUUCAUGUCGAAACUUUGCCUAUUAAAUCAUUUGAAAUGUCAGUGUCACACGGGUAAUACACUCAAGGUGUACAAAUUUAUAAUCAUGGAUGAACAUAUUCAUCAAAAAAAUUCCAUGUUCAUAUAUUAUCAUUUCGUAUCUCAAUAUAUCAUGUAUCAUCAUUUUCAUGUACUUCAGGCAGUUACGUGUAUUAAUUAAUUUCAUGCUCAUAUUCUCUCAUGUCAGGAUUUUACCCGUUAAAUCAUUAAAAACAUUGAUGGAUACACAGGUAGUACACUCAAAGUGUACAAAUCAGAAAUCUGUUGAUUCAUAUUCAGGAGUGCUCUUUAAAGCACACAAUCAAGAAAUCCUCUCUCAAGCCAUAUAACAAAAAGCUCACGAAGAGCCUUUAAAUAGAAAGCUCACGAAGAGCCUUUAAACAAGAAGCUCACGAAGAGCCAUUAAUCAGGAGCUCCGGACAACCAUAUAUCAGGAAGUUCAAGCGAGCCAUAUCAGGACGCUCACAAAGAGCUACAUUUGUAUCAGCAAUAUAUGCAAGAUCACAACCGAUCAUAUAAGAGGACACUCACAAAGAGUUGCAGAGUCCGCAACACAUGUAGAAUCACUCUCGAUCAGGAUGCUCAUAGGAACCAUAUAACGGGAAGCUCGAGAGAGCUUAUAAUGGGAUGCUCGUAGGAGUUGUGGUGCGUCCGCAACACAUGCAAGACCACAACCAAUCGAGAAAUCCAUUAUCCAUCGAAUUCCAUUAUUCAAACGAGAUUUAAUAUUUACCGGGCUUUGUCGGAUAUGUAACCAAUUUCAUAUAUUUGGCAUUUAAUACAAUUCACAUACACAAAAUUUAAUUCAAGCAUAUAAAUAUGCACAAUUUAGUUACACGAACUUAUCUCGAUAAAUGUUCGUGUAUGUAAAAUCUACUAACUUCAUAUUUUCUCUUUUCCUUAUUCUAACUCCGAAUUUGGUCUAUCCAAAUCUAUAUGAAUGAAUUUAACAUUAAUUCAUGUUCAUUUCAAUUCAAUUCACAUCUUAGGCAAAAUUACCAUUUUGCCCCUAAAGUUGAAUUAAUGACGAUUUCAUCCUUAGGCUUGAAAAAUGAAAUUCAUGCAAUUUAAUCCUUAUUCCAAGCCUAGCUUAUUUUUACAUGUAGAAUUUACAGCCCAUGUCUUUCAUAAAUUCAAAAUUAUUCCAUGAAUUUUACAUCUUUUCAAUUUAGUCCCUAAAUCAUAAUUUCAUCAAAAUUCCCUUUACAAAAGUUGUUUAUCUAUCAACAACCUUUCAUUUUCUACCGUAAAACUUCAUAAUUCAUCUAUGUUCAUCCAUGGCAAAACCCUAGUACCUUGAUAACUUUGCAAAUUAAUCCCCGAGAUAGUUAGAUUAAGCUAUUACGAUAUCAGAAAUAUAAAAAUCAUUAAAAAUAGGAAAGAAUACUUACCUAAUCAAGCAAAAUAAGUUGGCUUGAGCUUAGGCUUCCAUGGCUAGGGUUUCUAUGCUUUUAAUUUGGGAAAGAUGAUAUAAAUGGUGAUUUUUUUAUUUUUUUAUCAUUUAUCAUCUUUUAUUAUUUCACUUUCCAAUUUCAUCGUUUUCUUUAUUUUAUUUUCCAUGGAUGAAUCAUUAUCCUUAACCACUAAGCAUUUUUAAUGGUUUAUUUGUCAUAUAAGGACCUCAAAUUUUGAAUUUCAUAGCUAUUUAAUCCUUUUAGCUAUUAGAACUUAACUUUUUCACUUUGUGCAAUUUGGUCCUUUAUCAAAUUAAACAUGUAAUCGGUAAAAUUUCUUUACGAAAUUUUUAUACGACAUUACUAUCAUACUAUGAACCAUAAAAUAAUAUAAAAAUAAAUUUUCUUCUAAAAUCAAAUUUGUUGUCUCGAAACCACUGUUCCAAUUUUACCGAAAACAGGCUGUUACACAACAAGAUAAAAUAAGUAAGUUAAGACAAGUGCAAGAACAUAUUUUAUGUUCCUCAGCCAUUCCAAUAAGACAAGUAUGUGAGCAUGUUUCAUGUUAUAUAAGAUCCAUUUUCAAACAAGAACAAGCUAAGUUUUUAAGUAUGAUUUUCAACAAGUACAACUGAAACUAUUUUUACAAACUUAUGUUUUCUGGCAAGCAUGUUCUGCGAACUGGGUCUCGCACCUUCACCGUAAACCCAACACAUGAUACAAUUUUUUAGACUAAGUUUUCUUUCUAUUUUAAACUCUGUAUUUUAAUCAUACUCCGAUGAUUCCUUAUUAUUCACUAAGUUCGCAGUGAACUCACCCACUCCUCUCUUACUUCGUAGGUAAGUAGGUCGUAGAUGGCAGUGGCGAGGUAGAUGCCUUGGUGAGGCUCAUCCCUAAACAGAUAUCGGCAACCUAGGAAAUAGGCAAUGGAGUUUUAUUUAUGUGGGUUUAGAUUUAUCAUUAUUUGAUUCAAUUAUUGAAACGAUUUCUUUUCAGCAUGAAAAACCUUAAAGUUAAACCUUGUUACUAAUUUCUUUUCAGCAUGAAUAAAGUUUGAUAUUCCUUUAUUUCUCCUUGCAUGCAUACCAUGUGGUAUUCUUUCAAUUUUGCCGAAUUAUUUAUUAAUAUAAUGUGCAAGCCAGUUUUAUUGUGAAGUAUUAUUUUUUGCGACUCUUGUAUGUUUGCGACCCCCUAUAUGCAUGCAAACACUUAGGUGCGAUAACCUUACUACUUAGCGAACCCUACCUAAGUUUGAAAACCCUUGCAUGAACGUCCAUUUUGUUGUGAAUCCCGUUGUAUGAGAACCUAUGUUGCUUUGUUUAAGUGCAAACUUAGGAUGUAUGCAAACCACAUAUAUUUUGCGAACCCAUGCUUUUGUGCAAACUCAUACCUUAUGUUGUGCGAACUCAUGUUAUACUUUGUUAUGCGAACUUCUGUAUGCGAACCCUAUAACAGAUGUUAGUACUUGUGUAUUUAUAUUUGAAUUUUCGUACUCUAAAGAACACUGUUUAUUUCCUUUGAGUGAACCCUUAAGUUUUAAUGCAUAAUUAACAUGUGAACCAUUCCCUCAUUUUGUUUGAUAAGCUUUCAUGAUUUACAUUCUAUGUAUGAUAUUAUUCUGUUGUUAUGCUAUAACUUAUCAUGAUAUACGUUAUAAGUAUGUGGUGUGCUAGAGGUUAAGUUGGGAGUUAAUGGAGAGUCACUCCGGUGGCUAAUGUAGCUUGUCAAAUUUAAGUCGAAGCUAUUCGAUCGAAUUUGGGGUGUUACAUUUUGGAUUUUCAACCGAACAACCAUUUUCACUAUUCACGUACCAUGAAUUACUUCGAGUGCGGGCUUAAACAAUCAUGAACCAAAUAAAAAACCAAAAACGAUUUAUUACUUUUAGUAGAAAAGUAAUUCUCUCUCAAUAGAAACCGACCAAAUUGCUAUUCCCAGAAAAUAAAAUUUAUUCUUAGAAAAUAAAUUUCCACUACUUUCUAGCAGAAUAAAAAUGUUGAAAACUUAUGUGAAAGUUUUGUAAAUAGCUCUACUAGUGACAUCUAUUUACAAUGAGAGAUAUGAGAAUCCUGUUGAAUUAGUAAAACAUAAAUAAUAUUUAUUUAAUAGAAAAUUAGUCUUCUAGUCUAACUAGAAGAGAGGAGUGGCACUCCCUAGUUAAAUAUACUAGGGAUGUCGCCCAUCAUAUGUCAUAUGAAGGGAUUUUGGGUCUUCCUGUAUUGGGUCCAAUUAUAUGUUUCCUGGACUUUUAACCCAUCAACUUGUAAUUUAAUCCAACCCAAUACAUUUUUUUUCUAUUGCCCAAAAUAAAUAUUAUUUAUUUAUUUAUUUGCAUAAAUUAAUUUUUCCAGUUAAAUAAUUUUCUCAACCCAAAGUCCAUUAAAGUCAUGACAAUUUUACCGUAAAAGAAUAUAUGAGAAAAUAUAUUAAAUUCUCAUAUUCAAUGGAUCCAUAAUGAAUAAUUAAUUUAAUUCCAUUUUCAAAAGUCAAUUGUUUAAUUAAAUAAAAAUUUGAAAACCUUAAAUUAAUUAUCAAGUCAUUUUUAUACACAAUGAGAAAACACAUUCAUUUGCGAAUGUGACCCAUUUUUCUAACUUUAUCAUUUCCAUCAAUUUCUAUCCAUUUAGUUUUACAUGCAAUUCGUUUUUGACCAAUUAGACAUGUGCAAUUAAAGCUCAAAUGAUUUAUAAUUAAUUUUCAACUUUUUUCCUAUUAAUUAUAAACUCAUUCAAUCAUGAAGUCAUUCCACUAUAGUAUCGUAACUGAGCUCUCCCUCUUUACAUACCAUUACAAAAGCUACUUAAUCAAUGUUUGUCCAAUGACCUUAUCGUAAGUGUGUCACCAUCAUUUUAUAUCCUUAAUCUCUUUAGGAUAAAUAUGUUCUCCCAAUAUGAUCUUAUUUUAUCUCAUGGUAACCAUUACAUCUUCCUUUAUGAAAAGUCAAUUACUAUCAAAUAAUAAUCAAGUCAUUUAUCACAAAGACAAAUGAUCCAUGACCACGUUUACUUUUCAUCUAUCAUGUAAUAUCAAUGAGAGAAUAUCAUUUAAUCACUAUUUGGGCUAUGAAUUCCACUAUUGUAAAUGAUGCUACAUACUGCAGAAGUCAUAUACCCGACGCACUAGCUUUCGGUUUCUUAUCUAUUUAAACUCAAGUUUUAACUUACAUCAAAGUAGACGAGUCACGUAUACAUAAUUCAUCAUCCACUUAGGAUUAAGGUAUGUCACACUAUGGACGUCACAAGUGAAUAAUUUCAUAAAUAAAUCUAGAAUCUAUUCUACUUAGGUCAUGUCUGAUGUACUGUCAAUCUUGUCAGUGACAUCUAUGUUUCUAUCUUCUGGGAGUCAUCCGCUCCGAUGCUCAAAACAAAUCAUCUCCCCAAUUGGACUUGAUAGAUGACAUAUUAGUCUUUCAAUCGGUUUGUUCAUUUCCAAUUAGACUGAUGACAUGUUUAGGUUCAUGUACUAAUAUAAUUUGUCUUUUUGUAUUAUGAUUCGAUCACAUAAUACCGUUUAGUAUUAGUGUAAACAUUAGAUAACUAGUGAGCUAAUAUUUUCUUCCAUUUUGCUUUGUGUGCAAAAAAUUUAAGAUAAUAUACAAAAGGUAUUAAUAUAAUUAAUGCAUAUUAUUAAACAAAUUUGUUAAAAAAAUACAAGUUUACAUAGACGAAAAUACUAUACUUAGGGCACCAAAUCCAGGAAACAGACCUUUUAGAUCUCCAAAACCUUCUCUAUUCUUGUGUAUAUAAAGCAUUCAAUAGCUUUGCCAAACUAAUUUUUUGACAGAUAUUUAAUACUUUAAAUUUAGAAAAUAAGUGCUUUAAAUCUAUUAAGGUUUGUUACCAAAAUUUUUUGAACCAAUAUAGAAUCAGGACAUAUAAAGCCAAGUAAUCUUAGUUUGUUGGUAAUACUGAGUAAUCUAUCAGAAUACUCUUUAAUUAUCUUAGAGUCUUUCAUCUUUGGAAGUUCAAAUUCUCUUAUUAAGUUGAGAAUGUAUACUCCUUUAACCAUUCCCUUCAUAUUCGUCCUUUAGGAAAUGCUAGAACUAAAAUGUUGAUUUCUUUAUCAUAAUUCAAACAAAGAUUUUUGGUGAGACUCCAACAAAUAACAUAGCUCUAGCCUUGGACUUUCUUGUUUUCUUCUCCUUGUGAUACUUUAUUUGCAAGAUAAUUGGAAUUCCAAGUAAGGAAGGAACUUUUUAGUCCUCUUCAAUAGCUUUCCAAAGAUCAUUUUCCUCCCAAUGAGCAUCCAUCCUUAUUGUUCAAACAUGUUAGCCUUCUCCAUUGAAAAAUAGUAAUGCAAGUGCAGUGAAAAAGGUUUCUGAAUCCAUAGAAAAAAAAAGUUCCCUCAGUUACAGGUUCUUCAAGAAGAUGGCUCUGAUACCAAAUUAUUGGAGCAAUUGGAGAAAAAUUGUUGUAAUUUUAAGAAAAAAUAAAGGCAAGAAGAAAAUAUAAAUGAUUUCAGAUGGAAAGUGUGCAAUUCAUUGAUCUAAAAAAUUAUGCUUACAUAGAGAACAAUUUUCAACACAUAGUACCUAAUAAUAAGCAACUAAAAGAUUUUAAAAUCAACAAAUCUCUUAAAAAUCAUCAACAAAUUGAAAAUGGCUAAAAAAUAGCUAAGUAGUUUUGACUAAUUCACUGCAGUAGCUUAGGCAAAUUUCAACAUUCUAUAUUAUUUGUAGCCUACUACUUACCAUGAACUUGUUCAAAACUUGUUGAAUAUUUUCGAGCUUAUAUUUGCUAGAGGGUCUGGUAUCUAAGAAAUCAAUUUUAUGAAGCCAAUGUACUCUUGCUUUAACUUGUCCUAAUUUGAUGUAGGAAUUGCUUGCACAAUGUGGCAGCAUGAUUGCAACAUCCAACGUUUGGUUUUAGGUCAUGUCCAGUGUCUAACAAGUGGUGUAAGCCACUAAAAGGUGUUGUGAAAAUCAAUGUAGAUGUGCGACUAAGUCGACAGGUAUUGAGGGCUAUUCUAUAGUAUAACAUCCCUUACCCGAGACCGUUGCCGAAGUCGAGCAUGAGGCAUCAUCUAACUUAACUUACUAGUUCGGAGCAUAAAAAUUUACUUUUAAAAUUAAUUUCACUAUUCACAACAAAACUGUCCACAUGAGCGGCUGUCACUAAUUUAAUUAUAACUCAAGUUAUGAAACUCAAAAUUUAAAUCCGUAAAUUUUACCUGAAACUAACUCAUAUAUCUUCUUACCAUAAAAUUUUUAGAAUUUUUGGUUUAUCCAAUUAUUACAGUUUAUUCAUUGAAGACUCCCCUGUUUCAUUGAAAGAUGGUUCUGACCACCACUUACUAAAAAUAAAUUAUCUUACUGUACAGACUUUAUAUGGUGUUUCUGCUUGUUUCUAUAUAAAAUAGACUCACUAAGGAAUCUAUACAUAUAAAUUAUAACUCAUAAUUAUCUCUGUAAAAUUUUUAAUGAUUUUCUAAAAUCAAAACAGGGGACUUCAAAAACCAUUCUGACCCUAUCUCACUAAAAUUUUAAUAUCUCAAAAUAUAAAAUUUCUGUGGCUACACCUUUUCUUUCAUGUAAAAAUAGACUUGAUAACCUUUAAUUAUAUAUAUCAUUCACUCUCUAAUUCCAUUUAUACUAUUUUUGGUGAUUUUUCAAAUUCACGUCACUGCUGUUGUCCAAAAACUGCUUCUUUGCAAAAAUUUUACUCUUUUAUAGUUUCUUUGUUUUAGUUACCAUUUAAGCAUACAUAACACCAAAACAUAUUCUUUACCAACGAUUUCAAUAGCUAAUCUUUAGCCAUAUCAUAUGAACAUACUCAAAAUGAGUAAGUCUCUAUACAUGCCAUAACUUUAAACGUUUUGAAAUCACAUAAUACUGAGAAGUUUGUUGAUAGUGUGAUACGAGGCUGCGACGAUCCCCAAUUCGAGCAAGCUCAAAACACUAUAAAACAAUGAAAAGAAAGGUGUAAGCUACUAAUAGCUUAGUAAGUUACAUGUAAACAAUAAGUACUCAUUUAAUAAUUAACAUUUUUAAAAAAAUAACUAAUCAAUACAUUUUUUAGCAAUUUCAAUCACUUACACAUGCACAAUCUUACCAAUUCACUUGCACAUACAUUUACAGACUUAACAUUUAUCACAUAUGCUCAUUCUUUCAAAUGUACCUACAUACACACUUCAUUUCAUGUUCACUUUAACUCUAUUAAUCCCAUUGAACACUCGGAAUAUACACGGAUACGUAGAGAAUUAGCACAUAAGUGUCACACUGAUAUGUAGCUUAAGCUACCACUAAUAUGUAGCCGUAGCUACCACUGAAAUGUAGCCGAAGCUACCACUGAUAUUUAGCUGUAGCUACCACUGAAAUGUAGCCAAAGCUACCACUGAUAUGUAGCCAUAGCUACCACUGAAUUGUAGCCGAAGCUACCACUAAUCAAUAACACUGGAAAUGUCCACGGGCCUGCUCAUACAAGCUGUCAGGUGUCUGCAACACAUGCUAGAUCACCCAACACCCGGGACUCACUGUAACACUGUAACACUGGUCUCUAGUGACAUGUCACUUGUAUCCACUUCUAUUCCUAAGUUCAACCGUGAAUUUACACUUAACACUUUAUUUUAAACACUUUAUCACUUGAAUAAUUCAUGAACAAUUUUCCUUCCACAUUCAAUAUUAAUUCACAUAUCAAAUAUAAUUCACAAUUUAUAAAAAUAUAUUGCUAUUAUUUACACGUAACUUACCUCGGAUGCAAAACGACUAUUUUUGUAAAUUAGUCGAUAACCUUCUCUUUUCUCCGAUCACUUCCACUAUUUCUUCUUUCUUGAUCUAUAUUAACACAAUUUAAUAUACUUUAUAAACAUUCCAUUCAAAUACAAUUCAUACACAAUAUUUUGGCAAACUUACAUUUUUUCCCAUAACUUUUCAAAAAUUACACUUUAGUCCCAAAGCUCGUAAAAAUAAAAUUCACUAAAUUUCUUAAAUUUCAAACCUCACUAAAUCAUAUUUCAUACUCAUAACAGCCCCCAAUUUCACAAAAUCACAACAUUAUGCACACUUUACUAUCUUUCACAAUUUAGUCCUUUUUCAACAUUUUUAUCGAAAUGCAUCUAGUAAAACUCGUAAUUAGCACUUCAAACAUUCAUUAUCUAUCAUCACUCAUCAAAUUACAACUAUAUCAUGAAUGGUUCAAUUUUUAAACUUUAAUUCUAUUUAAAAUAAAUGGUAGAAACAUGAAUUCAAGCUUCAAUAAGCAUAAAAAUACGAAAAUAAUUAAAAACGGGGCAAGAAAUCACUUACAAUUGAGCUUAGAAAAAUCAAGAACCCUAGCUAUUGGGACAUGAAAUUUUCAGCAGCAAGCUCGUUAAUUUUUGAAGAAGAUGAACACUUAUUUUCAUCUUAUUUUGUCUUUUAUUCAAUUUUGACAAAAAUGCCCUUGACCCACUUACUUAGAUAUUUUUCUAAAAUUACCCUUAUGUGUCCAUAACACUAAUUUAUGGUAUAUUUUCCUCAUAAACACUUCCAAUUUCAUGCAAUAAUUCAAUUAAAUCCUUUAAUCACUAAUUAGUCACACUUUGCAUUUUUCUCAAUUUAGUCCUAAAAAUUCAAUUAGGCACUAAAUCAUUAAAAUUUUCUAUCCAUAUUUUCACACAAUAUUUCAAUCAAUUGGUAAUUAAUAAAAAUUUAUAAAAUUAAACUAUUUCACUUCGGAUUUGUGGUUACGAAACCACUGUUCCGAUUAGGCCCUAUUUCAGAUUAUCACAUAUAGGGAGAUUUAGGUAAUCUUAUUAUUGCUAAAACAUGGCUUAUACCUAAUAAUGUAAAUAUUAUUUUUUUUAGAAGCUAAAGCUAUUUUGUUGGGUAUCCAAUGGUUAAAAGAGAAGAAUGUUUUACAAGCUAAACUGAAGAGUGAUUGUCUACUCCUAGCCAGUAUAGUAUCAAAUUUAGAGCAUUUGAUUACUUUAUUUAGUCUCUUUUUUUCAAAGUUUGAGUACAUUUUACUUAAGCAUGAAUUGAAGGAGCGUUUAGCUCAUGGAGUGCAAUAUUUCUGUUGGUAAUAAUAUUAUCAAAAUAUAAUAUUAUUUAGCACAUUAAUGGGUAUGUUACAUAUACCCUACUUGGUUUAUUUGGUUGAAAUUUAAGAUUUUAUUAUUUGGUUAAUAGGAUGUAAGAUUACUUAAAAGCAUAUUUUAUUAAAAUGUGCUUGUUAUGGAGUUUUUUUUUAACAUGUAAAAGUAAAGAAAUUGAAACAAUUCUAGACAUUAUUAACAUGUAAUUUACUUCUUCGUCGAUUAAUUUUUAAUUUUUACAAUAAAAUUAGCAAAAUAGCAUAUAUCUCUCAAAAUAUUCUUAAUUUUUAAUUUUCUUUAAAAAUUAUUUUAUUUAUGAAAUUAAAAAAAUAUAAAAAGUAAACAUAUUUUUAAUUUAAAUGUGAAACUAAACCUAUUAAAAGGUGAAGUCUUACGUAAAGCUUUGUGCAAUUGAGCUGCUCAAAUAAAAAAAAAGUAUUAAUAUUAAUAUAAUUGAACCCAACCCAGAAGAAAAUUAAAUACAUAAGUUUUCUCAAAAAUAAUAUAUAAAUGAGUUUUAUUCAAUUGAAUUAAAUUAGUUACUUAAUUUCAUAUAGCUUAGAAUUGGUUAACUUGUCACAAAUUAUAGAAAAAGACGAAAAAAAAGUUGGUGAAUAAGUUGUAACAUAUCAAAUUUAUAAAAACAAAAAAAAAUGAAAGGAUAAAACUGUCAUAAAUUCAACAUUACUUAAGGAAGAGGUGGUAUAACACCCUACACUUGAUCUAGACGAUGAAUUUGGAUAUAAUAUGUCACAUUGAUUACUGGAGUAAUCCAAACAAAAUGAAAUAAUCAAAUUUACAUUCAUUGAACAUUAUUAUAUCAUAAAUUCAAUGACACCAUGCUUCCUUGAUAUAAAACAUAAAAUAACUUGAUAAAACGGUUUAAAGUACAACAUUCGAGGCCCAAAAUAUAUAAAAAAAAAUAAGGGAUAAGUUCUGAUAAGUUGCCUUAAUGUAUCGAUACUUGUACUAGAAAUUCAAAUAGAUAGUUAUAGAGGUAUAGGUUCCGUUACCUAAAAACCAAUGUAAUGAUAGAUAGGGCAAUGUACCAAUACCUUAGACUAAGUACUGAUACCUCAUACAAGGUCCCGAUACCUCAUCUCUGCAACUUAGAAGAUUUGUGAAAAUGACAAUUUAGGCCAUAUGCAUAACCUUCCAAACAACACUAAAGAAGGUCUAACAUGUACCAAAGUCAUUUCAACACAUUUAACAUAUCAAAUUAAGUCUAAAACACUAAAUUUCAUGUCUCCAAACAUAAUAGAUCAAAAUUAAGCUACUUAAAUAAAAUUUAAGCACAACAACAAAAUACUCAAUAAAUAAAAUUUAAAUACAACAACAAAAUAUUUAGCAUGCAAUUUGAUUUCAGUGCUCAAUUUUAAACAUAACAACAAUACCGAUAUGCUAUAAAAGUUCAAAUACACUAUGUCCUACACAAAGACAAACGUGCAACCAUUCCACAUUCAAAAUCCUUUAGGGGUCCUAUUCAUACCCAAAUUUCAACAAAAACUCGAAACACAUUACAAUUUCGAUGACUAUAGCCAAUGAAUCCCUUUCCCAAUGCUUUUUUGAUCUCCAAGGCAGCUUACUUCUUAAGUACAUGCGCAAGGAAACACAUCAGCGUGCUAAGCAUAAUAUACUCAAUGGUGCAACACAACUCCAAAAUACCAUAUGCUAUUAUUAAAUUGCAAUACAUAUUCAAGCAUCAUUAGAUCAAAAUUCUUACCAAUAUAAUAUACAUGUAUAAGCCAAAAUAACCAUACUCCCAACAAUAAAUCCAAACAAUACAUUACAUCAUUGAGGUCUAAGGUUUGAUCCCUAUGUUUGCAAACCCUUUUUCCCAUUGUAAGUAUCAAAAAUAAGUAACAAAUCACAAGCAACUAACACAUACCACCAUAAUAUUUGUGGUUCAUCAUCAACUCAACAAUUUAAUGUAUAACACAAGAUAAUCUAAAAUUUGAGAACUCCAUUUGAAACUAACUAGUAAUAAAAUCAUAAUUUGAUCUUGAAAACUCUAAGAAUCUUGCUGGAAAAUCAAAUUACCUUUCAAGAUUGAUGAUUAGAAUUGAAAACUUAGAGAUAAUUUUGAGAGAAAAUAAAGUUGAGAAAUGUUUAGUGCUUUUGCAAAUGAAAACCUCUAAUUCUAAUUACUAAUUCUUAACCUAACCCAACACUAACUCCCAGAAACCAUUCAAUUUAUCUUCCCAAAUUAGCUCGGUGCAUAAUUCCAUUUCAAAAUCGACUAUUUUGAUUCUCUAAAAAUUUAGGGUGUUAUAAGUGGCAAUGGAAUUACCUCCUAUAUUAUCAAAUUUUAGUAUUGUUGAAAAUAUAAAAUUAUUAACUCAAGAUAAUUUUUGAAAUCUAAAUAAAAAAAAUAAUUUUAGAAUCUUAUAUUACUACUGAAGACAUAGGAUUUCAUGAACUCAAACGCUUAGGAGUCGACAACCAACUAGUUAUGCUUUGUUAAAUGCUAUCCACAUAUUUAUACUGAUUAUUGGCUAUAUACUGUUAAUUUUAUUAAUGAAUGACGCUUGGAUGCACUCUUUUUCCACUCAAUGUAAUGGGCGGUUUUUUAACAAGACAUCCUUUUGUUCAUAAAAAAUAUUUAUUUAAAUUCAAAGAUAUUAAUAAAAAUACAUACUAAGAAAUUAAUAAAAAUACAUAAAUGGAAAAAAGUACAUUAAUUUAAAUAUAAUAUUAUAAAUUAUUAUAAUAUUAUAUUUAUUUUGUUAAUAGUUUUGUAACUUUGGAUGUUCUUUACCUUAAAUUUUAUUAAUUCUAAAGUACAUUAAUAUCAUUUGAACUUUAUUUUUUAAAGUAUUUAUUAAUUUAAAUAAAAUAAAAUAAUAAAUUACUUAUUUAAAUAAUAUAACUAUUAAUUUUAUAAUUCCAAAGGAUAUUUUUAUCAUUUAGCUUUAGUACUUUUAAAGCUCACACAUUGAUUUUAUACUUAAUUUUUAGUUUAUUAACAAUAUACAUUAGAUAUACAUGCAAAUAUUUUUCAAUUACAUAUUUAUAUAAAACUAUAAAUUAUUAAAUUAUUAAAUUAUUAAUUAAGUUCAAUAAUUUAAUUUAAUAUUUAUAUUUUAUUUUUAAUGUAAAAAAUAAAAAUGAUCUAAGAAAAAAAGUUUUAAAAAAUUGAUGUGACAUCGAAAUAUACCUAAAUAGCCGAAACACAUGCAACCAAUGUUGAAAUACAAUGCACACACAUAACUUGUAGAAAAGCACAAACAUAAUAUGCGUCACAGGGUUCUCAACUAUUUUAGUGCAGGACUAAUGCUUUGCUUGGUAUGAGAAUGAAAGUUUUGUUAAUCAAGAGUCAAAUUUACUUACUUUAUAUUCACAAAUUUCAUUCUCAGUUCAUACACACAAAAAAAAGACUAGAUCAAAAAAAUAAAUAAAUAAAUAAAUGUAAUAAUGUAUUUAAGCUUCCGUUGAUUUCAGACUGAUGAGAUCCAUGCUUCACUAUUACUCUGUUACCUGAACAAAAAAACUGAAAAGCAAAAAGCUUUUCACGAAUCAGUUCUUAGAGAUACUCCUUAAGAUCUUGCUGGUUUCCCAAAUCCCAAAUUACCACUUUCCCAUCCAUUCCUGCAAUAUUCAAAUUGCAGAAUUAUGAGAAAAUACGAGUCCAAAAACUCUUAACCGAUCCCAAAAGUUUACAGUAUCUAAACUGUAAAAGCAGCACAACCACCCACCUGAGGUGCUGAAGCGCUUUGUCUGGGAACCUUUUUUAUUUAGAAGUGCAAUACAACUGCAGUUCCAACAAGAGAAUGUAGAAAUUGAUAAGCAGCCAAUGAAAUCUUUUCUUUAGGAGAAAAAAACUACAUCAUAUUCAAUAAUAACAAAAUGGCAGAGAAGUACUUGAUGCAGUUGUCAUGAACAGCUCCCUGUAUCUUUGAAGGUUCAACCGUAUCAUUGCUCAAUCCGUGCUUUGCUUGACCAUAUAAUUUGCCAAAUGCUUCAGAAAACUGAAAAGAAAUAACAACCGUAUCAAGAACAUUGCAUUACCAGUGAGUUUCAGAGACCGAGAGAAAUGAGAUGUAUAAACUAUAGACACUAGGUUUCUCAACUAGGGAAGUUAAAAAAUUUCGCUAUGCUGUUUUUAAAAAAAAAAAAAAAAAAAAAAGGUGCUACCUAUCACUACUUCAUUCUGGAAGCCAUAAAAAUGUAUCAAACUGUGGAAUCCAACCAUCUCUUCAUGCCUUCCCUAACUACUACAACACCACCCAACCUUUAUAUGUCAUACAACUUCAGUCUACUGUAGCCAUAGAUGUAAUCUUUAAAAUGGAAUAUACCUUUUUCCCCAUCAUUUUCCAUAACUUCUAUGACACCCCUCCCUUCCCCCCAGGAAAUAAAUAAAUAAAAAUGUAAAACUAAAAUGAUUGGGCUCCAAUCCAAGGCUUAAAACCUUUCCCGACAUGAUUGGGAGGAGGAUGUGUCAUUUGGGCACAGAGAUUCAACCGUUUUUUUUCCAGUGCCAAGAGAUGACUGUUUCUGAGAAAAUAGGAAUGAAAACAGCAAUAUUGGUGUUUGAGGAAUAAGUAAAAGACAUAACUGGAUAUAAAAACUGUGACGGACUUUAUGCAGAGGUAAAUAAUGUUCAAAUGAUAUUAUGUCCUCAUGUAGACUUCAAGAAAUGGUGUCCGGGCUUGCACAAGGGAAUGAUAAGCCACGGAAACAAUAUAAGUUAGAUCCUUUCCAUAUCUUAUAGAAGACAGUUCAUUUCAAUUCACAAUAUUGGCGCUAAAGAGUAAAGAUACUUGCAUUUUCCAUACUAUGUCAAGCUGAAAUAUUUUAAGAUGAAUAAGUAAAUUCAAUUCAAUAUUUUAGUGGUAAAGUUUUGAAAGAAUUUUCUGGAUUCAUUCCCUUUAGCUGUACCAAGCAUCCAAAGAAAAUAACAGGCCAAAGGAUUUCUCCAGUCCAAUUAGAAUCAAGAUAAUUGAUGAGAAAUUUUGAGAUGAACAUCUAAAAGAAAGGCAAAAGGUGCAAAGCCGACUCAGUUAGGUGCCAUGCACACUGCCAACACUCAAUGUGAGAUUUAUUUACUCACCACUUAAUACUCCACCUCGUAUGUAGGGCCAACAAAGCUAUCAAAAGGCAUAUGCUUCAAGUUUAGGGAUUAUGUGCCUAUCUUGUGGCUUGGACAUCAUAUUUUAGCAGAACAAGCCUAUUAGGAAGCCGUCACAAAGUGGAAUAGAGUCUGCCCCACCACCAGGGGAAACCAAAUAAGGGUCUCUCUGCCUAUUAGCAAUAUUUUUUAAGGAUGGAUGCUUGUCCUAAAAUUUAUCAUGGUAUCAAAACCCAGGUUUUUUUGUUUUUUAUUGUUCUCAUUCUUUGUUGCCCCUAAAUUGUUUGACUUGGUAGGCCUGUUCACUUCAGCUGUUAGUAUUUGCCAUUGAAACUACAUGUAAGGGGAAAUGUUACAUUGUGCUAUGCCCUAUCAGUUAAGUAUUCAAUUAGCUAUGGCCUUAAGUUAAGGUUGGACCUCUCUCGACCUACAACUAAGACUGACCAAAGUGCAUAAUGAGACCUAAAAGUUGAUGGUUUUUCACAUGCACUUUCUCUAAAACCGAAUUCAGGAACAUACAAAAAAUUAAAUAUACUGUGUUUUCUCCACUUGAGUAAAAAUUACUACUAAAUGAGAAAGACAUGUGACCACAGAGACACCUGGAACAUGAUCUUUGAUGUUAUCCUUUCGAAGAUAUUGUUCAGAUCUUACUGACAAGCCUAUCAUUUGAGAACAAAUAGUUGGCUCAGCUCAAACUAAGGUUUAACAAAAGUUGAAGCUUUGCAUGAUUCAUUCAAGUGAAUAGACAACCUGCUGAUCUUAUUACCCAAUAAGAGCCCUACUGACAAAUUAUUUCCUUAACCAAACACGCCUGGAAGUGAUCUGUGUUCUUAGAAUUAUCUGCCCUUGCCCCCUUCCCCCGGUCUCACCUAUAACAUUCGCACUCAUAGAAUGAGAAUAGCUAAAAGCUAUAUGAUUUACAUACCUGAGAACCAGAUUUUGGACCUGACAAAGAUUCUUUCCUUUCACCUAAGAAUCUGAUAAAGCUCCUAGAAAACAAGACCAAAAACCUUAUUGAUGUAACGAAGCAAGUAUAGAAAAUUACAGUGACAAUGAAUCUUACAUACCAUAAUCCUGAUUUAUCUGCUGCAAAAACCAUCGGGUUGCAGUCAAAUCCCACGCCUAUGACCAUUUUCUCUGAAACAAAUAGGACCUGAUGGAAAUUUAUGUUUAGGCCCAAAAUAAAGGGAAACAAAAGCAGUUAACAAGAUUGAAAGCUGACCCACAUCACGAAGAGGCAAAUUACGGAAUGCAACAUUCUGGGCCAAAGGGGAAGGACCAAUAUCAUCAACAAAGUAAAUCAUAGAAUUAUGACCUGUAAAUAGAUAAAUGGUAGGUAAGAAGGAAACUUUUACAAGCAGCUCUAAGACCCAAAAGAAAUGUUCCCCUUAAAAGGGAGCUGGGAUAUUGAUGAAGUUAUAUCAAAAUUUAAGCUUAACCAACAUAGUUUAGAGGUUUCAUGCAAUGACAGUUGUUCUCCAACCAAAAAUUAAAUGUAAAGUUGGAUUAGUUUCAAAAAAAAUUUCUCUCAACUAGAAACUAAACAAAAAAUUAACCAUGCCAAAAUGUGAAAUUGGUAGUUUUAAGGGGAAAAUAAAUUCUCCAUGCCACAAACUUUAUCUUCGGACAUCACAAACAGAGAAAUAUUUCUUACCUACAUAAGCCAAAGUAUUGCCACUUGGUGACCACUUCACCCCAAAUGCCCAUGAAGAUGACAGAUCAAGCUGAACUAUUUGCUGUUCCAACAGCAAGUGCCAUAAAAUGAAAAGAAAAUGUUAGCUCUUCUUUGCACUGAAAAAAGGUUAAUGAAACUGCAGAACCUUGAUUUCCCCUAAAUAAAUGAUGGAAUAAAUAAGAAUUUAAGCAAGUCAUUAAGCCAAGAUAAAGUAGUUAGUGUAAUAUUCAUCGGUCGCAUCUGAGGCAUAAAUAAUUUGGGUCAUUAAUUGAUUCAACUCCGUAUUUAAAGAUACUCAGAUACAUAAACAACAACAAUUCAGCAUUCUUUCCUUUAGGCUAAAUGUUUGGACCAAUUGAAUCGACAAAAUAUAGAAGUUAUCCUUCCAUGCUGCUACUUCUUUUGAUGCAAAGGAAAAUAUUAGGAAUUAACUUCAACAUGUUGAUUAAGCUCUCAGUAAUGAAAACUAAUUGCAAUUCCAACAUGUUCUGCUAGUUUUAAUAAAAAUUAUAGUCUGAACUAUGAUUUUUAAAACAAGAGGCACCAAAGGAUGCGACAAUGUGCAGCUGUAUAGCUUAAUUUAAGAUUAUAUGUCACUACUAAUGAAACUUUUGACAUUAUACAGAUUUUACCAAGAUUCACUUCGUUAACGGAUGAAUAUUUUGCAAUAUGUUUUCAUUAUUUACAAUGUUUAUCAAAAAUAUCAUUCCAUAGGCAAGGAUAUUACCCACUACAGGAAAAAAAAUUAUAUGGCUGUACUGGCAUAAUGUUUCCUUUCUAAUUGGAAUUGCAAUUUAACAUUGUGAACCAUAAAAGACGGUUUGCUUGCCAAGGAAAUUACCUUGUCAUUCUGGAAACUAAUAUGUUGUAGAACGAAAAUAAAUAAAUAAUAAUAAUAAUAAUAAUAAUAAUAAUAAUAAUAAUAUCCAGAUCAUUCAGCAUUCAGGAUUCAGCUAUCCAGUUUCAAUUUCUUUACAUUGAUGUCCAUUAGAAAAAAGAACAGAUUGCACGUUGAUUGGGCCUCCUAAUCACUAGAGGUUCAUAUGACUAAAGAUUUUCCCUUUCGGCAGUUAAUUGCACAUAUUGCAACUUGGUGCAUCUCUACUAACAGUAUAACAUGGAAAGAAGCAAAUUUGUAGCCUAUUGCCCAUAUUCAUCUUUCAAAAUUUUAGUAUGUUGAAUUAUUGGUAGAGUACAGUAAACAUGGAAAUACAUGGAUUAACAAACAAAAGUUGAGGCACCAUCUUUUCCUGCAUAUCAAAUGCACCCAUUAAAUAUUUACUGCUAAAGAGGGUGGCACGUAUAGUACCUCUCCAAACUUUGGAUCUGAAGAAGAGCCUGUUUUUGAUUCCCUGGGUAAUUUAAAAAGGAAACAUGAUACUAAUGUGCUCAAACAGUAAUGGGAGUCUCCAGGCAACGAUAUUUAACAUACCUUGUAUCAACACCUUUGAUAAAUGUAGAAAAUACUCGGCAUUUUCCAUCUGUGGAUGUUGUAGCAAGUAGAAUCUGUAGCAAAAAGAAAGUCAAAAUAGACAAUAAGACUUGUGACACGCGGGUUCUUUUCCAAAAUUUAGAUUAUAUACUAGUUAAUGAAACAGAAUAUAAGAGAUGAAUUCAAAAGCAUGUAAAACAGAUUUUCCAAAUGGCAUAGGUAUGACGCUAUGAUAUUCCGCAGAUGCAGACAAUUACAACUCUUAAACUAUGAUAUUUUGCGGGUGAACAGACUCAAUUUUUAACAUGUAAUUGGACCAAAAAAAAACUAGGUAUUAGAUGAUAAGCAUCCAGAUCAUCCAACCGCAGUUUAUUGAACUUCAAUGGCUUUAUUAUUCCUAUCAAAUGAGAUAUCCAACCAGCACAAUAGUUUCUUCUUUAAUCAAGUAUUAAAAUUCAACUUUUUUCUACUACAUUCAUAAAAAGAGUGUUGACAGUUAGCAUAGAAAUACAGAAAUGUCAAACACCACAACUCUCACAUCAACUCAUUAAUACCCCUUCCCCCACUGUUUGCCGCAUCAUAAUUCAUCUUCAGCCUCACCAUGAGAAAGUAAGUGAUUUUACGGAGAAGCAUUCAUCCAAUAAAAGCUUUAUUCAGUAUGACAUUUAAUCUACUUUGCCUGAAUAAGCCUACUUAAAAUCAACUAACUUAAGGCAUUCUCAAUACAAUAAUGCAUUUUGCAAAUUUUAUUUACAUUUUACUUUCUAGGAUUGAUUGACAUAUUUGUUGUCAUGCUCCCUUAUAAAUUGUAGUGUUUUUGCCACUGGUACAAAAUUAAAAAAAAAGUAGGUGCUUUGGUCAAUUGCAGCCAAUCUUGACUGGCCUCUACAAUAAUUGGAUGUGAAGAAUGCAUUUCUUAAUGGAGACUUGAAAGAAAAGUUUACAUGGAUCCACUACCAGGCUUUUAAAAGAAGUUGGAUCGAAUGUCUGAAAACUAAAGAAAUCUCUAUAUGGUUAAAAGAGUCACCAAGAGCUUGGUUCGGAAGGUUCACUCAGUUUGUAAAAACCAUGGAUACACAUUCAAGGAUAAACUGAUCAUACUAUGUCCACAAAGUAUUUAGCCAAUGAGAAGACGGUUAUUCUCAUAGUGUAUGUGGACAAUAUUAUUUCAACUGGCAAUGACAUAGCUGAAAUAGAACAGUUAAAAAUGUGUCCUACAUCCAAUUUUUGAGAUUAAAGGCUUAGGGUCAUUGAGAUAUUAGCUUGGAAAGGAGGUAGCUCAAUCAAAGAAGAAAUUGCAGUUGCACAAAGAAAUAUAUUAUUAACCUACUUAACAAUAAUAGGAAUGAAUAGUUGUCACCCAAUACAGACACCAAUUGAUCCAAUCAGAAGCCUGAGAAAGCAAAGCUGAUCCAGUCGAGACAUCACGGUACCAAAAGCUAGUUGGAAAACUAGUUUACUUGUUACAUGCGACCUGAUAUUGCAUUCAUUGUAAGUCUUGUCAGCCAGUUCAUGCAUCCUCCACAUGAAGAAUUGUUGAGAUAUGUAUAUAUUUUAAAUUUAUUUAGGUAGAUAAAUCUUAUUUAGGUAGAUAAGUUUUAUUCAUAUUAUAGGAAUAUUUUAUUUUAUCUUUUAUUAGUUUAUUAGAAUAAGGGAAUUAUUUUCCUAAUUAGGAUUAAGACUUUUUUCUCUAUUUAAGUUCAAUUCUUUAGUUAAUAAAAAAUAGAACAGUUUUAUUAAAAGCUCUCUUAAAAACUUUCAUGACAUCUGAACUAGGUUAAAUCUCUAAUAACAUUAUGGUUAAAACAGCCUUCACUGGAGAUAAGAGAUCCAGCAAUCAAACAGAGGAAUAAAGUUCUACUGUUGAAACAACUACCGAGAGUACAAUGACUCAAGGGACAGAGGCGUCUCACCUUUCUUUUCAGCUGACAUCUCACAAGCUGAAUGGCAAGAAUUAUCUAGAAUGGCCGCAGUCCGUAAAAUCAACAAUUGAUGGGCGCGGCAAGCUAGAUCAUUUAACUGGAGAAGUCAAGCAACCACAGGUGGGUGAUCCAAAGAUGAGCAAGUGGAGGUCAGAAAAUUCUAUGAUAAUUGCAUGGCUUAUUAAUUCCAUGGAAGCAUCCAUAGGUAAACCUUUUCUUUUUCUCCCGACUGCUAAAAAUGUUUGGGACGUUGUGAAAGACACAUAUUCAGAUUUAGAAAACGCUUCACAAAUCUUUGAGUUAAAAAUAAAACUUUGGAAAGCUAGACAAGGGGAAAAGAAAGUUACUUUUUAUUAUAAUGAGAUUAUGUCUCUUUGGUAAGAACUAGAUUAGUGUUAUAAUGAUAAAUGGGAGUGUCUCGGAGGUGUUGUAAAAGCUAAGAAAAAAGAAGAGAAUGAAUGAGCUUCUUUAUUUCUAGUUGGUCUAAAUAAAAAAUUUGAUGAAGUGAGAUCUUGGAUCUUAGGGAAAAAACCGCUUCCAAAACUUCAUGAGAUUUUUUCUGAGGUUAGAAGAGUAGAGAUAAGGAGAAAAGUAAUGUUAAGGCCAAGGUUUGAAGCUAAUGAUGAUAAUUCUGCUCUUGUAACUAUUAAAAAUAAUGAUAUAGUAAAAAAAAAAAGAAAAAACCUUGGAGCAAUCACUGCAAAAAAUAUUGGCACACUCGAGAAACAUGUUGAAAGCUCCAUGAGAAAUCGAAGAAUGGAAGAAAAAGGAGUAGCAAUGGUCGUGGUUCACAAUCAAGGGAUAGCAAAGCUUUCCAAACAACUAAUGAAAAUUAUGAGGGCCAAAAUUCUCUGGAAGGGUCUCCAUUCACUAAGAAACAAUUAGAGCAGCUAAACAAGCUUUUUCAAUCACCACAAUUUCGGAUGAAUUCUUCUAUUCCUAACCCAUCCAAUAAUCCUUCUUCCUCUUUUGCCCAAUCAAGUACUGAUUUUUCUGUUUUUUUCAGUGUCAAACCUUGUAAAACAAAUAUGUGGAUCGUUGAUUCUGGAGCUAGUGAUCACAUUACUAAUUGUCAUUUUCUUUUUUCAACUUACACACCUUGUGCAAAAAACAAAAAGAUCAAAAUAGCAGAUGGGUCAUUCUCGGCAAUAGCCGGGAAAGGCACUGUUAAAAUUUCGUCUUCCUUGGUUUUACAUGAUGUUUUACAUGUGUCAAAUCUAGCUUGUAAUCUCAUAUCGGUCAGUAAAUUAUCCCAGUCCUCGAAUUGUCAUGUCAUAUUUGACUCCUCUAUGUGUAAAUUUAUCUCUCCGAGUUUUUGGGUGUAGCGUUUUUGUUUAUCUUCACAACCAAGGUAAAUUAGAUCCUAGAGCAAAAAAAUGUGUCUUUGUUGGCUAUGCUUUUAAUAAAAAGGGUUACAAAUGUUACGAUCCAAUUGAUAGGAAGAUUAUUGUUACCAUGGAUGUCACAUUUGUUGAAACGCAAUCUUAUUUUGAUUCUAAUCUUCACGGAGGGAAUUAUAGUAAGAAAGAUUCUAUAAUUGAUCAAAAAAAUACUAAGAAUAUACAACAUAGGAAUUCCAAUUAUGGGGAAGGCAAAUUUAUGAUUAACACAGAAAUUAAUGAUGUUAAUGUUGUUAAUAAAAGGAGUAUGAAGGUGUAAAAUAUGAUCAUGAGAAUAAAGAACAAACAAAGGAGUUAAUUGUUUACUUAAGAAGAAAUUGAAAUCAAGAAAGUGGAAUCCACCAGAUUCAUCACCAAGAAUCCGACCCGCAAGAUCUUGUCAAAAGUCCAAGUAAAGCUCGUAAUCCAGCCAAUGAAUUUUCUGAUUUAGAUAUUUCAAUUGUUAAAAGAAAACGUGUUAGAAAUAUUGUCAAAUAUCCCAUGUCUAACUUUGUAUCCUAUAAAGCCUUGUCUUCGACAUUCUCAGCCUUUGUUUCGUGUCUCGAUACUGUGAAAAUACCCAAAAAUAUGAAAGAUGAUUUACAGGUUCCUGAGUGGAAGGAGGCUAUUUUAAAGGAGAUGCGCGCUCUUGAAAAAACAGGUACAUGGGAAACAAUGGAAUUACCUGUAGGGAAAAAAACAGUGGGCUAUAAAUGGGUGUUCACAACCAAAUUCAAACCAGAUGGAUCUUUAUAUAGAUAUCUAAAGAUACACUCAAACAUAUGGGAUAGAUUAUCUUGAAACAUUUGCUCCAGUAGCCAAAUUAAAUUUCGUUAGAGUUCUUUUAUCAAUUGCUGUUAAUCUUGAUUGGUCUUUACAGCAGCUAGAUGUGAAGAAUGCUUUCCUAAAUGGGAAACUUGAAGAAGAAGUUUACAUGGAUCCUCCUCCAGGUUUUGAAGAAAAAUUUGGAACUCGAGUAUGUAAACUCAAGAAAUCUUUGUAUAGUCUAAAGCAGUCUCCUCGAGCUUAGUUUGAACGGUUCACUCAAGUUGUUAAAAAACAAGGUUACUCACAAGGGAAAGCUGAUCAUACAAUGUUCUAUCGACAUUCACAAAGAGGUAGAAUAACAGUUAUUAUAGUUUAUGUCGAUAUUAUUCUUACAAGAGAUGAUGUGGAUGAAAUAAGGCGUCUCAAGAAGCAUCUAGCAUUGGAGUUUGAGAUCAAAGACUUCGGUCCUUUAAAAUACUUUCUUGGAAUGGAAAUUGCUCGAUCAAAGAAGGGUCUUGUGGUCUCUCAGAAAAAAUAUGCAAUUGAUCUUUUAAAAGAGGCUGGGAUGGUGGUUGCCGCCUAGCUGACACACCAAUUGAUCCAAAUGUAAAAUUCGAAAAUAAAGAAGGCCAAUUAGUUGAUAAAGGGCAAUACCAAAGAUUAGUUAGUAAGUUAAUUUACUUAUCACAUACAAGGUCAGACAUAACUUUUGCAGUGAGCUUAGUGAGUCAAUUUAUGCACUCCCCAAUGGAGAAACAUGAAGUAGUGUUUCAAAUUCUAAAAUGCUUGAAGAGUUCACCUAGAAAGGGCUUAUUCUUCAAGAGAUCCAAACAAAGAGGAAUUGAAGCUUAUACAAAUGCAGAUUGAGCAGACUCAAUAACAGAGAGAAAAUCUACAUCAGGAUUCUGUACAUUUGUUUAGGGAAACCCUGUGACUUGGCGAAGCAAAAAACAAAGUGUACGUAGUGCAGAGGCUAAGUUUAGAUCAAUGGCUCAAGGAAUUUGUGAAAUGAUGUGGUUAAAUGGAAUUAUGGAAGAGCAGAGGAAACCAAUAACUUCACCAAUUAAGUUGUACUGUGAUAUCAAAGCUGCCAUUAGUAUUGCUCACAACCCAAUCUAGCAUGACAGAACUAAACAUGUUGAAAUUGAUAGACACUUUAUCAAGGAGAAGAUUGAAGAAGUCCAAGCGUGCAUGCCGUUUGUUCCUUCAAAACAACAGAUUGUUGACAUACUCACCAAAGGGCUCUCUAAGACAACCUUUGAUUUUCUUGUAGGCAAGUUGGGCAUGAUUGAUAUAUAUGCACCAACUUGAGGGAGGGUGUUGAAAUAUGUAUAUAUUUUAAAUUUAUUUAGGUAGAUAAAUCUUAUUUAGGUAGAUAAAUCUUAUUUAGGUAGAUAAGUUUUAUUCAUAUUCUAGGAAUAUUUUAUUUUAUCUUUUAGUAGUUUAUUAGAAUAAGGGAAUUAUUUUCCUAAUUAGGAUUAAGACUCUUUUCUUUAUUUAAGUUCAGUUCUUCAGUUAAUAAAAAAAUAGAACAGUUUUAUUAAAAGCUCUCUUAAAAACUUUCAAGAAUAUCUUGAAACGGUGUAUUGAAUUCUAUGGUAUUCAAACAGCUCUCCAAAAAAAAGCCUAUUUUUCAAAAAGAAUGAAUAAUGGAACAAACGCAGAUUGGCUAGACUUAGUCACCGAGAGAAAAUCAACAUCAAAGUUAUUGUACUUUUGUGUGGGGGCACUCAGUAACGUAGAGAAGCCAAAAAAAAAAAACAAUGGUUGCUCAAAAUAGUGUAGAAGCAUGAUACAUAUCAAUAGCUCACGGAGUUUGAAAGAUGAUGUGGCCGAAACAAGUUAUGGAAGAACUAAAGAGAUCUAUGACCAUGCUUAUCAAGUUGUACUGUGAGAACAAGUCUAUAACCAUGCCUAUCAAGUUAUACUGUGAGAACAAGGCAACCAUUAGCAUUGCACACAAUCCAAUUCAACAUGACAAAACCAAACAUAUGAAAUUGAAAGGCAUUUUACAAAGACAAAGAUUGAAGCCAAAGCUAUUUGCAUGCCAUUUGUUCCAACAUUGCAACAAAUAGUUGAUAUUCUUAUAAAGAGACUAUUCAGACCUAACAAUGAGCUUCUCAUGAGCAAAGUUCGGCACAAUAGACAUCUACACACCAACUUGAGGGGGAAUGUUGGACAGUUAAGGUUUUUUUUUUUAGAUUAUAUUUUAUUUUUGAGAUCCAUUGACAUUCGUUGUCAUGCUCCCCUAUAAAUUGUAUUGUUUGUUCAUCAAUCAUAUAAUAAGAAGAAGAUUUUAGUUUAUUCUUCAAAACUUAUUGUCUUUUAAUCUCCCAUUUCCUUAUUACUUUACAUUUUUUCACUCCUUUUCUUGAUCCUCUUUCUCUCUCCAUCUUACAAAAUGCUUCCUCUACUACUUCCUCUCACAAUGCCUCUGUAAGCUUGACAAUAUCAAAAAGGGGUAAAUUGAGAUUUAAAAAAUCUAAAAAAAAAAAUCAAUACAAGUGAUUCAUAGACGUUCAGCCUCAAUUGCCACCCUCUACCUUAGCUCCUCUUGCUAAGAAUUUUCGCAAUCCACCAACUUGAAUUGCUACCUUCUAAAAUAAGGUAUAACACAAUCUAUCUUUUGAAGGUAAGAUUACACCACUUAAUCCCAAGUAAUCUCACAAAAAAAAGUAAGAAAGUAGCAAACAAUGAAUAACCUCUCAAAUAUAUGGGUUUGCAAAUUAAAUCUCUCUCAAAUACAAAUAAACACUUUGAAUAAAGGUAAUAAACUCAACCCAAUUGGAUAGAUGAAGAAUAUUACAGUUCUAGUUCAAGCAUGGGUAAAUGACAUGUAUUUGCAUAUUUAAGGUAAUGUCAAUAUGUACAUAUGCAUUUCUAUUUCUCCCUCGUUUUUAAUAUGUCAAAAAGAAUGAAAGCAUUUUAGAAGCAUAAAUAUACCAAAAGGUUAUAGCAGAAGCAAUCAAAGCUCAAAGAGGGAGAAAAGAUCGCAAAUCAAAUGAAGAUACCAAAGAUUUCAUUCUUGUUCUUCAUCUAUCCAAUUGGGUUGAGUUUAUUAUCUUUAUUCAAAAUGUUUAUUUGUAUUUGAGAGAGGUUUAAUUUGCAAGCCCAUACCUUUGAGAGAUUAUUCAUUUUUUGCUACUUUCUUACUUUCUCUGAGGAGAUUACUUAAGACUUUGUGGUAAAAAAAUCUUAAGGGAAUUUAGUAGUCCUAUCUUACCUUCAAAAGAUAGAGAGACUAUAAGGGUUAUACAUUGUCCUUGAAAGGUAGCAAUUCAAGUUAGUGGAUUGAAAAAUCCUUAGCAAGAGAAUCUAAGAUAGAGGAUGUAAGUAAUUGAAGCUGAACCUUUAUAAAUCACUUUUGCCAAUUUAUGUUUUUGUUAUUUGAGAUUUGAGAUUUCGAAAUCCCAAUUCACACCCUCUUUGUAUCAUCGAGCUUACAAAUUUUUAUUUUUUUUUGCGGUCAAUUUGUGCAUCAGUAAUUUGGUGCCUACAUGAAAGAGCUGAAGUUUGAAUGAUCAGCACCACGUUAGCAGUGAAAUUGCACACACAAAUCUUUUCAUGUCACAUUGACACAAGUAUGCAGCCUUAGAAUGUUGAGCACAUGUAAUACAAUAAAAGACAAGAACACAGCAUUUUCAGCUAAAACCUGCCAAUGAUAAAUAUGGCAAAUGAAAAUUUAAAAAUAAGUACAUCUGAGCAUACAUGGGUGCACCACACACAUGUUUGUUUACAUAUAUCCAUUUCUUUAACUACGCAUUGAAAUUACUGACUUUUAGAUAUACAAUCCUCUAAACUUCUCUUAGAAAUAUGGUUAUUAAGUAUGGUAAAAAUUUCAGGUGUUUAGAAAAAGGAAGAAAAUAAAGAAGACUAAUAAGGAGAAAAGGAGUAAGAGAGAGUAGAGUUAAGAAACAAAGAGGCACCGAAGAACUAGUUGAUCAUGUCAAUAGAUUAGCAAGUCAGAGAUAUACAUUUGUUGAUCACUUAGAGAAUUAAUCAAGCUUCAAAGCCCAUACACUCAUUUGAGGUCCAACUUCAUUAGAUGUUCCUUAACAUUAAGAGUUUAAACCUAGUACAUGCCGUAUACUUACAAUUGGGUGUUGCAACAUGACAACAAGAUAAAGGAGCUCAAACUCUAGACCCAUGAAGGUGAACCUGUCUUGUUGAUCUUCAAGGUAUUCCCCGCCUAAGCCCUCUUUGAUAAAAAGUUGUAGGAAUGAUAAGGAUUCAAAUGUAGACUAUUAGGUUGGGAGACAUCAAAAUGCACUUGGAAACAUACAGGUAUGCUUUUUAUAGACUAGGUGUUUGCAAAUUUAGGCCAUUGAAUGAAUGUGGAUCCCAAGUUAGGGAAGGUAUCAUUAGGCCAAGGUUUCUCUUGGAACAGGAGAAAAAUCCUUCCAUUAAAGAAGACUACAAUUAGGAUCAAUUAAUCAAAGCAUGGUGAUAAGCCUUCAUGCGGCUGGCAAUGAUCACUGCUGGCAUCUUCUUUGGCAUCCUAUCACUGAACAGGCGCUCAAGGAACAUGAUUUCAAAAAGGAUAAACCUAUCUUCAUACACUAUGCAAUCACAUGCUAAUCAUGCUUCACCUAUUAAGGUAGUUGUUAUAAAAGUAAUAAAAGGAACAAUAAAUGGGCAAAGUGAAGACAAGGACGAUUGUUUAUGAGUUGAAUUACAAGAAGAAACAGUAAGAUGAUGCAAAUUUGUCAACAAAAAAAAAAUGAACAAAGUGGUUUGGUGAAGAAAAUAAUCAAGGAGCAAGUAUGGAUGACAAAGUCUUGUGAGAGAAAAAUUGAUCUUAAUGUUUAUAAUAAUGAUUUGACAAGUAGAUGGCUUUAACAGAUAAUCUAAGACUUCAAUCUCAUCAAAAGAAAAAUGCAAUCAGCAAUAACUGGAAUGCGGGUUUCAAGCUGGGAGAAAAGGAGCAAUCACUGCUACCACAAAGUGGUAGAAGCAUUUUCUUACUCUCUUCUUCUUUGUGUUUCCCCUAAAUGUCAAUUCAUUUAAUAUUCCUUUUAUAUCUUUUCUUAGAAAUUAAGGAAAGCGGAAUCUGAUCCUUUUUCUUGUGACUCCGUUAGAAGACAUACCUAAAUGCCAAAAAUGAUAGGUUGAGACAUAUUGGCUCAUCUAUGUGACUCCAAUCACUUGUUUAAAAAUAUACUCUAGCAUGUCCAUGUUUUGACUUAAAAGGUUUCCCCAAAAAAUGUUGACUCCCUCCCAUCUGUAGCUAAAGUCUAAUGUAAAGUGUCCUACUUAGAUUCUUUUUAAAAAUGGAAACAAAAAAACACACACACAUAUACAUAAUUAAACCGAGAUUUAUUAACCUGCUAGAAAGAGAUGGUUUUGGGAUGGUUUUUUUCAAACCAUUAAACAUUAAGCUAAUGUGCUUAUGUCAAACAUCUUUAGUUUUUGUCUUACAUUCUUUGUCCCUCAAUUCAUUCUUCUGAAUGUAAUGGCAAGGGAGUCAAACAAGACCCUAAAAUACAUGAAAAUGAAUGAACUCUACCACAAAAUAAUUUUCCACAUGAUAGAAUAAAAUUGAAUAGAAACCCACCAUAUAAGUACAAUAAGAAUUGAAAAAGAACACUUUUCCAAAAUGCAGUAAAGUCAGAAAAACGCACAUUAUUAGGAUGCCAAGCAACACUUGUGACAGAGGAAUCAUGUUUUUUCCUGAUAACUUUGCUUACCCACCUGGAAACAGCAAACCAGACAAGCAUAUAGCAUCAAUCAUGGAUAGCAAAAGAAAUCAGUAGGACCUCAAUGUUUGAAAUUCACCCACAGUUGGAAACAAUGUAUGUAUGUACACAAAUAUAUAUAUACAAACUAAGUUCGACAAUAUUAAGAGAGAAGAAAGGUGAGAACUGAUAUGUAGCGACAUAUUACCAGUUAUUCUCUUGCUCAUAAUAGCAUACGCACACAGUUUUAGCACCACUUCCAACAGCAAACUUGUUUUCUGGGAGUUAAAGGAGAGGAAGAAAUGAAUUGGUUAGAACUUUGUCAAAUUGCUUGAAUAAAGGAUCUAUAAUGACCUGCAGUUUUCCUGAAACAGACUUCAACGGUCAUAAGAACAAGGAGAUGUAAAAAUUAUCAAAAUAAUAGCAAAAAGGAAAAAGGUGCUAUUGACUUCAUAAGGAACUUUUUCUUAUCAAAUAAUCCAACUGCUAUUCUGAAGUCCUACUCCACAACACAAUUUAUAUUCUCAUAGGUCAGAUGCCUAUCUAUUUUAUAAGCUUAAGCAAAAUCAACAGUGAAUAAGCUGCUAGGACAAUGAACCCUGAAGUAAUGUGUCAAAUUGUAAAAGAGUGGUCCUACGCUUUGUUCUUAAUAACUUGGGGGGGGAGGGGGGGAGGAACUAAUUAAGUAGAUCCAAGAAAGUGCCAAUCUGAGUAAAAACCUAAUUUAUUGUACAGUACAAAGAAGUGAAGAAUUAAUAAUAGUGCAAGGUCAAAUUAUGUUUAUGUACCUUUGGGGCUCCACCGAACACAAAGUGCAGCACGAUUGAGCCUAAGAAUAACAAGAGUUGGUACCCACUCUGGUCCUUCUCGGUUCCAAACAUAUCUUCAAAUGGGAUCACAAAUUUCAGGAGACAAAGAACACAAUAACAGUGCCAUAGAGAAAUGAAAACAAGAAAAUCGAAAGAAGUCGAACAUGAAGCUCAUGUUAGGCACUGUUUGCUUGUGUUUAUCAGGCACAGGGAAAAAGAAAGGAGGAGAUCCAAAUUAUGGAACUUUCAUUUGUACAUAUAUAUAUAUAUAAAUAAAAAGAAUUACUCACGAAUUCCGAUCAUGAGAUACAGAAACAAUUCUGUUUGACUUUCCACUCCAGUCUAUCCCAGAAACAAUUUGAUCAUGCUGUGAAAAUUUGACAUAAAAAAAUCAUAUUGAUAAAAAAUCAAACAUAAAACAAACAAAACUUAACAAAGAAAUGCAUCAUCAUCCUUCAAUGUAGUCACUUCAACACCUGGAUAAAUUUUCAUUUUAUAAGAAGAAAAAUAAGUAACUAAACAUGCUAGGAUAGAAUUUCCUUUCAAAAGAAGAAGAAGACUAAACAGCCUUGUUGUCUUCAACACGAAAAGAGUGGAUUAUUUAGACUGUGGAGGUCCUCAUGUUUUAGUAUUGUGCUCAACAUCCAUAGUUUAAAGUGCUUCCAUUAUAACUUGGUCUUUCUCACCUUUUAACUUGUUCUAAGGCAUAUCCAACAAUUCUAGCAUGGGCACAUUUAAAGAAUCAAAAGUAUUAUUAAAUAUCAGUACAAUUUAUUUCCAAUCAUUUGCAGUCCGGACAAGACUUUGCAAUGAGUUUCGGAAUCUUGGAAUCUCAUCAUGGGCUUUUUUUUUUCUUGAACUAAUCUCAUCAUAGGCUGCUACUCUUUGUUCUCGCCUUUUAAAUUUUAGCUUUCUCACAACUACUGUAAUCCCUAUCACACAAUUCAGAACCUAAUCUAAUAAAUCUCCCGGUUGCUUUAGAAUUCCCAACUUUGGUUUAUAUGCACAGAGCUUUCCGGUUCAGUUAAAGACAAAAGUGGUAAAAAGGCAGACUGAUAUCAUACCAUAGGUUGAAACCCAAAAAUUCAUCAGACCUCCAUGCUGUGGCAGUGCUUCUAUUUACUUACUAAGAAAGGCUAAGAUUUCAGACAAGAACCCAACGUGUCAUCUCAUAUUUUCCUUUUCAAGAAACAUUUUUAUUCUUAGUUAAAGAGAGGCUUCAACCUAGGUUCUAGACUUCUAGUCAUAUCCAAUUUGCAAAUUGAUGUGUUCCAAAAGUACCACAUAACAUGACUCCAAAAUGAAACUUCAAAUAACUAUUGGAGAUGAGUUAACACAUACAGCAUAGAUAAUUGGACUAAAACAUAACUUGGUGGUUUAUAGGGGAAAUUUUUUGAUAAAGUACCUUCUGAAGAACAUGAACUUUCUCCCACUUGUCAUUCACCAAUUUAUAAAUGUGAACCUCAUUAUUAUUUGGGCAAAAUGCUACCACUGCAGGCAAGAGAAAGUGAAUUAAAUAUGUAGAAAACACAGAAAACAAUAUCUCAUGCAAUUUAAAAUAAAAAGAACCAAAUCAUUAGUUCUAAAAUUCUCAAAAAAAAAAAAAAAAAAAAAGCUCUAAAAACACGCAUCAUUUUAAUUAAACAUGUAUCAUUAGUUCUAAAUCCAGCAUAUCACCAAAAAAUGGAUCAAUUUAGAAUGAGAAAGUAACGUAAAGAAAGAGUAAAUUGACCAUUAAUUUCAUUUUCUUCUUCAAUUUUACAUUUCUUAGACAAAUAUCACAUCACAAUAACAUUUAACUCAAAUAUAUACAUUCUUUUAUUUCCUACAUUUUCACAGCAACCAACCGAAACAUAAAGAUGAAGAGAGGAAAUGGAAUUUCGACAGAAACAAAUUAAAAGAAUGAAUGAAGUUACUGGAGUGAUCGGGACUCCAAGCAUGGCAAGUGAUGCACUGAGCGAACUGGUGAACGGCGACGGCCGCCAUUUUUAAGCUGAUGAAUUUGAUAUAUUGAGCUCCGAAUGAGAUGGAGAGAGAUCUCUGGAGAAGAGAAAGAACUGUGAAGCGAUCUCAGCUUCGGUUUAAAGUCUUUGUUAACAAACGGAAAGCUUGAAAGACUAGACUAGAUACCAAAUACCAAUAGAGGUGCGAUUGGACAAGUUCUCACCCGUCGACUUUGGGGAUUUUUAGAUUUUUUUUUUCUUUUCAGCAGGUUGAAUUAAUGGGUUAAACAUUCAUUUAGCCCUCAUAGUUUCCACUUCUCAUUUUUUUUCUCCAUUACCUCAUUUCAUUUUUGGAUAAACUACACAAUUGGUCACCUAACUUUUAUAAAUUUUCAUUUUAGGCACCAAAAUUAAAAAGUUUGCAAUAUGGGCAUUGCCAUUACAUAUUUUUAUCAUUGUAGUCACUUUCAUUACAUACUUUUAUCAUUUUAGCCACUUGUCAUUAAUUUACCAUUGCAUAUACUCAUUUUAAUCACUCAACUUUAGUAAAUUUUCAUUUUAAUCACUUAUUUUCUUUUUAAAAUUAUUUUUUUUUUCAAAGGAAAUAUAGGCUUUACAAGAAAUUAAGCUAUUACGCUAUGAGAUGAAACCCAAGCUUUUCACUAGUAACUUAAUUCCAUGUAAAAACUCAUAUUUUUCCUAUAAAAAUUUAAGUAAUUCCUUGUAAACCCCCUAAGUUUUUCCUUUACUGAAAAAAUUAAAAUUAAUUUAAAAAAAGGAAAAUUAAAAGAUAAAAUGUAAUUUCUUAUAAAUAACAAAAUAAUUUCCUAUAAAACCUUGGUUUUCCCUUUUACUAGAAAAAAAAUUCUAAAAAGGGAAAAAUAAAAUGGAAAUGAAAAGAUAAAUUGGUUUUCUUGUAAAAACUAAGUUUAUCAUAUAAAAACAAAGGUAAUCCCCUAUAAACCCCAUAUUUUUUCCUUCCCUCUCACUAAGAAAUAAAUUGAAAUUAAUUCUAAAAAGGAAAAAAAAAACAAAGAAAAUUAAAAAUAUAAAAAAUGAUUUUUCUAACCCAAAUUUUCCCCUAUAAAAACCAGGUUUUCCCCUUUCUAAAAAAACUAAAAUUGAUUCUUAAAAAAAUUAUAAAGAAAAUUAUAAAGAUAAAAUGAGUGACCAAGAUGAAAACGUACUAAAGUUGGGUGAUUAAAAUGAUAAAAGUACGUAACGGCGGUGACUAAAAUGAUAAUUGUAUGUAACGAUAGUGCCCAUAUUACAAACUUUUUAUUUUCGAUACCUAAAUUGAAAAUUUACGAAAGUUGGGUGAUUGAUAAGGGAUAAUUAUGUAUAUACAAUUAUUGUCCUCUCAUGCUUGUUUUAGCUUACUUUUGAGUGAAAUUGAAUCGUUUUAGGGUCAAAUCAUGUUUUAGGUCAUUAAUGGAUAUGUCUGUGUUUUGUGUCACUUUUAGCAUUUUGAUGUUAUUUUAGAGUUUUGGUAAUAUGCGAUGCAUAAAGUGUGUUUUUGAUAAUGUGUUGAUGAGUGGAAGACUAAGGACAUAAAGGUUUGAAGGCUUGACAAACAGAAAGUCACACCCCAACAUUGAGUUGCUUGACGUCGCGAUGUGGGGGAUUGGGAUGGCAUAAGGUGACCAAGGUUGAGGUAGUGACAUUAAAAGAUUGGAGGUCGCGACCACGCUAACCAUUUGGAUUUGAAGAACCAAAUGUCCCAUGCAACGCCACAACGUUAGAAAGCCAAAGGCACAAUGUUGACUGAUUAAGCUAUAGGGAUCGUGACAAAUAGUGAGUGACAUUGCGACGUGAAUGCUAAAGUCGGGUUGUCGUUUCCUAAAGUCACAAUGUAGAAACCUGAGGCCGUGACAUUAAUACCUUGCUCAUUGUAUAAGAAAAGAACAUUCGUGAAGUAUGACGUUGGUGUUGGAUUUGGUGUCCUAAGUGUAGUAUUUUUGGCUACGUACACUUGUAUUCUUUUCAAACAAAAUGGUUUAAUAUAAUUGUAUAUUGCCCUUAAUAGUUUUUGCAUGCAAAGCAAAAUGAUAUUGGCUCAAUGGUUAUCUAACGUUUAACUAAUACUAAGCGAUAUUACAUGGUCGGAUUGUAAUACGAAAAGACAACUUGUAUUAGUAGAUGACCUGUAACACCCUAUACCCGACUCAAUCAUCAAGUCUAAGCUACAGUGUGCCACAUUUGUUGUCGGAGCAACCAUGAUCAAAUUAAAUAUGAAUUCACAUCAUCAAGCUAUUAUUCAUAAAAAUUUUAAACAAACAAUACAAUAUAGAAUCAUUCUCGGGUCCUAAACGAGCUUACGAAAGCUUUUAAGUUAACCUAAGAUCAAAUUAGGAUUGAAUUGUAAAAUUUACAAAACACAAUAUUGGUGUCGUGACGUCAACAUUACCAAGUUGUGAUAUCGCCAAACAGUUUGUCACGUCAUAACAUCAGUCAACUCGACGUCGCGACGUCACUCACUGUUUGGCCUCGUUGAAACGACGGGGUUCCUAGUCUCAAUGUGACAUUAUAGGCCAUUUCUCGUCGUGGCAACAUACAUUGACGUCGCGACGUCACAUACUAUUUCUGCAAUACCACCUUACAGAAGUUGCAAUUUUAAGUGUAACAAACCAUUUUUCAGUGGUGUCAGAAAUAGUGAUUUUGGGGCCACAAAUUCGACGAGUGAGUUCAUAAAUAUUAUUAUGUAAUAUUUAUGAGCCAAAUAUAGUAUAAUAAAUAUUAAUUUAAUAGUUUAUGUUAUUUGAAUGAAUAGUUAAGUUCAAGUGGUUGUCCUUUAAAGUCAAGUGGUUUUAGAAAAUGAGGUUUCAGGAUCUCAUUUUUGUAAACCGAGCCUUUAAAUAUUUACAGACUUGCUAUAUAGGUAUAUUAAAGUUCGGUCUGGAAAUUUUAAUGAUUUGAUUGUUAAUUAAAGAAAAAGGACUAAAUCAUAAAAGAUGCAAAAAUUAAUCGCUAUUGGUUUAUAAAGGCUAAAUGGGUUCAAAUUAAUUGUUGAAUGGUUUUAAAUGGCAAUUUAGCCAUAAUUAUAUCAUAGUGGACGGUUUGGUGUAGAAAUAAAUUGAUUAUAUAUAUUUUUUUUAUUAAAAUGUUAAAAUAAUAAGUUAAUAAAAAAGAAAAACAUGACAUUUGAUAAGUCAUCUUUUUCUUCUAUUUUUCCCAACCAAACCAAAAACAUGAAAGAAAGCCAUUGUUGAGUUAAGGUUCGGCCAAGCUUCAAUUUGUGUAUGUAAGUCCGUUUGAAUUUCGUUUUUGUAAUUUUUAUGUUUUUGAUAAUAUUGUAGCUUAGUCUAGCUAAUUCGUAAAAUCGUUAAAAGUUUAGGGACUUACCAUAAAUGUUUUAAGUGUGUUUGUGAAUUUAAUUGAUAGAAUAUUAAGCUAGGUUGAUAGUUAAGGUUACUUUGUUAAGUGAUUUUUAGUAAUUUUAAUGUUUAGGGAUUAAAUUGUUUAAAUAAGUAAAAUUCAUUGAAAUAGUGUGAAAUGAUGAGAAAUAUGGGCUGUAAUUGAUCCCUAGGAAAAUCGGCUAGCAUAUUUUUUCAUUAAUUAUGAUUAAUUUGUGAGUUUCAAGUUUAGGGACUAAAUUGUAUAAAAGGUAAAAUAUUAGGGGUAAUUUUGUAAAAUGAUGUUGGAAGGACUUAAUUAUAUAAACCUGUUUAUUUGAGUUUUGGAAUUGUAUUAAUUGAAUGAAAUUACGGUCUAGAUGAAAAAAUAAACCAAUAAGAUUUAAAUUAAGGAAAAGUUAAAGUUUCGGACUAGUUGUCGGGUUUGUUUUUGCAACCGUUUUAGUCGAGGUAAGUUCGCAAAUUGAUUAAAUUAAUUAUUUGUUGUUUUGUGAUUUAAUACAUAUAUAUUUAUGUUGUAAUUGAGUUUAACUGUUUGAGAUUAGCAUGUGAUGAGUUGCACUAAGUUGUGAUGCUAUUUAAGUUCAGUACUACGAUUGGAAAAUGUGAAAUACAUGGAUGUGAGUUUGAAAUGGUAUAAUGGAAAUGAAGUUAAAGGAUUUGGAUAUGAAAUGUGUCCCAUUUGAACCUUGCAAAUACUUAGGAUACAAAUGACAUGUCAUUAGAGGGUUAUUUACAGUUUCGGGUGCUGGUCUUGGGUGCCCUACCGGUGGCUGAGGUCAUACAUUUGUUGCUGAUUCUCCACAACUCAUGUGAGUAGCAUCGAGUAGCCUAACAUCCUGAUCCACAGCUCAUGUGAGCAGGCCCAUUUCACAGCUUGUGUGAGCAUGUACAGUUACAUGUUACAGUCACAGCUUGUGUGAGUAUUUCCUAAGCAUCCGAUGUUAUUUCAUUUGGUUCAACGGGUGAUAAAGGCUUAAACGAAUAUGUAUAUAUGAAAUGUUAUAUGGUCAAGACAUGUCAAUUGGAAGAUGUUGAUAUAAAUAUUUGAAAUGGGAAGCUAUGUUUGUCGAACAUAUGAUGGAUCUAAUAUGUACUUGUUGUGUUAUUAUUACAUGUUCCAUUAAUUGUUGGAAUUAUAUGUUUCUUUGUGAUACCUACUAACCUUGUGAGGUUGUGUUGUACAAGGAAGAAAUGUAAGUACAAUAUUUAAUGAAUGACUAUGUGUUAAAUGGUAAAAUGAAAUGCUUAGAUGAAAUUGUUAUACGGAAUGUUUUUAUGAAAACAUAUAUAUGAAACUGAUAUAUGAAGUGUUUAUACGAAACAUUUAUAAGAAUAUAGAUAUGUGAAAAAGGGACAUUUGAAAUAUAUACUUGAAAUAAUGAUGUUAAAUGAUAAAUUAAUAUGUGAUGGUUGGUUUAUGUAUCAAAUGUUUUUUUAGGUAUAUGUUUGAUGACAUGAUAAAGUUACACGUAUUAUAUAUGAACUCACUAAUCUUGUGAGACUUGUGAUGCGUAUAGGUAACUAAUGAACUCAUGAUCAAAAUAUUUAUCUUGUAAAAUGUUUUAUUACAUCCUUUUUGGUAAGUUAAAGUUAAAGUUUAUUAAAAACUUAUUAAGCUUUAAUCAAGCUUACCUUAUUUUGGUUUUUCUUCUUUGUAGAUCGUCGGAUAUGAGCUGUCGAUUGGAUUGCUUCUGGAUAUCACACUAUCCGGUAACUAUAUACGAUAACUAAUUGUUUAUUUUGGUUUGGUUAUAAACGGCAUUAUGGAUAUGUUUUGUGUUAUUUGAAGUAUGAGAUGUGUAUAUUGACGUAAAUCUUAAUUAGUAUUUUGGUUGAUUGUGGUGGGUGAUGGCAAUGGUAUGAUUUUGGUUUUAAAUGCAUUUUGAAAGGUUGUUUUGGAACGGUUGAAUUGAUGCAAAUGCUUAGGUAACUUGGUAAAUAUUGGUUAAUGAUUUUGGUCUUUAUAAAUGAGGUAUAUUUGAUAGUUGAAGAAGUAUGAACUGUUAAGUAGUUGUACUUGAAUGAAUUAUGUUUUAAUGUGUGAAUUGUGGUGCCAAGUGAUAGCAUAUUAGUUAGGCACAUAGGAUGAAUGAUUUGGCAUGUUUUAGGUAUGUUUGAAUGUGUUUUAACCAUGUGAAAAUGAUUGGAAAAGGUUUGGUUUGGUUUCCAAGAAAUGGAUGUUGAUUUAGUUUGCAUUAGGGGUCAUUUUGGGUGCACACGCACUAGGACAUGGGCUACUACACAAUCGUGUGCUACACAUAGAUACCUCACACGAUCGUAUGUCUUAUUAAUUUUAGGUGCAAGAUUUUUCACCCGGUCAUAAUCAAUUACACAGUCUAAGCACACGGGCGUGUGGAGUGGCCACACGAGCAUGUGAGGUAGCCACACGGCCAUGUCUCUAAGCCAUAUAGACUGGCCUUUGUCACAUAGUCAUGUGACCCCUAUUUUUAGUUAUUUCCACAUUUUUUUGUUUUGUUUUAGAUUAGUCCCUGUUUGUUUGUAAAUUGUUUCUAAGGUUCCAUAGGCUCGAUUUAAGGCACUUUUUUUUUUGUAUGAAUGCUAUGAUUAUUGAUUGGACAUUGAUUUCACAAAUGCAUAUUCACUUCAACCCUAUUUUUUUUUCUUUUUGACCAAAUGUAGAGUAAAAAUAGGUUCCAUAAUAAGCCGUAACACUUUCAAUUCAAAUAAGUGUCACGUUUUAACUACCUAAUACUUCCAAUCAUCAAAUCAUUCUCACUAACUUACCCAAUAUUCAUAAUAUACUAGAGGCAAACCUAUAUAUAUCCAUUUAUCACUUUAUAAUUAAACUACCAUUUUAUGCAUCAUUCCCUAAUCCUACCAUAGCAAAUCCAAAUUCCACAUAUAUGCACAUAAUGACAUAUAACAUCAACCAUUUGUUAGGUUUAGACAUUUCAUUCAAGGUACCAUCGCAUAUCUCAUACCUUAAUCAAACUAUAAGAAUUCUAAGUUGAAUACAUAUAUAUAUAUAAAUAUACAUAUCAACCUCAUAUAUAUCUUCUAGAACAUAAAAUGCAACAUUUAGUUAUAAACAUCAUUCUAUCCCAACAAAAGUUAACCUAUUAGGUGCAUGCCAACCAUAAAUAUAAAAGGUGCACAAACAUUGUUGCGUCGGUUUUGGAUUCUGGAUCCUGAGAAGACCUCCUCACGAUUUACCGUGAAUCUAAGUUACCAUGCACAAAGAACAAAAUCGUACGCUGAGCAAACCACUCAGUGGUAAAUCUAUAAUUCAAGAUGAUAUAAUCAAGUUUAUGCAAAUGCACAUAUCCAAACAAGUUCAAUCCACAAUCCAAUACACAUUCAAUUUAUACCAAGUCCUACCAUUAUCCCAUUUCUUAACAUUAACAUGCCAUUACGCAUACAUACUUACUCAAUUAGAUGCCACCAUUAUACAUGUAUUCAACCAUUUAAAACAUCAAUUAUAUGCAUAAAUUUUCAAUCCCAUAUUUUUUUUAACAUUUUCAAGCUCAUUAGCUCAUUGAUUCAAUUAGCCCUCUAGGCUCGUUUUCAACUCAAUUCAAAAUAACAUCAUAUUUCAUAUUUCCAUCUCAUUUCUUUCCUUAACCAGUAAACCAAUUCAUUUAAUUUUAAACCUAUUAAUUAGACACAAACUUGGCAGAUACGCUGAUCUGUCACCCCGGGUUGCCCAGCAACGAUGACGCUAUAAUAAUAUAUAAUACCACCUCAGAUUGCCCAACAACAAUGGUUUUCCCAACUCAAUCAAUCUAUCACCCUGGGUUGCCCAGUGACCUGCCAGGAAUCACACUAUUAUUUACAUUCUUUUUACACAUAACGUUAGCCUGUUUAAUAGUUAAAUCAAAACAUCUUAGUAUAUAUUUAGGUUUUCAUGUUUAAAGUAGUAAUUUAUGCUUUGAAGUAGUUUUUAUUACAUCUAUAUAUCUAAAUAAGGUUAACGUGUCUUGUAGGACAAAUCGGGAGCCAAAAAUGCAUAUUUGGGCCAAAAUUGAUACCUAUGUCAUGACAACAAGACACUAAUGUCUCAACAUCGAAGACAGAAGCCAAAAAUGAAUCCUGGAGUGAAACUAACCUUGAUGUCGUGACACGACCUUCCUGUGUUGCGACAUACUCCCUGUGGUUGGUUACAACAUCACAGGCCUAUUUGCAACCAAGCCCUUGCGCAGCCUAAAAACUCAUGUACGUUUUAAUUACGUUUUUUAGGGAAAUUAAGAGUAUCUAUCCUAGUCGAACUCUAAGGACUUCAAGAAUAUUUUAGGCACUUUAAUAUUCCAAGUUUAGCCUAUAUAAAAGCCAUUGUAAUCAAUUUAAAUACACAAUUUUAGGUUUUUGAUUCUUAGGUUUUUCUUUCAUUCUUAGUUUUUACUUAAAGUUAUUUUAUGUUCUUGUAAUCGGAAGAUCCUAUCCUGAAGUGAGGCUCUCGCGAGAGGAGAUUGUUUUGGAACCAUGCUUUUAUCAAUAAAUCCAAGAGCAUUUCUUUUCCUUUAUUUUGUUAUUUAUAUCUAUUUCUUUAACAUUGUUUAAUUGAAUGUUUGUGUAAAGAUUAGAAUCAAUUUAUGCCUGAUACAUAUCUUGCAUGGUUUCAACUAUUCUAAUCUUAUUAAUUGAUUGAAGGAUAGAGUUUCUUAGCAGAUCGAUUGUUUGGGAGAAGAAGAACUUAAACCCUAGGCUUGAUGACCCUACAAAGUCAUUUAGGUUAGAAUUAACCCAAAAUUAGUAUGACUUAUUCGUGAAUACCUUAACCCUAAAUUGGUCUGCACUGUGAGGUCGAAAGAUAAGUAGUCAUUGCCGACUCAUUAUUUUAGUAGAAGAUCGGAAGAUCCUAAUAGGGUAUCGACUAGUUGAUUGAUUAGAACCCUACAUCAAUAAUUAAUUAGGUAAAACAAUUGGAUCUAGGCUAAAAGGAACUUGCGUAGUCAAAACAAUGAAUAUGAAAAGUCGAUACAUGAACCUAGAAGUAGAUUUAGGUUUUGUUAAAUUUAUUUAGCUUAUUAUUAUCAUCUUACUUAUUGAUUAACACUACUAAUUCUUAAUUCGAGGAGAUUAGUAAUUAUUUUUGGUAAUUGGCUUAAUAGCAGUUUUCCCAAAAGUGCAAUCCCUUGGGUACAAUCUUGGAAUACUUACCGAGAGUGUCAUUGUAAACAAACUAUAUUACAACCUAAACCGUAUACUUGUGGGCAUCGCCUCAAUUUCCAUAUAUUUCAUAACAAUAUUCACACUCUAGACGUUACUACGUAUAGAGGUGGUCACCGAGCAACGAUUACUCAAAGCAUAAUGUCUACCACCCCGAAUUUCUCAACAACAAUGGUUUUACACAAUAAUCUAACCCUAUGGCAUGCCAACUAUAUCCGACACAGCCUGACAACUAAUAGGGUGACUAAUUUUUGAAUCUUUACAUAUAGUUCAAUUUACAACUCAAUGUUCACAAUCCAUUUACAUUUCAUAAAUUCAUAGCAUACAUGACAUGUUUCAACCAUAGUUCAUAUAAUUUAUUAUAUAUCAAGUAAACUUGAAAUUUUUUUCUUUAUUCAAUUGAGUCCCUAUUUCAGUAUUCAACGUAAAUCAUAAUAAAUCAAGUUAAAUAGACAUUACCAGCUCACCUCGAUACCAGUAAUGCAACAUUUAAUGAAUAUACAAUAAUAAGUUGAUCCUGAAUUAUUGAAAUACAAACUAGAAAUUCAGAGCUAUUCAUCAAUGGCUUUAGCUUUUCUUUUCCCUUUCAAAGAAUUCGGGUUGACGUUAGCAAUUAGUAACCAAAAGCUUGAAGCCUUUGGCCAAUUAUUCUUCAACACCUUGGCUAUGUUUUUCCGUGGUGAAGGAGAAAGAAGUCAAAUGUUCUCUUUCUUCCGAUUAUGUUAGUUUUAUUUCAUAUUUUAUACAUUUAAUUUUUAUUAUAAAUUUUAAUAAUAUAAAAUAUAUCAAACAUAACCUACCGUCCAUUAUAACAUAUUCAAAAAGGAUUAUUUGUUUAACACGCCAAACCUGAUCCCUUAGAAUAACCCAAGUAUGACGUGUCACUAUUUAGAAAAUCAUCCAUCUUUAAAACUGUUUCUAGUGAAAACUUUGUAUAAUUUGUAGUGUUUGAAUUAAACAUUUAAUAAAAUAUUAAAUUAAAUUAUAAGCCAAUUGGUGUAUAAACUACAAUGAGAUAAUUUCAUUACAGCAUUGUUUAAUUAAAGCAUUGUUUAACAUUCAUAAGUUUGAAUUACAAUUCCAUUUCAAAAUACAACUAGAUAUCACCCCCAUAUGUCAUACAUAGUACAAAUAAAUAAAUGUCUCACAGCAGCAAGUAUCCUCUGGCGUAUUCCUUUAAAAAGUAUUCUUUCAACAAUAGGCCUGAGAAAGAAAGGUAACGAGGUAAGUUCAAAAGAACUUAGUGAGUUCCAUAGAGAUCUUAAGUAGAAUACUAAUAGCACAAUCUAGUCUUUCAAUGGAAUCACUCAACAUUACAGAGUACACCCAAAGGUAUAUAUAGAACUUAGACAGACUUAGUAUGCCAAUGGCGUGUCACAUUGGUGAAUACUAUUUGCCAAUAAAACAUUAUUCAGACAUUCUAUUUUCAUUCCAGCCACAUACCCAGAGUUCAGAGUUAGAUUCAUAUCAAAUGUUUCCGUUUCUAGAACAUGGGAAUCCCAGCCCUCAUUUUUCAUAUAUUCCAAGAAUCUUGGGGUAUUUUUAGAUUAACCAAUGCACAUUUUUAUUUUUUUCACUUGUUACCCACCCGAUUGCCUAUAUAAAGGGGGUUUUGCUCCCCCUACUCCAUCAACUCUCUCGACCACCUCCCCCCACCCCUAAAAACUUCUCUACACCAUUGUUUAUAUUUUAUUUUCAAGUGUUUAAAUUUUUCGACGGACAGAUUUAUUUCUAUUUGAAGGUGAUAGUGUGUUAGUUUUUUAAGGUGUUUUUGAGUUCACAAUGAUGUGGUGGUGCUCCGUGACCCAUAUAUUUCAUCUACCGUGUCAAGACAGAACCAUUGCAUUAGAAGCUCAUCACAUUUCAACUCAAGCUCUGAGUUUGUGGUGCUUAUAAACUUACGGGUUAUAGUCUAACUAUGGGUCCUAAGUGAUAGAUGAUCUGCCGUAAUUCAUUGUAAAAGAUUAAACUAAUUUUCAUACUUAAGGAUAUUAGACACGAGCAAUCUUAUUAGGUUUUAUUUAGUUUUUCCACUGUAGUUUCAAUUUAAUAAAAGUGUGAUUUGAGCUGAUUUUAUGACCUUAGGGGCCGAAUAAGGACUAAGGUAAGACUAACGUGUUUGGCAAGUGUGCAGGACACCAUUUAGAGGCAUUAGAACUCAAGAUUGGUUGCCAUGCUCCAACAUAAAAGUUCAAAUGUCGCAACAUAGGGAGCAGAAAGCCAAUAUAGCAAUAUUACCUUUGGUGUUGCGACAUAGCUAGUGGAUGUUGCAACACACCCCUGAAGUUGAGCUCGAGCCAAGCAAAUUGCCUUCAAUGUCGUGAUACCGACCCUAUACGUGAAAAUAUUAACGAGCUGAGGGCGUUUUGGUCCGCACAAUAUAUUUUAACGUAAAAAUGUAAACUGAACUAAGGCAAAGGAAAACUAAUAACUCUUGAAAAAAGUUAUAUUUCAUGCUUUUAAACCAAGCUAAUUGCUUAUACUUAAGUACAUUUUGUUGCAUUUUAGGACAUUUUAGUUAGCAUUCUUAAUAUUGCAUUAGGACUUGGGCUAUGUUGGAAUUAGAUGCUUUUAAACGCUUGCAGUGGAGUUUUUUAUGUGCUGGUUUGGUAGGAACAGGUUUUGGAACAAGGAAAUAAAUGAGUGAAGGUUUUUCAGGGCAAAAGGUUGGAUGUUUUGUCAGCACGAAUGCUGUGGCAAUGCCGGGAUGACCAAGUUAAUUUUUUCCGUAUAGCAAUCCUAGAUCAAAUUCAAACUUGUACCAGAUAAAUUCCCCUAAAAGAGGAGAAGAUAAUCACAAGUUGUUCCCCGACCCUAGCCUAGUCUAUUUAUAAAAGCCGAUGAAGGGACCUCACAAAGAACAAGAAAAAAAUGAGUGAGAUCUUUAGGCAUGAAUAAGGGUUCGGCUGCGCAAAGGACAGGAAGUCGAAGGCAGUCCUUCUUAGCCAUCAUAGGAUGCUAUGCUGCCGAAGUGUGGACUUGGUAAGUGAAAGUUUUUUCCUGAAGUUCUUCCAUUAUUUCUAUUAAUGUUCCUUCGAAAGGUUGCAUUGAAGUAGUUGAACACAAUGUCGGAUAACAUUUUGGUUUGGAAUUUUAUUUCCCAACCCAUGAGCUAAAUCUCAUAAGGUUAGGAUUACUUUGGAUGAAACCUUAAACUGUUUUUAUGGAUGCAGUAUAUCUCUAAUUUACUUCACUAUUUUUUUUAUUAUUCUUAUUUAUUAAUUAAAAUGAAAAUGAUCUCUAGACAUGGAAUACUGUUCACAUCCUUAUAAACUGAUUCUGAUUCCCAAAGGGUUGGAUUGGUUGGAUUAAAAUUAAAUGAAAUGAGCAAGUAUUUGAUAAACACUUGUAUUCAACUCUAGACAUAGAGUCACGAUCAUUCAAAAGGAACUCAUUCAAGAUAUCUAAAAAGCUUAUAGACACGAGCAUGGUAACUUGAGGUUUUACUUUCACGAGAGGCAUGCCAUUUUAGAACUCUUCUAUACAGUAAAGUAGAUACGAUUUUACCAAGUCAUUAUUCACAGUAAGGAUCAAUUCUGGGUAAUCCCGACCUUCCGAAUCAACAUCACUCUAUCCUUAUUCUUUGUCAUAGUAACUUUGCCACAACAUAUUUAGUCGUUUAUUUCUUUGUUUAUGUUCUAUUCGGAUAAUCACUCUCGUUAUUGCCAUUACAUUUCUGCUUUAACUUUUGCCAUAGCAUUUCCAAUUAUUCAUCAAUCCCAUCUAUCACAUACAUCAGCGUUCCUUUGAAGUAUCACUGCAUACUUACCUUAGUUUACCAUAACAUCUUAUUCGUCAGUCUUGCCAUAACAUUAACCAUAUUAAAAUAACUUGACCAGUUUUGUGCCUCAAUCUGAUCUUUGUGGGAACGAUACUCACUCAUCACUUUAUUACUUGAACUGAUGUGUAUACUUGCACAAAAUCGCACAUCAUUUUACACAUGACAAGUUUUUUGCGCUAUUGCCGGGGAUCAACAAUUUGGUGAAAUUUGGUUUGACUAUUUUUAGUAGUUUUAUUUAACUUAAUGUAUUUGUUUUUUAUAGGUUUUCCAUCAGUGCAUGAGAAGAGGCAUUCCUGCUAACACAGAUUACCUUUUUGACCUGAAGAUUGAUAGAACCUUGCGGGGAAAGAGAAAAGAAUUAAGAAAAAUGGCUGGAAAUAGGAAUGAUCUUAAUGGUAAUACAAAUGAUCGCAAUAAAAAUCCUCCCGUUGGACGUGUAGUGGAUGACGAGUUAGGCCAAUUAGGGAGCAUGUCAUUCCAAUGCUAGAUGAUUUGAAUCCAGGGAUAGUUAAACCAACCACAUAAACUCAACAAUUCGAGUUAAAACUGAUAAUAUUCCAGAUGUUGUAGACCAUAGGACAGUUCAGUGGACUACCCACUGAAGAUCCACAAUUACAUUUAAGACUCUUUCUUGUAGUAUAUGAUUCAUUAAAACAUCAAGAUGUUCCUGAAGACGCCUUGAGACUUAAGUUGUUUCCAUAUUUUUAAGGGAUUGAGCAAGAGCAUGUUUGAAUAAUUUGUCGUUGGAAAUAGUGGCAUCAUGGAAUGAUCUUUGUUACAGAUUUUUUCCACGACAUAAUCCCCCAAAUAUGAAUGCCAAGUUGAGAAACGAUAUUACAUCUUUUCGACAGAUGGAGGACGAAAUGUUAUAUGAAGCUUGGGAACGAUUUAAAAUUUUAAUUCAGAAAUUUCUAAUACAUGGAUUUCAACAUUAGACUCAAAUGGAGAUGUUUUACAACUGGUUGAAUACACACACAAUGAUGGUAGUUGAUGCGUCUACCAAUGGUAUGUUGUUGGACAAAACUUAUAAUAAGCAUAAGAGAUUUUGGAAAAAAUUACCAAGAAUGAUUAUCAAUAUCCGACCACGAGAGUUUGGGCGGGUAAGAAAGCUACUGGUACCAUAAAGCUUGAUGCAAUCACUUCAUUUAUAGCCAUGUAUCUUCUCUAGCUAAUAUGAUUAAAACCAUGAAAAACCAAUUGUAGCCCAUGAGAUGAAAUCAGGAGAGUUGUCAUGUUUUUGUUGUGGGGAAAAUCAUGUGUUUGACGAAUGCCCAUCAAAUCUAGCGUCAGUAAACUAUAUGGGUAAUUCCAAUUGAAAUAGCAAUCCAUAUUCCAACACCUACCAUUCAGGGUAGAAAGCAGUAUUUGAAUUUCAGUUGGGGUUAUCAAUGUGUGAGAAACUUCAACAAUACCACAUGACAGAAUGUCAACAAUGCACCAACUAGUUAUGUUCAACCUAUGCCAAGGAGAAAUACCCAAUCUGGCCAAGCAUCAUCUCCUACUUCUAUUGGAGUUUUUAUUAAAAGAAUAUAUGGCCAAGAAUGAUGUAAUUCAGAGUCAGGCUGCAUCUCUUCUAGUGCUUGAAAAUCAAGUAGGGCAAAUAGAAAAUGCUCUAAAUUCAAGGCUACAAGGAGCAUUGUCGAGUGAUACCAAGAAUUUAAGACACAAGGCAAGCAGCAUAGUAAAGCAAUCACCCUUAAAAGUGGGACUUAGUUGAGUGAUGUUGUUCAUGAUGUCACGACAGGAAACGAUAAUGCAAGUAACAAUCAGGUAAAGAUCCUAGAACCAUUUAAAAAGCAUACAACAUCUGAGAAGGGUAAGUAGAAAAAUGUUGUGGCAAAACCAAAUCAUGCUGCCAACAAAAAUACCACAGCAAAACCAUAUUAACAACCAGAAUGAAAACCGCUUCUACCUUUUCCAUAGCAUUUCCAAAAUUCCAAACAAGAUGGUCAAUUUAAAAGAAUUUUAGAUUUGUUUCGAAUCAACUCCAUAUUAACAUACCUCUAGUCGAAGCUUUGGAGCUAAUGCCCAAUUACGUGAAAUUCAUGAAAGAUAUACUGUCGAAGAAACGUAGGUUGGGAGAAUUUGAGACUAUUGCUCUCAUUGAAGGGUGACAACAAUGUUAAUGAAUAAGCUGCCUCCAAAGUUAAAGAACUCAGGGAGUUUCACUAUCCCAUGUUCAAUUGGAAAUCAUUAUGUAGGAAAAGCAUUAUGUGAUUUAGGAGCAAGUAUAAAUCUAAUGCUUACGUCUAUUUUUAAGAAGCUAGGAAUUGGGAAAGUGAGACCUACCAUGGUAACGUUGCAAUUGGCUGAUCGAUCUUCCGUCUAUCCAAAAGGUACAAUUGAAGAUGUAUAGGUAAGGGUGGAUAAAUUUAUCUUUCCUGUAGAUUUUCUUAUUUUAAAACGUGAAGCCGACCAUGAUGUACCAAUUAUUCUUGGAAGAUUGUUUCUUGCUACUAGUAGGACCCUAAUUGAUGUACAGAAACGUGAGCUAACCAUGACAGUAAAAUACGUGGAUGAGAAUGAGGAAUGUCACACCAUUGACUUGAUAGAAGUAGCAGUGGACAAAUUCGUAAAAUUUUGCUACGACAAUUCUAACAGUGAAGACAAUUUGAUGGAGCAAUGUGACAUAGUAAGUUUUGAAUAGCUUGGUGAAUUUAUGAAGCCAAGCAGAUAAUAGAUAGGCCAGGGAAGAAAUUUAAAUCCCUAGAUUUAUCAAAACUAUCUUUUAAGCCUCAUAAACCAUCUGUAGAGGAAUCUCCCGUUCUAGAGUUAAAGCCUCUGCCACAACAUGUGAAAUAUGCGUAUCUGGGAAAUAACAGUACUUUGCCAUUUGUAAUUUCUGUUAAUCUAACACCUAAGCAAGAGGACAGGUUGUUAGAAGUGUUACAACGAUCUAAAAGAGCAUUGGGUUAGACCCUUGCCGAUAUAAAAGGAAUUAGCCCUACAUUUUGCAUGCACAAAAUUUUAUUGGAAGAUUGCAUAGCAAAUCCAUUAAAAAUAGGGAUGACUGAAUCCAAUUAUGAAAGAAAUUAUCAAGUGGCAUAAUGCUGGCAUUAUUUACCCAAUUUUUGAUAGCUCGUGGGUAAGUCCUGUGCAAUGUGUACCCAAGAAAAGGGGUGUCACAGUAGUAAGUAAUGACAACAAUGAGCUAUUGAAUGGUACUGUUAUAGGAUGGAGAGUGUGUAUGAACUACUACAGGCUUAACAAGACAACUAGGAAGGAUCGGAUUUCCAUAGCACUUGAAGAUCAAGAGAAGACAACUUUCACGUGUCUAUGUGGCACUUUCAUAUUUAAGCGGAUGCCGUUCGGGUUAUGCAAUGCUCGACAACUUUCUAGCGCUACAUGAUGGCCAUAUUCUCAGACUGGAAUCUAGUAUUAAACUGGGAGAAAUGUCAUUUCAUGGUCCGUGAAGGCAUUGCCUUGGGACAUAGGGUGUCACAGUGAGGAAUUGAAGUGGAUAGAGCGAAAAUAUAGGGUGUCACAGUGAGGAAUUGAAGUGGAUAGAGCGAAAAUAGAAGUGACCAAAAACUUGCCACCGCCCAUCAGUGUUAAGGGUAUUAGAAGUUUUCUAAGACACGUAGGAUUUUAUAGAAAAUUUAUUAAGGACUUUUUGAAAAUCUCUAAACCCUUAUGUACUCUACUUAAACAGAAUAAACCCUUUAAUUUUGAUGAUCAAUAUUUACAGGCUUUCGAGGAACUAAAGAAGCAACUUGUAACAACACCGAUUGUGGUUGCUCCAAAAUGGACAUUGCCUUUUGAACUCAUGUGCGAUACCAGUGAUUAUGCUGUGGGAGAAGUUUUGGGUCAAAGGAGAAACAAGGUACUACAUGCAAUAUAUUAUGCUAGUAGGACGUUGACAAAGACUCAGCUUAAUUAUACCACUACAGAAAAGGAAUUACUAGCAGUGGUUUUUUCAUUCGACAAAUUUUGUUCUUACUUAGUAGGAACAAAUGUUACAGUUUACACAGAUCACUCAGCUAUCAAGUACUUGGUACGGAAAAAAGAUGACAAACCGAGAUUGAUUAGGUGGACACUAUUUUUACAAGAAUUUGAUUUAGAAAUUAGAGAUCAGAAGGGAACCCAAAAUCAAGUGCUGACCAUUUGUCAAGAAUAGAAUCGAGGUAUGAAGAUGAAAGCAAGAAAUAUACUAAGGAAGAAUUCCUAUGUAACAACCCGAUUUUGACCCUAAUCGGAAUAGUGGUUUCGGGACCACACAUCCGAGUCUAAAAAAUAUUUUAAUAUUUUUAUUCUGUGUUUAUUAUGUGUGAAUUUACAUGUGUGAAAGUUUUGUGAAUUAAUUUUAUUGUUUGAGUGCUUAAUUUGAGAAAAGGGUUUAAUCGCGUAAAAAUGAAAAUUUAGUGGUUAAAUAUGAAAGUGUCUAAUUGUUGUUGUCUUUAUAAUUUGGAGGUUCUAUGAUGCAAUUAGCCCACUAUAUAAGUUAGUGGAUGGCAAUGGUCAAGAAUGACCUUAUAUUAUAUGUUAUAUAUAUUAAUUAGUAAAGGUUAAUUUAGUAAAAUAAUAAUAAUGUUAAUAUAAUGUUAAUAAAAUAAAACAUAAAAUAAAAGAACCAUGCACUGGUUCAUCUUAUGGCCAAAACUUCAAAAGAAAAAGAAAGAAAAGAAGAAAGCUAGGUUCGGCCCUUGUGUUGGUUGGUUUAGGUAUGUGUUUUGUUCGGUUUUUGAUAAUUAUUACGUUUUUGAGAUCGUUGCUUCGUGUUCUUCAAAUCCCAUGUCUUAAUUUUUUUUUAAUUGUAGAUGAUUUUGAAAUGUGCCAUUGAUGAAUGUUUGAGUUUUAUGAUGUUAGUAGGUGAAAUAUGAAAUAUAUUUGUUAGAUUGACAUGUUUUGUUUUUGAAUUUUUGGUGAAAUUGAGUAAUUAGGGUUAAAUUGUGAAAAUAAAUUUUUGAGAGACUAAAAUGCUAAAUAAAUUAAAAAUAUCGACUUGUAUGGACACUAGGAAAAUUCGGCCCUUAAGGAGUGUAGUCAAAUUUUGUGUAUUUUGUGUUUUGAGCAAAAAUGAUUAAAUUGUAAAAAGUGUGAAAUGUUAGGGGCAAAAUUGUAAAUUGCCCAUUCAUGUCUUUUUAGGCUAAAUUGAAUAGAAUGGUGUUUAAAUAAGCUUAAUUUGAAUAUGUUUAGAUCAUGAAUUAAAGAAAUCGGUUUUGGAUCGGGGAAAGAUAGCCGAUUUAACAGUCGACAACAUCCGAGGUAAGUCGAUAAGCAUUUAAAUUUUGUUAAAUUCAUGAUAUAUAGUAGAUAGAUGAUAUAUGGAAUUAUUAGAUGUAUUAGGGGGAUUUUGGCCAAAUAUAUAUAUUUGUUGAAAAAGGUAAGUUAAUUGAGUUCGAUUUAACUGAUAUUUAAUGUCUGUAAGCACAUUUGAACCCUAGAAAUUGCAUGGGAUUUUCUGAUAAGUGUUUUCGUGUAAGACCACGUCAGGGACGAUAGCAUCGACUUGUGUUUUCGUGUAAGACCACGUCUGGGAUGAUGGCAUUAACUUGUAUUUUCGUGUAAGACCACGUCUGGGACGAUGGCAUGGACUUGUAUUUUUGAGUAAGAUCCUAUAUGGGACAAUGGCAUCGAUUUGUGAUUAUAUGUAAGAGCACGUCUGGGACGUUGGCGUUGUACGAAUCUUUCGACUAUUUGCAUAUCCUAUCAAUUUUUUAUUGGUUCAACAGGUAACGUAAAUGAAGAUGUUAUGUAUUUGAAAUAUAUGUGCAGGUAUAGGUUAGUUAAAUAAAUAUAUGGAAUUAAGGUAGGUUAUUUGUUUGGAAGUAUAUAUGGUAUGAGUAUACAAGUUUCAAAUUGUUAUGGUUAUAUAUAUAUGCAUAAUUUGAAUUUUGGUUGAUAACUAUUUUGCUUAAGGUAAAAGUUAAUAAGUAUUUAUACAAGAACAUGAUUGGUUAUUAGUUUACAUGUAUAUGCGAUAAAAGUGUGAUUAUAAUUAUAUAUAUAAUAUCUUUGUAUAUUAACUAUGCGCCUUUAAUUUUUACUAAUUAAAUAUUAAUUAUGUUUACGACUUACUAAGCUUUAUAAAGCUUACUGUGUAUUUUAUAAGCUGAAAUCUCUUUUGAAAUUAUGGCAUGUAUAGGUUGGUUGGGAAAUAACUUAUUUUAGUAAAUGUAUGUAUUAAAGCCAUGCGAAAAUGGCUUAAGCACUAUGUUUGGUUUUGGUUGAGUUAUGGCUUGAUUACAUUUUGAUCAUCAUUUAAUCUUUUAUGGAUAGUACUUAUAAGGCAAGGUAUAUAUAUGAUCAUGGUAGUGUUUGAAUUAUGAAUUUCUGACACUUAAGUAUGUGGUGUAAGUAUAUUUGAUAUAUGUAUUAAGUUACAUAAUGUUUGGUUAUGUGGAAUUGGUUGGGUAAUGCAUAUAGUGUGUUUGUUUUAGUAAUUAAAGAAAAAAAUUAGUUCAUGACUUAUAAAUUGAAAUAUGAUGAAUUGGUUGGUAGCUACUAUGUGAUCGACUAUGAUAGGAUAAUUGAAUAAAUGUAAGUUUGAGAUAUGUAUUGAACUAUGACAUAUGUUUUGUUAUUUAAAUGGAUGGUUCGAUUAUAUGUGUUUAAGAGAAAUAAAGGAUAUGUCGUAUAUGCAUUGGUAAUGGGUGGCCAAUUUGGUUAGUUUGAUUUAGAUAUAUAUUAGGUAUUUAAUGCAAUAGACAAAUUAGUAUCAUUUUGGCUACAUCAAAUUGAUUAUUUAAUAGAGAAUAUUUGAUAUGCUCAUGUGUGCAAUCGGUUUUAAAUAGGGCAAGUUGGUUUUUAACCACAUGAUAAUAUUAUAAGUCAUGCAAAUUUGGUUAUGGUAUGGGCUUAUGUUAUAUGAUUAAAUAUAGUGUAAAUGAAUUUGGUAUAAUACAUGAUUUUUAGAUGUAACAGAAUUUAUGAAGGUGAAUAUUUAGGUUGAAAUUUUACGUAUUAAAUGGUACCUUUUAUAUAUAUAUGUAUAUAUUUAAGAAAUAUUAUAUAGGCACAAAUGUACUAUGGUUCUUAAGUUUUAUGAUGUUCGAAUGUGCAUUAGUUAAAUUUUGUAAUGACCUUGAUAUAUGGAUUUAUGAAAUGGUUAACGGUUUAUAAAAUAUAUAUAUCUGCAUACAUGUGUGUAAAAUAGUAGUACAUUAUCGGUAUAUGUUUGAAUAGAUAUAGUAUUCUUGAUUUAAUUGUUGUCGUAAAAUAAGCAUUUUAUUUCUUUUGAAUGGUUGGAAUAUGUAUUUGGUUUAAUUAUUAAGCAGGCAAAAUUUAGUAUAACUAUUUCGUUUUAUUUUGUAUAUGCUACUAAGUUUGCGGAAAAAAAAAGUCAUGUCUGGUAAUGCCUCGUAACCCUAAUUCGGCGACAGACAUGGGUUAGGGGUGUUACAUCCUAGAUGAACAGUUGCUCAUUGCCAAGACAUUACCUUAGUGUGCCGACAUAGUAAACUUCUUAGUAAGUGGUGUAAUGCCACUUGACUUCAAUGCUAAAAGAAAACAAAAUUUCUUCACGAUACCAAAUAGUACUAUUGGGAUGAACCUUUUCUAUUCAAGCAUUGUGUAGAUCAAAUAAUUCGAAAGUGCGUCCCUAGCGAUGAGAUUCGUAGUAUCUUAGGUCCAUAUGAAGGACAUUUUGGAGGAAUGAAAACAGCUGCCAAGGUACUCUAGUCAGGAUUCUAUUGACCUAGUUUAUUUAAAUAUGCUCAUGAAUUUUAUAGGUUGUGUGACCUUUGUCAGAGAACAAGAAAUGUGUCUAAGAGAUAGGAAAUGCCGUUGCAAAGUAUAUUAGAGAUUGAACUGUUUGAUGUAUGGAGAAUAGACUUUAUGGGUCCGUUUCCACCAUCCAUGGGCAAGCUAUACAUACUUUUGGCAGUAGACUAUAUGUUUUUAAGUAGGUAGAAGCAGUAGCCCUAGCCUCUAAUGAUGAUAAGUCGGUAUUGAAAUUUUUACAUAAGAACAUUUUCACACAAUUUGGUACACCGAGAACCACUAUCAGUGACGAGGGAUCCCAUUUUGAUUAUAAACUUGCCUUGCGCAAGUAUAGGGUGAAACAUAGAAUUGCCAUGACAUAUCACCAUCAGACGAAUGGCCAAGCUAAAAUUUCUAAUAGAGAAAUUAAACAAAUUCUAGAAAAGGUGGUGAAUCUGUCUCGAAAGGACUAGUCUAACAGAUUGGAUGGAGCUCUAUGGGCAUACCGAACUGCAUUUAGAACAUCACUAGGGAUGUCACCUUUUAAACUUGUUUACGGUAAGCCAUGUCCUUUACUCGUUGAACUUGAGCAUAAAGCAUUUUGGGCGAUUAAGAAGCUGAACAUGGAUUGGGCUACUGUUGGCGACAAGUGAUUACUAGAAUUGAAUGAGAUGGAAGAGUUUCGCACACAAGCAUAUGAGAAUGCUCAUUUGUAUAAGGAAAAGACCAAGCGAUGGCAUAAUUUCAGAAUUUACCAAGGCAAUUUAAACCUGGACAGUAGGUAUUAUUGUUUAAUUCCAGGCUCAAAUUAUUUCCUGCUAAGUUAAAAUCUCGAUGCUAAGGACUUUUUGAAGUAUUCAAGUGUAUUCGCAUAGUGUAGUUGUUGUUAAAGACCUAAUAAUAGGGGCAACAUUCAAAUUUAAUGGACAACACUUGAAGCAUUACUAGGGUGCUCCUAUAGAGCGUGACAAGCAAAGUGAUAGCCUUCGUGAUGUUCGAAAUUUUUUAUAAGUAGUUUUUUCCAUUUUAUUUUCCAUUGUUAUUUUUAUUUCAUUUCUGUUUUUAUUAUUAAGAACAGGAGUAGAAUAAAAGAAGUAGGGUUUGUUAGUGUAUACAGAGAAGCAGUUUGUUGCAGCAUUACAAAGAAACGUUAUGCCAUGACAAACUGAAUGAUGAGGUGUUAAUAAAAGAGUUGACUCGUUAGAAAAUUCCAAAGGAAAAAAAUUUAGGUAGCUGCAUUUAGUAAAUAUUGGGAAACCCAAAGUAUGAAGCCCAUAAUGUAGGGCUUAGUUAUUUCAUUUUCCCUCAAAAAAUCUUUUUGUUUUUAACUUUUCCUCCACAUCAUAACCUGCCUCCUUCACGUUUCCCAUUCCCUAAAAACUGCCCCUUUUUAUUUUCUUCAACAGAUUCAUGUUUCCCACUUCUUACAAAGUUCACAUUUUUAUAGUUCUCUCAUCUUCAACCUCUCUACUAUUUAUUUACUUCAUUAUUUUCCUUUUCUAUUUCCCUGACCUUCUCUUCAUGGCUAGUGUAAGGAGUACUUCCAAAAUAGCAGAAUCUUUAUGCGUGGGCAUCCCGCAACAAAAGAUAUUCUUCAAUGUUGCUGCUGCCACAAGUUAUUAAACCAAUAUUCUAAAGUGGCCAUUUUUUUCAACAUGAAUUUUUUUUUAGGGAUGAACCCCACAUGGGGUACGAUGAAUUGGUAUCCUCAAUUGUAGAGAAGCACAACUGGAGCAAAUUUUGUCUACACCCAAGGGAUGUUGUGGGUAAGGUGGUAUAAGAGUUUCACGCUCAUGUAAAUUCCCUAGAUUCUCCCUUCACUUAUAUGUGGGGUAAAUAUGUGCCAUUUGACGAAGACCAUAUUAAUGCUCAGUUCGGCAUCGAGGAGGUUAGAGAUGAGCAUUCUGAAUUUAACGAGAAUACUACACCAGAGGGGUUGGCAAAAGUAUUAUAAGAUUUAUGCGUUGAAGGAACACAGUGGAUUAUUUCAAGCCAAGAGUGUUACACGGUUGAAAGAGCUUUAUUAAAACCAAGUGGAAGGGUGUGGUACAACUUUUUAAGGAAUUGUCUUAUGCAAUCUACGCAUAACGCGAAUGUUUCGAAAGAAAGAAUGCUACUGUUGCAUUCUAAUUUACACGGAAGACAGGUAAAUGUAAGGAAGAUUAUCUUCCAAGAGGUCCAUAGGUGUGCCGAUAAGAAUGCCGGGAGUUUGACUUUUUCUUCCCUUAUUUAUGUCCUAUGUAAGACGAAAAAUGUGCCUUUAGUUGAUGCUAAGGAUGUUACCCCAAUAAGGGUAGGAUAACGCGAGCAAUUUUUUUUAAGCUUUGAGGAACUAAUUUUGCCACAGCAUCCCAACACAAUUAAGCUUCCCCUACCACACGUAUUCCCACAGCACCAUCUCCCAUCUCUCAUGACCAAGAAAUCUUGACUUCUCUAAAACAGUUAGAACAAAUAUUGUCUCUGUUUGAGGUGCAAUAAUACCUGCUGAAGGAAGAGUUGGAACAAAGCAACAAACGCCAAGCUCGAUACAGGUCGUGUGUAAAAUAUAGGGAUUUGGCAUUAAAAAGAUCCCUCCAGAAAAUUUUUUUGAGACCCAUGCCAAAAUUUCUUACUUUCCUAGCUACUUUAAUCUCGUCCAUAGAGUGUAGAAAGGAGCCAGUUCCACCCACUGCCAGAGCUGACCCCGCGACUGAAGGAGUCACUGCAGAUAAAGGAAAACUCGUUGAGGAGGAGUUAGAAAAGUCAAUCUCUAUUGAACUAGAGAAUGAAGUAAAAGAAGGAAAGGAAGAAAAAAAUGUCCCUACCACUGCACCAGUGACUGCCACGGAAAAAGGUAAAAGUCCUGAACCGACAUCUUUACCCAUCUCCAUGACUACACAAGAUCAAGCAAUUGAUCAACUGAUCAAUGCAUUAACGAAGACCGACAAAGAAUAUGAGAAAUUGCCCUACGGAAAUGGAAGAUGUGAUAGAAAAUUAGUGUUCGCAAGUCCACGAGAAGAAUUGAAUGAAGUACCAACGUUUCAGUCCAAGAAAGUUAAGUUUUGUUUCUCUCUCACGCAUUGCAUAGUUUUUUUUUUGUGUGUGUGCAUAUUUAUACUUGUUAUAGACUAUUCAUGAUUUUACAUGCAUUUAUGACAAUGCAUCCCUUAGUUUUGGGGCUGUAUUGUGCAUCUAGGUUGCAUUUUGUAUGUUCAUUUUAGUAUGUAGGAUUUUUUUCCAUCGCAUAAUAACUAUUGAGAUAUUGCCUUGUCUAUAAGAAGUACAAUUUUUCUUUAUAAUGAUCGAUGAUGAGCUUAAAUUUUUUCGAUAUACCUAAAAUAGGUAGCAAUGGAUUGGGUGAAGUUAGCUUAGGUUAAGUUACUUGGAAAUUGAUUUCUAAAAAUAGGAUGUCCUAUACUCUAUUUUGUUUUUGGAUGUUCGAAAUAUAGUAAGUAUCUUUUUAAUGCCCUUAAGGAUUUUUUAAACCAAACAUUAGUUAAAUUGCCACAACAUUUUGUUUAAAUAAGUAUCACUCCAAUUCUUAGAGUUGCUAAGUAGGUCAGCUUCACUUUGUUUGCUCCAUUGUGCUAUUAAUUAGAAAGAAAGACCUAAGUAAGAGUGUGUGGUAUAACUUUAGGGGCAUUCCGUUGUAGCAAAGGACUAACUAGCUAAUGAGGUAGUUGUAUGCUCUAUUCAUCUUUUUAGUUAAAAGCCUUAGCUUCAUGAAUUACUUUUGGUUUAAAUUGUGACAUGAUUGAGUACUCGGCAAUUCGUUGUAUGCUCCAUCCUGAUUGUCAAGUCAAAGAAUUUUGUGACAUGCUAAAUCCCCUAAUAAUAAUAACAAUAAUAAUAUUCUUUCAAAAAAAAGAAUAAAUAUAUGAAAAUGUGAAUAAUAUAUUUUGAUAUGGGCUUAAAGCAAGUGACUUUUGCUUGGGUAACGAAUAAACUAAGUAAAUAAAAAUAUAUUUGCUAUAGGACGAAAGAAAGAAUGCAUAGGUACUUAGGAAAUUUUGUUUUUAGGGAGAAAUUUUUGCACUGCCUUUGUUUAAUAAACCUUUGACAUUUGAAUCAGUUUAGGAAAAGAGAAUAUUACUAAGAACGGAAGUAUAAAAUUUUUUUUGAAUACCUAGGCAGUACAACAAAUUUUUUUUACCAAGGCACGAUGGAUGCAUUCAUGUAUGCAUUUAGAUGUAUUUUACUUGAGGACAAGUAAUAAUCAGGUUUGGGGGUGUGAUAACUCUUGCAAAGAGUUAUAUUUCAUGCCUUUAGAUCUAUCUAAUUGCUUGUGCUUAAUACAUUUUAUUGCAUUUUAGGACAUUUUAGUUUGCAUUCUUAAUAUUGCCUUAGGACUUGGACUGUGUUGGAAUUAGAUGCUUUUAAACACUUGAGGUGGAGUUUUUUGUGUGUUGGCGUGGCAAGAACAUGUUUUGGAACAAGGAAAUAAAGGAGUGAAGGUUUGUUGGGGAAAAAGUUUGGAUGUUUUGUCAGCAUAAAUACCGUGGCAAUGUCGGGAAGACAAAGUCAACAUUUUCUGCACAACAGUCCUAGUUCAAAUUCAAACUUGUACCAGAUAAAUUCCCCUAAAAUAGGAGAAGAUAAUCACGAGCUGUUUGUCAACCCUGGCCUAAUCUAUUUAUAAAAGUCGAUGAAGGGGACCUCACAAAGGGUGGGAAUAAGGGUUCGGCUGCGAAAAGGACAGGAAGUCGAAGGCAGUCCUUCUUAGCCAUCAUAGGAAACUGUGCUGCCAAAGUGUGGACUGGGCAAGCGAAAGCUGUUUCCCAAAGUUCUUCUGUUAUUUCCAUUAGUGUUCCUUCAAAUGAUUGAAUUGAAGUAGAUGAACACAAUAUCGGAUAACAUUUUGGUUUGGAAUUUUAUUUCCCAACCCAUGAGCUAAAUCUCAUAGGGUUGGGAUUACUUUUGAUGAAAGCUGAAACUAUUUUUAUGGAUGCAGUAUAUCUCUAAUUUACUUUACCAUUUCAUUUGAUUGUUCUUAUUUCUUAAUUAAAAUGCAAACGAUCUCUAGACAUAAAAGACUGUUCACAUACUUAUAAAUUGAUUCUAAUUCUGAAAGGGUUGGAUUGGUUGGAUUAAAAUUAAAUGAAAUGAGCAAGUAUUUGAUAGAAACUUAUAGUCGAAUCUAGACAUAAAAUCACGAUCAUACAGAAGGAACCCAUGCAAGAUAUUUAAAAAGCCUAUAAAGACGGGCAAGGUAACUUGAGGUUUUGCUUUUGUGAGAGUCAUGUCAUUUUAGAACUCUUCUGUGCAGUAAAAUAGAUAAGAUUUUGCCAAGGCAUUAUUCACAAUAAAAGGUCGAUUCUAGGUAAUCCCAACCUUCCGAGCCAACAUCACUUUAUCCUUAUUCUUUGUCGUAGUAACUUUGCCACAACAUAUUUUGUUGUUUAUUUCUUUGUUUACAUUCUAUUUAGAUAAUCACUCUCGUUAUUGCAAUUACAUUCUUGCUCUCACUUUUCCUAUAGCAUUUCCAAUUAUUCAUCAAUUCCAUCUAUCACAUACAUAAGCAUUCCUUUGAAUUUUUACUACAUACUUACCUUAGUUUACCAUUACAUCUUAUUCGUCAGUCUUGCCAUAACAUUAACCAUGUUACAAUAACUUGACCAAUUUUGUGCCUUAAUCUGAUCUUCGUGGGGACGGUACUCACUCAUCACUUUAUUACUUGAACCGGUGUGUAUACUUGCACAAAAUCGCAUAUAAUUUUACAUGUGACAAUGACGACCAACCUUAACAUUAUAAAUAGGCUCAUUAAACACUUGAGUUAUCAUCUCUUCGGUAAUUUAGAGUUUUUCCUUUCAGUUUAAUUUUUUAGUUAUUAGUUAUUAGAUUCUUUUGUAUUUAGGAUUUAUUUUCAAUUUAUUUUCGUUCGUGUUCUUCGAAGAAUCUGAUUUGUGAAUUCAACGCAAACUCUUUGUGAAUUUAUGUGCUUUAUUAAAAUACAAUUCAGGAUUUUUCUUAAACUUUAAAUCUUGAUUUCUUCUUUAUGUUUAUUUGUUUUAUGAAGUUUAUAUUGUUCUUAAACUCUUAUGGGGGAUUAGCAAGUAGAAGUGUGAUUAAUUAAUUUCUAUGUAUGGUUUCUUGGUGGAUCAACUAUUUAGAAUAAAAAGAACUUAAACCCUAGGAAGUCAUCUAGGUGGGAAUUAACCCAAAAUUGGUAUGGUCUUUCCGUUAACCCCUUGGGUACUGUAAAUUAUUUACAGUACUAAUUAGAUCUAUUUACAUUUAGGUUAAUAUUAAUUUAGAACUCGCCUCUCUUGGGCACGAUCCUCAGAGUACUUACCUACUUUGUUGUACAAAUUAUAUUACAACCUAACCUAUAUGCUUUCGGAUAAUGCCUCAAUUCUAUAUUUUUAGUAGCGGUAUUCACACUCUGGAGAUUAGAACGUCCGGAGGUGGUCAAGUUGCUGGCACCGUUUUCGAGGAGGCAACGCUAUUAAAUGAGUUUUAAUUUUUUGUCUUAAAAUAAUUAGGAAAUUUUUAAAUCAUAAGUACGAUUUUUAAUUUUUUUAUUUAUUUUAAUUUCCUAACUGAUAGCACUAGAAAGAACAUAUGUUUCCGCCCUACUUAUUGGUUAAUUUGUCCCCAUUUAGUUAUCUUUAGCACAUCUUUUAGCAUUUUCAGUUCAAUCAAUUGCAUUUUAAUACUUAGUGGAUCUUAGCCUAUUUAUCCUUAAUUUUGUCAUGUUUUGGUACCGAUGUCGCUGCAUGAGUAUUUCCAGAUUGCUUCCAGAAUUGCCGCCGCACCUGACAGCUGUCUAAAUAAGAACAAAAAUGUGUAAGCUCAUUUCUUUUAUAUUUCUUCUCUAAACGAUGGUGAUUACUUUCUAUUUUAUGUUUGUACAAAAGUACACAUGAUUUUUGCGUUAAAUGUUAUUUUAUUCAAUCUUGCUUCUACUGUUUAAUCUUUGGAUUUGAAUGUUUUUAGCAUGGAAGUGUUAUUGUGGUCACUGACAUUGGAAAUGCAGCGACAAUUCAAGCUAACAAGCAUGACAACGGAAGUUGCUUGAGGAUUAGAGGAAUUUAAUCCACUUGUUCUUAAUAGUGUUUCAUUUUCAUCAUCGGAAGGUGUGGUUAAUGUGUAUGUUUAAGUCUUAGAUUAAUUAUAGAAGUUAAGCUUGGUAAGAUAUUCAUUGCAAUUUAAUGCAUCAACAAUCACCUAUCCUUUUAUACCUUGUAAGCACUUAGUAUUGUGUUGAAUAUUCACGUUGGGGAUCUUAGUUUAUCAUUAUCAUAUUUUAUCUUAUUGUUUUCAAGUUAUUGUUUCGACAACUACUCUCACAAUUUAUCUCGUUUCUAUCUAUUUAUUGCACUGACAUUGAUAGACAAAAUACAACCAUCAUCGUAUGAUCAAUAUCUAACAUACUCAUAUCUGUCUACUAUACUUGCAUCGACAGUGUAUGCUUGCACAUUAUUGCUAUGACGUUAAACAGCCGAUCAAGUUUUGGUGUCAUUGCUGAAGAUGGCGUUUGAUUGAUAUUUAUUUUUGUUUUUGCAUUUUGUUUUUUAUUAUAUAAUAUUUAGUUGUCACUAACUUGUUUUCUUUUUGUCGCUAUUUUCACAUUUUAUUUUAGGUGUUUGAUGACCUGAAGCAAUUCAAAUUUUAUUACCGAUUUUGAUCCAGAAAUUGAAAGAACCGUUCGGAGGAGACUUUAAGAACAAAGGAAUAUGGUUUUACCAAGAAACAAUAAAGCCAUAACCCAGGUGCAGCACCAAAAUGCUAAUGACCUGCCGUUGCCGCAAGACGCUCAAAUACAAAAUAGGACUAUACGAGACAUUGUAGUACCUGUCUUGGAUGAAUUACAACCGGGAGUUGUUAGGCUAGUAAUCCAAGCUGGGAAUUUUGAGCUCAAGCCAGUAAUGUUUCAAAUGUUGAAUUUUAAUGGGCAAUAUGUUGGACUGCCACAUGCAGAUGCGCGAGAACAUCUUAAAUCAUUUUUAUUGAUGUGUGUUUCCGUUAGUCAACAAGGCAUUCCUGAUGACACUUUGAAUAUGCAAUUAUUUCUUUAUUCCUUGCAGGGAAGAGCUCGUAUUUGGUUCCUUGGGCUACCUACCAGAUCAAUUACUUGUAGGAAUGCACUAGCAACACAGUUUGUUUUGCGCUUUAACCCACCGAAAAUGAAUGCUCGUCUCUAAAAUGAUAUUACAGCUUAUCAUCAGUUGGAUGAUGAGAAUCUUCAGACUACAUGGGAACGUUAUAAAUCUUUGUUUGAACGUUUCCUUAUGCACGACAUUCGACAAGAAACACAAAUUGAAAUUUUCUAUAAUGGGCUGAAUUCACACACGAGGAAUCUUGUUGACGCAUCAGCCAAUGGUCCUUUGCUGGAUUUUACUUAUAAUGACGCUGUUAGAAUUCUUGAAAGAAUUGCUCUAGAGCUGCAUAAGAAAAAACUACUCUGGGAGUUAUUGAAUUGGACACAAUAUCUGCACUUAGUGCUCAAGUUUCUUCUAUUGCAAAUAUGAUAAAAAAUAUGUAAAGGACUAGUGACAUUGCACCUAUACAAGUAGCUCAACAAGUUGAUGUUCCUACCUUUUUUUGUGAGAUUUACAGUGACAACCAUAGCUAUGAAGAUUGUUCACAACAUGUAGAGAGUGCCUUUUAUGUCAGUAACAUCCGCAAAAAUUCUUAUGACAACUCUUAUAAUAAUUCUGCAUGUAAUCAACAAUCUUGGGAAACUCAGAUUGCUAGACAAAAUACUGCAACAUUCCGAUAUGGGAAUAUAUCUACUCAAGGAAAUUAUAGUCCAAGACAAAGGAAUUACGGUCAACAACAACAGAACUACAAUCAGCACACUCAGAUGCAUCCACACCAAAAUCAUAUGCAGCCACAACACUCUCUUCAAUGCCAAAUCAGUAUGUUAAGGACAUCGACAACAACAGUAUACGCAAGCUUCUCCUUCUGAACCGUUAGCAGAUCUUGAGGCUUUAAUGCGGGGGCAUAUUACUUGCACAGAAGCUAUUGUGCAAGGGAAUUCAUCUUCUAUUCGAGCGUUGGAGCCACAAUUAGGAUAACUUGCUUCGAAUCUGAAUACUUUACCACUGGGCACACUACCUAGUGGCACAGAAAAACCAGUCCAAUGGGGAAAGAACACUGCAAGGCUAUCACUCUUAGGAGUGGUAAACAAACUAGCGAGCUGACUAUAGACUCUACUGUAGCACCUCAAGAUACUGGUGAAGUGAUCCCUGGUGAGAAGGUUGAAUCUGAAGAGCUUGUCGAUGUACCAGGCAAAGAAGUUCCAAAAAUUGUCACUCAUAUGCCUAAUGUCUGACCCUCGAAACUGUCAGCGGAAUCAAAGGUGUUGGCGCAAUCAGAUGUAUCUCCACCUUUACCUUUUCCACAAAGAUUCAAGGAGAAUGAGCAAGAUAAGCAGUACCAAUAGUUCCUGAACACACUGAAGCAACUUCAGUUUAAUAUUCCUUUAGUAGACGCUCUUGUGCAAAUUCUGAAUUAUGGGAAAUUUAUGAAGGAGCUCUUGUCCAAGAAGAAGAAGCUCAGUGAUAUUAAAACUAUUGCGCUCACAGAAGGCCGUAGAGGUUUUUUUUACAAAUAAGUUGCCCCCCAAAAUGAAAGAUCCUGGGAGCUUUACUAUCCCAUGUUCAAUUGGAAACUAUUAUUUGGGCAAGGCUUUAUGCUACUUGGGAGCUAGCAUCAACCUAAUGCCACUAUCUACUUUCAGAAAUUGGGAAUUAGUCACAUGAAACCUACUGCAGUGACAUUGCAACUAGCAUAUCGAUCCUUGGCUCAACCUGAAGAGCUAAUCAAAGACACCUUAGUUUGUGUGGAUAAAUUUAUUUUUCCGGCUAAUUUUAUCAUACUUGACUGUGAGGCAAACAAAAAGGUUCUUAGGAUGACCAUUCUUAGCCACCGGACGAAAUCUUAUUGAUGUUUACAAAGGUGAACUGACCAUGCGACUUAAUGAUGAGAACGUUACCUUCAGUGUUUUCGAAUCUAUUCAAUGCAAGGAUAAAUAAGAAUUCAAUGACCAAAGCAUAAUACUUUCUGAGGAGUUUGCAGUGACCUCUGAUGAUGAAUUCUUAGAUGAUUGUGACAUCAUGGUUAAAGUUAAUAAUAUUGAACUCGGGCAUAGAUGGCAGAUUGAAUCCUUAGAUUUAGCCAACAAAAUAGCUCUAAUUUUCAAGCCAUCUAUUAACAAAGCUCAUACUCUGGAAUUGAAACCACUACCUAGUCAUCUUAAAUAUGUCUUUUUUGGCCCUAACAAUACUCAUCCAAUUAUUGUCUCUACGACACUAGAUGUAACUCAAAAAGAGAAAUUGGUUUAUAUUCUUAAGCAACAUAAACGAGCUAUUUCUUGUAGUAUUGUCGAUAUUCAAGGCAUUAGUCUAUCUUUUUGCAUGCAUAAGAUCAAGUUGAAAGAUAAAGGCAAGCAAUCGAUUGAGCAACAAAGAAGAUUAAACGAGAAGAGGAAGGAAGUUGUUAAGAAAGAAAUUAUAAAAUGGUUUGAUACUGGAAUUAUUUACCCUAUUUUUGAUAGCAACUGGGUAAGCCCAGUGCAAUGCGUUCCUAAAAAGAGUGGCAUCACUGUGUUAGCAACGACAAAGAUAAAUUAAUUCCUUCACGUAUUCCUAUGGGCUGGCGAGUCUGUAUGGAUUAUAGCAAACUUAAUGUUGCCACAAGGAAGGACCACUUCCCACUUCCUUUCAUUGACCAAAUGUUGGAUAGGCUUGCUGGAAGAGCCUAUUACUGCUUCUUAGAUGGCUAUUCUGGUUACAAUCAAAUUGCUAUUGCACUAGAGGAUUAGGAGAAAAUAACUUUCACCUGUCCCUUUGGUACUUUUGCUUUUCGGCGUAUGUCUUUCAGUCUUUGCAAUACACCCACCACAUUUCAAAUAUGUAUGAUGACAAUAUUCUCGGAUAUGAUUGAAGAUUCUUUAGAGGUUUUUAUGGAUGAUUUCUCAGUCUAUAGGAAUGAUUUUGAUCAUUGCACUGACAAUUUGGAUAAAGUAUUGAAGCGAUGUGAAAACACACAUCUUGUUCUAAAUUAGGAAAAAUGUCAUUUCAUGGCAACUGAAGGCAUUGUGUUAGGCCAUUACAUCUCUAGUCAAGGCAUUAAAGUAGAAAAAGCUAAAGUGGAAAUCAUUAAGAAAUUACCUCCACCGACAAAUGUGAAAGGUAUUCACAAUUUUCUUGGGUAUCCGGGGUUUUAUUGAAUAUUUAUUAGAAAUUUCUUGAAAAUUGCAAAACCCUUAUGCUCAUUGCUGGAACAGAAUCGAAAUUUAUUCUUUGACGAUACAUGUCUAGAUGCAUUUAUUCAAUUAAAGAAGCAGCUAGUAAAUGCACCCAUUGUCGGUGCACCAGAUUGGUCUCAAGCUUUUGAAGUUAUGUGCGAUGCAAGCGACUUUGCUUUGGUGUUGUUCUAGGACAACGCAAGGGAAAAAUAUUUCAUGCUAUCUAUUAUGCUAGCAAAACUCUUACAGAGGCUCAAAUCAAUUAUACCACUACAGAGAAAGAAUUGUUGGUUCUAAUUUUUACUUUCAACAAGUUUCGUUCUUAUCUUUUUGGAGUAAAGGUUAUCGUAUUUACUGAUCACUCGGGGUUGAGAUAUAUUUUUGUGAAGAAGGAUGUAAAACCAAGACUGAUACGCUGGAUCUUAUUGUUACAAGAAUCCGACAUCGAGAUAAAAACCUCAAAUGUUCAGAUAAUCAAGUUGCAGACCAUCUGUCUCGAUUGGAAGUUGGCAGUGAAGAUGGAAACAUAGUUCAAAUUGUCGACGCAUUCCUAGAUGAGAAGUUAUUUGUUGUAGAUACAACCCAUUGGUAUGCGAUUUGGUUAAUUAUCUAGUGUGUGGAAAACUCCCAUUGGGUGUCACAGGCCAUAAAAAAGAAAUAUUUCUUCGUGAAGUAGUGAAGUAUCAUUGGAACGAGUUGUAUUUAUUCAAGUAUACAAUGACAACAUCAUUCGGCAUUGUAUUCCGGAAGAGGAGAUGCUUUCAAUCAUGAAGCAUUGUCAUGAUGCUCCUUAUGGAGGUAAUCUCGAUGGCAUGCGAACUACCGCUAAGGUUCUCCUAUCAGGAUUCUACUGGCCUUCAUUAUUCAAAUACACCCACAAUUUUGUAAAUCAAUGUGAUAGGUGUAAGUGCAUUGGUUCUAUUUCCCGAUGCAAUGAAAUGUUGCAGCAACCAAUUAUGGAGGCUGAAUUGUUCGAUGUUUGGGGUAUGAAUUUUAUGGGACCAUUUCCAAGUUCAUUUGGAAAUCUUUAUAUAUUAGUAGCUGUUGACUACAUCUCGAUGUGGGUUAAAGCUGUUGCAGUUCCAAAGGAUGAUGUAAAGACAGUGCUUAAAUUUUUCACAAGCAUAUACUCACUCGCUUUGGCACACACCAAAGGCAUUGAUUAGUGAACAGAGUACACACUUUCAUUGCAACCAAGUGGCAACUGCACUGAAGAGAUACGGAGUUAAUCAUAGAAUGGCUACUACUUAUCAUCUGCAAACUAAUAGACAAGCCAAAGUAUCAAAUCAACAAAUUAAAAGCAUUAUUGAGAAGGUUGUAAACCCUUCGAGGAAAGUUUGGUCUUUCAGACUGCAUGACGUUUUAUGGGUAUUGCGGAGAGCAUAUAAAACUCCAUUAGGGAUGUCGCCGUAUCAAUUGGUUUUUGGGAAAGCAUGUCACUUGCCAGUUGAAUUGGAGCACAAAGAAAUGUGGGCAAUUAAGCAAGUGAACAUAGACUAUGAAGCUGCUGGAAAGAAAAGGUUGUUGGAUAUCACUAAACUAGAGGAGAUUGGGCGAAAUGCCUAUGAAAACGCUACAAUUUACAAGGAAAAGACCAAACGAUGGCAUGACAGAAUUAUUUUGCAGCGACAAUUUAUCCAAGGUCAAUAAGUUUUAUUAUUCAAUUCUAGACUGAAAUUGCACCCAGGUAAAAUGCGCUCACAUUGGUCUGGACCUUUAGCAGUUUUCGAAGUAUUUCUUCAUGGUGUAGUCACAAUCAGAGAUUUACAUGAUGAACACCCACAUUUCAAAAAAAUAUUAGUUUAAUGAAGCAUGCUAGGUUUAUUUGUGGUUAAUGCAAAUGUGUUUGAAAAUUUUUGUUACAUUCGAUGUUUAAUUCUUAAAUCAUGUGAAUUAUCAAUGAAUGAGUAGGAUAAAUUUAACUGACUGUUGUAUCUUCUAUUCUUUGAUGAAUGAUUUAGGUUGCAUUAGUAAUGGAUGACUAGUAGCAUUCCUUGAAUCUUGAACGAACCUACCUUUUACAGUUGUUUCUAUAUAUAGUUAUGAAUAAGAGACACUCCAAAGUGGGUGUAUUGUGAAAUGUUAAAAAGGAAACACUCCAAUGCAAGCGUUAGAGAAAUGAAUCUGGCUAAAGGCUGUCACUGCAUGAAUGUGUGUCGGCGCAAUUACGUACUCCCUGGGGGUUUUUGCACUCCAUCAUUACUUCUCAAGAACAAGGGCACAGUAAUGCAAUGAUAUCCCUUAUUCACAAAAAAAAAAGAAGAGAGACAUAUAUUUAUGAUCUUCAUAGAUACUUAGUAUUGUACAAUAAAUAUUGUAUUGGUAGAUAGAAUUUAGGAUUUAAAGCAUGAUGCCGAUUUUGAUGAAGUUGCAAUCUUAUUCAUUCAUACUUAUGUAUUGUUGAUGCAAUAUUUUGUUAUCUGAAUGUGACUCAUUCAUUGGGAUUUUAGGUGAUUCAAGUUUUUAGAAUGAUCAUUUGCCUUAUUGAAUUCUUGUGUAGUGUUGCUAGUUUUUGUUUUACUUGAGAACAAGUAAAAACUCAAGUUUAGGGGUGUGUAAUACUACUAGAAAGAACCUAUGUUUUCUCCCUACUUAUUGGUUAAUUUGUCCCUAUUUUGUUAACUUUAACACAUAUUUUAACAUUUUUAGUUCAGUAAAUUACAUAUUAAUACUCAACAGAUCUUAGCUUAUUUAUCCUUAAUUUUUUUAUGUUAUGGUACCGAUGCCGCUGCAUGCCUAUUUCUAGAUUGCGCCCAGAAUUGUCGCCGCACCUAAUAGCUGCCCGGGUAAGAACAAAAAUUUGUGAGCUAUCCAGUCUAGUAUAACAAACUUGUACGUGCAGGGGCAGCAUGAUUCUAAUGAAAGGACACUUGUGCUAUUUGGAAGAAUAUAAAUAUUCACGUGAAAAGGGAAAAAAAAAAGAGAGGCUUUUUGGAGGGUAUUAUCUUCUUCAACCUAUCUUUUGAAGCUUUUCAGCUAUGGCGGGUUAAGUUUCCUAUGGGUGAACCGACGUGAAGGGGACACAGAUCAGCUAUUAACAAGGAGCCCUGAGUGCAACACAAGAGGGAAUGGAGAGAUUCAAGUCGAGAUUGUCUAGAAAUAGUAUUCUCCACUUGUUUAUUUUAUAUUUCUUUUAUAAACGAUGGUGAUUACAUUCUAUUUCAUGUUUGUACAGAAGUACACAUGAUUUCUGGGUUAAAUGUUAUUUUAUUCAAUCUUGUUUCUACUGUUUAAUCUUUGGGUUUGAAUGUUUUUAGCAUGGAAGUGCUAUUACGGUCACUGACACUAGAAAGUGCAACGACAGUUCAAGCUAACAAGCAUGACAACGAAGUUGAUUGAGGAUUAGAGGAAUUUAAUCCACUUGUUCUUAAUAGUGUUUCAUUUUUAUCAUUGGAAGGUGUGGUUAAUGUGCAUGUUUAAGUCUUAUAUUAAUUAUAGAAGUUAAGCUUGGUAAGAUAUUCAUUGCAAUUUAAUGCAUCGAUAAUCACCUAUCCUUUUAUACCUUGCGAGCACUUAGUAUUCUGUUGAAUAAUCACGUUGGGGAUCCCAGUUUAUCAUUAUCAUAUUUUAUAUUAUUCUUUUCAAGUUAUUGCUUCGAAAACUACUCUCACAAUUGAUCUCAUUUCUAUCUAUUUAUUGCAUUGACAUUGAUAGACAAAAGACAACCAUCCUCGUGGGAUCGAUAUUUGACAGGCUCAUAUCUGUCUACUAUACUUGCAUCGAUAUCUCAUCUUCAUGGGAUCGAUUGUUUAACGUUACAGUAAUAAUGGGCAAGUAUGAUAGAAACGAGAUGGGAUCUUUCUACUAUACAUAUCGAUGCAAGUAUAGUAGACAGAUAUGAGUCUAUCGGAUAUCGAUCCCACGAGGAUAGUUGUCUUUUGUCUAUCAAUGUCAGUGUAAUAAAUAAAUAGAAACGAGAUAAAUUGUGAGAGUAAUUGUCGAAGCAAUAACUUGAAAACAAUAAGAUAAAAUAUGAUAAUGAUAAACUAAGAUCUCCAACGUGAAUAUUCAACAGAAUACUAAGUGCUCACAAGGUAUAAAAGGAUAGGUGAUUGUCGAUGCAUUAAAUUGCAAUGAAUAUCUUUCUAAGCUUAACUUUUAUAUUUAAUCUAAGACUUAAACAUGCACAUUAACCAGAACUUCCGAUGAUGGCAAUGGAACACUAUUAAGAACAAGUGGAUUAAAUUCCUUUAAUCCUCAAACAACUUCCGUUAUCAUGCUUGUUAGCUUGACUGUCGCUACACUUUUCAGUGUCAGUGGCCACAAUAACACUUUCAUGCUAAAAACAUUCAAAACCAAAGAUUAAACAGUAGAAGUAAGAUUGAAUAAAAUAACAUUUAACCCAAAAACCAAGUGUACUUCCGUACAAACAUGAAAUAGAAAGUAAUCACCAUUGUUUAGAAAAGAAAUAUAAAAGAAGCAAGUGGAGAAUACUAUUCCUAGACAAUCUCGACUUGAAUCUCUCCAUUCCCUCUUGUGUCGCACUCAAGGCUCCUCGUCAAGAGCUGAUCUGCGUCUUCUUCACGUCGAUUCACUCAUUAAAGACUUAAGCCGCCAUAGCCGUAAAGCUUCAAAAGAUAGGUUGAAGAAGAUAGUAGCCCCCAAAAAAAGCCUCCUUUUUUUUUCUUUUCACGUGAAUAUUUAUAUUCUUCCAAAUAGCACAGGUGUCCUUUCAUCAGAAUCAUGCUACCUCUGUACGUACAAGUUGUUUAUACCAGACUGGACAGCUCACACAAUUUUUUCCUUAUUCGAAUAACUGUCAGGUGUGGGGACAAUUCUGGGCACAAUUUGGAAAUACUCAUACAGCAACAUCAGUACCAAAACAUGACAAAAUGAAAGAUAAAUAGGCUAAGAUCCACUGAGUUAUAAAAUGCAAUUUACUAAACUGAAAAUGCUAAAAUAUGUGCUAAAGAUAACUAAAUGGGAACAAAUUAACCAAUAAGUAGGAAGAAAACAUAUGUUCUUUCUAGUACUAUCAACCACACAACGAAUUUAUAGCUCAAUCAAAAGGGAUGUUUGAAGACAUGUUAAUCGAACAACACAAGCGUACAUUACAGAGUGAUUCUAUAAUCCUAGAUUUUGAGGUAAACUCUGAACUAUCUACUUUAAUAAGGGAACUUUUCUUAGACUCUUUUAGGUUUAUUACUAACAAAGUAAAAAAAAUGUGAAAUAUAUAAAGGUGGUGUGUUAUAGAAUCAAGGGUAUGAGAAAAAUUUAGGACCACCAAGCUAUCAAAUACUUAUAAGUGUGGCUAAUAACUUUAAUCUGCGAAAGGUAUUUGUUGUGAUCAAUGAAGAUAAAAAAGGCAAGUUCAAGAAACAAGACAAAUGAAGGAAAAUAGAGUGGAAUGACGGAUGCUGGACUAAUAUAGAUAAAAAAAGAACCAAAGGCGCAUCCACUUGUACUUUGACAAAGCUGAUGGACAAAUCCGACAGCAAUAUUUGAUACUUUUAAACUGAGAUAAAUUUUUGUAUACUGUUGUAUUUCGAUAGACUCAUAAGUAGUUUAGGAUUUAAUUUUGUUUAAAUUAUUUAAGAAUUUAAGCUGAAUGCUUUGAAAUUUGAGAAGGGGGUCGAAACAAAGCUGGUGUCACAACACGAAACCUCCAUGUCGUGACACCACUCAUAAAUUCAAUAAGUCGAGCAAGUCAGCUCAAUUUCGUGACACAGAACUUUUGUUCUGUGACAAGAAGUCAGUUUACCCCAGAAACCAAAAAUUUUAAUGUGUGUCACAACAUUCAACCCCGAUGUCGCGACAACGGUAUCCUGUCAGGGGUGUCGCGACAUAGAACCCCUAUGUCACGACAUCGUUGCAAAUUUUUGCAAGGUCGACCCGACCCAGUGCGCAACCCGCUAGAUUUAACUCUUAUUUUACUCAACCUUUAACAUAAAAACACAAAAUUUUAAUCUCAAAACACUUCUAACUUAUUUCUAAAUCCCUCAUAACUCUAAAGUCUCUUUAAACCCCCCAAACCACCCACUUUUAAAACCCCUCUUAUCCCUUAUUAUUUUGCUAUAAAUUUUUCCUUUGUUUCACUUUGUGCAGGGAUUAACACACCACACUAAGAGGGCAAAAACAACUAAUUGUUACGAGGAAUCCUGAGUAAUCAAUUGAGGUUAAGGGUUCCUAUUUGGUUUUUAAUGUUGCAUUGCAUAUUGCUUGAUUUCAAUUAGUUAUUCUAGUGAAAGUAUACUGACAAUGCCUCAAAGAAAAUCUAGAAAAACUAAUGUGCAAGAAACACCGGUGGUCUUGAAUCCCUCUAAAUUCUUAAACGCAAAUGUAGAAAAAAAUUUCUUUGAACUUCAAGGAAAAACAUUUAUACAAAAGAGGAGAUUUGAGUCAUCAAUGGUCUUGUGCAAGGAAAUUUGGUCAUUAGUUCGGUACCAUAGGUGGGAACACUUUUGUGAAACCCCGAAAGUAAAUGUGGUUAUCUCAAUUGUUCAAGAAUUUUAUGCUGUAAUGAGGGAUCGAGAGGCUAGAAUACCUUAUAGGGCCAUUCGGGAAACCGUAAUAGUAAGAGGUAAGAAGGUACGCGUUACUCUUCGAGAAAUUUGUGAGUUUUACAAUGUUUCAUACUAUGAAAACUAUUUUCUUGAUAAUACAAGUCUAAACACUUUUAGGGGGCAUAGAUAUGGAUGACAUUGUAAAAUGCUUAACUGAUGGGAGGGGUGCAUAGAACCACCGAUCGGAUACCGAAUUACCAACCAAUUUCAAUCAAGCAAUUAUAUUUCUUAUAACUAAGAUGUGGAUGCAAUUUCUUUGUACUAGAAUUACACAUGGCAUGAAUGUGUCUAAUGUAAACAUUUUUUGAGCUCUUUUGUUGUAUGGAAUCUUGUAGAAAAAAUAGAUAUCUGCUGACAGAUGGAUCUAUAUUAGCAUGAAGCAAUGUAUAAGCGGCCAGAAAGUCGAGGUUUUCUUUACCCACCUUGUGAUGGAGCUAUGCAAAAAGGCCAGGGUUUUGAUGGAAGAAAACGAGCAGUUUAUGAGAUAGAGAAAGAGCUUAAUAGGAGAUUCUAUGUGCACACAAUUCAUUGAGCUCAACCGAAAACAAAUCAAUGAUUGGAACCAGAGGAGAAAACAAAAUAUGAACAUCCCGACUUCUCUAAAAAAAGCAGUAACAAAAACUCAAAAAAGAAGUGGAAUCUCAAUUGUAGAAUGGAUAAUCAGAUGGAUGUAGGAAUCGAGACCGGUCAUUCAAGAGUUUCCACGAUAAAAUAAUAUUAAAGUACCAAAUUACUCGUAAAAAAAUAUGGAUCCAGAUCAUUCCAUGCUAAAUUCGAUGAGCAAGGAAGUCAAGUUGAGGAAGGGAGUAGAAGUGAAUAAGAGGAGGAGGAGGCCACAGAGUAAGAUUUUCAAGAUGUGAAGGAUGACGACUAUGAGGCGGCAUUCCAGCCGCAACAUAUCACGCAAAAAAAAAACUCAUCAUUUAUAACCGAACCCAACAUGCACAUUCGUCGAGUGAAGGCUCUUCUCUGAAACACAUCUCGAGAAAAGAAAAAGCAUCAAUGGAGGGGCAAUCGCCCUAUUUUGAAGAUUCUGACGAUUAAUAAACUUUUUAAUUAUUUUUAAGAGUUGUAAAACUUAAUUUCGAUGAUUUUUAUUUUAUCGUUUUAGGAGUAGGAUUAAAAGUAUAUUUAUAUAUAUUUUCUGUUUUUUGCAUUUUCUAUGUAGGAACCCUACAUUAAGGAAGCAUUAUAUACAUGAGCUUUCAACAAACAAGGAAGCACCCACCAGAAGACUACGACAAUGUCACGAUCAAUCGGAUAACUUUCUUCCUUAUAUAUUUAGCGGCCGCGCAUUAGGGCUAAUGUGCUAUCUAAAGUGUGGGGGUAACAUAGGAAAUUUUUUUCAUGCUUUUCUUUUAAUUUUUCUGGUCAAAGUGUGCUUGAGCUUGUAGAAAUACAAAUGAUUGGUUAGGAGUAUGUAUAUAGGUUGAUUGUAUUUAUUGUAAAUUUGACAUGAUAGUGAAUGAUUUUAAAUUUUCAAUUAUUAAACUAAUAAGUUCUAUAUAUUACACUGUAAAUAAGUAUUAAGUAAUUGAAAAUACCAUAUGACAUAAAAAAAUAUAGGGAAACGAGCAUGCUAGUAUGUAUGAUAAAUGGUUAAAUUUGUGAUUUAUUGAUUGAUUAAAUUUGUGAAUAUUGAGACACCUAGGGAUGACCUAAGGCAUUUUUGGUAUAACCAAAAGCCAAAAAGUUAAACCUUAUUCAUCAAUCCUUAGUACCUAUUUUGAGCCAGAAAACGCUUCUUAAUGAACCUUCAUUCAGAACCCGAGCUAAAAUAUCAAUUUGUACUUGUCCUUUUUCUUUGGUCUUGGAAUUACACGAAUUUAGACAUCUAACCAUAAGUAUUGAGGGAUAGGUAGAUACAUCAUGGCGAUUUUGUAAAAAAUAGAGUAAAAUAGGAAUGAGCAAUGUGAUAUUUUGACUAUAGGUAGUCAAAAUGUGCAAAACAAAAGAAAAUUUUUUAGUAUUUGAGCAAUGAAAAACAAAAGCAUUGUGAAGUGAGAUAUGUUGGAAAAAAAUCAAAAGUGACUCAAAAACAAAGUCAUAACAUUAGAAAUCUCAAAUCAUUAAUGCACAAAAAAUCCUGAGCUGACCGUAGUUACUUUAUCAUACUAUGACUUCCUACAUGGAGAAAUAAGGAAUAUGAGAGAAGGAAAAAUGAGGCAAUGAGCGGGCAAGGGUUAUUAAAGGGGAGAAUAGACAACAAUGUGAUGUGUCAAACUACUUUCUUGCUUGAAACUAUUUUGAUGCUCCUUGUUUUUUUAAUUUCAUACCAAUUUUAAGCCUCAGAACAUUACAAGCCGAAAAGCCCUAUGUGACUUAGAUAGAUCUAUUCAUGAAUUGACAUUAUAUUGAGUUAUCACAAUAAUGAUUGUUUGUAUUUUGCUAGGAUAAUUAAAUUGCUUUUAUGAUUUAUCGAUGGAUCCAUAUAUUUGAGGACCUUACUGUUUGUAUACUUUGUAAUAUAGUGAACUUAAGUGUUUGAAACUGAAAAUGGUAAGUAACUUAUGUAUCAUGCUAGAAUUAUGUGUAGAUAUAAUUAUUCUUAGUUAUGUGUUCCCAAAACUAGUCUUUGUAUCAUACUUGUUCAAGAGUCGUCUUUUAUUUUCGUUUUUAUCUUUCUUUGCUUGAGAACAAGUAAUGACUUAAGUGUGGAGGAGUUUAAUCUGUCGCAAUACAUUGUAGCAAAUUAAACUAGUUUUCAUACUUAAAGAGCUAGAAUAUGAGCAAUCUUAUUAGGUUUUAUUUAGUUUUUUUACUUUAAUUUCAAUUUAAUAAAAAGUGUGAUUUGAGUUGAUUUUAUGACCUUAGGGGGCGAAUGAGGCCUAAGGGAAGACUAUCGUGUUUGACAAGUGUGCAGGACACUAUUCGAAGGCAUUAGAACUCGAGACUAGUCGCCAUGUUGCAACACGAAAGUUCAAACGUUGCAAUAUAGGGAGCAGAAGGCCAAUAUAACUAUAUUGCCUUUGGUGUCGCGACAUAGCUAGUGGAUGUCUGGGCCCGAGCUAAGCAAACUGCCUUCAGUGUCGUGAUAUAGUUAGUGUAUGUCGUGACACCGACCCUAUACGUGAAAACAUUACAAGAUGAGGGUAUUUUGGUCCGCACAAUGUAUUUUAACAUAAAACCAUUAGCUAAACUAAGGCUAAAGACGACGACCAACCCUAACAUUAUAAAUAAGCUCAUUAAACACUCGAGUGAUCAUCUCUUCAGUAAUUUAGACUUUUUCCUUUCAGUUUAGUUUUUAGUUUUUAGUUUUUAGAUUAUUUUAUAUUUAGGAUUUAUUUUCGUUCGUGUUCUUCGGAGAAUCUGAUUUGUGGAUUCAACGCAAACUCGUUAUGGAUUUCUGCGCUUCAUUCAAAUGCAAUUCAAGAUUUUUCGUAAACUCUUAAUCUUGAUUUGUUCUUUAUGUUUAUUUACUUUAUCAAGUUUAUAUUAUUUAUGGGAUCCAUGAGGAACUAAUCCUCUUAUGAGGGAUUAGUGAGUGGAAGUGUGAUUAAUUAAUUUCUAUAUAUGGUUUCUUAGCAAAUCAAUUGUUUGGGAUAGAAAGAACUUAAACCUUAGAAAGUCAUCUAGGUGAGAAUUAACUUAAAAUUGGUAUUGUCUUUCCAUGAAUCAUUUACCCCAAUCCAGUCUAGACUGUGAGGUUGAGAGAUAAGUGGUUCUUGCCAACUUGUUAGGUUAGUGGAAGAUCGAGAGAUCCUAAUAGGGUAACGCCUAGUUGAUUGAGUAGAAACCCAAAAUAGGAAUUAGUUAUGACCACCGAAACGAGCUAGUCACCCAUGCUUAGAUUCGAUUGAGUUUACAAAUUAGUUCUUCGUUUUUCAUUCUUUUAUGCAUGUUUAUUUCUUUUAUUAUAAAAACAAAUAAUUUUCACUUUAUAUUUUGCCGUAUUAUAAUUUAUUUAUAGUACUAAUUAGAUCUAUUUACAUUUAGGUUAAUAUUAAUUUAGUACUCGCCUCCUUUAAGUACGAUCCUUGGAGUACUUACCUACUUCAUUGUAAAAACUAUAUUACAACCUGAUUUAUAUACUUGCAAACACCACCUCAAUUCUAUAUUUUUAGUAGCAAUAUUCACACUCUGGACGUAUGACUUGGAGUAUGACUUGGAAGCCCACUAGACGAUGGUUAUGUGAUCAUGGGUUCAAGUUUCGCAUCACCAGAAGUGGAUGCUUUGUAGAACCAAUACAUAAGUUUGAGAUCAUAAUUGCAUGGAUAAAUUUAGGGGCUUUCCAGUAUAAUCCAUUUAUUCUUUUUCUUUGUCACCACCAAAGGCAUUAUCGACAAAUAUUAUUGUGAUUAAAUCCCUCAUUAAUAACUACAACUACUGUCACAUUGACUCGACCUCCAACUAUCACUACCCCGACUCGACCUCCAACUUCUUUCCACCACCACCAUCACUCACCCCCUGAUAAGGCUCUUGUAUUCAACUCUAUCGCCUUGCUUUUGGUGGUGAUGGAGAAAAAUUAUAACUUAGUUAUACUAGAAAGUCUUUGAGUUUUCCCCUACUAUUAUCAUCUCAAGAUUAUGUAUCAAUUUUACAAAUCAUCCUCUUCUGGUAAGGUGGAACUCGAACUCGUGAUCACAUAACCACAAUCAAGUGAGUUCCCUAGUUAUACUCCAACCCGUGAUCCCAUAUUAACAUCCUCAACUAAGAGCCCUAAUUAUACUACAACUGAUGACCAUAUAAGUGUUGCAAACUCAGAGCUUGAGUUGCAAUGCAUUAGACUUCUAAGGCAAUGGUUCCAUCCCAAUAAGAAAGUAGAAAUAUAUAAGUCUCCCAACGCUAUCGCGUCGCCGUCAACUGAAAUAUACCUUUAAGCUUUCACAAUGUCUACCUCAAACACAAACACAAUUAAAUUAACAUCCUCAUAUUUAAAACCUUAAACCAUAAAUACCCUAAAAAAUCUUUAAAACCUUAAUUCCAACUGAAAAAAAAAAAGGUGAAAACAUGUCCAAUAGGACACGUUUUUAUGCAAAGUCAACUAAAAAUGCAUCCAAUUAGACACACCUCCACUUUCUCUCUCCAAAAUCAAUCUAUUCCGUUAAUUUUUUUAAAACUAACCCUUUUACCUAAUUUAACCCUUAUUUUAUGGUGACUAACAGGAUAAUUACCCUAAAAAUAUUUCACUUGAUAACUUUCAAAUCUAUGUUCUUUUUGCCAUCUAAAUCUUUUUUCUAAGUUUAAAUUAUAUUAGGAUAAUUAUAAAAAGUCAUUUUUUAAACAUCCAAUAAAAAUAAAAAUGGGUCGCAUUAUACCUUUUAAAAAACUUCUAACUAACAUAUAUACUUUUUAACACUAGAUCAUAAAAAAUAGAAUUAAAUAAAACUAAUGUAAAAAAAUUAAAUAAAAUUAGCAAACAGUAAUAGUAUUGCAAGGUUUAAGUUUACCUUUUUGUUCAUCUAGAUUUAUGAAUUAUUGUAUGAUGGGUUAAAAUUUAGAAAUUUAAGAUUUAUGAUUCUAGGGAAAAGGUUAAAACUGUACCCAACAUAUAAAUUAGAUGCCAAAAAAAGCCUAAAUACUACACUCCGUACACCAAAUGCCAGAUUGGUUUUAGGCAACAUUUCUUAAAUGAGUUUUAUUAGUUUCUUGGGGGCCUGCAUAUAACACUAAUAUAUAUUCAACCAAGAAAGAUGGGAUAUAGCUUUGUUUCAACCCUAUCUACCAUCCUUGGCUUCAAUUGGUUUAUAAAAUCGAUGGAAUGUUUGUUGACCACAGCUUUAACACAGUAGAGAUAUCUGCGGUUGGGGCUUUCUACUGAUAAGAGCCAACCAUAUUAUAGCAGUCUAGACUUUCAUCUCUAAGUUCAGCUAAGGACAUUUGAACUUCAGUCUUGAUUAUUCUCAUAACCCUACCUAACAGGGAAUGCAUAUCGGGAUGUAGGAGACUUUGCACUACUGGAAGCUCGAGCAGCCACCAACAUUGGCUGUUGACCUGUGAGUUUUCACCAGCGGAACCAGCGACUGGACAACAUCUGCCAUCAAUGGCCUGUAGUCAGCUUCUGGUUGCACACACAUAGCAGCAAUAGCUGCAACCUGAAUCACUUCUUUCAUUGAGUAUUGACCUUCUAGUGUUGGAUCCAUUAUCUGGACGACCUUCUCCCUAUCUGUUAACUGAGGCAAAGCCUGUGCCAUAUACAACACACAAAAACUGAAAAAUGACAGAUAGAAACAGAUGCAAGAAUGCACCAGUCACAAAACAAAGAAGACAUUAAUGAGGAAAGUUAGACCAGUGUAGAACCUUAAGUAAAUAGCAUAAACUUAACCAUCUUAGAAUAACUUACAAGACUGAAAAAGGAUUUAUAGCUCAAGAUACUCACCCAUGAUACAAGAACACCUUCCCCAUGAGGUCUCUUUGCAUCAACUGGUACUCUGCCAGUAAGCAACUCCAAAAGAACAACACCAUAACUAUACACAUCUGAUUUUGUAGUUAGAUGUCCAGUUAAAGCAUAUCUGUACAGCAAGGCAACCAAACCCAAUGUCAAACGGGGCAGUUAAAAUUUGAUAAGAAAACCAUUAAGUAUUAAAUUAGCAACAAUAACCCCUCCACUUUGGAGUAAGAGCUUGUUAUUUCAUACUCAGGAGCAACGUAUCCCUGGGUGCCCAAUACUCGAGUUGAAACAUGUCCGCCUGCUUUGUCUGAUCCAAGCUUGGCCAGUCCAAAAUCAGAAACUUUGGCAUGGAAAUUUUUGUCCAAAAGGAUGUUACUGCUCUUAAAAUCCCUGUGAAUCACAGGAGGGCUAACGUGUUCAUGGAGAUAUUCUAAUCCCUUAGCCGCUUCCAGAGCAAUUCUCAACCGGGUUUCCCAGUCCAGUUUUAAGUUUACAUUGUUAGAACCUGCAUUUUGAAUGCAACCAGUAAAUCAGUUGUUAUGGAUACAGCUCUCCUAUAUCAAUCAUUCUUCCAAACUGAACUAAGCCUGAUCUUGUUUCAAAAAGGAUGAUCAGAGUUUUGACAUCAUGAUGUUACUGAGCUCUUAAAAUAGUCACUGAUAGAGUGAAAUUCAAGCUUGUACAUGAUCUUGAUUGAUGAAACUUAGAUUAAGCAUCUGACAAAUGAAUAAACAAACAUCAUUCAAAGGCAGAACACCUAGAUAAGCUCUAGCAUUUUUGAAAACUCAAGAUCAUUUUAGAUAGCCAAAAAGGACUAAUGAUUUUUUUAAAAUGUCAAAUUCAGAAGGAUUUUAGACAUCAAUCCUUCCACACUUGCUAAGACAAGAUUUUACAAUAUCCCAAAUUUCUUUCAGGGCAUUCCCAUUUGUGCUUCACUUAGCUUUGGAAACUCCCCAUAAGUGCAUGAACAUUUGUCAAUUUAAAAAAAGUGGAAAGCAAGAGUUGCGGAAAUGUGGUGCAAAUAAUACCAGCCAGCUUUUAUAUGCUGAAGAUAAAUCUUGAUUGGAAUAAUAAAAAAGGCUUAAUUAACAGCUCAUGUACAUUGAAAUUUUAAUAAACAAAGGUUACUACUAAGUACUAGCUUACCAUUAAUGGGAUACAGAUGUUCCUGCAGACCACCAUUUGCCAUAAACUCGUAAACAAGCAGUUUACGACUACUAUUUGAGCAAUACCCAAUCAAAUCCAACAAAUAUGGAGAACGUAGACGUUUCAGCAGUUCCACCUACAGUUGUAUAUGGUCAAUCAAUUAGUAUAAACUCGCCUUAAAAUAAAAGGAAAGUUAACAAAUGAUAUCAUAACUUUAUUAACUCAUUUUAUCCAUUUUUUCCAGAAGAAAUAUAAAGAAUGAGGUAAACAGAAUGUAUAUUGUCGACGGGUUAGCAUGGCACAUUUGAAAUACAGAUAUCAGAACACCAGAAAAGUGCACUUAGAACAGUAUUCAUAGCAGACCUCCAUUUUAAAUUCUUCUUCUCCUUGCUUCCCUGCCUGAUCCAUUAACUUGACAGCAACUUUCCUGCCAUUACUAAGCACUCCCCUGUAUACGGACCCGAACCCACCAUGGCCAACCACAUUAGACUUGCUGAAACCACCAGUGGCUGAAUGUAACUGCUUAAAAGUAAAGACAUGAAGCCCUUCGUCCAUAGCAACUUCAAGAUCGGUGGAGCAAGCUUUGUCCUUAGAAUCAACCACUUCAGAGACAAAAGACCAACAAUACAUCAAGUUGCAUAAAAGGGAACAUUAGGAACCGAGUCAUGCUAAAGCAACAAGCUCACUUUAUUGAUGACUACUUAUACAUCAGGCCCUGACUACAAACCAUCAUAAGUCCGAGUCCCCAAAGACCCAAAAUAAUGAUUGUCAAAAGGGUAUAAUCAACUUACCAUCUUUUGGGAAGCACUUCAUCGUGGGGACGAAAUUAAACAAACAAAUAAAGGUAAAAAGAACUAUAUAAGAAACAGAACAAGAUGAAUCACAUAUAUUUUUCCACCUUUUUUUGACAGGAAAAAGAGGGAAGAACAAAAGAUGAACUAGUCCUUAUGAAUAGUACACAAAGGGAAUGCAUUUUCCCCAAUAAUCUUCCUAUAUUCGCAUCUACUACACCGUCAUCAUACCCAACAUAAAUAUACAAGAAAAUGAAAGCAGAGAAAAGAAAAUAGUGUAGUUUAUUUAAAAUAUUAUGUAGACAAUACCAGUAGAGUGGGAUUUGGAGCGCUUAGAGAGGACCUUGUUACGAAUAUAACAAUAGUAACUAAAAGCCACUAAAAGCGAAGCAACAGCCACUGAAGCAAGCACUACAAUGGCUACCAAUGCAAUGCGUUCUUUCCUCCUAUAAUACGAAUAUGAAAACUCAGGAUCUUCCCCUCCUUUCUCCAUUUUUGUUCUCCUUUUUCCCUUUGAAACCUAGCUCGCCUCCGACCAUAAGAAAAUGCCGGUCUUAUUUGAACUUGGAGAUUCUCUCUCUCUCCUUUCUUCUCGCUGUGUCAGACACCAGGCUCAGUGAGUUUUACUUUACUGUUUUUUUCUUCUCCGACUGGCGCGCACACAAAGAGCUUUUCCUUUUAGUCCUUUCCUUUUCUCUGCAUUUGCAUUUCCUACCUCAACUUAAAUCAUACUUUUCAAGAUUACCACAUAUAUAAAGCUAAAUAUUUAUAUUUGAUGCACCCGUACUUAUAUAUAUAUACACUUCACCAUUCAAUCAUAUCAUUCCACUAUUACUAACAGUACGUUUGGGUGGGUGGCAUGAAUAGGGGACCCAUGUCGAGUCUAGGGAAAUGAUUAUUCCGUAAUUUGGUUUAGUGAAUUGAAUUAGAAUCUUUGACAACGAAUGACUAUUUUUCACUUUUAUAAAAGAAUGACUAUUUCACUCAAUAAUGAAUAACAUAUAAUUUCAAGACAAAUUCAACCAACUCGCAUGGGGGUUUUGAGCCUUUAAAUUCUAGAAGUCUAACAAAUAACCAAAAUGAGGAUUGAAGCAAUGGAAGACCACAAAAAUGCAAUGGAAGCUAAAGAUUAUUUUUGUAAACUAGGUUUACUGUUAAGUUUUUUUAAAAAUACCCAGUAGGAAUUUCAUAAAGUUUCAACAAUGGUUGACAGUGACAAUAACGACAGUUGUGAUCGUGAUGAGCUAAGAAUGAAAAGAUUUUAGAAAAAUCAAAGUUGGUUCAUUAAAAAAAUUUGAGAGAACUAGAUAGAACUCCGUAGAAGUGAAAGAGAUAAAGUAAUAUUAAAAUAAAAUAGUAGGUUUUUAAUAAUAUAUUUAAGUAUUUAAAUAUAAUAAAAUAAUUUUAAAUAUGAUUUUUAUAUUUAUUUUUAAAUUUAAUAGAUUAAUAUAUUGUUAAAUAUUUUUUUUAUUAAAUAUAAAAUGUUAAAUUAUUUAUUUUCAAAUAUUAUUUUUGACAUAUUAUUUAUAAAGUUAUUAAGAAAUAAAUCAUAUUUUUAUAAAUAAUAUAUUAUACUAUUAAAUAUAUUUAUAAUAUAUAUUAAUAAAUUAUAAUAUUAAAUUUUUCUACAUAUAUUAUUUUUAUUAUUUUUCUGAAUUAUAUUAAUGAAAUUAAAUUUAUAUAAACAUUUAAUAAUAAUAGAAUAAUAAAAAUACUAUUAUUUAACUUAAGGGUAAUUUUAUCAUUUAACAUUUAUUACUUUUCUAUUUCUUACCAUCAACCUAACCAGUCUAUUUCAUUUAAUCAACCAAACAACGUAAUUUAUUAUUUUUAUGUUCAAUUUUUAUUUUAUUCCAUUUCAUUAAACCAAACAUACUAUAAGUAAUUAGAUUUAAGGUGGGUAUGGAUGAGCGAUUGAGUGCGGUGCGUUUAGCUUACUUUUUGUCUCACUCUACAAUAUCUAAUUUCACCGCAAUCAUUGUUUUUACACUAAUCGCAUGUAAACACACCACCCAUCCAAACUCACCCUUAAACUUCUUUUACAUGUGUACAAGCCCAUUUUGCCCGGGGCCCAACUAACCCAAUCAAUAAACCCUUUAUCUAACCCAGCAAAACCAAGCCCAACUAACCUACCCAAUAACCCACAAGCCCAAUAGCAAAACCAGCCCAAUAUCCUAGCCCAUCCUUCCCAAAAAAUAUCUGCCUAGGGUUGCAGAGACUGAAACCCUAGGCGCCGCCCUCUUUGACCUUUGGUCUCUGCCACCGUCAAUCACCUCGGCCACUUGCCUCUGACUUGCGCCGCUCGUCCAUCACCCUGCAAACAAAGAAGGUAGCAACAACACACAACAGAAAAAAAAAAGAAAAGAAAAGAAGAAAUAGAACAAGUUGUAACAAUGGCUAUAAAAAAAGCCAUUCAAACAUCUAAAAUGGGGAGGACCGAUCUUUAUGUUUGUAAGGGGGGCUGGUUUUUCUUUUUCUUUUUGUAACAUUUUCCAGAAAUAAAAACAAAAAAAAACCUUCAAGGUGACUUUUCACUUUUUACGCAUUUAGUCCUUUUUUUAUUGUUUUCUCUUCUAACAACAAUAUAUAUAUUAGUACAAGAGUUUUUAAAUAAAAAAUAAAAUUUUUACCCUUUUUUGAAAUUUACGGCCACCGUGCACGGUGGCCGGCGCGGUGGCGCUACGGUGGUGGCUCGCCAGAACCCUGGCCGGAAAAGGGACUGAGAAGAGGGAGAGUUGAGAGAAUGUUUUGUUUUUUUUUUCUGAAGAGUGGAAGAGAAUGAAUUUUUGCUAAAAAAUUGGAGUUUUAUACCCCUCCUAAACGGCGUCGUUUACAGCUUGGCACCAUAGCCCUAAAACGACGUCGUUUAGCCUUUAGACCCGAUCCACCUGACCCGCCUGCCAAGGAUCCGCGUGUUUUCUUAGCGGAGGGGCUAAUUGCGCUUUCAGCCCCUCCGUGUUCUUAAUGUUUUCAAUCAGAUUUUGUACAUUCUUAAAUUUGCCCCUUUGUUUUAUUAUUGAUUUCAAUUGGGUCCCUAUUCAAACAACAUCGUUUUGGAGGAGAAGCAAAAUUACCCUUUUAGUCCCUCCACAUUAUGCGCGCGUUCAUAGGAGUCCUUCCUCUUUAUUUAUUUGUGGAUUAUCCCCCAAAGUCCUGUUUUAAAUUCAAUUUAGUCCUUUUUUUCUUUGUUAUUUUGGUUAUUUUCUCAUUAAAUUUAGAUGCUAUUAUUAUUACUAUUAAUUAUUAUUUACUUAUUUAUACUUUGUUAAACUUCAAAUUUUGUUAUCUAUAUACACAUGUAUAUAUUUUUAUAAUAUACAUACUUUUUGUCAUAUAUAUAUACGUAUAUUNNNNNNNNNNNNNNNNNNNNNNNNNNNNNNNNNNNNNNNNNNNNNNNNNNNNNNNNNNNNNNNNNNNNNNNNNNNNNNNNNNNNNNNNNNNNNNNNNNNNUUAUAUAUAUAUUCAUACUUAUAUUUUAUUUAUAUACCUUAUAUGUAUAUAUACAUAUAUGUGUACACUUAUACGUUUAUAAUACAUGUAUAUACAUGCAUAUAUUUUAUAACUCAUAGAUAUACAUACAUAUAAAAGUUUUUUUUAUUUUUAUAAAUUUUCAAAAGCAUAUAUAUAUAUACAUAUGCAUACAUUUCUGCAACAUACAUACACACUUUUUAUUAUUAAAUAUACAUGUAUACACAUACUCUUAUAUUUUAGACAUUUCAUAUUUUUUAUAUACAUAUACAUAUAUCUUUUAUAUUUUUAAAAUUUUAUUCAUUUUAUUUAUUUAUUUAUUUAUUUACGUUUUUAGGAUGUUUUAAUUUUAUUUGUUCAUAUACUUGUUAUUUUGGUAUGAUAUUGAUUUGUUUUUUUUAUAUUGUUAUUGCUCGUAUUAUUUUUACAUCAUCGCAUUCAUUUUUGUUUCAUUACGAGUGUUAACACCGUAUUUUAUUUCGUGUUAGAUUAAUUUUAUUUGAUGCAUAAAUUAUGAUUUUAUAUGAAUAAGCAAAAUUUCGUGUUUAAAUUUGGGGAGGUCGUACCCUAACUUACUGGGUUUCGAUUUUCACAAUAAAUUUAAAUACACGAAUCUUUUCAAACUCAAAUUUUAAACGAUCUCGAAAAUAAAAAGAUCGUGUCCUAACUUACUGGUCGUGAUCCUUUUUUAAAAUUCGAGAUAGGUAAAUAUCUUUUAAAUUUUCGGCAUUCCUUCGCGCAUUGGGAAUUCGAGACAUUGUGUUCUAACUUACUGGAUAUGAUGCAUUUUUCUCGAUUAACGUAAAAUAUGCCCCCUUUUCCCAAAAAUUUUCAAUAUUUUAAUACAAGGAUCGUAUUUUUAAAAUUCUUCAAAGUUUUCAAUUUUCGACAUUAAGACAUUAAGUAAUCAACUAGGUACCAAUUUUGGGCGUAUUGAGGGUGCUAAUCCUUCCUCGUGCGUAACCGACUCCUGAACCCGUUUUUUUGAAUUUCGUAGACCAAACUUGUUGUUUUAAUAAAAUUAAAUUGUUUAUUAAAAACAACCGCUUUUAAAGGUAACCCGAUCACACCUCAUCAAAAAAGAUUGGUGGCGACUCCCAUUUCUUUCAAAACCCAAGUCGACCCUGUUUUUCAUCCAAAAAAUGGUGUCAACAACAUGAGUAGUAUUUUACAAUUUUUUAGUAUAAAUAUAACAUAUAUUGUGAACGAGGAGUAAAGUUUUGAGAUUUUAAGCGUUUAGAUUUAGUAUUCAUAUAUAUAAAUUAUAUGUAAAUUAAUUAAUUAGUUAAGUUGAAUUAAUUAACCAGAUUGAUUUUAGUCGAUUUAGUGUUUAUAAUAAUUUAUUUUAUUUUAUUUUAUUUUAAUUUGUUAAUGUAAUUAAUUAGUUUUAAUUUAACAAAUGUAGUAUACAUUAAACAUUAAUUACACUAAUUUUUUCAUAUGAUGUUUAAAGCUGACAAUAUAUAAAUGAUAUUUUUUUUAUAAUAGUAAUUCAAACUUAAGCUUUGAAGAAAAUGAAGGCUACAACUUAAGUUCUUAUAAACGAUAUCAAUGCCUUAUAAAAUUAGCAUAUAUUAUAAAAUUGACAUUUGAUCACAUUUGACAAUUAAUUUUGAAAAAAAAAAUGUUUCUAAGACAUCUAUACUUUAUACUUUAAAAUUAUUUAAGAAUAGUUAAAUUUCAAUUUUGAUCCCUAUAUUUCGUUCAUAUUUGAGAUUUAAUCUUUAUACUUUAAUUUUGACUUAAUUUAGUACCUCAACUUUUAUAGUGUCAUUAGUUAGUCUAAAUAUUUUAUUCUAAUUAAAAUGUUGAGGUGAAUUUUUAAGAAUCGCUACCACCGUUAAAAUUCUCUAUUAAAUUCAAGUCUAUUAUAAUGUCAUUUUUUAUUACAUGAAUACCAAGAGAGUAUUUCUUUUUUAAUGUCAAAAUGCCACACCGAUAAAUUUAACAUAAGGAUUUUAACAGUGUUAACAAAUAGACCUAAAUUUUAAUAUUCGAAAAGCAUAGGAAUUAAAUUCCUGAAAAUAAAAGUAUGGAUAUUAAAUUCCAAAUAUAUGAAGACUAUAAGAACUUUGAGCAUAUUGCAACAUUUGAAUUUUUACUCUACAAUUUAGUCAAAAAAAAAAGUAAUCAACCUAACGUCAAUUUUUCUUAAGAACAAUAUUCUAACAAAAAAAUAUUUUAUCAUGACAAUUUCUAAUGAAUAUUUUAAAGAAAAAUCAUAUAAGUAUUUUUAACGUUAUUUUUAUUAUUAUAUGACUUUCAAGUGAUUUUUUUUUAAUUUCAAAAUGUCACGCCAGAGAAUUCAAUAGAAGAAUUUUAACGAUGUUAGCAAUUAGAUCUAAAUUUUUAAAUUCAAAAAGUAGAUGACUAUAUUCCUGAAAAUAAAAGUAGGGAGACUAAAUUCUAAUGCAUGAUGUGUAUAGUGACUUAGAACAUAUUUUAAUCUUCAAAUUUUCACUUUAUAAUAUGACACAAAUAAAUAAUCAAUUCAACACGAAGCAUGGACUGAGUACCAUACUAGUUUAAGUAAAUGAGAAGUGUUUUUAAUUAAAUCUUAACUUAAUUAGCAUCAUUGUUAUUAUAACAAUUAGAAUGAUUUAAGUUUAAACGUGUUUAAGUAUAUUUUCCCUCUAAUUUAAGGGUUAGGUAGAAAUAAUAGAAUUAAGCAUAAAUAUUUUACAACAUUUGAUAAUGAAAUACUUCUUAAAGUUGGCAUUAUAUAUAUAAAUCUUAUAUUUUAUUGUUUAUAGAAAGUAGUUAGGUUUUUUACUAUUUUAUCAAAAUGUGCAAGAUUAAUGUUAACGAGGUUUUAGUUUUAUUAAUUAAGGUAGGGUUUUAGAUUUUUGAGUAUUUAUGUUUGAAUCUUAUCGUAUGUAAUUGUGAUUAUGAGUUUUCAGUCUUAUUAUAUGUUUUGUACUAAUUUGAUUUUAUACAAUAGAUAUACAAAUAUAUAAGAUUAUUUAUUUUCGUUGUAACAAUAUUAAAAUUGAUAAAAGUAUCAACAAGGAAGGAGAUAAGGAGGAGGAUGUGGUGGUGUUGAGAAAGGCUGGUUCAUCCUAUAGGAUAGAGAGUUUGAAGAGAAAAGUGAGCAAGGAAGUUGAGAAUGCAAAGAAGAAAGCUGAGGACAAUAGGGUGGCUAGAAUGCUUAAGAGUUGAUCCAUUCUUCAUCGAUCUGGGGAUAUAUAAUGGAGGUUUCGUGCUUGGAGAUAUUACCGUCAUUGCAAAGUACAUGGGGGGAUGUAUGUGAUGGGACUCGUUCUGUUAUUCAUUGUAAAUGACAAUACAAGGUUGUUAUGUUGAGGUAGGGUUUGACGGCCUAAAAGUCACAUUCUCAAUAAAAGAGCGGGUGCCUUGAAGAAUGAAUGAGUUACACAAGACCAUUCCAAAGGAAGCGAAGAACUCGUUCAUAAGGAUGAGUGACUAGGGAUCCUUUCAGAGAAAUCGAGAGGUUGGGUAGAAACAAACCUUCCGAGACAUUAGUAAUCUGAUGACUUCCCAGACAACAGAGAAGAGGGUGCCAACAAGUAUCUCUCCAAUCAUUUCUCAUGUUGAGGGGUAUAACAAUAGUGAUAAAAAAUAAUUUUGUUUUAUUAUUUACUUUUGUAAUUCUUUAAAAAAUAUAUAUUAGAAUGUUUAUUGGUCACACAUGAAAAGCACUUCCAACUGGAAUCGUUUUACUUAAUAUAUAUUAGAAUGUUUAUUUUGUCAAUACUAAAAUUAACCAUAUAAAUAAUAUUACCAAAUAAACGAUUUUACUUAAUAUCAAAACUCAAUAAAUCAAAUUAAUUUAAUCUUCUCAAAACAUAUAACUUGAAUAAACAAUUUUACUUCAUUUGAAUUCAUCAUUUCCUUUCCAUGAAUACAUGAUAUGAUUCAUUUGAAAACUUACCAUUCCUUUCCUUUUCAUGCCCGUUCAACCACUUAGAAUAUCAUCGAAUACUCAGGAAAGCUCACACGAAGUAUGCUUAAACAUAUAAUCGUAACCUUUCCUUUACAUCGUUGCUCACACGAGCUGUGAAAUGGGCUUGCUCACAUGAGCUGUGGGUCGAAAUGUAAGCUACACAAUGCUGCUCACAUGACCUGUGGAGUAUCCGUAAGAAAUGCAGGACCUUAGUCAUUGGUAGGACAUUCAAGACCAGCACCCGAAACAUGAAAUUCCUAUGACAUGUAAUUUGUAUCCUACGAAUUUCUAAGGUUCAACUGGGACUCGAUAGCCGUCAUGGCAUUGUUGGAUAUUUAUCAUUCAAUUACAUAAUAACUAACAUAUUAACAUAUAAUUGGAAAUAGCAUUAAAAACAAUACUAUUUCAUACGAACUUACCUCAACGAUUAGAGCGUAGAAACAGAAUUGACUAAUCCGAGGAUUUAGCUUUUCCUUGAUCUAUAUUCGUUCUUGGUCUAUCUUGAUCUGAAUAGACAAAUUUAAUUCAUUUAAUAAACCUAGCAUUCAAUUCAGUCCACAUUUCAUAUUUUUGAAAAUUACUAUUUUUCCCCUAACGUUUUAACUUUUUACAAUUUAGUCCUUAAGCCCAUAAAUUGAAAUCUAAGCAUUUUCAUCCUUUUCACAAGCUAUUUGAUUUCUCUAAGGACCUAUAUCAAUCCAUAAAAAUCAUCAUUUCACAAAUUUACCAUGAACUUUCAUCAUUUUUACAAAUAAGUUCCUAAAUGCAAUUUUCAUCCAAAAUCACUUCACAAAACUAGUUUAUUUAUCAACAAGGACUCAUAAUCUUCCAUUAAAAAUCAAGAAUCAUGCAAUAACAUUCAUGCUAAAACCCUAAAUCUUUAACAAUUUUGCAAAUUGAUCCCUCGUUAAAAACAGGACAAAAUCACACUUACAUGCAAAGAAAUAGCUUGGCCGAACAUGUCUUCCCCUUUAAUGGUAAAUUUCGGUCAUGGGUGAAGGAAAUAAGAAAGAUAAUCUUUUCAUCUUUUAAUUCUUUUACAUUUUUCAAUUAAUUAUCAAGUUACUUAAUUAACCUUUAAAAACUAACAAAAUUUCAAAUAAACCUUGCAAUGAAUAUUCACGAACCACAAAAAUACUUUUAUUAUCAUCUAAGUCCUUUCACAUUAAAGUUUCAUAGUCAUUUGACACCUUUAACUAAUAGAACUCCUUCUUUGCACCUUUUACAAUUUAGUCAUUUUAACUUAAUUAAGCCUGCAAACAUCAAAAUUUCUUAAUAAAAUUUUAAUACAACCUCAUUAAUAUCCCAUAGACAUUAAAAUAAUAAUAAAAUAAUUAUUUACUCGUCAGAUUUAUGGUCUCAAAAUUUUUGAUUUUACCGAAAAGUGGCUGUUACAUGACCACACUUAUCUAGUUCUGGAGGAUUACCACAUUAUUUUUAAUAGCUUGACUGCACUGUUUUGAAAAGUGAAAUAUGCUUACUAUCAUGGUGUGUGGGGUUGGAUGAGUAUUUAUUACCCUAACUGGUGUGUCGGGAUGGACAAAGAUGGUGUGUAGCGGAUGGGGGGUUAGGAUUUGAAUAUGUUUUUGUAACUGAUUAGUUUGUCAUAUUGCAUCGCGAGAUAUGUUAUGCUUUUGUGUUUGUUCGAUUACUACUUUUUGUGUGAAUUUUCUAUUCGAUCUGUUUCUAUGGGCUAAGUUACACACUGAGCUUUGUAAGCUCACCCAAAUUUUCUGACUUCCAAGGUAAUCAACAAACUUAGGAUCAGGCGGCGCAUGGGAGCUCAAAUUGAUUUUUUGGUUAAUAAAAUAAGACAAUUUAUGUUUAAAAUUUAACUCUGGAGUUUUUGGACUAAUUAAAUAUUUUGGACCUUGUUGUCGGUUUUUAUUGAGUUUUCUACUGGAUUAUGCUUUUGAUAAAUUGCAAAAUCAUUUGUUUUCGAAUUUUGAAACCGCACUUUACAAAUUAAGUAAGAAAUUAACAAAUUAACUGUUUUCUUUUGCUAUGAAACUGUUGCUGCGAAAUCUAAAACUUUUAUUGUGAAACUAAAUAAAAAAUUAACUAUUUUUUUAAGUAAACAAGAUCUAUGCGUAUUUUCCUGAAAAAUUGCAAGAGAUUUGAUAUGUUUAUCUAAUUCCUCAAGAUUUGGUCGUAACCUCUAGACCAGGUUUGGGGUGUUACAUUUUGUGGUAUUAGAGCCUAGGUUCAAAACUCGAGCUGUGGCUUCUGGUUCUAAUUUUAUGAAACUUGUUUUUUUAAAAUUAUAUGUAUAUAGUUUCUGGCUUUUGAUUAUAUUUGAAACUUGAAUUUAUAAAAAGAGAAUUCGAGACUCUGGCACCGAUCCAGUAAGUUACUUCUACUUUAGCUAUACUAGACAAACUAGUAAAACUGUAGUGCUAAGAUAACUCCAGUUUAGCUAAAGACUAAGAUAACUUUAAUAAAACUUUAGAAUUAAUAUUUUUAAUAACCUAAGUUAAUUUGUAAAAAUUUUGAACUAUAGAUAAUUAUAGAUAAUGAGUACACAAGGUACAUGGGGUCGCAGUACUCGAGGGUGUGGUAGAAGUCACAAAGAGGCUCAAGCUGAGCCUUCUUCUCGGGGCAACAUGCCCAAUCUAGAGACUAGUGAGAUGCUAGAGAUGCCUACCACAGAGAUUGAACCUUAAACCUAGAAUAUAGGGGACGACACGUUGUCCCAAGUUAUGUUAAGGGUUUUACAAAGUUUUGUUGUGACCCAAUUCGAAUUUGAGAGCCGAUGGUCGAUAACUGAAUGAUUCUGAUCUAAUGGUGCUGAGUUAUUUCACAAUAUCGUUAGGAUUACCUUGACUGUGGUCGAGUAUUGGUUGGAGGCCAUCUAAAGGAUCAUGGAUGAUCUGGACUGCACCCCAGAGUAAAAAUUAAAGGGUGCAAUAUCUUUUUUUCACGAUAAGGCAUAUAAGUGGUGGCAGUCUGUGGUGCAAGGCACUCAGGCUGAGCAUGUGACUUGAGAAUUCUUCUAGCAUGUCUUCAAGAAUAAAUAUGUGGGGGUGUGAUAUAUUGAGGCUUGUAGGAUGGAAUUUAUCGAGCUUAAAAAGGGAGAGAGGUUUGUGGCUGAGUUUCUGAGGCUGAACAGGUACUUUCAGAGUUUGGUAGCCACCGAUUAUGAUAAAACUGUCCAUUUUGAGGAUGAAAUUUGAUAUUAUUUGAAUAUGUUGGUAGCUCUAGAGCAAGAGCGGGUCUUCGAAACAUUAGUGGAGAAGUCUAAGAUAACUGAAGCGAUUAAGCGUGUAGAGCUCGAGAAAAUGGAGCAUGAAAGGAAUCAGAAUAAGAACAAGAGAGAUUCAAGUCCUUCUAGUUCAGCUCCGUGGCCUAAGAAAUGGUCCAGGUUUGAUAGGCCUCAGCAGGUUGAGGCAACGAUUAACAAUAGUGGGGUUCAGGUUUGUACUGGUUGUGGUAGACGCCAUCUGAGCUAGUGUUGAAAGAGGACAGGGGCAUGGUUGCGGUGUGGCUCUAUGGAACACUACACUAAGGAUUACCUGUAUCAGGGUAAGUAGAUGCAAGCUUCGGUUCAGCCUCAAAGGGUAGUUUAACAACCAUCAAGCGAUUGUGGUCAAGUUAGGGGUGGUAAACGUGCUAAUUAGACCAAGGUGGGGUAGCCUGCUUUAGUUUAUGCGAAAAGGUUCUGUGAGGACAGAGAUGCAAUCGGCGUGAUAGCUGGUACAUUUACUAUUCAUUCUCACCCAUUUUUAUUUAUUGGCAUUGGUUCCACGUAUUCAUACACCACUAGUUCUAUAUUUGGUAAUUUGGGAAUUUCUGCUGAGGAUACUUCUAGUAGGGUUUCAUUAAUUAGUCCACUAGGUCAAUGAAUGCAAGUUAGUGAGGAUUAUAGGAGGUUUCCAUUAGAGAUACAAGAGGUUGUGUUUCUGGUCGAUUUGAUGGAGUUACCAUUUGGGGAAUUUGAUUUGAUUUUAGGUAUAGACUGGCUUGUAGAGCAUCGAGUUAGUUUGGAUUGUUCCUCAAAUAGGGUAACUCUAAACAUCAAGGAUGGUUUGGAAAUUGUGAUGGUAGGUGAGUGUCAAGAUUACCUAUCUAAUGUAAUCUCCGCUAUGGUGGCUAAGAAAUUGGUUCGGAAAGGGUGUGAGGCGUAUUUAGGCUAUGUGCACGACACUAGUUUUGUGGGUUCUGUUGUGAAAGGAAUUCACAUACUUAAAUAUUUUCUAGAUGUCUUUCUUGAAGAAUUGUCCAGGUUAACACCAGAUAGGGAAGUCGAGUUUGGAAUUGAGGUUUCACUAGGGACAACACCGUUGUCUAUUGCUCCUUACCAUAUGGCAUCAGAUGAGCUAAAAAAUGGAAAGCCCAGAUUCAUAAAUUUCUCGAUAUAGGGUUCAUUAGACCUAGUGUGUUUCUAUGGGGAGCAUUGGUACUCUUCGUAAAAAAGAAAGAUGGUACAAUGAGAAUGUGUUUAGACAAUCGACACCUGAAUAAGCUGACGACAAAUAAUAAGUAUCCAGUACCGAGAAUUGAUGCCUUGUUUGAUCAGUUUCGAGGGGCAUCUGUAUUCUUUAAAGUCAAUCUGAGAUUUAGGUACCAUCACCUGAAUGUAAAAGAAGCUGAUGUGUCUAAGAUCACCUUUAGGACUCCUUAUGGUCAUUAUGAGCUCCUUGUUAUGCCAUUCGAUUUGACGAAUGCUCUGGCUGCAUUCAUAGAUCUCAUAAAUAGGGUGUUUCAGUCGUAUAUGGAUCAAUUUUUCUUAGUAUUUAUUGAUGAUAUUCUGGUAUACCCUAAGACCAAAGCUAAGUAUGAUGAGCAUCUCAGAGUGGUUCUGCAGAUUCUUCGAGAAAAGAAGCCUUGUGCUAAGCUUAGAAAAUGUGAGUUUUGGUUGAAAGAAGUUAUGUUUCUAGGGGAUGUAGUUUUUGCCGAAGGUAUCAGUGUUGACCCAGAAAAGAUUGAGGCUAUUCUUGAGUAGAAACAACCUAGAAAUGCUUCUAAGGUUCAGAGCUUCCUCAGUUUAGCGGGGUAUUAUUGAAGAUUUGUGGAGGGUUUUUCCUUUACCAUAACUUCUUUGACUAAAUUGUUGCGUAAGAGCGUGCCUUUCAUUUUGACUAAUGAUCAGCAAUCGAGUUUUGAGAAACUUAAAUCAGCUUUGACUUAAGCAUUUGUUCUGAUAUAGCUUCAAUGUGGGAAAAAUUUCGUGGUGUAUAAUGAUGCAUCUCACACUGGUUUGGGUUGCGUUUUGUUGUAAGAGGGUCAGGUAGUGGCAUAUGCUUCUAUACAACUUAAGUUGCAUGACGGUAAUUAUCUGACACACGAUUUUAAGCUAGCUAGAAUUGUAUUCGCUCUUAAUAUCUGGAGGCAUUAGUUGUAUGGUGAUAGGUGUAUUAUCUACAUUGUUCAAAAAAGCCUCAAGUAACUUCUCACUCAGAAGGAGUUUAAUCUUAGGCAACGUAGAAGGAUUGAGUUGCUUAAGGAUUACGACUGCAUUAUAGAGUAUCAUCUCGUUAAGGCCAAUGUGGUGGUCGAUGCUCUUAGUCGGAGAUCUAUGUCUGAGUUGAGGUCGAUGUUUGCUCACCUAAGUUUGUUUGAGAAUGGUUGGUUAUUGGUCGAGUAAUAGGUUAAGUUGACUUGGGUUGAUGAGAUUUGAGAUAAGUAGCAUUUGGAUGAAUCUUUGGUUAGUCGAGUUCAUCAGAGUGAAGAGGGUAAGACUUCAGAUUUUAGGUUUAACAGUGAGGGCAUUCUAUGUUUUCGGGGUUGGAUUUGUGUGUCGAAUGAUGUGGAAUUAAGGCAGACUAUUUUGUGGGAAGCGCAUAGUAGCCCUUAUGCUAGGCAUCCAGGUGGUAAUACAAUGGUCGUGAUCUCCGAGAAUUGUAUUGGUGGCCCAGUUUGAAAUGAGGGGUAACCGAUUUUGUAUCUUGGUGUUUGAUGUGCCAGUAGGUCAAGGCUGAGCACCAACUUCCUUCUGGUUUGCUUCAACCUAUUAAGAUUUCGUAGUAGAAAUUUGAAGGGUUAACCAUGGACUUCGUUAGCAGGUUGCCCUUGACACCCAUUAAGAAGGAGUUUGUUUGUAUCAUCGUGGGUUGAUUGGCCAAAUUUGCUCAUUUUCUUUCGGUUUGAACUGAUUAUUCUCUACUAAAUCUUGCGAAAUUAUACAUAUCUAAGAUAAUUAGACUUCAUGGGGUUCCUAUAUUGAUUAUCUCAAAUCGAGACAUUUGUUUUACAUCUCGAUAUUGAAAUAAACUACAUGAGGCUUUGGGUACUCGGUUAGACUUCAGUACUACAUUCCAUCCACAAACUGAUGGAUAAUUUGAGAGGGUGAUUCAGGUAUUGAGGGAUAUGUUACAGAGUUUUGUUAUUGAUUCUCGUGGUAGUUGGGAGGAGUUUCUGUCACUAGCUGAAUUUGGUUAUAAUAAUAGGUUUAAGGCUAGUAUUCAGAUUGCACUUUAUGAAGCUCUGUAUGGUCGAGAGUGUCGCACUGCGCUGUGUUGGACCGAGUUGGGUGAAAGGAAGGUUAUGGGUUCAGAUAUGGUUAUUAAGACUAAAGAUAAGGUCAGGUUGAUUCGGAAUCGACUUAAGGCAGCUUCUGACAGAUAGAAGUCUUAUGCGGAUCUUAAGAGGAAAGAUAUAGAGUUUGUUGUAGGAUAUCAAGCUUUUCUUAAGGUAUCUCCAUGAAAGAAGGUUCUCAGAUUUGGACGUACGGGAAAGUUGAGCCCUAGGUUUAUUUGGCCUUAUUGAAUUUUGAGGCAAGUAGGGCUAGUUGCCUAUCAGUUGGAGUUGCCUCCGGAGUUAGACCACAUAUAUGGUGUUUUCCACAUAUCUAUGUAAGAUGGUACGGGUUUGACAUAUCUCACAUUAUCCCUAUUGAGGAGAUUCAAGUGAGGCCAAAUUUGAUGUUUAAGGAGGAGCCAAUGCAGAUUUUGGAUCAAGAGGUAAAAGUCUUGAGAAGGAAAAGUAUUCCUUUAGUUAAGGUUCUUUGGUGGAAUCAUGGUACUGAGGAAGCCACUUAGGAACCGAAGGACUCCACUCAACAGCAAUAUCCACAUCUAUUUGAGACAGGUAAAUUUUGAGGCAAAAAAUCUUUUAAGGAGGGGAUAGUUGUAAUGCCCCAAAAUUUUUGUUUUUAAAUUGUUAGAUCACAUCAAGUGAUUUAGUUUGUAUCAAUGGUUAAGUGCCUUAGAUUGAGUGCUUUAGGUCUUGUGUUCGAUUCCCUUCUCUUUGGAAUUUUUCCAUUAAUUUUGAAAUUAUGCCUAACUUGGUUCGUAAGGAUUAUUUUUAAUUUUUGUAAGAUUACUGACAAGAAUGAGCUUGCUGAUUUAGUGGUAAGGCUUCAACUUACCUAGAGGUGCCGUGUUCAAAUUCUUAGCGUGCAAGUGAAAAUAUUUUUGUUAUUCUCUAUAUGUGUCGCCCAUGUGGUUAGAAUUUUAGUUAAAUUUAAAUUUUGGGAAGAUCUAAUAGAGAUAGCACAUAGGAUUUAGUGGGUGGUUAAAAUUUUUUAAAAAAAAUUUAGUAAUGUGUAUCUAAUUUUUCUCCUAGUCCUAUCGUCCCUUUCCUCUUCUUGCUCACGUCAGUUUUCUCUUCUUUUUUCUUUCUUUCCUUUUCUUUUCCCUUUCAUUUUGUAUUUGAAACUAUAAAUUGCUGCUACUAUUUUUCCUUGUGACAUUUCUUUGUGGUCGUUUUAUUGAUUGGUAAGUUCUAUGUAUUUAAUUAUAAAUUUUGUUAUGGCAUUUUCUCCUAGGGUGAUAGAUGAUUCUGAUUAAUUGAUCAAUCAAGUGGUCUAAUUAUUUUGUGUUUUGUUAGGUGGAGAUUUUGUAACAAACACUUCGUCGGUGAAUUGAGUGUUACGAGCUGUUGCACCCUUGGGUAAGAAUCCAGAUACGACAGUUUAGGGGCUAGUUGUAAGCUUUUAUUUUGGUUGAAAGCCCUAACGUUUGUGGUUGAAUACUCUAAUCAAGUAAGGGUCGAGUGAUUAAUUCGGAAUUGGUAUGGCUGCUAAUUAGUUUGUUUCGAUAUUGUUUUAGGGUCUGAAAUUAUGUCGUUGCAUCACUAUUCAGAAACAAUCAGGUGUGUGACUCAAACUUUUAAAAAUAGUGAACAGAGUGAAGCUGAAAAACCCACUAUUGACGCCACAAAGGCGUAUUGGUCACACGGGCUGGGCUAGAUAGGUCGUGUGGGCCUAUUAUUCGUAAAUUUUAAUUAGGGUCAUGAUUGAAGUGUGUUUCAAUGCUAGCUACUCCGUAGGGUCUGUUAUGUGAUAUGUAUAGCUUAUAUGUAUAUGAAAUUUAAUGUUCUGCUUCUUUAUGUUUAACUUUUGAAAGCAUGUUGGCAUAUUCUGAUGUGUAAGGCAUGUAUGAUUUGUGUGCAUCUGGAUAUCUGGUUAGUGAUUGCAUAUGCAUUGGGGUGAGAUUAUGAUGUGAUGGUGGAAGUGUUGGUAGUUUAAUGAUCUGCCUUAACUGGUGAUUUUUACCACAAAUCUGUUUUGGUGGCUUGACCACACUUAUCUGGUUGUGACGAAUUACCGAAUUAUUUGCAGCUUAACUGCACUAUUUUGAAAAGUGACAUAUGCUUACUGUUUUCGUGUGUGGAAUUGGAUGGUUAUUUAUUACCCUAACUGGUGUGUAGGGAUGGACGGAGAUGAUGUGUAGCAUACGGGAAUAGGAUUUGUAUAUGUUUCCGUAACUGAUCUGUUUUUCAUAUUGCAUCGUAGUAUAUACCAUGCUUUCGUAUCUGUUCGAUUUAUGAUAUCUGUGUGAAUUGUCUAUCUAAUCUGUUUGCAUGGGCUGAGUUACACACUGAGCUUCAUAAGCUUACCCAAAUUUUCUGACUUCUCAAGUAAUCAUCAAACUUAGGAUCGAGCGGUGUACGAGAUCUUGGAUUGAGUUUUUGGUUAAUAAAACAAGACGAUUUAUGUUUAAAAUUUAACUCUGGACUUGUUGGAUUGUUUAAAUAUUUUGGACUUUGUUGUCAGUUUUUAUUGAGUUUUCUAUUGGAUUCUGCUUUUGAUCAAUUGCAAAAUCAUUUUUUUCACAUUUUGAAACCACGCUUUAUAAAUUAACAACUCUGGAACUUCCGCUGAGAAACUAAGUAAAAAAUUAACUAUUUUUCUGUUAAGUAAACAAGAUAUAUGCGUAUUGUCUUGAAAAAUUGCAAGAGAUUUGAUAAAAUCAAUAUUUUUCAAAAAACACACUUUUCAAGUUCAAAAAUCUGAAAUAUAAAAUAAGUUUAUGUAAUUCCUCAAGAUUCGGUAGUAACAUCUAGGCCGGGUUUUAGGUGUUAUAUAAUCCUUCCAAGCAAUUUCAAAAUAAAAACUCAAUUUUCCCAUUUCCACGUUUGUUGAAUUUUUGUCCAAUUUUUUUGUUGAAAAUUGUAUUUUUGGAUUGAUUUGUAACAUAUACAUUGUGUUUUCUUGCAGGAGGUUGCCUAAAUUUAGCCAAAAUAUUAAAAAUUUUAUUUAAACACUUUGCCUACAAGGUGUUCGAUAAAAUUCCCCAACCAGAAUUCUAAGUUCAAACAGUGUCUCUCUAGUUAAUUUAGUUAGAAUGUCUGUUAGGAUACAUCGUCGUUCUGGUCCUACAUCUUCAUCUAGUGGUCAACCCAUUUCUUUUAAAGAUUAUUUUAGAAAUGACAAUGAUACUUACCGGUUUGAUCAAUAUUUUUCAAAACGCUCUCACACUUGAUCUUGAAUUUUUAGCUAAAACCAAUUUUUAAUUUCUUGAAACGUUAGUCAAAUGGAAUUUGGUUGAAUUUUUUAAAAUUCGUUCACCAACACAUGCUAAUCUUGUUCAAGCAUUUUAUUCAAAUGCUAGACUCAAACAUGAUGAAUCUGGUGAUGUUGUGGUUGUUAUUAAAUCUUUUCUUAUGAAUACUUUUAAUCGACUCAUUUUGGAAAAUUUUGGUGAAUUUUUGAAACUUCCUCCUAGCGAUGAGUCGAAUGAGAAAGCCCAUUAUAAUUCGACCUUGAAUGUUCGACGCUGGUAUACAUCUAAGCUUAAUGUCCAUGAUCGCGUUUUGCAUUAUAUUGCGUCCUAUUUCAAAACAUGUCGUUCUUCAAUCUAUCGACUAUUGGUGGAUUUGUAACACCCCAAAUCCGAUCUAAACGUUAUGACCGAAUCUGGCGAUGUCACAUUGUAACACCCCUUACCCGUAUUCGACGCCGGAAUAGGGUACGGGGCAUUAUCAGAACACAUACACUUAUAAACAUGUUAAACCGAGUUAUAAAAUUUCAUUCAAAUUUAAACACUUCAAAUUUUUAACAUGCUUUUAUAAAUUUUCACGUUAUAACUUCAAAAUACUAUACUUGUAACAAAUAGGGCUUCUGAGACCCAAUACAUACUCAUGCAAUCCAAUACUUCAUUUCCAUUUCAUUUAAUUCAUGAUUCUCAUGUUCACGAUUCAAUUCAAUUUCUCAAUCCAAUAUACAUUUGAAUACCACAAUAAUUUAUUUAAUUCAAAUCAUAUCAUUUGAAAUUUCCAUUUAAUUCACGUACAAUUCAAUUUCAUUAAGUUCAAUACUAAUACAUAUUCAUCGUUUAACUUAACGUCCCAUUUUUGCAUCAUUUUACACUUCAAGCAUGAACCUAGUAUUUCAUUUUCUUUCCACUCUCGUUUCCUAUGCAUAUCACACAAGAUAUAAACAUUACACUCAACCAUAGUCGCAAGCUAGCCUUUUUGAAGACUAACCACAUGAUUAACCAUUUUAAUAAAGAUUACAAACUUUAAACCUUACCACCCUUUUAUGAUCACAAGAAUAUUUCCAUCUAGACAUUUACCAUCUCAAUGCAUAAUUUUAUAAAUUUAAUGUGGCGUAAUCCAGCCACAACUUGGCAAAAGCCUAAGCAUACACACCAAACAUGCUAGCCAAAUAAACAUAUAGUAUAAGCAUUAUAAGCAUGGAUAAGCACCACAUUUUUUUUAUGUAUCAAACUUAUCAACAUGAGUUAAUUCAUAAACCAUUUCUGAAAUUGCUACAUACCAAAUCAUAUACCAAGUAUACCAUAUACACAUACUAUGAAACUUUAUUUUCUCACAUGAACUUUAACUAUAACUAAUAAUGCACAAUUAUAAACAUCAUUUCUUUUCAAUCGUUUAUCGAUUAUAAUCGAGCAUAUGGCCAAUUAUACACAAAUCAUUCAUAUGUUCUUCCAAUUUUCCUCCUCCUCCUCUCCAUUCCACAUCCUUAAUGUGUAUAACACACUUAAACAACAUUAACUACAAUUUCACUAUUCACUCACAUGUAUAUUCAAAGCCAUCUAUUCGAGUCAGAGUCACUAAAUUAUUUUUACCUGGAGCUACAAAACUCCAAAUUAAGAUCUGUAAAUUUUCCCUGAAACUAGAUUCACAUAUAUUCUUACCAUAAAAUUUUCAGAAUUUUUUAUUUAUCCAAAUAGUACAUUUUAUUCUUUAAAGUUUCCCCUGUUUCACUGCUCGACAGUUCUAACCUCUCUUCACUAAAAAUUAAAUAUCUCAUUGUAAAAAAGUCAGAUAUUGAUUCCGUUUGUUUCUCUUAAAAAUAAAUUCACUGAUAAUUCUAAACAUAUAAAAUUUAUCCCAUAAUUAUUUUUGUACAAUUUUUGAAAAUUUUCCAAAGUCAGAAUAGGGGAUUCCAAACUCAUUCUGACUUUAUCUAACUAAACUUCAAAUAUCUCAAAAUAUAUAACUCUUUUUCUUGCUCUGUUUCUUUUAUGUCAAAACAGACUCAUUCAGCUUCAAUUUCAUAUAUUAUUCAGCCUCUAAUUUAACAUCCAACAUUUUUGGUGAUUUUUCAAAGUCACACAACUGUUGCUGUCUAAACUAUUUUAUUGCUAAAUGUACUCUUUCAUAAUUUCACUUUUUCACUUUCAAUCACAAUUCAAUUCAAAAUUCACUUUUCCAUUUCUAAGUCGAUAUUCAAUUCAAUUCCACACCUAUAUUCAUUAUUCAAUUACACUUAGUCAAUUUCCCGAUGAACGCUUUGAAAUAAUAACAGAUACUCGGUGGAUUCAGCACAUAGCAACCAUUUUAUUAAUCAAUGAUGACCGGUGGAAUCAGCACAUAACAACCACCUUACUAAUCAAUGAUGUUCGGUUCACAUAGUAGCCUGCACAUAGUACUACACAUGUGACCAUUACCAUCCGGUACACGUAGUAGCCUGCACAUAGUACUACACACGUGAUCGGAACUAUCUGAUACGCAUAGCAGCCUGCACAUAGUACUACACACGCGACCUAUCAUUCUGGUACACGUAGUAGCCUGCACAUAGUACUACACACGUGACCAUCACUUUCACUUUUACAUAGUGGCCUACACACAAUCUGUGCCACACAUGUGAUCAUUUCUGUCACUUCAUUCUUAUCCCUUUUUAUUCCAAAUGUUCAUUCCGGAAUUUUUCACUUUUUCUCACUUUUCUUUUUAUCGAUCAAUUUCAAUUUCUCGUCUUUAUUGAUUUAUAACAAUACAUUUAAUUUAUAUAACCUUCACACUAUUCAUUCCAGUCAAAAAAUCAUACUUUGGAAAAAUUAUGUUUUUGCCCCUCAAUUUUCACAAAAUUACCAUUUUGCCCCUAGGCUCGUAAAAUAAUUUUUAUUCAAUUUCCUUGAAUUUUAGGCCUAUUUGAACCAUUUCCAUAAUAACAGUCCACAAUACUCAUUUAUUCACACUCUUGUGACAUAUUUUAUAACUUUUACAAAUUAAUCCUUUUAGGCAUAUUCGUCGAAAAUUACUUAGUACAAAUCGUUUAUCACACUCCAAACAUUCAUAUUCUUCCAUAAAACAUCAAAAUACAUGCAUAUCAUUCAUGGGUAAAGUUUUAAACACAAACCCUAGUUCAAAACAAUGGUAAAAAUAGGUAAAUCUUGUUACGAGGAUUUAAAAAACGUAAAAAUCAUUAAAAAUAGGGAUAGAAUGGACUUACAAUCGAGCUUGGAAGCUUGAAAAACCCUAGACAUGGUUUCUCCAUGCAAUUUUCGCCCUAGGGGUUGAAGAUGGACAAAAAUUGGCUUUAAAUUUUGUUUUUAAUUCAUUUUAAAAACUAAAUGACCAAAAUGCCCUUAAUGAAAAACUUUGGAAACAUGCCUAACCAUACCCCUUUUUAUCCACCAACUUAGCCAAUGGUCUAAUUACCAUAUAACGACCUCCAAUUUAAAAUUUCAUAACAAUUGGACACCUCUAACAUAUAGAACUCAACUUUUACACUUUUUACAAUUUAGUCCUUUGAGUGCCCAAACAUCAAAAUUUUCGAACGAAAUUUUCACGAAAUCAUUUUGUGAAAUCAUAGACCAUAAAAAUAUAUUGAAAAUAAUUUUUUUCUCAUCGAAUUUGUGGUCCCGAAACCACUAUUCCGACUAGCCCCAAAUUCGGGCUGCUACAGGAUUUAAUUGUUUUCAUAGCAAUAGGCAUCCAGAUCUUGCUUUAAUUUUUUUAAUGACAUUACCAAACGCAUUGGCAAUGAGCUCGUUAGUAAGCUAUCUUUGCCUUUUGGCAUGCACUUGUCAUUUAUCUUUAAAUUCCUAAACAUCCCAACCAAUGUCGAUCCUCCUUUGGUUGUUAGAUAUCAACCUAUUAGCUUUAUUGUCCUUCAUCAAACUGGUUUUAAAGUGGACCUUCUUACUAGAAAUUGGGUUAAGGAUGACCAUCAUAAUCCUGAAGAUGAUGAUGAUGAAAACCUUGAAGAAGACCAUGGUGAUAUUCCUCCUACUAAGCAAGACCCUUCACUGGCUCCUUUAUUCGCUUAACCAUUUGCUCCACCUCUCUUCGAUGAUAUGUCUGGAACCAUCAUUGGUGUUAUUACUUCAUUGAGUGAGGAGUUUAGAGGUUUCCGCACUCAAGUAGAUGAUGCAUUUGAACAAGUUAAUAAUAAUUUUGGUAUUCUAGGCUCCAGGAUAGGGACUUUGGAGGAGCAAAUAACUGCAUUUAUUUCUCACUUUCCUCCAUUGGAUCCUCCUUCGUCACAUAAGGAUGAUUAUUUUAUAUCAUUCAUACACUUGUAUCAUGCAUCUUUUAAUUUGUUUAUGUACUUUUCUAUUGUCUUACUUUACUUCAGGAUAUUAUCAUGUUUAUUCUUAAUGUUAGUUCUUUGUUUUUCAAAUUCUUCAAUUUCUUUUACUGGACUAGCAAAGUCUCUCUUAAGCUUUAUUUGUUGAUUUUUAAUAUAACAAAAAUGGGGAGAAUAGAAGAGGUACGUAAAUUAUUAGUAUUUGGUUGAUUACUUUUUUUUAUAACUAAUCGUUUAAUGUCAACAUCAAGUGAACAAUUUUUUUUACUCCCAAAACUUUGUUUUCAAAUUUCAUAAAAAUCAAGUCAUUGGUUCAAAUUAACCUUUAAAAAUGGGAGUAACAAAGUCAAAAACAAUUUUACCAAACUAUUUUGUUAUAUAAAAAAGGGGAGAUUGUUAAACUAGCUUUAUUUAAUAAAUUGUUUUGAUAUAACAAAAAAAAAUUUUGAAUAAAAAUUUGUUUUUGAACAAAGAAUUUAUAAAGUUCAAAGCAUAAAAAUAAUUUCAAGACUUCCAAACAUCUUAGAAAUGUUUUGAACACUUAGAAUAUUUUGGACAAAGUUCAACAAUGAUUUUAAACUCUUGAACUUGAUUGAAACAAUCUUAAAUCAAUUGAAAAAUUGUUCCCUACAAGAAGUAUCGAUAAUUUCCUAAAAGUAUUGAUACCAAUAUGAUUUUUAUCGAUACCAAUAUUACUCACUGACUUGAAUAAAAAAGUAAACAAAAACAAUAAGUGUCGAUACCUUUCAAAAUAUACCGAUACCUAUUGAUUUUUAUUAAAACCAUCUUUUUAUAUCGAUACCAUUUUUGCAUUAUGUUUUUAUGAUUUUUCAAACAAUGAAAAAAUGUAUCGAUACCCAUUAAAAAUCCGUCGAUACCUUUUACCAGGUAUCGAUAAAUCAUAUUUGGUAUUGUUGUAAACUAAAUUUAAUGAUCACUGAAUCAAGUAUUAAAUGCUAUUAGUAGCGAUAAUCGUAGAAAAAGUAUCGAUACUUUUUAUUGCAAGUGAAUUCAAUGAUCUGGUAUUUUCAUCCCUAACGGCUCUAUUUAUUUUCUCAACAACCAGAACGAUUGGAAAUGAAUCAGAGGGUAUAAAAACUAGCUUCUAAAGGUCCUACAACAACAUGAAAACAUAUUCAAGCAAAAAGAUCAAUCAAACAACCUUUGUGCUAAAUAUUUCCAAACUUUUCUUUCAUGCACUUGUUAGCUUUAUUUCAUUCUAUUUGCUCAAGUAUUUUUCAUUGUAAUUGAGCUUAAUUUGCAAACACUUUGAUCUUGUAAGGAUUUUUUCAUUGUUUGCUUCUUUGUAUCUCUUUGAGAGGGUUUGUAUCUUAAGGUUUGGGUAGAACCCUGAAGGGAGUUUUUAAGGUUAAACCUUGUCCUUAAAGGUUACCAAAUUAGUGAAUUUGAGAAAAUCCUUAGUUAUGGAAAGCUAAGGUAGCGGGGUAGGAAAUUAGGGUUGAAGCUCUCUAAAUUCUUGUGUUGAAUUUUCUAUUUUUUUUCUCUAGCUUUCACAAAAUUUUUAAAAGCCAAUUCACCCCCUCUUGACAAUUUUGGUUUGAUUAAUUAAGCUAAAACUCUCCUAGUGAACUGGUUAGAUAUCUUGCCUCGUAUCAUUGGUUAACUCUGGUGGAUUAGUACAUGCGUCAUCAUAAUGAUGGAUUCUAUUACUCUUCUUUCUUUGAAACUUUCUGUAAACAGACAGUAUCAUUUGGAGUGCCUCAUUUUAUAUAACACAACUACCUCUGAUACUUAUCCAGAAGGAAAAUCCUUAUGUACUUAACCUCAAUAGGAGGCUUCUAAAUCCAUUAUUUGGAAAAUUAUAGUAAGAAAUAACCCCUUUCUUCCAAAACCAUGUAAGAUAGUCCCAAUGAACCUCCCUGCAACAAAGUAGUCCUUGUGGAUAUUCCUGUCUUCAAGAUAGCCCUUAGCAGACUUCUCCUUCAUCAAAUAAUCCUUAGCGGACUUCCCAAAAAAAUACCCCUUGAUGGAUUUUCUCAGAGCAUAUAGCCCUCGUAAACAUCUCCCUCAUUCUAUAGUCACUGGCGGAUUUUACAGAACAGAUAGUCCUUGGCAAACUUUCCGCAUAAGACACUUUUCGACGGGCUUUUCGUAUAAGAUAGUCCUUGGCGGACUUCCCUUUUCUGGUGCCCUCAUUGCCAAUAAACACUUUAGAAAUAUGAUUUAGAGAGCCGUCUCGUUUUCUUAUAACCCAUGUUGGCUUGUCCGCGACCUCUGGCGGACUCUUAAUGGUGGAUACAUAUUUUUAUAUACUCUAAAGGAAAUACCCCUUUUCCAUGCAUAUCCACACAUAAGGAGCUUUCACAUAUUCCUCUUACCUUCACAACUUGGCUAGACCUCUUAUCAGCACGUGUGCUAGUGUUUCCGCAUGCAUUAUAACUGUUAUGAUAGGCCUUUCAUCACUCGAAUCAUAUAGUGGUUCUCACAUAUAUUCCCUGAUGGGCUUUCCUGUUUAUUGUCUUGGCGAACUUCAUUUUGUAAUAAGGGUGAACCCGCCCUUUACUGGAUCAUGCCAUGACUAGUCGUGGGCUUUCGAUUCCGGAGAGUCAGUAAACCUUUUAAUGGUAUCACUCCGUAGAGCCUGUAAAUCAUUUUCAUGAUGUCACUCAGUAGAGCCAGUAUACCAUUUCCUUAAUGUCGCUCCGUAGAGCCAAUAGACCACUUAUCCAAUCAAACCUCCUCAAUUCCCCUUUCAAUCUGUAUGUUCCUCCAUUACGCCAAUUUUCCUAUCUUUAAGUAAUCCGCCAAAUAAUUCCCUUCGUAUUCUGAAUUUUAUAAACAUGCAUAUCAUGGAUAUCAUUACAACUAAUACUGUUUAUUCAUACUAUAUCAUAGAAUAUGCCACAUACCAAUUCAUCGAUACAACCAUAUCAUACAUUGAGAGAACAUACUUGCACAUUCAUAUUAUUGCAUAGCCAUUUACAUACAUUACCUUUCCAAACAAAAAUGAUCAUAAACAACCAUAGACUUAGACCAGACUCAGUACAAAGUAUGCAAACAACAUGGCAACCAAUAAACACCCAAAGGUGGAGUAUAGAAACUCACUUAUCGUCCUUCCUGCUUGCCAGCUUAGCUUUUCCAAAUACUAGAGUCUCCUCCAUCUUAGUUAGCUAAGCAUGACAACCAAAUAUACUCGUUAACUAAAAGGCAUUCACGCUUUCAAAUCUAAAAUUUAAAAACUUAUAGAAAACUUUUCAAAUUUUACAAAAACCCCAACUUCUCUUUUUAUCAAAUCUACGAGUAAAAAAAGAUUAAGAAGCAUACUAGUUCAUUAGAUUCUCAUCAUUUUAGACUCCAACCUCAUAAUCACUAUCCCAUGCAGAGCUUUCCUCAACUUUCUCUUCUUUGGAGCAACUUUCUCAAACUUCAAGGAUAGAGUCUGCCUCUCUAACCUUCCAUUGACAACAUUAAUGUGUGUUUCCAGCUAAUGAAUCCUCCUGUCUAACUCAUGAAUUCGUGCGACAAAAUCUUCCUUCUCUUUCUACCAUUGUUCCCUCUCGCUUUGAGACAUGUCUCCUAAAGGUGUGUGACCUACACUAGCAAGAGUACUAAUGACAGAUCCCAUUGUCUGUGUUGAAGCCUACAAUAAGGAUCUGGUGGGAGUAGCCUCAAGCAAAGCCUCACUGAAAGCAUUCGAAUGCAAGAAAGGAUGGCCAAGACUCGUGAAGUCAUGGAUAGUUAUUCCUUCAGACCUCGCAAGAAGUUCCUUCUGAGAUGACAUGCUUUUCAAUAGUUUUCCCUAAAAGUCUCUAGAAUCUUCUUUAGGCCUUUCUGAGCCAGUCAAAAUAGCAUUGCCUACACAAUACCAUCAAUAAAAAGGUUAACCUCAAAAACACACACAAUGAUGGCAGGGAGAAUUAUCUGAAAAGUUGUUACUAGAUUCACCACCACAAGCACUGAUAAAUUCCAGGACACCUAAAUGACGAUCAUCAUAAAUUUGAGGAAUAAUUUGAUUAGUAUCCAAAGGUAAUGCCCAGUUGCGAUCGGGUAAAUGGAAAAUUUUAAUAAUAUAGAAAAUGGGUUUCAAGGCCACCCUCCGCAAGCACUUGGCUACCUCAAUUUGAUGUGAAAAGGAAAUGCAUAUGAUGUUGAGGGUACAGUCCCAUCAUUCUCGAAGUCGUCCACUAUGUUUUGAGUUGUGUUCCCGCUAACACCUCUUUCCCCAAGACAAGAUUUUAAGACACCCUUAAAAGUAAUUUCAAGAGGGACCACCAAUAUCCCCUUUUGGUUUAUCAUAUUGAAUUGGCAAGAAUCUCCAAGAAUGUCAUGUAAAUGUAGGCGGUAAUAGAAUUUCCUAGUUGAAGGUUGUGUAGUUAAAUCUCCUACCAAAUUUCAACUCUAUAAGAUGUAUUUCCGAUAGUCAAUAUUCAUGGUCAUUGUCUCAUCAUUAAAUAGGUUCUAUUCGAGGGGAAAACUCAAAUAACCUAGGAAGUCUAUCUUCAUUUAAUUCCCAUAGAAAAUAAUAUACAAUAACAUCUAAUCGAAAUGAUAUAUGCCUCUUGUGAAACAUUAUGAAAAAUCCAACAAAUAGCCAUCAAGAAAGGCAUGUUAGCUACCUUAGUGGUAUGGUGAAGUCCUACAAUAAGUCUCAAAUAAAAUCUACAAGAGGAAGCAUAAAACCCGUUUCUAGAACAAACAACAGAAGGUAAAUCUUGGCCUCCUACUAAUAGCGUCUGGUCCAAACACUUUGCUAAUGUGAUGCGACCCUUCCAGGAUACUAAAUUCGUACUUAUGGUGCUUCACGAGUAAACCGUGACAUAAUGUUAAGUUCUUCAUCUCCUGAUGGGUCGUAGAACAUGGAUAACUAAAGCUGACAGUAGGUUCGUCACUCCCCCUCUUGAACCUCUUGGUAGUAGAUCAGUCAAACUUUGUCAACAUCAUAUUCUGACUCUCUGCUACGUCUCUUAGGGGAGCACAGCCAGUACGACCACUACCUCUUCCCUAAGUUUUGCUAGAUCGCUUUUCUCCCCUAGCCAUUUGGUAGCAAUUUUUUGGCAAAAUGGUGAAAAUAUCUCUAAUAACAAUAAAAAUAAGAAUCGCAAAGCGAAUCAAAAUGAAAGAACUCCAAAAAUGCAUAAAUCAUUCAGAAAAAGGCUAGUGAAAUAGUAAUUGAAGAAAUUUCAAAAACAAAAUGAGGCAAAGUAAUACUGUAGAAGAAAACCCAGAGAAUAUAUAUACCUAUCUCUUAAAAUGUAUCGUUUCAAAGAAAAAACGACAUCUAAUAGCAAUUCACCACCUGUCAAAAAAUUGUUGUUCAUCAUUAUCACAAGUUCCCAAAAACACAAUCCUCAAAGUACAUUUAUGGAAGAAUCUCAAAUGUUUUGAUAUAACGUUUCAUCAUAGAAUAAAGUCACCAUCUGGAACAACUUGGAAAAGAUGAAGUUACCAUAUCAAAGUGUCUCGAGAAAGGCCACUUUAUAACCCUCUUGAUUUUGAGUGGGGAUAUUUGUUAUACCCCCAUCCACGUUAAGACAUGUGGCAAGCCAAUAAGAUGUCUGAACAGUAAGCCUACCACUAGUGGCAAGUUGGAAGGUUACCUACAAGUUCAUCCUUCUGGGAUGACUACCCGAGCAAUGGAUGGCCUAAUCGUCAUUAAGAACAUGAAGUCAUUGGUCACCAAACAUCACGUGUGCCCAACUGCUUUAUCCUACCAAAAUCAGAAUUAACGAUAAAAUUUGUCCUAUUAUAGACAUCCUCAUCCCAUCAAAGACAACCCUCCCAUGCACUCCGUAAUGAAGGUUAGAUGAAAGUCCAACACGUUAGCACCAUCUUAUACGAGACCCCUACCUUUAAAUUUUUAGAGUAUGCCCAAAGACCAAUCAUAAGAUGAUUGUAAUCACAUACUUGUUUUACCUUGUUUGUUAAUAUAUGACAUUGUCAUUGUUAUUUCAGUUUCUUUUUCUGUGUGUAUAGAUAAACUGGUUAAUAAUAAAGUCUUGUGAAUCAUAUGAUUAUUCUUAAAAGGUUCUUAGUCAAGUAUUAUUGUGGGCUUGGACAAUGAUAAUACAUUGAGGCUAAUGUGUAGUUGAUUGAUGACAAAGUGUUGUCAUUGACAUAGGGAUGUCAAAAUCGAUACAUGAGUAUGUGUUAGAGAACAACAUACUAGAAUGACCUACUAUGAUAAUGUUUCUUGGAUUAUUAUUUAAUAGUCACAACAUUACUCAUAGUGAUAACUAUAUAUAUAAUCUUCAGACUUGAGAUCAUCAUUGUCUCAUCAUCCUGAGUCGUAUAUUUUGACAUAGUCAAAUGUCUACCAUAACAGGUUAUGCUAUAAAAACUAAUAUUAGGUAUACCACAAUCUAUGUAGUGGGAUAUGCUUGAUCAAGAUAGAAUUUGUUCCUCCUACAUAAUGGAAGCACUAUCUUAGGCCUCUUGAUGGAGUGAGAUUAGAAAUGCAUGUUCAGGCUCGAAUAAGUUGAUAUAAGAUAUCACACUUAUUUGUUUAUUGUAGUCUACUCAGAAUAUCAAUAAAUAUGAUAUUAGACUAUACAAGUAUGUCUAUUCCAUGACUUGUUUCCAAUCUCGAUAUUAAGGAUAAAAGGAUAUAAUACAUGAAAAAUUAUCACAGAAAGGUUAUGUCGAAUUACAACUUCUUGUAAUUUGGGUAGCAAUAAUGUAUUGCUAGUGCCACUCAUUGCUUGUAAUAUUAGAAACGUUCUAGUAUUACUACUAACGUUACAAGAGCCUACAAUGUCACACCCUAAAGUUGAAACGAACAGAAUCCAAAUACAUUUGAUAUUGUAUUUAGUUGUCACAUGAAUUAAAUUAAUUUGAUAGUUAAAUAUUGAACAUGUUAUAUGUACAAACUUAUUGUACACAAUAGAGAAUAUAGAUAAAAUUAAUAUAUGAAUUUGAUUCACACAAAAUAUUAAUUGUAUAUAGUUUACCAAAAUUAUUAAUAUAAACACUUAUAAUAAUUAAUUUCUGUCAAAAUAUAAAAGACAUGAAAAUUGAUAUUCUUUAGGAAAGAAUAUUUUUUUUUUUGAAUUUCCAUUUUUUUCUCUAAUAAUAUGGGAAUGAUCCCCUUUUUUCUUAUAUGUGAUAUCAAAGAAAAUAAAAGGAAUAUAAUCACUUACUAUGUUAGGGUUACAAAAAAAAAAAAACAAAUCAAAAGGUCUAGCAGCCGUUCUUAAAAGUUCUCUCUGAAAUGUUCAAGAGAGUUUUUGUUGUUCGUUCUUUGACUGGGUGGAUUACAUAGAGGCUGAGACGUUAUUGUUGCAGCUUGUGAUCGACAUCGCUCAAAGGGAUCCUAUCAACAACAUCAGCAGUCGCUUUUUCAAUUUCAAAAGGUAUAAUUUCGGUCAUUAUUUCAACCUAAUUGAUUCAUUGUAUAUGGAUCCAUGGCUGAUGAUCGUUAGAAUUUUUUUUCCAUUGCGCCGUACCGACGAUCCAACAUAAAUACCUUCAAGUACAAUGAAGAAAUGAUCAACUCUUCAAAAAUACCAAGUCUACACUCUGUCAACACUCUUUCAACCAUAAACCUUUAUGUUAUUUUCAUUACCACUCUUCAUAACCUUCAGCUCUCCACUUCGAGUGGGUGAACCAACCUCCUCAACAGCCACUCUCUCCUUUAAACUCCUCCCUUGUUGUACACAAUAUCAACAAUAUCAUUUAUUAAUGUAUAUUUAAUUAUAAUUUUAAACAAUUUGAAUUUGGGAUAAAAUUGAUCUUGGGCUCAUACUUGAAUUGUUAUCAAGCUUAGAUUGUUAAGAGUUCGUGCUAAGAUUGGCCUUGGGAUGGAAUAAUUUUGAGCUCGAGUUUAGAUUUUUUUUUUUUUUAAAGCUUGAGCUCAGAUUUUUUUAAUUAUAUUCUAGAAUUCAAACAUCGGGCUCCAAUCGUUGAGCACGGAAUAAACGUGCUUUCGAGGUCUGACUUGCCCUGCUCUGUUUUGGCAGCUAUAAUAGUGGGUCAUGAGAGUGCCAUAUUGUCAUCCGGAAUAUGGCUUUUCUAUCUCAUAAAAUAGUACCUAUCUUUCCCCUCCCGAUCAUAAGAUAAAACGACUAGGGCCACAGAAUUCCUUUCUUGGUCGCCUAUCCAUCGGUGGCAGUCUGCUGCUCAUGGCCGCAAAUCAAGAAGCAGAACCGUCAUGGCAGGAACUGCUUGGUUGCAAAAACUGGGACUCGCUUCUGGAUCCUCUUCACCUCUCACUUCGCAAACUCAUCCUCCGCUGCGGUGACUUCUGCCAGGCCACAUAUGACGCCUUCAACAACGACCAAAAUUCCAAGUUCUGCGGUUCAAGCCGCUAUGGCAAGUCCUCUUUCUUCGACAAAGUAAUGCUGGAAUCUGCCUCCGAUUACAAAGUAGAAUCGUUUCUCUAUGCCACUGCUCACGUCACUCUCCCUCAAGCCUUUUUGCUCCACUCCAGGUCAAGGGAGUCCUGGGACCGCGAAACAAACUGGAUUGGCUACAUCGCCACGACGUCCGAUGAAACAUCGAAAGCUCUGGGUCGCCGCGAUAUCUACGUAGUGUGGCGAGGAACUACCAGAGACUACGAGUGGGUUAAUGUUCUUGACGCAAAGCUUGAGCCCUUAGAGCCCCUUUUGCGAGUCGACGGAAGUAGCAACAAGGAAAUGGGUGAUAGUAGCAGUGACAGUGACAGUGAUAAUGAAAAUGAGAAGCCGAAAGUGAUGCUUGGUUGGCUGACGAUUUACAUUUCUGAUGAUCCCAAAUCGCCUUUUACAAAAUUAAGUGCAAGGGAACAACUUUUGGGUAAGAUAAAAGAGUUGAAAGAGAGAUAUAAAAAUGAAAAUCUAAGCAUAGUGUUCACUGGGCAUAGUUUGGGGGCUAGUUUAGCGGUUUUAAGUGCUUUUGAUGUAGUUGAGAAUGGUUUAGUGGACAAUAUUCCUGUGGCAGCUUUUGCUUUCGGUUGUCCACAAGUGGGGAAUAAGGCAUUUAAUGACAGGAUGAAAAGGUAUCCAAAUCUUACGGUUCUGCAUACAAAGAACAUAAUUGAUGUCAUUCCUCACUACCCUAGCCUGUUGUUGGGGUACGUUUAUACGGGGACAGAACUGGUAAUCGAUACCAGGAAGUCUCCAAGCUUGAAGGACUCAAAGAAUCCCAGUGAUUGGCAUAAUUUACAGGCAAUGUUGCACAUAGUAGCAGGGUGGAAUGGACAGGAAGGAGAGUUUGAGCUGAAAGUGAAGAGAAGUUUGGCUUUGGUGAACAAGUCUUGUGCGUUUCUAAAAGAUGAGUGCUUGGUGCCGGGUUCAUGGUGGGUGGAGAAGAACAAAGGGCUUGUGAGAAAUGAAGAUGGGGAGUGGGUAAUGGUUCCAGCAACCGAUGAAGACUUGCCUACACCUGAAGCUUAAAUGCAUUUGGAUUACCGUCUUUGGCUACUAAUACCUUUAUUUGGUCUAUUUUUCUUCCUUUCGUUAUGUUCUGUUUUGUUUCCUUUGUAUGUUACUUGAAUGUCUUGGUCUCCUCGAAGGAGAUUAGGGAUGGUGAUUGCUGCAAAUGCAUGAGAUCAAGUGCUAUCUUCCAGUGUAAAAUGUAUCUGUCUGAUGCUAAAUUAAGUAAUCUGUCAAAUAAGUUGCUGCUUUUUUUGGGGUAUAAAAUAAUAGAAUUUAUAUUUGAUACUUAAGUUAUCCUAUAAAUUAAUAUAUUGAAAGUGAAUUAAGUAAUGCAAUUAAAAUAUCUUUAUUUGAUUAAUUUUUGCCAACAAUCCCUUGGACUAGUGAUAAGAGUAUUAUGUUAUAGGUAAGAGGUGAGGUUUGCUUUUACUUUUUUAAAGUUGAUAUUAAGUGUGUUAGGUUUAAAAACGCCGCAAACAAAUAGAGUGAUUGGUUGACAAGUGUACUAUAUGGGUAAUAAAAUAUUAAAAAAGAAAUAUUUGAAAAAGAGAAACACACGGCAAUAAUUUCUUAAAACUAUUUAUGGAAUAAAAAGAGUAUAUUAUUAAUAUAUCAAAUAUUAACCCUUAAAAUUAAUAAAACUAAAAAUAGAAUCCUAAAAAUUAAAAUAAUUAAAAAAAUUGCAAGGGAGUAAAACAGGAUUAAAUAAAAAUGAUUAAAACAUUAUAAAAAAAACAUGCUGAGAAAAUCAUAAGUAAAACAAUUGAAAUUUGAAAAUGUUGAGAUAAUUAAAUUAAAAAUUGAUAAAAAAAAAUCAUAAGCAGAAAAUAAAAUAAAAAAUGGAAUCAACAACUAAAAAUUAAUAAAAACUAGAAAAACCUUUAGGAAAAAAAUUGAAAUUUUAUAACCACGGUGGUGUUAUCAAACUUUGAUGUUUGAUUAAAAAUUAAAAAAGUUGAAAUGUAAAAUGUGAAAGAAAAAAACCAACUGCUCUAAAUCUAAAAGAAAUAAAAAUAGUGGUUGCAAACGGAAAAUGAUUAAAAUAUUAUAAAAGAAGAAAAUAUAUGUUGCUAUUUUAUAAAGAAAAAGUUAAUUAGUUUCAAGUAAUGGGAAAAUGGACUGUCUAGAAAUUAAUGGCAUGUUUGAUUGGGAGGAAUAGAAAUAGGUUGCAGUCCAAUUCAAUGGACCAAUCACCAAACUAAUGUUUGGUUGGCUGUAAUGUCUAUUACGACCUAUAUUGACUCCGUUCCUAUUUAAAGAAGAGGCUGCAUAACCAUUCCCUUCCAUCACUAUUAAAUAUGUAUUGAAUAGGAUUUUUUUUUUUUUUUUUUUGCUUCUCAAUUUUUGCCUCAUCUUUACCCUCCACCUUCGACAAUAGCCAUUCUCACCCAUCCAUCAUCCUUUCUUUCUCUUUUUCUUUUUCUUUUCCUUCUUCCUUCUUUUUCUUCUUUCAAGGAUUCACUGCUUUCAGUUGGGAUCCAAGUUUGCUGUUGUUGAUAUCUGAUCAAUACCAUCCUGCUCGGCAACGGUGGAGUUCGCUGCUUCUACUUAUCUGUGCUUCUUCUCUUGGGUCUCACUCGCAGAUCCACCACCACAAUCAAAAUCGAUUUCCUAGCUUCUGUUUCUCUUCUCGAUGGAUCCCACUUCUCGCCCCGCUGUCGUCAUCGACAAUGACACUAGGUACUAUUUAUCUUCUUGUUUUUGUAACUGAAUAUUACCCUAAACUACGUGCUCACUACCUGUUUGGUGAAAUUGCCCAGUUAUUUUAGACCCUCAUUUUUUUUUAUUCAAUUGGUUCUUUUUAAAAAAAAAUUGUUUGCAGAUAUAAUAAGAUGGGAUUUGAGGGUAAUGUAGAGCCGAGUUUUAUUCAACCAACAGUAGUAGCAGUUAACGAAUCUCUUUUAAAUAAAUCUAAAGCUUCUUCUAAAUCUAAUUGGUUAGUUCAGUAUUCAGCUGGGGUAAUGACAGAUCUUGAUUUCUUCAUUGGAGAUGAAGCACUCACGCGAUCACGAUCAAGCAAUAACUAUAACAUUAUCCAUCCCAUUAAACAUGGCAAAGUGGAUAAUUGGGAUGCUAUGGAAUGAUAUUGGCAACAAUGUAUUUAUAAUUAUUUACGGUGUGAUCUUAAGGAUUAUUACAUUUCUCUGACUGAAAGUCCACUUACUCUACUCUUGAGAAUUGAGAAUAUAUAGGUGAAAUCAUGUUUGAGACGUUUAAUGUUCCAGGGCUUUAUAUUGCUGUGAAUUAUGUCCUUGCUUUAGCUGUUGGGUACACUACAUCUAAGGUUUGUGACUGGUUAGUGUUCUAUUUUCUGGUAUUAUAUAUCUUCAUGUUAGUUGUUUACUAGUAUGUUGGAUGAAUCAAUUAGGGUCCUUAAUUGUACAUGAUUUUUAGUAUCUUUUAUAUUUAUAAACUACACCUUUUAAGGUUGAAUCUUGAGUGUGAUGUUUGUUCUAGGAUUGUUAGGUAUUCAUCAAACUACUAGCAAUUGAUUUAAAUCCAUUUAGUGAUUGAGAAAGAAUUGGCAUAUAGAUUCUAUCACUAUUCCUUAAGAAUGGUUAAACUUUUUGCUUAAUCUAUUGCGUUAAAUUCUCCAUUAAAAAUAAAAUUGUAUGCUUAGAAAUAUAAUAAUUAUGCUUUAUAAGAAACUGUGCAAAUUUGAGAAAAAUUCAUGACCAUGAUAGCAUCUGAUACAUCUGCAAUUGUAGUAAACAUGUAGUGAUCGCAAUAGCUAUUAAUCUCUGGUGCCUACCCUAUACUGUUUCAAUACAUCUAAAUUUGUUUAUUUGUUUAUUUUUCUUUAAUUAUUAAAGAGAACUAUGAUGGAGGCAUAUAGCUGUUGUUAAUCUUGUGGGUGUAAGCUGCGGGUUAUGUUGAAUACUUCAUGCUUGUAGUGUUUAAAGAACUGCUCUAGCUUCUAUUUAGCUUUAGACUAUUUUGGGUGUUGUCUUUCUUGCUAACCAUCAUCAUCCUUAUAUAUUGAUCAUUUUCAUUUAGUUUGACCUAUAGCUUUCUGUAGUACAGGGGUGGUAGCGGAUGUUGGAGAUAGAGCUACGCAUAUAUUACCUGUUGCAAAUAGUUAUGUUAUUGGUAGCAGCAUUAAGUCAAUACAAUAGCAAAAAAGAUGUUACUCUCCUUAUAUAGUAACUGAUGCGAGUAUUUUUUUUCCCAUGACUUGUGAUCUGACACCAUUGAUUGCUAUUUAUUCAAUUUCAAGUACUUAAGGUUAUUACCAUGUCUUGAUGAGAAAAAAAAUACACUUCUUGGCAUUAUUCAGCCUUGUUCAUAGUUGGAUUUAUUGGUGUUCUCGAGUUUUGCACCUAGGCACACCUAUGCCUUGCGCCUUAGCGCUAGGAAACAAAAGCACCUCAACCCUUUCAGACGAGGUGUAUUUGAUCAGGCACACUUUUGGUGCUCUUAACUGCGUUAUUUUUUGUAAGACGAUAGGCAUAAAAAUGCUUGUCUAAUUGAAUCUGGAGUUUUCUACCUUUGUUUACUAGUAAGGAAGUGAAUGAUAUCAAACUCUCUACUUCUCAAUAUUUAAGUAUUCAACAUACGUGAGAGUAGAAGGAAAUCAUGCAUAUUCCACAAUGAAUGUUCAAUUUGAAUUUUUUUGCUAAUGAAACAACAUUUUAUGCCAUAAACUUGACCUUAUAUUCUAGCAGUUACAGUGCAAGUGGUUGUAAUUUGAAGACUUAAAGAUCAUAAUAAACUAUGCAAAUGCACUACUCUAACCAUGUGUUUGUUGUGUGACAACUAUAAUGAACAUAACUUGAGAAGCAAUGGAUUCAAAUAAUAUUAUAUUAUUUUAAAAUGUAGUAAAUAAAAUAUUUUAAAUAAUUUAAUAAAAUUUAAUAUAAAAAUAAAAAAAUCUUUUAAUAUAAUAUAAUUUAAAAAUAAUUAUAUUAAGAAUGUUAUUAAAUUAUAUUUAAUAAUAAUCCUAUUAAAAUUUAAUAACAAUAAUCUACUAAAAAAAUUCUAUUAAGGGUAUUUUGGUCAUUUUAGUUUUUUUUCUUAUAAUAAUACAAAUCUUUCCAUUCAACCAAACACAAUAAUACUAUUAUAGCUCUAUUCAAUUACAUUGAACCAAACAAUUGAAUUACUGAUUACAGCUCUAUUACAUUGCAGUUUUAUUCCAUUACAGCCCUAUUCCAGUCUAGUGAACCAAACGUGAUGUAAAAGAAUUAGAAAAAGUUGGUAGCAUGGGAAUAAAAGAUGAGUAAAUAAAAGGGUAAAGUAUAUAGAUAAUCAUCUAAUUAUCAUAAUUUUUUAUUUUAGGUACCCAAAAUGAAAAGUUUGCAGUUUAAGUAGCAAGAUUACAUAGUUUGGUCAUUUUGGUCACUUCCGUUAAAAUCACAGAUGGACGUGUCAGUUAAAAAAUCAGUAUAAUAACAAAUUUAAUCUUCAAAUUUUACAUAUUAUAUCUAUUUAGUAAUAAUUUUUAAAACUUAACCCUCAAAUUUACAAAUGUUGUAACACCCCUAUACCCGACCCGACUACCGAGUCAGAUAUAUGAAUGUCAAAUUUGGUGCCAGAGUAGUCCUGGCUAAAUUCUAUUAAUCGAUUCAUUUUCCGAUCAUAUUUACAUGUUAUUAUCAUAUUUCAAGUGUACUAAAGAAAAUCAAGUAAGAAUUUCAGUAAAAAUUAGUUUCGAAAUCAUAUUUUGUUCAUAAUAGAGCCCAAGUUUCAAUACUGGCACUAAAUUAUUGGUACCUUGACUUAGGUAUCAAUACCCAUGUGUUGUAUCGGUACCAUUUUGAGCUUCAAUGUUUGAAAAUUUAAGAAAAAUACGCUAAGUACAGAUACCUUGUCCAAUACAUUAAUACUUCUUUCAAAGUAACGGUACUUUAAGCUUGGUAUCGAUACAAAAAUGACAUUCGAUGUUUUAUUUUAAACCAGGGUUAACUUGCCCAAUUAGUCUUUCGUGUUUUACCUGAUUGAGCCCUUCAAUUAACAAUUUAAAUCAAUCCAAUUCACAUAAAAUCUAUACAUUUCAAACUCAAUUACUCAUAAUUUAACAUGUAAUUCAUAAACUUGUAAACCAUACCAUAGUUUUGAACAAGUAUAAGUUUUACACUUUAGCCCCUAAAACUUUUAAAUAUACCUAGGUACAUGUCAUUUACUAAAAAUAAAACAGAAGAGAAACUUUACUUUUUUUCCACAAAACCACUGAUGUGUUGAUGUGAUGUGAUGAGAUGCUUCUAGUAUUCAAAAGUCCUUACUUCUACUCUUUACCUACAUGUAUAAAACAUGUAUUAAGCUUUUGCAAGCUUAAUAAGUACAACUAAAGUAUAAUUAACCUAAUAUCUAAAACGGAGAUUUAAUAUGUCUUAUAAUUAUUUUCAUAAUUUCUUUUAGGCUUGUACAUUUAGACAACUUCAAACUUACCACACCAUAACCAUUUCUUUUUGUUCAUUGUUAUUGUCUAUCAAUUUACAAUUUAAUCUCGUUCCAAUAUAUUUUAAUCAUCUUAUUUCUUCAUUUAACAUAUACAGUAUUUCAAUCAUUUAAUAGAGGUAAUAUUUUAUCUUAUAAUUGAGGAAGUCAUUUACCUUUUAACAGUGAUCUAAUAGACUUAACAGGACACAUAAGAUAUACGGAAUUGAACGGGACACCGUCGAAUCGGGUAAACAGAGAGCACAUUGAUAUUUCAUUAAUGAGAUGUCAUCUAUAUCCCACUAGUUCUUAUCUCGUCUACUUGGGAAAAUAUAUCAGAAUCAGAUAUAUUUCUUAUUUUAGAACAAAAUUGAAAUACUCUAGACUUAUUUCAAUUUAGUCAACAUUACAACAAUUCAAAAACAUAAUUUUCAACUUUCUUUAAUACAUAUAACAUAUCUCACUACUUAAUAAAAAUUCCAUAUUUAAUAAUAAAAUUUAUCAUAGCUUCUCACAAGCCACUUUUGCAUAUUUCACAAUUUAGUCCUUUCUUUCUCAUACUUCAUCAAAUAUACUCACAAUAUUACUAUAUUGUUCCACACAUCAACCAUUCACAUAUUUUACUUCAUAUAUUCAUUUACUUAUGUCUAUUACAAUUCCAUCAACUUUGUCAUCUUUUACAAUUUAAUCCUUUUAGUUACUUUUAAUCUUUUUCUUACUUUUCUUUCAUUUUCUCUAUUACAUAUUACCUAAUAAAUAAAAACAAUUCAUCAUUAACUUAUAUUUAACUGAUGUUGUGACGAGGCACCAUCAUUGGGACGCUAUUUAUCGCAUCGUUGAGACGAGUAUCCUCUUCUAGGUGACGCUGUGACAUGAAAAAUCGCAUUGUCUCGACAUGGCCAACUGAGUGUUUAGGGAAUGUUUUGCUAACUUUGCAAUUAAGUCAUGAUUUUUAAGUAAUGCAAUUGAAAGUCUUAAACUUCAUAAAAUGCUUUGAAAAAUUACAUGACUAAGUUUUAUAUAUUGAAUUCCAAAAUGUUAUCUUCAAUUACAUAAAAAAGUUUUACUGGAUAUUUUGUAAAAUUUAUGUUUUAGUCCUUAAACUUAGUUUUGUAAUUGAGUGAGUUUUAACUGUCGAUUUGAAUUGAAAUUUUCGCAUAUAGUUUGAAAUAAAAUGCCCAUAACACUUGUCGGGUUGAUUUUGGGAUUUAUGAGUAUUUAGCAUGCAUCGUAUAAAAUGGCAUUCUUACCCUUACCCUUAUUUUGUUGAGUGAUGAUAGACUAAGCAUGAAUUAGGGUUGGUUGAUUAGUUUUAAGGCAUAGUUGUUGAAAAUACCCUCAAUAUUAAUGGGUUUUUGGGUUUGAACCCUUAACCCUUUUUUUUUAGAUUGACACCUUUAACGUUACGCUUUUCUCAGAAAUCAACCCAAUUUUAAUAGUAAACCUGAGUUGACUGUCAAUCAAACUGUAGGUCAACGAAAUAACCUAUGUGGCAUGCCACAUAAGCACGACAUCAUAGAUGAUGCCAUCUAUAAAAAAAAUUAUUUAACAUUUUUUUUUCAUUUUGUUUGUUCUCUUUCUCUCUUCCCUUGUAGUUGUUGUCACUGUUGUGUCCAACACCCUACCACUGCCUUCCCUCUUACUCUUCUCUAUCCCAACCCCCAACACUGCUCCCUUCCCUCUUCUUAUACAUCUGGCCAAGACUAUAUCUAAGCUUCAGUCGAUGAAUUGCAUCAUAGAGUUACUUUACCAGUGUUACUUUGGGACUCAGCAGCUGAUCUUCAGUCAUGAGAUUAAAUUGCAUUGCACUUGCAAAGAACUGACACUUAAGCCUAAGCUGCUUCAUAUUCUUGAUUUCACCUAAUGAGAAAACAACUCAUUCAUCGCACCCACAAAGGACCAAAAAACUAAAUACCAGAUUUGCAAAUCUACAAAAUAGAUGAGAACAAAACGUGUCCACAGCAACAUAAAAACAACUCUAUUCUCCUAGAAUAAAUAGAACAACCUUGAAAUCUCAUCAAAAUACUAACAUCUAACAAAUAAUUUGAAGUUCACUUUUAAUAGUAUAUUUUGCAAUAUUUAUGGAAAAAAAGUUCAAAAUGGGGUCUUGAUGCUUAAGCUUAUAGCCACACACACACACAGAAAAAAAAGGUUCCAUUUGCUUUGGCUUCUAAGUAGACACAUAUAAGAAAAGAAAUAAAUUAAUAAAUAAAGCCCAGAUUUUUUAAACCUCAGAACCAAACAAAACCAACAAUAACUUGAAAUAAAUAAAAACCCAAAUUUUUAAAAUAAGAACUUUAGUAGAAUUAAAUAUAAGAAAAGAAAAAAAUCAUGAUCAAAGAAUUGCAAUUUCUGCAGAAAAUAUCAUCAAUUGUAAAAGAAGAAAAAGGAGGAUGCAAAAGAGCAAAAAACAGAGAGAGAGAGAUGUUGAUGAUACGAUUGAGGAUCAUGGGUUAUUUGACAAGCAAGAAAUGAACGAAAACUGAAGGAAUCAAAUAUAAAUUAUUUCCACGUUUCUCUUGUUCGUUAACAUUGGUAUCACAUUCACUUCCACCAUGUCAACCAAGAGACCACCAUCCAAUCCAACCCUUCGAUCCAAUUCCUAACCCAAUGAAUCACAAAAAAUAAUAUCGACAACAUCUCUGAAAUAAGAUACACAAAGACAACCUUGAGAAGAGUAACAAUCUUUUGGUUUGCUUUCGAAAACCAUCCCCUAUCAGCAUCCUUUGACUCCAAAUCCUUUGAUAGAAAAUUGCAAACACAACAAUCCAAUUCAAAGCAGUUAUACUCUUCAAUACCAUUUGUAUUCCCAGCCACACCCUCUCCUUAGUCAACCGUUUAGAGUGAAAGGGAAGGGAGUGAUGGUGGGGGUUGAGACGGUAAAGAGUGAGAGGGAAGGCGAUGAUGGUGGGGGUUGGACACAAUAGAGGCAACAGCUAAAGAGGAAGAGAGAAAGAGGAGAAGAGAAAACAAAAAAAGGAUGUUGUUAAACAAUUUUUUUAUAAAUGAUGUCAUCUAUGACGUUGUGCUUAUGUGGCAUGCCACAUAGUCUACUUCGUUGACCUGCGAUUUCAUUAACGGUCAAUUUACAUUUACCGUAAAAAUUAGAUUGAUUUCUAAAAAAUUGUAACGUUGAGGGUGUCAAUCCAAAAAAAAAAGGUUAAGGGCUAAAACCUAAAAACCCAUAAACUUUGAGGGUAUAUUCAAUAAUUAUGCCUAGUUUUAAUGGCUAAUUGAAUAAUAUGCAUGUAUUGCAUGGCAUGAUUGGUGGUUCUUAUGGCGUGUUUGGUGGUCGAUAAGGAGAGUCACGCAAGUGGUUAAUGUGACGUUCUAGAUUCGGGUCAGACUGUCCUGGCCGGGUGUGGGGCACUACAAAGCAUUGAAAGCACAAUAGUGCUAACAUAAUUUGAAUUCGAAACUUAAAACACUAAUUAAAUAAAUAUGUUAAUAAAAAUAUCAUUAAAUAAGUUUAAUAUUAAUCAUAUCAUUAAUACGAGAAUGACUUUCUAACAUAUCAUUAUCCAACUCCAUAUCAAACAAUAAUGAUCAUAUAACCAUAUAUCAUUUCAUCAAUCCACUUUCACGGUAUUUAAGCAACAUUUACCAUAACCUUUCAGGUAUAUGUCAUACCUUAUUUUCAUCAAAAAUAUAUCAUAGUACCAAUGCACCCUUUGGGUAUUUGCAUCUUAUUUAUGCAUACCAAAUAAACCACAAUCUAUUAUCCACAUUAUAUCCAUAAUUCAUUUCAUUUUAUAAUGGAAAACGCCAUCAUUUUUUAGCCCCUCUUAAUCAAUUUCAAGCUCAAGGAUGGAUACAUGGAUCCAUUCACCAACACACCAGAAUACGCACAUAAGUGAUAAUCGAGCAUAAAUGCACCAAUACAAUGAACCACACCAAUAUAUGCUCGUACCCCCAGGGUAUUUCAGCUAGUAAUACGUUCUUGACCCUGGAGUAUUGAGAACUAUUAAAUAACAAUAUGCGAUCAACGCUAAAGCUUCCCCCGACAUAACAAACCUUAUUGCAUGAAAAUUAUACCUAAACUCUAUUUGACACUAUUAACAGGGCAUUUUUCAUUACCAAUUAUCAUUGAAUCUUAUUCUAACAUAAUUAACAUCAUACUACCACCAUCACACAUACACCAACACAUAUGCCUUGAACAUAUACCAAACAUUUCAAUGUGACUAAGUACAACAUAUCUUACAUGUUUUAUUCAUCAUCAAUAAUUUUAUAAAUGUAGCUGCUCAAUAAUUUAUGUAGUGAAAUAGAAUUAUGAAAGCACAAAUCAAAAUUGUUACUCAUCGAUAGUCUUUGCCUUUCAUUUUUCUUUUGACUUUUUGGUGUCAUCUUUAGCUACGUAUGAUAAUUCAAUUACAAAAAUAGUAUUAGUUUCACAUACUCAAACAUAAACAUUAUCAAAGAAAAACAUUAAACAUUUUUCAAUUAGGUUCCUUAGAACCCUAAUAUCUGAAAUUCCUAUAUCUCACAACUCUCUCGUUCGAACAUAAAUAUGAUUUUUCAAUUAUACUCUAGGGACCUCAAACUAUCAAUAAACAUAAAUUUUUUCUCUAAAGUUUACAACAUUUCUCUCUGUAAAUUCAUAACAACCAUCAAUAAAUUACUUAGCAACACCUUAGUAAUUUUAACUUUUAAGGAUUGGGUUAUAUUCAUCUACCAUGAUAAAUUAAAAAUUUAACAAAAAUUAAACAAGAAAGCUUAAUAAUUCUUAUAAAAGGCUCACGAAAAUGGUGAACAACACAUGCAAGCUUUCGUUCUUUCUUUUUCUUGUUUUGUCGUUGGAGGAGAAGACACAAAGCGCUAAUUUUAUUUAUUUAUUCUUUUAUCAUCCAUUUAUUUAAGCUUAAUUAAACUAAAUUAAUAUUAACCAAUGGCCAUGAUUUUAUCCUAAAACACUUAGUGGAAUUUAGUGGCUUUGAUCAUGUUUAGCCACUAACUAUAUAUUAUUUAUGGUUUAUUUGCUAUUAAGACAUUGGUUUAAUAUUCUAUUAAUGACUUGCAAAACCCUUAAUCUAGUUUCUCUAAUAUAAUCCCCUUACAAUCUAGUCUUUAUACUAUGCUUAAUUAUUAAUCUAAUUAAUUACUUAAUAAUUUGAUCCAAAAAUUUCGUGUAUGCCUCGUAACAACUCGAUUAAAAUUUCCAAACUAACUCAAUUUAAGGAAUCUGAUCUCGAAACUGAAUUUUUCAAAACCCUUGAAAAUCAUGUCGUUACAGUCUUCUCAAGUUUUCUCUCAACUUUUUUUUCAAAUUUUAUUUUUUUCAAGGUUUCAAAUUUUUAAAUUGAUUUUUCAUUUUAAACAAAUUUUAAAAGACCAAAUUCAACAUUUCAUUUAUUUUUCUAGUUCAUGUGAACUUUGGUGGAAGAUGGAAAGUGGUUUACUCUUGAUUCUUUGGUUAAUAUUUGAGUUUUUUUUUCUAGCAAGGUAAUGAGUUCCAAACCAUUAUUUAUGAUUUUAAAACCUUGAGAAUUGAUUUUUGAUUUUAUCUUUAAUUUUCUUUCAUUUCUAAAUAUUUUUCAAGUUAGAGUGAGAAAGCUUUGAUUCUUUCAUUUUUUGUUGUUUUUAAACUUGAAUCUUGUGAGUUAAGUUAGAAAAAAUUUUGGUUAAAGUUCUCUUGAGUUGCCUUUAUUGAAGAGCUUAAGGUGCUUUAGAGAGAGAGGUGUUGAUCUAGUGUGGCUAAUAAUUUUUAAUUUUUUAGGAGUUUUUAAUGAUUUUUUUAAAGUUAUAUUUAAGAUUUGUAUAUGUUAGAUUAGUGUUCUCUUAAGUUUUAAUAGAAGAAGAAAAUUUCUCGCUUCAUUUAAUUGCAUCACAUGCUUAGUUCUAGAUGAUUUUCUAUUCAAUUGUGUCUCUCUAACUAUGUUUUAUUGUUUUGAUUAAUGAUUGUUGCAAAGGAGGUGGUUGAGUCCCCAAAGGCCAAGGGAAAGGAAAAAGUCAUUGAAGGUUGAUGAUUUACGAUUUAUGCUAAUUUGACUUAAUUAUAUUAUAUGAUUUGAUAAAGUAAUUGAAAUGUUUGCUCAAUUUGGUCACUUGAAUUGUUGUUAAAGAAAUUGAUUGGAUGAUGUUAAAAAAUGAUAUUUUGAUGAUUUGUGGCACGAUUAAUAUAUUUUUUAUUGCAAAUUAGCAUGCUUUAUUGCCUAAUCUUGUUAUAUCAUAUACUUGGUUAUAUUAGGACCACUGAGCUUCCAAAUGCUCAGUUGCAUUUUUUUGUUUCUGUGCAUACGUGUUGAAAUGCUUUCGAGUUUGAUUGGUGAUGUACUCAACAUCCAAAGACUCAGUUUUCAUCUUUCUAUUGAGUUUUUAAUGUUUCCUUAAUGUCUUUUAUAAUAAGUGGCUUGUACCUAGGUCUCUAGGUGACUUUUAUGUCUUUUAAUGUUGAACUUUGGUAUUUUUGGAUGUUUUUGGUAUUUAGUUUGUGUUGAUACCAUAUUGGACUUUUAAUUACCUUUAAGUUGGAUUUUGAGAAUGAUUUUACAUGGCUCAUGUAUGGUUUAUAUGUUACAAAUUACUUGCCUAUUGAAAUUUAGAUUUAAUGUGUUACAUGCCAUAUAAAUGUAUAUUUUAGAAUCGUUUAUGGUAUGACACUUAUGUAUGAAAUAUUUUAGUUACAUAGUGAAACUUGUUUAAGUGCAUUUAGGGGAUUAAUUGCAUGACUUGGAAUGUUAUUUUUCUACAUUUAUGUAUCGAUGUCUUGAGACAUCAACAACAUGUCUCGAGACCAUAAGAAUAUUUUUAUGUAUUUCAUGCAUUUUUGGGCACAUGUAUCGAGACAUGAUUGGAUUGUCUUAAGAUGUAAGGGGGUAAGUCUCGAGACAUGAUGAUCUUGUCUCAAGACAUAAAGCAUCAAAGCUAAAUUAAGAAAAAUUCUAUCUAGUGUCUCGAGAGAGUCAUGGUUCAUUGUCUCGAGACAUAGGAAUUAAUGUCUCAAAACAUGGUUUCAUUGUCUCAAGACCUCAAACUUCGAAACUAAAAUUCUAAAACAAGAGAGGCAUGUCUCGAGAUAUAACCCUACAUUUUGUUAGUUUGACUCAAGAUGCAUAACACAGUUCUGUGUUUGACCACUUUUAAUCUUAGAUUGUUGUAUAUGGGCCCAAUUGGUUUCAUUUAAGUGCAUUUAACACUCGUAACAUUAUUUAAUUAAGAUUGUCACGACUUUAUUAUUUUUAGCUGCAUUGUUUGUUGAAAUAUCUAUUUGAGUAGCUUCAACAGUAAAUGUGGCAUUUUGCAUCCGGAUCAUUUAUUAAUAAAAAGGAAUUCGAAGGCUUGGAGGAUUCUAAAAUAAACUCUUUUGAUUAAUAAAACAUUAGUCCCCAAGUAUUAUAAAAUAUUGGAUUCCUUCUAAUUAAUAAAAAGCCCUUGGAUUCUUAAGCUUGGAAGAGCAUACAACGAGGGACUUGCUUUUGAAAGGAAUUGCUUGGAAAAUUGGUAAUGGGGAAAAUCUGUUUACAUUUGAUGAUGAUGUAAUUCAUGAAGACUUAUUAUCUUCUAAGCAAGAGAGAAGGACCUUAAUGCUUAGGGGUGUAAAUAAGUAAUGAAUCCUUUUAGAUUGCAAUAGAAUACUAGUAAUUUAAUGAACUUUCUUUCCAAAGAUUCGUUGAAAACUUUGUUUAUGAAAGGGAUGCAUUUGCAUGAGUUUGAUGAUAAGCUUAUAUGGAAACAUAGCUCUUCAGAUAACUAUAGAGUGAAAUCAGGUUACAAUCUGUUUUCUAUUGAAUAACCUUGAUGCAUUCCCUCAUUCCUUAAAUUCUCAUUAGCCAAGGAGUUUUUGGCCUCUCAUUUGGUCACUCAAAAUUCCCUUUAAGAUCAUCAUCUUUCUUUGGAAAGUUUGCAGUAAUUGCUUACCUUGCAAGGUGGAGAUAGCAAAGAGGAAUUCCAUUCAAGACUACUUUUGCCUUUUUUGUGUGUUAGUGUUUUAAGGCUGCAACUAUUUUUUUUUUAAAAUAAGACUAAGUUCUAGGGAGAUUUGUUAGCUUGUUAGUAGGAGUAGAAGUUGUUAGCUUAUUAGUAAGAGUAGAAAUUUGAAUUUUUUGUUGAGGUUGUUACUUGGGACUUGUAUAUAAGGGCAACUUUGUUAAUAAAAUUAUAUCAUCCCUUCAUUCAUAUUUUUUUCUAUGCUUCAAUUAGUUCUUUGUUAAACCAACAGUGGUAUCGAGAGCUAUUUUUUCUUGAGGGACCUAUGAGAAAAGUUCUGUGAGAGUUUUGAUAGAAAAUUGAGAGAUACACUUGUGAGGUUUUGAGGAAAAUGGAUUCAGGAUCAAGUAACCUGUCUGCCUUAGCCCCACUAGUGUUUAAUAGAGAGAAUUAUCAAGCAUGGGUUGUGAGAAUGCAAGCAUACAUGAAGAGUUGUGAUUAUUAGGAAACUGUCGAGGAAGACCAUAAGGUGACUCCACUUUCUAACAAUCCAACUAUGAACCAGAUCAAAAUGCACAAGGAGAGAACCACCAGGAAGGCUAAGGCAAAGGCUUGUCUUUAUGUUGCAGUUUCACCAGCCAUAUUCAACAGAAUUAUGGCUUUUGGAUUAGCAAAGGAGAUAUGGGACUACCUCAAGGCUGAGUAUCAAGGAGAUGAGAGGAUCAAGAGCAUGAAGUUGUUGAACUUGAUCAGAGAAUUUGAGAGGCAACAAAUGAAGGACUCUAACUCAAUCAAAGAAUACUCGGACAAGCUGAUAGAUAUUUCCAAUAAGGUAAGAGUUCUUAGACUGAUCUCUCUGAUUCUAGACUGAUGCAAAAAAUACUUGUCUCUGUGCCUGAGAAAUAUGAAGUGACAAUUGCCUCUUUGGAGAACACCAAGGAUUUGACUCAGUUGAGAGUAGUGUAGUUGAUCAGUGCUUUACAGGUUCAAAAGUAGAGGAGAUUAAUGAGGCAGGAAGAAAGCAUAAAAGGAAAUUUGAAGGCUAAGAUGUAACAGAGUGAGAAGAAAUGACCAAAAGUGGAAUGGGAAGAAGAGUAGUGGCAGUAGUGGUUUAGAAACUACUGCAAAAGGUAAUGGUAUUGGAAAUUACCACAAGUAUUCUUCAUGUAAGUUUUGUGAAAAACAAAAUCAUCAUCAUUUCAGGUAUUGGAGAAGGCUAGAUGUAAAGUGUAGAAGGUGUAACUUGAUAGGGGCACACUGAGAGGUUCUGUAAAGAAUAAAAAAAUUAGCAGCAAAGUGUAGCACAUGUCUCUUGCUUCUCAUUAAGUACUCCAUGUGAAAAUUGGUUAGUUGAUAGUGGUUGCACCAAUCACAUGACUUAUGAUAAGAAGUUAUUUAAAGAUCUUGAUAGGUCAUUGAAUUCGAGAGUAAGGAUAAGAAAUGGAGAAUACCUAGAAGUGAAAUGAAAAGGCAUAGUAACAAUAGAGAGCUGUGCCAGAACUAAGUUGAUUUUAGAUGUUUUGUUUGUACCUGAGAAUGAUCAAAACUUGUUAAGUGUGGGGUAAUUGGUAGAAAAGGGAUUCAAGGUAAUAUUUGAAGAAGGAAUGUGUCUAAUCCUUGACUCUUGUGGCAAUGUAUUAUUUAGGAUCAAAAUGCAAAAGAAGAGUUUCUCAUUGAAUCCACUCGAGGAGGAGUAAGUGGCAUUCAAGUGUCAAGUCAGUGGCUCUGAAUUGUGGCAUAAGACGUUAGGACACUUUCAUCACAAAAGUUUGCAAUUCAUGCAGAAAAAUGAGAUAGCAAUUGGGCUACCAAUUUGGAGGAGUUAAAUUCGAGAUAAAAAGUUUGCUUGUCUGGCAAACAAACAAGAUUGCCUUUCAAAAACUCAACUUGGAGAGUCAAAGAGAAGUUGUAGUUGAUUCACACUAAUCUGUGCGGUCCACAAGCAACUCCUUCAUUAAAUGGUAGCAAGUAUUUCAUUAUAUUUAUUGAUGAUUUUACUAGAAUGUGCUGGAUUUAUUUUAUAAAGCAAAAAUCUGAUGUUACUGAUGUGUUUUUUAAGUACAAAAGAUGGGUUGAGAAUCAAAGUGGUUAUAAGAUUCAGGUUGUCGAUUUGAUAAUGGGACAGAAUAUACCACGCAAAGGUUCAAUACUUUUUAUGAGGAGGCUGGGAUAGAGCAUCAACUCACUGCUCCCUACUCUCCACAAUAGAACUGAGUUAGUGAGAGGAAAAACUAGACCAUUAUGGAAAUGACUAGGUGCAUACUGCAUAAGAAGUCCCUACCUAAGGAGUUCUGGGAGGAGGUAGCUAACACAGUUGUAUUUUUGCUAAAUAAAUUGCCUAAAAGGGUAUUGGAGAAAAAAACCCUAUGAAGCUUGGUUUGAAAUGAAGCCAACUUUGAAGAAUUUGAAGCUAUUUUAUUAUUUAUGUUUCUAUUAUGGUCCACAGGUUAAAAAGGACAACUUGGAAGAAAAAUCUGAGCAUGGAAUAUAUGUUGGCUAUAGUUUGGUGUCAAAAGCCUAUAGAAUCUAUCAACCUCAGACAGAGAAGAUGAUUAUGAGUAGAGAUGUGUAGUUCCUAGAAGAUGAGCAGUAGGAUUGGACAAGUGAUGCAGAAGAAAGAAAACAAGAGUUCUCUCUUAAUCCUAAUGAACUGGUGGAUGAUAUACCAAUUAGAGGUACAAGAUCAUUGAGUGAAGUUUAUCAAAGGUGUAGUGUGGCUAUUCUUGAACUUGCAGGGUAUGAGGAAGCCAAAGAUGAUAAGGAGUGGAUGGAGGCAAUAAAGAAAGAGUUGGAUAUGAUAGAGAAAAACCAAACAUGGGAACUAGUUGAGAGGCCUGCAAACAGAAAGGUAAUUGGAGUAAAGUGGGUUUUCAAGACCAAACUUAAUCCUGAUGGUUCAAUAAACAAGUACAAGGCUAGUUGGUGGUGAAUGGAUAUGCACAAGUUUGAGGAGUUGAUUUUUUUAAACUUUUUCUCUUGUGGUAAUAAUGGACACAAUUAGGAUGCUUUUGGCUAUGUCAGCUCAACAAGGUUGGAGGGUGUUUCAGUUGGAUGUGAAGUCAACGUUCCUGAAUGGGGUAUUAGAGGAAGAAAUAUGUGUUGAGUAGCCACAGGGCUUUAUCACACUAGGUCAAGAAGGGAAGGUUUGCCUAUUAUGAAAGACUCUCUAUGGGUUGAAACAAGAUCCCAGAGCAUGGUAUAAGAGCAUGGUACAAUAAGAUAAAUGAACAUUUACUAAACUUAGGCUUUGUAAAGAGCCUGAGUGAAUCCACUCUCUAUGUAAAGAAGUCAAGUACAAAUCUAAUCAUUAUAUCUCUUUAUGUAGAUGACAUGUUGAUGACAGGAAAUGAUGCAACUCAAAUUGAAGUAUUCAAGAAGGAUAUGAUGGAGGUAUUUGAAAUGACUUAUCUUGGUGACAUGCAUUACUUUCUGGGAAUGAAGAUCAAGCAAAGUCAAAAUAAGGUGUUUCUUUGCCAGAAGAAGUACAUGAAGGAGAUUCUGAAGAGGUUCCAUAUGGAAUAGUACAAUAGUGUGAUCACUCCAAUGAAUCAGAAAGGAAAACUUCAAAAGAUGGAUGGGGUAGAUCCUGCAGAUGAGAAGGUGUGUAGGAGUAUUGUUAGGUGUCUUAUGUGCCUCACAUCCACUAGGCCAAACAUCAUGUACACUGUAAGUGUUUUGUCUAGAUUUCUCCAUUGUGCAAGUGAAAUUCAUAUGAUUGCUACAAAGAGGGUGUUAAGAUAUUUGAAGGGGACACUUACAUAUGGAAUAAAUUUUAGCAAAGUUGAGAAGUUCAAGCUACAGGGUUAUUCUGAUAGUGAUUGGGCUGGCUCAGGUUGUUUCUUUUGGUUUUCAAGAAUGUAAGAGUUGGUGGCUCAAUCACCUGCGGAAGCUGAAUUCAUUGCAGCUACAACUACUCUGAACCAAGCCUUGUGGCUGAAAAAGCUAAUAGAUGAUCUGCAUUUGAAGUAAGAGGGGAGUAUAGAAGUGUUUGUGGAUAAUCAAGCUACUCUAUCUAUUUCACUUAAUCUUGUAUUUCAUGGAAGAACAAAACAUUUUAAAGUCAAGUAUUAUAUGCUGAGGGUAGUACAAAAGACAGGUCAAGUAAAGUUGGGUUGUUGCAGAUCAGAGGACUAGGUGGCAGAUAUUUUUACUAAGUCUUUCCAUGUUAGUCGAUUUGAGUUUCUUAGGAACAGACUUGGUGUCUGCAACACUUGAGUCAGGAGGAGAAUGUUAGUGUUUCAAGGUUGCAACUAUUUUUUAAAAAAAAAAGACUAAGUCUUAAGGAGAUUUGUUUUGUUAGUAGAAGUAGGAGUUGUUAACUUGUUAGUAGGAGUAGUAAUUUGAAUUUUUUGUUGAGGUUGUUACUUGAGCCUUGUAUAUAAGGGUUGCUUUGCUAAUCAAUUAUAUCACCCCUUCAUUCAUAUUUUUUUCUAUGCUUCAAUAAGUUCUUUACUAAACCAAUAAUGUGAAACAACAAUGAUGAUCUUGAUAUUCUAUUUUUACAUUAUCCUUUCUCACGAUGCUGUUUGGUUUGGCAGCUCUAUUGGUCCUUAAGACCACUGAUCCUCAUCAAAUUUCCUUAUCAGAAUUCAUUUUUCAUUGUUGGAAUCUUACUACUGAGAUUAAAUGGAAGUGACAUGAGUUUUUUUGAGGAAAAAAACAUACAUUGGCAUAGGAGAUAUACACCUUGGUUACAGUUGUCAAAGUUACCAAUGAAGUUGCAUGAGAUUAGAUAGUAAGGGAAACUAGUAACUGGCCACCUGCAUCUGCUAAUUGGUAUGUAAAUUUCCUUUUUGUUUGUUACUACCUUAUCUUUUUUUUCUUCCUUCUAUAUGUUUUUAUAUUGUAAGAAAAUACAAUAAUUUUACUUUGAUCAACAGUAUUUACAUAUGAAGUAAACUCAGGCUCCGUUGUCCUAUGCUUAAGUGAUGGGCUUUUAUAUUAAAAAGCAUUUUCCAUCAAAAGCAAUAAAGAACCCAUUUCAUUUGGAACUAAAAUUUUAACUUAUUGCAAGUGCUUUUCAGCAGAUGAAAAGCAGAAAAAUUUAGCUUUUCCAGCUAAAAAGAACUUUCGGGUUGUUCUUUUACAUUUUUAGCCACACCACACAUUUGUUCUUCUCUGCUGGUUCUUCUCUGCUGGUGCUGGUGUUCCCGACGGCUACCCUUUUUGGUCCAAAUUUUGUUCUCUGCUGGUUCUCUGCUGGUACUGGUGUUCCUCUGCUUGUUGGUUCUUUGUUCCUCUGCUGGUGCUUGUUCUUUGUUCCUUUUCUCCACUUUUCAAAAGCCUCUGGUUCUUUGUUCCUCUUCUCCCCACCACCGGUGAGUUUAUCUUUUUUUUCGUCUGGGUAACUCCAUUUUUUUCACAUUUCUUUUACUGCUGGUGAUGUCUUUGGAAAUUCUGAAUAUUUUUUAUUUUUUCCUUAUUUAUGAGGUUAUUGAGAAAAAUAUAGACAUUGAAGGAAUAAAAGAGAGAAACCAAUUGAUUUUUAUAUUAUUCUAAAUUGAUUUAUUAAUAAUUUGAUUCGGUUUGAGUACUCUUUGGUUUUAGACUACUGAAUUUCUGCUUUCAUUGACGUGAUUGUUGCUCCUCAACUCUGUUCCACCAUUGAAUUGCAGCUUCAAAAAUAGAACCUUUCUAGGUUCAACCAUAGGUUUUCACUUAAAAGAAACUUCUACCAUGACUUCCAAUCCUAAUAUUCUUCAACGUGUACCUUCUCAUGAAAAUUAUCCACUUUUGAUCUUCACUCAUCGACCACUCAAUUCUAGGGCUCUUCCAAUUCAGCUCUUGCAAAAUCUAUGAAGACAAGGGUUAUAAGUGGAACCUCUAUUCGUGCCCAUUUGAAUAUCCACGUCAUUUUUUUGUCACAAAGCUUGUAUUAUCUACAACAAUUCUUCAGUCUGCACCUCAUCUUGAACACUGGGCAUCCAAUCAUAGCUUUAAAAACAAUUUCUAACAUAAGCUUUGAUGCCUAUUUGAUGGAAUUUAAGAAAAUAUGAUGAACCGACAAGGAUUAUAUAUUAUAUUUAUUAAAACUCUAUUAAUGAUAAUAAAUCUACUACGAAAAAUUAUAUUAAUCCUCUAGUAAAAUAUUUAUACGAAAAAACUCCAUUUACUAUGCAAUGGACGGUUUUUCUAUGUUUUUGAGCAAGAAGUUUUACCCAAAAUAUUUAUACGAAAAACUCCAUUUACUUAAGCAAAAGUUGCUUCUUUUAUCUUUCUCUUUCUUUGUUGAGUAGCAUUGUCGGUUAUAUUGGUUAUUUUAAUAUUAUAUCUAUAUAUAACACUAAUGUGUAUAUUCUGCUAUUAUUAUUAAUUAAUGGUGGGAGAGUGUAUCAAAAUGGAGUCACCCAUAAUAUUUUUUAAAUAGUUAAUUGAUACAAAAAAUAGAUGUUUCCCUUAGAAUAAAGACAUACAUAUCUUUUACUGUUAUUUGUUCAUGCAUAUAGCUAAAAUUUUGAUACAUAUGUAAACAAAUAUACUUAUGUGACAUUUGAUUUUCUUGAUUGUUUUACUGGCCGAAACAAAUCUGUUCGUAUACACAAUAGAUGAGUACUUCGACGGUUGAAGUUAGUGAUGAAAAAGUGAAAGCAAUGUGGGAUAAGAGAUUGACUGAAAUAUUUUGUGAUAUUUGUAUUAAAGAGAUAUUGAAAGGCAAUAGGCCUGGUACUCAUUUCACAAAAGAUGGAUGGUUGAAAAUAAUGACCACCUUUGAGAAAGAAACGGGCAAGGGUUUUUCACAAAGACAACUUAAAAAUAGGUGGGAUGCCCUAAAAAAAGAAUGGAAAGCUUGGAAGAAACUUAAAGGCGAAGAUACUGGUCUAGGGUGGAAUCCUAUAAAAAGAACUGUUGAUGCAUCGAAUGAUUGGUGGGAGAGUAGGCUCCAGGCACAUUAAUAAUUCUGAAUAUUUUUUAUUUUUUCCUUAUUUAUGAGGUUAUUGAUAAUUACUGCUAUUAAACUAUCAUUUUAUAUGUAGGUUGUGCCUGAAGCUAAAAAAUUUAGAACAUCGGGCAUUGAUCCUGAAUUCGAAGCGAAGUUGGACCAAAUGUUCAUGGGGAUAGUUGCAACAGGUGAUAAAGCAUGGGCACCUUCUUCUGGUACACUCCGUAGUGAUUUUUUUGAAGAUGUUAACAACGAAAUACCUGAAGAGAAUGAAGAAGAAAAUAUGAGAAAUGAUGUUCACAUUUUAAAUGAUGUUCACAUUUCAAAUGAUGUUCACAUCUCAAAUGAUGUUCAAAUGGAUGGAAACGGUCAAAAAAGAAAAAA
This 287162-nucleotide long non-coding RNA is filed under the name Gossypium raimondii (Peruvian cotton). Lineage: Eukaryota; Viridiplantae; Streptophyta; Magnoliopsida; Malvales; Malvaceae. The record is from RNAcentral.